Molecule: long non-coding RNA, 192590 nt
Filed under: Glycine max (soybean)
Lineage: Eukaryota; Viridiplantae; Streptophyta; Magnoliopsida; Fabales; Fabaceae
Description: long non-coding RNA (GMAX_LNC004068)
Source: RNAcentral
UUUCUGCCAGGUGACAUCUUGAUUUCCUCUAGAACUGGUUGGUCUUUGCUCUAAAGGAAAAUGGCUUUGGAAACCAUCUCUUUCAGCACGAACAAGGGAUUUAACAUCCUGAAUCUUAUACGCACUUUGAAGGAGAAGGAUUUGAGUUUUGGUGAAGGCAACAGCCUCACAUAGUAAAGCUGCACAUCGAGGAUCAUCAGGUUGCUUAUCCUCACAGGAGAUGUGAUAUUCAUCGAUGGCAUCUUCCAUGUGAAAAGCUGUUUCUCUCAGCCGCAUCACCCUUUCUUUUAUUCUAUGACGCCUUCCAUCAUCUUCUUCGGCUUCAGCCACUUUAUCAGCAUCAUUGAUGAAAUCUUGAAAGCUUUCAAGUUCAUCUGUAAUGUCUCUAACUUCUUUUGGGAGAUCUCUCAACAUUUUGACGGCUUCCAAUAUUUUUGGAAGCGCAUGCUGACCAGCCAAGGACACUGCAGUUUCUGCCAUUUCAGUCUUGCUAGCUAGCUCUGUUUUUUGGUUUGUUGUGAGUGCAAAACUUGAUGUUCUGCAACGUUAUAUAGCCAAUAAAUGUACUUAGCCAAACAAUGACACGGACACUGUUUAUGAUAAUAUCUUAACCAUAUAAUUUCAACAAAAUUUUAAAAUUAACAUGAUUCUCUAUUUAUAAGUUCUAAAGUCAUGAUUAACAGGUGUCGGUUAUCAAUUUUUUUUUUUAUAAAUUAUUUUUAUCUAUGUCAUACUGAGAUGAUAUUUUGUAACUUAGUGCACUGUGUACGCGGAGACGAAGACUUUGAGCUUUGCAGCGUCUCUUUUGCGAGCAAGUUGUGAUAUUGUGGUCCAGCUAAUGUGAAAAUGUGAUUAUCAGAUUAUUUGUUAAAGGAAUAAUUUCUUUGUCACUUAUCAAAUUAUUUGUUUUAAAGUUGUGAUAUUGUGGUCCAGCAAUUGUGUUGAACGUGUUUAAAAUAAGUGUAAGGUCGUGGGUAUUGUAUAAUUCAUGAGCAGUGUCUGCAUGCAAAAAUUAUUUUAGGGGUUGGACCUGAAUCAGGAGGGAGAGGCCCUGACGGACUCUUCGGAGUGUAGGCCUUGGGGGUCACCGGGUUUGAGUGCUCCUUUAAGCCUGUGCUGAUCCCAUAUGGUUAGAACAUUCUCGCAAAACAUCGUGACCCUGACUGGUCUCCCUAUGAUUUUACUUAGUGAGAGUGACCUGACAAACCCAUUGUGUGGUGUGUCUUGUUAUAUACUCCUAAGCGCCCCAGGGUAGUUUUUCACUGACAUGGUACAACAUUGCAUAUAGGAUUGAGUCUUAGCAUAAUUAUUGCAUAUGAUUGCUAAUUGAUGUGUUAUUAUAUCUUGAUCGGAGUGUGGGAUUCUUGUGUAAUGUGAUUGAUGGUUGAAAAGUGAACUUUGAAUGACAAAGUGACGGAAUUACGUGAGUUAUGUGCAAGUGAGUUUUAUUUGGCUUAUAUGAUAUGUAUAUCUAGUUGUCUUUCUUCUCUAUUAGUUAGGAAUGUGAUAACCCACUCCCCGUGUGUUGUUGGUGUUUGGAUCCUGUGAUGAUCUUGAACUUUGUGUUUGGGGGAGCAGAUGACUAGGUGAAUUGCUUUAAGGAACCAUGUGCUGAAGGACGUCGGGACACAACGCUCUGAUAGGAUGUGACAUUGGGGUAUAGGGUUUUAUAGACGGCCUUGUUUGAGCCGAAGUGAAUUUAUUAUUUAUUUAGAAAAGUUUUAUGAUGAUGUUAGAAAGGUGAAUGUGAGCCUACUACCCUCUUGAAAGGCUUGUAUUUAAAUAUGUUUUAAAAACUUGAAUUAAGUUUAAUUUUUUUAUUCUUUUAUUAUUAGUACAUAUAUGUGUGGGGUAGAGGGUGUCACAGUGGCUAUUGAAACUGUCUAACAAACUAUAGUAGAUAAGAUUUUUAUGCUAUUUUUUAGGAAAAAUAAAAGUCAUGUUGACUGAUAGGAUAAAGCAGUUUUGAUCCUAUUCUCUAGGCAUGAUUUGUUAGUGGUGUUAUCUUUUUGUUAGGAGUUACUAUCUUUUCCAUGUUUUUAAAUACGAUUGCUUCAUAUUAGAAUAAAACAAGCCUUUGCAGUCUCAAUUUCUUUCUUUAUGCUCCCUUUCAUUCUUUAAUAUUUCUGCCUGCUGUUAUUAACAAAAAACAACAAAUUGGUAUCUAGAGCUCUUAUCUUUAAGGGAUCUAUGAGUUGGGAGAAAUCGCAAUGGAGGGAGAAACAUCAUACACAGUAGGUUCACCACCAAUUUUGAUGGUGAGGAGUACGAAUUAUGGGCUGCAAGGAUGACCACUCAUCUUGAAGCUUUGGAUCUUUGGGAGGCAGUAGAAGAAAAUUAUGAUGUUCCUGAACUACCUUUAGAUCCAACGGUGGCUCAGAUGAAGAAUCACAGAGAAAGGAAGACCAAAAAGGCUAAGGCUAAAAAUUUCCUUUUCUCUGCUGUGUCAAAAAUUAUUUUUACAAGAAUUAUGAACUUCAAGUCUGCCAAACAGAUUUGGGAUUAUCUCAGAUCAGGAUAUCAAGGCUGUGAAAGAACAAAGGCAUACAAGUACUCAACUUGGACAGAGAAUUCGAGAUGCAGAGCAUGAAAGAGACUGAGACAAUUAAAGGCUACGCUGACCGACUGUUAGGCAUAGCAAAUAGAGUGAGGCUUCUUGGGAAGGACUUUCCUGAUGAAAGAAUAGUGCAAAAAAUCCUGGUCACUAUACCCGAGAAGUAUGAAUCGAAGAUAUCAGCAUUGGAGGAGUCUAAAGACCUAUCAACCAUCACCUUGGGAGAACUCAUAAAUGCUCUACAAGCCCAGGAGCAGAGAAGAAUUAUGAGACAAGAGGAGGUGGUACAAGGUGUGUUUCAUACGAAAGCACAAAAUUCAAGAGGUGGCAAAAACAAGAAGAACAACAAAUGGAGGAACAAAAAACCAGAAGGCUCCAACAAGCAGCAGGGUGAGACCUUUCCUCCUUGUCUGCAUUGCAAAAAGACAAAUCAUCCUGAAAGAAAAUGUUGGUGGAGGCCAGAUGUCAAGUGCAGAAAUUGUGGCAAUAUGGGACAUGUAGAGCAAAUAUGCAAGUCCAAAUCAGAGGAAGCAAAGGUGGUUGCGGAGAAACGAGAAGAUGAGCAACUCUUUGUCGCAACAUGCUUUGCCACAAGCAAUAGUUCCAGUGAUUCAUGGUUAAUAGACAAUGGCUGCACAAACCAUAUGAUCAAUGACCUGAACCUCUUUAAAGAAAUUGACAAAACCAUUGUUUCCAAAGCAAAAAUUGGAAAUGGUGAUGUCAUCUCAGUCAAGGGAAAAUGGACUGUUGCUAUUGAAAGCUUGACAGGUUUGAAAUAUAUCUUUGAUGUCUUAUAUGUGCCUGACAUUGAUCAAAAUCUACUUAGUGUUGCUCAGCUUGUAGAGAAAGGCUUCAAAGUUAUAUUUGAAGAAAAUUGGUGCUUGAUCAAAGAUGCAAAAGGAAAAGACGUAUUUAGGGUGAAAAUGAGGGCUUAAAGCUAUGCUCUAAAUCUAAUGGAGGAGAAGCAAAUAGCUUUUUCAAGCAUGACCACCAAUGUUGAACUAUGGCACAAAAGGCUCGGACACUUCCAUCUUGCUGGACUUUUAUACAUGCAAAAACAUGCCUUGGUGAAAGGUGUGUCAAUGCUUGAAGACAAUUUAGCCGAUUGCGUGGCUUGCCAAUAUGGUAAGCUAGUUAGAAAACCAUUUCCUCAAUCAACUUGGAGAGCAACUCAAAAGCUGCAAUUAGUUCACACAGAUGUUGGGGGACCUCAGAGAGUAUCAUCUUUAAAUGGUAAUAAAUACUAUAUUACAUUUAUUGAUGAUUAUACUAGAUUUUGUUGGAUUUAUUUCUUUAAAUCCAAGACUGAGGUUGCUAAUAUUUUCUGGAAAUUUAAAGCAUUGGUGGAGAAUCAAAGUGAUUGCAGGUUGCAAACAAUAAGGUCUGACAAUGGGAAGGAAUACAAAAAUGAUGUUUUUGAUAAAUUUUGUGAAGAAGCUGGCAUUGAGCACCAAUUCACCGUACCUUACACCCGACAACAAAAUGGUGUGAGUGAGAGAAAAAAUAGAAGUAUCAUGGAGAUGACAAGGUGUAUGCUGCAUGAAAAGGAGUUGUCAAAGGAGCUAUGGGCGGAGGCUGCAAACAUUGCAGUAUUUUUGCUGAAUAGACUACCUACAAGAGUUCUGCACAAAAAAACUCCAUUUGAAGGCUGGUUUGGUUACAAACCAGAUUUACAAAAUCUAAAAAUCUUUGGUUGUGUUUGUUUCUCUUAUGUUCCACAGGUUAAAAGGGACAAACUUGAUAAAAAGGCAGAACCUGGAGUUUUCAUUGGAUACAACAACACCUCCAAAGCUUACAGAAUUUUCCAACCUCAAAAUGGGAAAAUUCUUGUGAGUAGAGAUGUCAAAUUUAUGGAAGAUCAACAAUGGAGUUGGGAUGAGCCAAUAAGGAAGCAACUGCCAGAAAUCCCAUAGUUCCUUGAUGAUGAUGUAGAUGACAUUCCUGUCAGAGGUACAAGAUCUUUAUCUGAGAUUUAUCAAAAGAGUAAUGUAGCUGUUCUAGAACCUGCAGAAUUUGAAGAAGCUGAAAAGGAUGACAAGUGGAUAAAUGCUAUGAAGGAAGAGUUGAAAAUGAUCAAAAAAAUGACACGUGGGAGCUAGUGGACAGACCUCAACACAAACAACCUAUAGGGGUAAAAUGGGUUUGUAGAACCAAACUUAAUCCAGAUGGUUCUCUAAAUAAAUACAAGGCCAGGUUGGUGGUGAAAGGCUAUGCUCAGGUGUUUGGAGUGGAUUUUUCAGAAACCUUUGCUCCAGUUGCACGUCUUGAUACAAUUAGAAUACUACUUGCCUUGAUUGCACAUAAAAGGUGGAAAGUUUAUCAUUUAGAUGUAAAAUCUGCCUUUCUAAAUGGUUACUUGCAGGAGGAGAUUUAUGUAAAGCAACCUGAGGGGUUUCAAAUCAAAGGAGAGGAGCAAAAAAUUUACAAGUUGAAAAAGUCAUUAUAUGAUCUUAAACAGGCUCCUAGGGCUUGGUACAGCAGGAUAGAUGAUCAUCUUCAAGAUCUUGGAUUUGUCAAAAGUCGAAGUGAGGCUGCAUUAUAUGUGAAAUUGGUAGAUGCAAAUUUAAUAAUUAUUGUUGUCUAUGUUGAUGAUUUACUUGUGACAGGAAGUGAUGAGAAACUCAUAAAGGAGUUUAAAGCUGAAAUGCUUAAAGCAUUUGAAAUGACAGAUCUUGGCUUGAUGAGUUUCUUUUUGGGAAUGGAGGUGAAACAAGAUCAUGAUGGAAUCCUCAUUCACCAAAAGAAGUAUGCAAGGGAAAUACUCAAGAAGUUUCAUAUGGAGGACUGCAAAAGCACUACAUCUCCAAUGAACCAAAAGGAGAAAUUUAGCAAGGAUGAUGGAGCUGAUAAAGUUGAUGAAAUGCAUUGCAGAAGCUUGAUUGGUUGCUUAAUAUAUCUUACUGCAACCAGACAUGACAUUUUGUUUGCAGUAAGUAUACUUUCAAGGUUCAUGCAUUGUGCUAGUGAAGUUCAUCUUCAAGCUGCCAAACGAGUUAUUAGAUAUGUUAAAGACACUUUAGACUAUGGUAUAAUGUACUCUCAUUCUCAUAAUUUUAAGCUCCAUGGAUAUUCUGAUAGUGACUGGGCAGGUUGUAUUGAUGAUAUGAGAAACACCUCUAGUUAUUGUUUUUCCUUUGGUUCUGGAGUCUUUUCUUGGUGUUCUAAAAAGCAAGAAGUUGUAGCUCAAUCAACUGCAGAAGCAGAGUAUGUAGCUGCUGUUGCUGCAGUGAAUCAAGCUCUUUGGAUCAUGAAAAUUAUGACAGAUUUGCAUAUGAAACAAGAAGAAAGCACACAGAUUUUUGUGGACAACCAGGCUGCAAUCUCAAUUGCUAAUGAUCCAGUGUUUCAUGGCAAAACUAAGCACUUCAAGAUAAAGCUUUUUCUUCUAAGAGAAGUUCAAAGGGAAGGAGAAGUGAAGUUACUGUACUGCAAAAUAGAGAAUCAAAGUGCUGACAUUCUGACCAAGGCACUUGCAAAAGCCAAAUUUGAAUACUUGAGACAAAAGCUUGAAGUUUGCAGUUCCAAAGUCAAGGAGGAGUGUUAAGAUGUGACUGUUGAAACUGUCUAACAAACUAUAGUAAAUAAGAUUUUUAUGCUAUUUUUUAGGAAAAAUAAAAGUCAUGACUGAUAGGAUAAAACAGUUUUAAUCCUAUUCUCUAGGCAUGAUCUGCUAGUGGUGUUAUCUUUUUAUUAGCAGUUACUAUCUUUUUCAUGUUUUUAAAUACGUUGCUUCAUAUUAGAAUAAAACAAGUCUUUGGCGUCUCAAUUUCUUUCUUUAUGCUCCCUUUCAUUCUUUAAUAUUUCUGCCUGCUAUUAUUAACAAAAAACAACAAAUGUCUCUAACUUCUUUUGGGAGAUCUCUCCACAUUUUGACAGCUUCCAAUAUUUUUGGAAGCGCAUGCUGACCAGCCAAGGACACUGCAGUUUCUGCCAUUUUAGUCUUGCUAGCUAGCUCUGUUUUUUUUGGUUUGUUGUGAGUGCAAAACUUGAUGUUCUUCAACAUUAUAUAUAGCCAUGUCCGUAGUAAGAGGAGGACAAUUGAUUAAUAUUUAAUAUUCUUUGAUUCAGCACGUUGGAUGUCUUGUUAAUUUAUGAAGUAGAUUUAUUUCAAUGUAUUGAAAUAUUCCAUUAUGGUUGAACCAAUUAAUACGAAAACGCCAAAGUAAUAUUGGUUUAAGUCAUAAUAUAUUACAUUUCCAAGUUGAAGUAUCAUCCACUUGUCCUAAAAACAGAUGCUAGAUAUGACCAGCGCUAGUUUCAGACAUAGCUGAACGUGUGUAUGCCAGCACUGAAUUUGCCAUUGUUAAUGUUAAUUAUUUGUCACCUAUCCAUACCAUAUCACGCUACCCAAUUUUUAAAUAAGUACGAAAACUAAUUAUGUUAGAGAAAACUAAUUAGUCGAUUCAAAUGAUGUUUGUCGAUUAGGACAUAUAUUUAUUUUAUUUACCUUACAAAUUUUAUUUUAAUUCAUAAAAUUAUUUCUCUUUAUUUAUUUAAUCAUAAAAAUCUUAUUAUUUUUCUAAAAAUUUAUUUAUUUAUAAGUAAAAUCUUGUUUAAUUUAUUUUACGAAAAAUUGAAUGUUACAUUCUUCAUUACAUGCCACCCAUGAUGAGUGAUUAAUAAGUUUGUCCCAUCCUUUUUAAUAAGUUUGUCUUAUGUUUAUAAUAUUUUUUAAAAUUAUCCUUGUACUUAUACUUCUCUCUCGUCUAAUGAUUUAUCAAUACAUUUUCUUUCUUCUUUUAAUGAUGGAUAUUUUUAGUCUAAAAAUAAUUAAUAAAAGAAAUAUUAUAGAUUGAGUUUUAUAAAAUAGAAUAAAUAUUAUUUUAAAAGUCUUAUAAACAAAAAUGGAGGCAAAAUAAUUAAUUUCAACUAAUAGAAAAUAGUGUGUAAAAAAAGAAUAUGUUAAAGUCUUAAAAGAGCAUAUAUUUAUUUUAUAAAAAGGAAUUCUAUUUUAAUUUAUAUCAAAUUAAUAAAUAAAACAUCAUUUUUAUUUUCUAAGGACAUAUAUUUAUUUUAUUUACCUUACAAACAUUAUUUUAAUUAAUAAAAUUAUUUCUCCUGAUUUAUUUAAUCACAAAAACCUCAUUAUUUUUCUAAAAUUCUAUUUAUUUUUAAAUAAAAUCUGUUUUAAUAUAUAUAAUUUCAUUUAUCGUAGCUUAAGAAGAUGAACACAAACUUAACAUUUAAAACUUAUGAUUUCAUGAAACUACUCAAAUUAUCUACUACUUGUUUGACUCUAUAUAGUAGGUUAUUUCUUUUUCUUUUUGUGGAUUGGUAUUGUUUAUUUGAUAUUAGGGUCACAUGAUAAGUUUUUAUUUUUAUCGACGAAAUAAUAUAUAUAUAUAUAUAUAUAUAUAUAUAUAUAUAUAUAUAUAUAUAUAUAUAUAUAUAUAUAUAUAUAUAUAUAUAUAUAUAUAUAUAUAUAUUGAUAAUAAGAAGCACAAGCAGUGCAAAUACAAGUGGCUACAUUGGCCCGUACAUGGAAUGCAAAGAACUACUAGCCUACCCCUAAGGCUCGAAAGAAAGCAUUACCCAACAAAUGACUGCGCCUUACAUCUUAAUCUACAUAAGAAUAAAUACACAAAGGAAGAUGCAAGACUAACCAUCAAACACAACAUACUCACCCCCUCAUCUACGUAAUUAUGUCAUUAUCGGCGAGAGACACCCAUUGUCAAGAAUCGCACCAUGCAUAUAUCAUACCUGUACGUCCCUUAAAAUUUAAGAAUGCAAGGACUUAAUUAUAUUAUGUUGGUUGACCAUUCCUUAGGCCGGGCCCAACAUAUUAGUAAGCCUAAACCAAAACUCGAAGAGUGUUGCUAGGUGCACCCAGUAUUUUUGUUAGUGCAUCCAACACUUGAAGUGAAAAACCCGUAAUACCCCUGGUUUAUUUUUUAUAAAAAAAAUGCGAGACUCUCUCUCUCCCGCCCGCGUUUUGGCUUCUUCUUCCUCAGCCAGAUUUGUUCUUCUUCUUCCUCACCUCAGCUGUUUUUGUCUUCUUCUUGCUCGCCUCACCGGCGUUUUCAUUUGUCACCAUUGUUGCAGUUAAGAGGAGGUUGCUGGGAAGAGGUUUUUCUUCUUCUUCAAUCACCAUUGUUGCCGUGAAGGGGAGCUUGCCGUGAGGUGUAUUGAGGAGGUUUCCGUGAAGAGCAACGUCAUCGUCCACCGUCGAGGGAGCUUCGUCACCGUCCACCGUCGAGGUAAGCGCGCCGUAACCAUGUCUUUUAGUUCAUUGUUGCCAGAGUUAGGUUGAUCAAGUUGAUUCGUAAGUUUGAUUAAGGAUGUAGUUGAUCCGUAAGCUUGUUGACGGAUCAAGUUGAUCCGUAAGAAUGAAUUUUAAUUUUAAAAAAAAUGCCAAAUAGGUUAUAGAUAAUGAAAAUUAUUUUUAUUAAGAUUUAGGGUUAGUUGUGAGGCUUUUAGGCUGAAGUAGAGUACAAUUGAGUGAUAAAAAAAGUUUGAAAUCAUGCGUUCAUUAUUUGAUGAAGUUUCUCUCAACUUAUUUGAGAUAAUGAAUAUUUAUUAAGAUAUUUCUGUGGACAUAAGCAAGAAGUACUGAAAAUGUUAAAUCCUGCCUAGGGUAGCUUUGUUAUUCUUAGCCGGUCCCAAGCCUGGAUAAAAGGAGAGGGUUGUGUUAGGCUUUCGACAGCCAAUGUUAAACUUUGUCGAAUCUCUAUGACAUGGAUCAAUUACGUAAUAAUGUGAAUGCUAGGUCGUUGCCCGGAAGCAACGCGCUGUAUGGCUCGAGUACAGUGUCAAAAGAGCAAGGGCCGUUGCAUCGCCGCCCGGAUGUAGUGAAAAGUAAGCAAGGGUUCCCACAUUUUCGUGAACGGGUGUGGGUAAAGAAGCUAGUUCAUGACAGGAGGAUUCGCUUUGGUACAUGGAAUAUAGGCACACUUACUGGAAAAUCUAUGGAAAUAGUGGAUGUUAUGGUGAGGAGGAAGAUCAAUUUUAUGUGCCUACAAGAAACUAAGUGGACAGGUGAAAAAGCGAAAGAAUUAGACAACUCGGGAUUUAAGCUGUGGUAUACCGGAAAAAUCAGAUCAAGAAAUGGGGUAGGGAUUAUUGUGGACAAGGAGUGGAAGAAGGAUGUCGUGGAUGUAAGAAGAGUAGGAAAUCGUAUCAUAGUCUUAAAAUUGGUAGUGGGACAGGACACCUUUAAUGUUAUUAGUGGGUACGCACCUCAGGUUGGGUUAGCAGAACACUUUAAGGUAAAAUUUUGGGAGGAUCUAGAAGGGGUACUUCAGGAUAUACCCCAAGGAGAGAAAGUUUUCCUAGGAGGGGAUCUCAAUGGACAUGUAGGUAGCAUGGCUAGAGGUUUUGAGGGGGUGCAUGGGGGUUUUGGCCUAGGGGAGAUGAAUGGGGAGGGUAAAUCCAUCUUGGAGUUUUCGGAGGCUUUGGAUCUUUCUAUAGCCAAUACAUGGUUUAAGAAAAGAGAAGAACAUCUUAUCACUUACAAAAGUGGAGGGACAUGUUCUCAGAUAGAUUUCUUCCUUAUCAGGAAGUCUGAUAGGAAGUAUUGCUUGAACUGUAAAGUUAUCCCGGGAGAGAGCUUGACUACCCAACAUAGAGUUUUGGUUAUGGAUGUAAGAAUUAGAGAGGGCAAAGAGAAGAAGUCCUAUGGUAGCACCAAGGAUCAAAUGGUGGCACUUGAAGGGUGAGAAACAAGGAAUCUUCCAACAAAAGAUAUGGGAGGGAUGGUGUGGACAAUCACAAGGAAGUGAAAAUGAUAUGUGGAACAAGACGUCCCAAGAGAUUAUUAAAGUGGCUAAAGAGACGUUGGGUGAAUCUAGAGGUUUUGGACCUAGGGGUAAAGAAUCGUGGUGGUGGAAUGAAAGUGUUCAGAGCAAAGUUAGAGUAAAAAAAGAGUGUUUCAAGGAGUGGUCUAGGUGUAGAAAUUCUGAAACUUGGGAUAAGUAUAAGAUAGCUAGAAAUGAAACCAAAAAGGCGGUGAGUGAGGCAAGAGCCCAAGCUUUUGACGGACUAUACCAAGCUCUAGGAACCAGGGACGGAGAAAGAUCUAUAUAUAGGCUUGCUAAGGGUAGAGAGAGGAAGACUAGAGAUUUGGAUCAAGUAAAGUGUGUUAAGGAUGAAGAAGGCAAAGUCUUAGUGCAUGAAAAGGAUAUCAAGGAAAGGUGGAAGGCGUAUUUCCACAACUUAUUUAAUGAUGGAUAUGGAUAUGACUCUAGCAGUCUAGACACAAGAGAAGAGGACCGGAACUAUAAGUACUAUCGUCGGAUUCAGAAACAGGAAGUAAAGGAAGUGUUGAAAAGAAUGAGUAAUGGUAAGGCGGUGGGGCCAGACAACAUACCUAUUGAAGUGUGGAAAACUCUUGGAGAUAGAGGUCUUGAGUGGCUCACCGAACUCUUUAACGAAAUUAUGAGGUCAAAACGCAUGCCGGAGGAAUGGAGGAGAAUCACGUUAGUGCCAAUCUAUAAGAACAAGGGGGAUAUACAAAAUUGUGCAAAUUAUAGAGGAAUCAAGCUCAUGAGUCAUACCAUGAAAUUAUGGGAAAGAGUGAUCGAACGGAGAUUAAGAAAGGAGACUCAAGUUACUGAGAAUCAAUUUGGUUUCAUGCCGGGAAGGUCGACCAUGGAAGCGAUUUAUUUAUUACGGCGGGUGAUGGAGCAAUAUCGCAUGGCCCAACAAGACUUGCACUUGAUUUUUAUUGACUUGGAGAAAGCGUAUGAUAGAGUGCCUAGAGAGAUUUUGUGGAAAGCUCUAGAGAAGAAAGGGGUUAGGGGUGCAUAUAUUCGAGCNNNNNNNNNNNNNNNNNNNNNNNNNNNNNNNNNNNNNNNNNNNNNNNNNNNNNNNNNNNNNNNNNNNNNNNNNNNNNNNNNNNNNNNNNNNNNNNNNNNNUUUUUACCUUAAUUCUGGAUGUCUCACGGAACAAAUCCAAGAGAUAGCGCCGAGAUGCAUGCUUUUUGCAGAUGACAUAGUCCUCCUUGGAGAGUCGAGGGAGGAGUUGAAUGAGAGGUUGGAAACUUGGAGACGAGCUCUAGAAACACAUGGCUUUCGCCUAAGCAGAAGCAAAUCGGAGUAUAUGGAAUGUAAGUUCAACAAAAGAAGGAGGGUUUCUAACUCAGAGGUGAAAAUAGGAGACCAUAUUAUCCCUCAAGUCACACGGUUUAAAUAUCUUGGGUCUGUAAUACAUGAUGAUGGGGAAAUUGAAGGGGAUGUGAAUCAUCGCAUUCAAGCAGGAUGGAUGAAAUGGAGAAAAGCAUCGGGGGUGUUAUGUGAUGCAAAGGUACCGAUCAAGCUAAAGGGAAAGUUUUAUCGGACUGUGGUAAGACCGGCGAUUUUGUACGGAACAGAAUGUUGGGCGGUCAAGAGCCAACAUGAGAAUAAAGUAGGUGUAGCGGAGAUGAGGAUGUUGCGGUGGAUGUGUGGUAAGACUCGACAUGAUAAAAUUAGAAACGAAGCUAUUAGAGAGAGGGUUGGAGUAGCGCCUAUUGUAGAGAAGAUGGUGGAAAAUAGACUUAGGUGGUUUGGGCAUGUAGAGAGAAGACCGGUAGACUCUGUAGUGAGGAGAGUAGACCAGAUGGAGAGAAGACAAACAAUUCGAGGCAGAGGAAGACCCAAAAAGACUAUAAGAGAGGUUAUCAAAAAGGAUCUCGAAAUUAAUGGUUUGGAUAGAAGUAUGGUACUUGAUAGAACAUUAUGGCGGAAGUUGAUCCAUGUAGCCGACCCCACCUAGUGGGAUAAGGCGUUGUUGUUGUUGUUGUUGUUGUUGUUGUAUGGUGGUGUUGUUAGUGUGUUCUGUCUUUGAUGUUCAUUGUAGCUAAAAGGGUUUGUUUCCCUAACAAUCGCAUUCAGCUACUACAAUUUAUCAUAGCCUGAAACUAAUUGCUUCAAUACCAAUAGGAACACAAUGAAAACGAGUAAUCAUUGAUUAUUACCUCAAGAAAAUCAUACAGUUGAUACAUUUCGGUUGGUUUCACCCUCAAACCAAUCACACCUAUGCCAUCUAUGGUAAAUGAUGAUACUUGUACCAAACAUCUAGAGAUCAACUCUAUUAAAUAUUUUUGUGUAAUUUCUUCCAAAGUUUUCCCCCUUUCAUGAUUGACAAACCCUUCGGCUAUCCACUGCCUAAUCGAUCAACCAGAUUUAACUUCGUAGUCUUCAGGAUACAUUCCCAAAUACAAAAAACAUGAUCUGAGAUUGUAUGACAAGUCAUUGUUACUUAGACUUAAAAAUUUUGCUACAAUAUUUAACUCGAAAUUCCUCUCCUCCAUUUCUCAACUUUAGAUUUUGACUAAACUGUUUCCAUUCUGGUGCACUUUUUCUAUAUAAAAGACCACCAAUGACCACAAUUGCUAGAGGUAAACAUUGACACUUUCUAACAAUUUCAAGACCUACAUCUUCAUAUUCUUUUGGACAACACCCAUUAAAACCAUAUGAUACGAAUGUUCAUGAAGCACAAACAGGAGGUACAUGAGAAGAAAUGGAGGUGCAGGUAGCAGCCAAGAUCAAGAGAAGAAUUGUAAAACCCACUUACCUCAAUGACUACGUUUGAGGCAGUGUGAGGAGAGCUGAGGAGAGCCAGCUUCUAAGCUUCUAGAAGAUCCUUUUAGGAAUUCCUUGCUUGAAUUGUCUGCUUCUAGGGGACAAGAGGAAUAAAAUUCGUUAGGCCAAAUAUUUUGUAAUCCUUUCUGUUAUGAAGGAGUCUAUAAAUAUAGAAUGUAAAUAACAAGCAAGGCAUGCAAUGAAAUAGUCCAUUCCCUCACUCUCUCUAUCCCUUCCUUCUUCCUUGUGCUUAUUGGACGUACUGGUUCCUCGAAAACUAGAGGUGGCCCUAACACCAUACCAAUAUGGCUUCUUACAUAGCAACCCCAAAGGUUCUAGCUUAUGCACCUCAAUCAAUGAAGAUUUCUUACAAAACUCCGCAACCUCCUCGUUCCUGGUUGUGAUUAAUAUCCUACUGCCAUUUUUAUUGUCAACAAGAGAAAAUUUAAUGUCAUCCUAAAAAAAUUUCUUCCAUACAUCAUCAAACAUGACAAUUGCACAAACCAUUUCUGACUUUAUCUAUCAUCUUAUAGGAACACUUGGAGCAGCCUUCUGCACUUUUUCAUUGCAAAGCAUGUCCAGCAUAUCUGGCAGAAAUCCUUCUAUAGUGUAAGAUUGGGGCACUAUGAUCUUGAAAUAUAAACUUGAUUUUGGGUCUUAUUUGUCUAAACAAGAAAGUACAAGUUCUAGAAGACAUGCUAAGCUAAAAGGAAAAGAAAAACAAUAGCAGUCAGUGAGAAGGAAAAAAAAGACAGGAGAAAAGAAUAGAAGGGAGACAAAAGAACAAGUAGCAUGUAUGUCAAGAUUGAAAGAUUAGAAUCUUUAUAAAUAUAUAUCCCAAUCCAUGUCUCUAUCUUUAAUUUUCCUUAUUUUUAUUAUUAUAGUUCUUGAAGGUUUUGGUUUACAGCUAUGGUUGAAUUGAUUUGCACAAAAUUAGGUCAAGAAAGUGAUAUAUAUAUAUAUAUAUAUAUAUAUAUAUAUAUAUAUAUAUAUAUAUAUAUAUAUAUAUAUAUAUAUAUAUAACUGGCUUGGACCGACCCCAUACAUACGCUAUGGGAAAAAUUCAGUAUUGUUUAUGAACCUUACAAGUUUUCAGAAUAUACACUAUUGUUUUUUUUCUUUUUUUACGCAUAAUUAUAAAUACUCUUUUGAUUUCUAUUGUUAUAAGUUGUAAAGACUUUUCAAAAUUUGACUUCAGGAAUUGUGCAUUGGUUUGGGAAAUGUGGUUCCCACAAUUAAUCAGAACACUGUAUAUGGUUAUUUUGUUUCCUUCACACGGACCUAAAUCAGCACCUAGAUGACACACAUACAUUGUAUAUGCUACUAGGUUCAGCACCUUAAUGACACUCACUGAUUACACAACACACUAAUGACACUGCAUAAUUGUUCCCUGCAUGAACACAUAAAUGAUAGAACACAUACUUCAUUGGCAAGUCACAACUGUAGUACAACCUUUGGCUCAAACAAUUAUUAUGCUCCACUAGAAUUGUUAAAUAAAAACAAAUUCUACUUUUAUAAUUAGUUUUGAGAGUUAAUAUACAAUCGGGUCGCCUAAAGUGGUAAGUAAUUUGUGUUGCUUUGGUUCUCUCAAAGAUACGAGUUAGUACUUUGAUGGAUCAAAUUGUAUACAAUCUGGCAAUUUGGUAUGGGAUAACUUGUUAGAAAGUAGAUAACUUAGUGCUUUCAAAGAUCGUAUGUGUGCCUUUCCUGGUUGGGUGCCAACCAUUAUUGUCUCUAGUUGAAUACCUCUGAGUUGAAUUUUUCUAAAGUUGAUGCAGAAACAUAAGAAAAAAAAUAAUGAUAAUGCAAGAAAACUAUAUUAUAGGUACUUAUUCACUACUAAUGAAUACUAUCUUGCAGUGGAUUUAAGUGUAGUGCAUAAUAGUGCACACAGUCAAACAAAUUAAGUUUUUCAUUAUCCAAAUUUUAUUCAGUCAUAUUUCAAUGAUAACUGCUAAAUAAUUGUAUUUUGAUAGUAGAAAAUUAGUCAAAUAUUGGCCUGAAAUUAAUUAUUUAGCAGUUAUUUGUGAUUAAAAGUUAGAAAAUUAAUUGAAUUGAAUUUUUGGGUGCAGAUAUAAAAAUUGGAGGUGUAACAAGCAAAAAUGGCAGAAAAAUUGAAGAAAAGAAGAAAAUGUGAAGAAGGCCCAACCCAAUACGCGCGCUCAGCACGCGUCACGAGCUAAGCAGGUCAGGAAGUACACGCGCUAAGCGCGGGGUGUCGCGCUAAGCGCGCCUAUGGAGGCCCAAAGCCCACUUCAACAACUAUAAAUAGAGAGUCAGUUCAAGGGACAAAAACAACAACAGAACCCCCUCUCCUAGGGGUUUCAUUUACUCCCUUUCUUUCACCCCCUUCUCAUUGUAAAGCCCUCAUGACCAUGAGUGGCUAAUCCCCCUAGCUAGGGCCUGGCAGGCCUAAAAAGCCAAUGAUGUAUGGAGCAUUUCAAGAGUUAUCAAUAAAAAGAGGAAUUCCCUCCAAGUUAUUUAUUUAUGUACCGUUCUUUCUUUUUACAUCCUGUAUCUCGGAACUUGCUUUCUGUUAGGGUUUAGUCCACUCGGGAGAGGGUAAAGCGUAAUUAGGGGUAAGGAAUGAAUACUUGAAUCUGUUUUAAGGGUUAGGCCACUCGGGAGAGGGUAACGCUUAAGAGAACACUAAAAGGAGGAAAUUAUCGGGUUAUCUUUUAGAGAGUUUUUCCUUCCAGUUUCUUUUAUCUGCUUUUCUUUCUUGCUUAUUCUGCAUCUCGGACUUUGUUUUCUGUUAGUCUUUAGGCCACUCGGGAAAGGGUAAAGCCUAAUUAGGGAUAAGGAAUGAAUGCGUGAAUCGGUUUUAAGGGUUAGACCACUUGGGAGAGGGUAACGCUUAAUAGAACAAUAAAAGAAAGAAAUUAUUGGGUUAGUAUGACUUAAUGCCCCAAUGCCCAUGCUUUAGCAAACAUCUAGAAUGUAAUCCUUAUGCAUCUUAGUUAUUGAGUCUUCACAAAGGGCAUUUGGAAGAUAGGUAAUUAAGGUAGGCUUGUCAUCGUGAGGCAUCAAGGGCAAGUAGAUGGAUAGAUGUGGGGCAGAAUUAGUUCACUGGUAUUGAUAACAGACAAAUCCUGAAUCCAUGUAUCUAGGCUGAUUAGACUUAUUAGGUUUUAGCAAUUUUAUAGGUUUUAUUUCUCUUUUAUUUGAAUUUCGUAGAAGUAGUUAUCUUUAUCAUAUCGCAAUUUAAAUAUUUUAUCUUCUAUUUUGAUCUUUCAAUCUUUUAUCUUUUCUUUUAUCUUCUAAUUUUAUCUUUAAGUAUCUUAUCUUUUCUUUUCUCUUCUAAGUUUAUCUUUAAAUAUCUUAUCUUUUCUUUACUUUAUCUUCUAUCUUUCUUUAUCUUUUAUUUUAAAUUCUUAUCUCUUGUUUUUAAAUUGGGUUUGCAUUAAUCUAAGUACAAACAAAGUCCAUGUGGAUUCGACACUCGGACUUCCGAGAACUUUACUACUUGUGACGAUUUGGUACACUUGCCAACGAGUUAACAUCCAAUAAAAAAAUUUAUUAAAAUUUCAACUAAAAAACCAAAAAUAAACUCAUUUCAACUAUUUCAUAAACUCAUUACAAGUCCAAAUAAGAAAAAAAUCAACUUGAUAUUUAUUAAUCUUAUUGUUCCAUCCAAAUAAUAAAAGAAAAACUACAUUCUACACAAUGUUUAAGUGCAGUAUUCCAACUAUUUUUCUCACUCAAUCUGAUUUUCAAUUCCAUAAAAUAAGUCACAAAAACACAAACAAAUUUAGUUAAACUGAUUUUAAAUUCUGUUUCGCAUUAAAUUUAAGUGCAGUCACAUUAUUCUAAGUAUGUUUCGCACUAAAUUCUGUUAACAAAAUUAAGUCAAAACAAUAAAAAAUGGGGCAUAAAUUAUGGUUCAAACACAAUCAAAUAACAGUUUAUCAAUGAAACCAUUAAAAAAUUGUGUUGAUAUGAAGUUUAAAAUAGUUAUAAUAAAAGUCAACAAAUUUAUCAAAUAUUAUACGUGAUGAUAUACAAGGGAAUGAUAGUCUAAAAUUGUUUUACACUAAUAAUGCAAACUAUUUUUUAUAAUUCUAGCUUAAAGACUAUGUACAUUGUUGGUGUAAAAUUUUUUAUAUUGUACACCAUUUAAAAAAAUCAUUAAUAUAAUAAUGUAAAGGUAAAAAAAUACCCUAUAUAUGAUUGUGUAUGAUCGAAUAAUAAUGUAUGAUUCCUUUGAAUUGUCAAUACAUAAUUUAUUUUUUAUAUUUUUUUCAUUUGAAAAAUAUGGAAUCAAAACUGAACAUAAAAGUUUGGGUACCAAAGCACUAUGCUAAGAGGAUUAAAGUGCUAUGCCACAAUCCAACAUAUCUUGUUACAAUACGAGUUCACCCAACCUUAGCAUGUAUAAUCCAAAUGUUCAUUCUAAUUCAAGUUCUAGAAGCAUAAUUGAAAACUGAAUUUACUAUUUACUAUUGUAAUUGAAGGUGAAUAUAUCUUAUAACUCGAAAGCUCAUUUUCGCAGUUGAAAAUCCUAAAUCUUUAGAAUUUCUCAAUUAGGACACUCAUUAGGUUCAAGAAUAUCUAAAUUGUCUUAAUUGUUGAUAUUAAUUCCUAUAGAAUCUCCAACCUCGUUUGCAUUAUAUCCUAAAUUCAAUCGUUAUUUUAAUUUUACAGUUGUCAAUAGGAAUAUACGAUCAAUGUAGUAUAAGUGACCAAAUAUCAAUAUAUAAAGGCAUUAAAUUAAAACAAAGACAAACAAUCAAUUUAAAAGAAAUGAACUUGAAUUAUACAUAAGAGUUCAAAUUACAUAAGGUUAACAAAAAUUUAACUACACAGUUUAGAAAAAGGGAAACAAGAGAAAGAGAAGAAGGAAGCUUAUAAAAUUAAUUUGAUGAAUCUUGCACUUUGAUGCCUCAAAUCCACUUAUCCACCAUUUCAGAAGCCGCAAAAGAAAGAACAUGAGCGAAUCUUCAGUUUUCUAGUUGUCAAAAAUUGCAUGCAUGUGUAGGAACACCAUUUUCCCUUCUACGUAUUGUUUAGUGUUAAUAACGCUAGAAUGGGCGUACUAAUUAACACUCUAAAAACCACAAGUUUCGAAUGCUGGAAAUAUUGGAAUUGGAACACCUCUUACAAUCUUCCCUUGGUGCUUUCCUAAAUUUCAUGAUUGUACAAAGUGGGUCAAACUUCAAAGCAUCAAAAUUAGGAAAAAAUCCACCUUAUUAGGCUUCAAUCAUAAUGAAAAAUUAAAAAUCCACAACAAUUACACGAAAUAUAUGCUUACAACCCUAUAAAAAUACCAAGUUAAUUUCUUCUUAAAAUCAUACAAUGAAAUUGUUCAAGUACUUAUCAACACGGAAAUAAAAUAAAAAAAAAAAACUCAAUUCAGUUGAGGUCAACAUUUACCAAUUCUGAGCACAAUAAUACGAAGGAUUAUAAUGGUUAGACUCUAAUAAUGAAGAAAUGUUAACUAAGGUUGGUGUAGGCAUAUACUUGUUAGACAAUUCUUUCCCUAACUUCUACGUGACAUAUUGUAUAAAAAGAAUUAUGAAGCAAAUACAAUAAGAGAAAACGAGGCAAAAGUAAUUAUUUUAGGAAUUAGAUAACGGUUGCAUUUUAUAUUAAAGAAAAGAAUAAGGCCAGGAAUGCCAUUCUACAAAGUUAUUAAUGUGAAAAAGACGCACCUUCUAUUUUCAAAGUUGGACGCAUCUUAGUGAUGACUUCUGCCGAACAUAUGCAAAGGUUCUUCAGCAUCUUCACUCCAAAUACGUACGUGGGGCACAUCUUGGAUGAUCCAGUGGUCUUCUCCUCCAUCAGGAGCAGUGCGCUGCUCAAAUUCAGUUGGCAUGUCCUUGAUAUAGAGAUCUUUAAGUUUCUCCAAGUGUUGAAUUCCAGAGGGUACUGUUUUGAGUUGGGAGAGUUCUCGUAAAGAAAAUAGUUCCAAAGAACACAGUGCUCCUCUGUCGAUAAGGAUGGACUCCAACUUAUUCAAAGAUUUGAGUAGCAGUGUCUUUAGUUUCUGAAACCCUCCACUUUGAAAAUUCAAAGUUUCACCUUCAUAAGCAUUGUCACUUAAAAAGAGGAGCAUCAACCUUGGCAUAUUUUUUAGUGAUUUCAAUGCAUCAUUAGUCAACCUGGAGCCGCUCAAAUACAGUUGCACAAGAUUUGGGAACUGUGAAAUCCAAUUUGGCAACCUUGUUAACGUCCCACGUAGGACAAGCUUCUUAAGUGUAGACAUUGGUGACGUAAUGUACAAGUCAAUUACUUCACUCUCAUCAGCUGUAUCAAUACGUACUUUCUCCAAGAGUGGCAUCUCAUUUAUUAAGGAACACAAAGUCUUUUCGUGUUUUCCCCUAAAAUAUACCACCGACAGUUCCCUUAACUGCUUUAGCUUUCCUACCUCUCUAAUGACCACUCCAUCAUCAUCUAUAAUCACUGGAGGUAUCUCUUGUAGGGAUGUCAUGCCUCCAAUAUCCUUCCAUUGAAUUAAACCCGUAAAAUAAGACAGAAGAUGGCGUAGCUUAGUAAGCUUACUAAUCUCCUCUGGCAUCUCAGACACACCUGUGUCUCUUAUAUCCAAGGUCUCCAAAUUCUGGAGCUUGCCAAUUGAUUUUGGUAGACUUUCUAUCCCUGUAUACCGGAAGCUUAAAUACUUCAAGUGGCAUAAAUUCCCCAAAUUUUCAGGAACAUAACGUAAACCAGAACCUUCAAAAUCAAGUACCUUCAAUAGCAUGUAAUUUGUAGGGAUUUUGUUUACUAAGUGUUCAGAUAUUUCAUCUUCUCCUGUGCUAAUAAAAAUUGACCGAAUGGAUGAGCUUCCUAUACUUUCACUAAAAUCAUCGGUGGCAAUUGUCAGGCGUCGAACAAUCUUACUUGAUACAGAUUGAUCACACCCGUCAAUAUACUGACAAAACCCUGUAUCCUUGACUUUUCUAAGGAUCAUGUCGUGUAUUAAGUCAUGAACACCACAACUUUUAACUUUGCCAUCAAUUCUAAAUGAGGAUACUUGCACCAAACUUCUACGGACCAACCCUGAUAAAUAUUGUUGCCCAACUUCUUCCAAUGUUUUUCCGGUUUCAUGUUUGACAAACCCUUCAGCUAUCCACUGUCUAAUCAAUCUAUCAGAUUUAAUUUCAUAGUCCUCCGGAUAUAUUCCGAAAUACAAUAAACAUGAUCUGAGAUUGAUCGGCAAAUAUUCAUAACUUAGACCUAAAAUUUUUGUUAUACUAUUUAACUCAGAAUUCCUCUCCAAGUCUAAACUUAGAUCUCGACUAAACUGUCCCCAUUCAGGUGCACUUUCAUCUUUUUGAGACAAAAGACCACCAACGGCCACUAUUGCUAGAGGUAAACCUUUACACUUUCUAACAAUGUGAAGAGAUAUAUCUUUAAGUUCUUCUGGACAAUCUCCAUCGGAACUAUACUGAAAUGCCUUCUUAGAAAACAAUUUCAAUGAUUCUUGUUCAGUUAAUGGCUCUUCUAGCUUAAGCACCUCAACAAAAGAAGAUUUCUUACAAUAUCCCGCAACCUUCUCAUCCCUGGUUGUGAUUAAAAUCCUACUUCCAUUUUUAUUAUCAAUUACAGCAGAUUCAAUGUGAUCCCAAAAUGUUUCAUUCCAUACGUCAUCAAACAAGACAACAUACCUCUUGUUGCGCAAGCGGUUUCUGACUUCUUCGGUCAACGACUCCAUGUUAGAAACAUCCUUGGGAGGGUCCUCCUUUUUCACUUUGCAAAGCUCAUCCAACAAACGCCUCAGUAGUCCUUCUGCAGAGUAGGAUUGAGACACUGUGAUCAAUGCAUGGCACUCGAAAUUGUUACGCACCUGGUCAUAAACUUGCUUGGCAAGAGUGGUUUUUCCCACCCCAGGAAUUCCCACCACAGAGAUUACAGUGCGUUUUUCUCUUCCCUUUGUCAACCAAUUUUUCAAUGUAUCUCUAGGGCCAUCAAGCCCCACAACAUCAUCUUCAUCGAUAAAGAGAGGAUCCAUUCGAAGUUUCUGCCAGGUGACAUCUUGAUUUCCUCUAGAACUUGUUAGUCUUGGUUCUAAAGGAAAAUGGGUUUGGAAACCAUCUCUUUCAGCACGAACAAGGGAUUUAACAUCCUGAAUCUUAUACGCACUUUGAAGGAGAAGGAUUUGAGUUUUGAUGAAGGCAACAGCCUCACAUAGUAAAGCUGCACAUCGAGGAUCACCAGGUUGCUUAUCCUCACAGGAGAUGUUAUAUUCAUCGAUGACAUCUUCCAUGCAAAAAGCUGCUUCUCUCAGCCGCAUCACCCUUUCUUUUAUUCUAUGACGCCUUCCAUCAUCUUGUUCAGCUUCAGCCACUUUAUCAGCAUCAUUAAUGAAAUCUUGAAAGCUUUCAAGUUCAUCUGUAAUGUCUCUAACUUCUUUUGGGAGAUCUCUCACCAUUUUGAUAGCUUCCAAUAUUUUUGGAAGCGCAUGCUGACCAGCCAAGGACACUGCAGUUUCUGCCAUUUUAGUCUUGCUAGCUAGCUCUGUUUUUUGGUUUGUUGUGAGUGCAAAACUUGAUGUUCUUGAACAUAUAUAGCCAUGUCCGUAGUAAGAGGGGGACAAUUGAUUAAUAUUUAAUAUUCUUUUAUUCAGCAAGUUGGAUGUAUUGCUAAUUUAUAAAGUAGUUAUUUAUUCCAAUUAAUACGAAGUCAUAAUAUUUGGCAUGUGGAAGUUAAAGUAUCAUCCACUUGACCUAUAAACACAUGCUAGAUAUGACCAGCGCUAGUUUCAGACGCAGCUGAACGUGCAUGUCAGCACUGAAUUUGCCAUUGUUAAUGUUAAUUGUUUGCCACUGUAUCCACAUCAUAUCACGCUACCACAUAAGUGGAUAUUUAUUGGAAUGAACCAUAAAAAAUCAAGUAAGAAAAUUUAACAAUAUACUUUAAUCCAAAACUUUAAUACUCAGAUUUAUAAAUCUUAUUCUAACUUGUAUGAUGCAACUUUCCACUUCUACUCUCUGAUUUCACCUCAAACUUAUAUUCUUUAACAUUAUGAAAACUAAUAUCUUAGAGAAAACUAAUUAUUUGUUUCAAUGAUGUUAGUCGGUAUUAUCUAGUUUUACCAACAAAAUUAAACGGCCAUGCUUGUCAACUUAAUAGCCUGUUAGGAAUAAACUAAUAUUUGCUUUAGAAUGUUCUAUUGGCUCUGAAGCUGUAGGCUCAUACUUCCGUCAACAACUUAUUUGCUUAACAAUAACAUCUGAACUCAGCAACUACAAAGUUUAAACGAAUAGAAAAGACAAUCUCUGUGAAUAUACUUCUUAUUUUAAUGUUUAAAGUACAACUUGUUAACCAGCUACAGUGCAAUAUCAAUUCAAGCGGGCUAACUUUCAAGCUUUGUUUAUUUUCCGAGAAAACGGAGGGAACAUGCAAGACGGACGAUAUAAAACUAUCCUUUUUAGUAUAUAUACUUCUUAUUUUGAGUAUAUAUAACUUUUUUUUUUAAAAAUUCUACAUAAUUAAAUAUAAAAUAAAGAUUUUUUUUUAAUUUUUUCUCUUAUAAAAAAAUCACUGAACAAAUCAGAUUCUUUAACAGAAAUUAUUUGUUGGUAAAAUUGAUAGAUUAGUUUGCAUCUAUAAUAUAAUAACAACAAAAAAAAACCUAAGAAAUUAGGUCAUUUUAUACUUCUUUUUUUACUUUUAUUUUUCAUUUAUUUUCUUCAUUUUAGGAGCAUUGAUCAAAUUGACUUGAUCAUAAACUCGACAUUCUAAAUAAAACCAAUUAUUUUGAUUCAAAUCGGUUCCAUUAAUUAGUUUUUUUUUUACUUCAAAUUUGAAUAUCCAAUUACAGUUUGUUUGAUUCUCUACUAUAUUCUUUGCUUUAAAAAAUUACAAUUUGUUUGAUUCUCUAAUUUAUCUUUUUUUCCUUGCAUUAACAUAAAGUUUAAAAUCAUAAAAAUCAACACUUAGUGGAGAUAAAAACUUAAAAGAAAAUAGAUAGAUUUUUUAAAAAAUUUCAAAUAUAACCAAUAUAUAAUUGGAUAUGACUGGUUAGGAUUUAAUUUUAAUUUACUCUAAAUUUUGACUAAUUGCACAAAAACUUGUAAAAUUCAUACUCCCUCCCUCCGGUCUCAAAAUAUUUAUUUUACUAACCAAGAAAGUUAAUUAAUUACAUUUAAUUCAUUAAUCUCAAUUAAAAAUUAUUUUUCCUCUCAACAUAUUUUACAUUGGAACUUAAUAUUAAACAUAAAAAAAUCAUUGAAAAAAACCUCAAUUAAAUGAAGGAUAUUUUAGAAAUAGUAACAUUAAAUAAAGUAAAUUUACUUGAAAUUUUUUUAUAUUUAAAACUAAAAAAAUAAAUUUUAUCUUAUAAAGGAAGUAUUACUUUUCUCUCAUAAAGAAAACCUAAUUAUGGUUAGCCCUUAAAAUUAGUAUUACCACACAAAGUUUUGAUUGUUGGUCGUAUCUAGCAUACUUUCUUAUUAGUUGAAAUUUGUUAAAAAAAAAUCAUGAAUAAGACCAAUUAAAUAAGAAGUGAUGAAAUAUAUACAAUUUUAUGAUUUUUACUCUCUGUUCUUGUAUACAUGAUCACAUUACCUAAUUAAUUAAAAUUAAAAAAAGUUACUAAUUUAAUUAAUAGUAAUAAGUUUGUUUUACAUUUAUAAUCUUUUCAAAAAAAAUUCCAUCAUUAAUAUUUCUUUCUCGUCUAAUGAUUUGUAAAUGCAUUCUUUUUUUUUCUUUUAAUGAUGAAUAUUUGUAGUUUAAAAAUAAUUAAUGUAAGAAACAUUAUAAAUUGAGCUUUAUAAAAAAUUAUCAUUUUAAAAGUCUUAUAAUUAGGAAUAAGGAGAGAAUAAUUAAUUUCAACUAAUAGAAAAUAAUAUGUCAAAAGAGUAUGUUAAAGUCUUAAAUAAAAGAGCACGCUGUCAAUAUUUCUCUUAUUAUGAUUAUGAUUUUUUUUCUUCAUUCGAUCAAUGGAUGGAUUGCAUAUAUUAGCCAAACAUGUUAGCCACACGCGAUGACACACAUAGCCACAAAUUUUAUUAUAAUAUUUUGUAUAUUUUCAUAUUGCCAUUUUUUAUAUCCAGUAAAUUUGUACGAUGAUGUUCUCACAUAUUAUUCAUAUUGCCUUUUUUAUAAUCAGCGGUGUGUAAGAUGAUAUUUUCAGGUACUAUUCAUAUGAGUUUAUGAGUCUAUUUGAUUCAUACGGUUAAAUACUAUUCAAAUUCAUUUUUAGCAUAUUGAGACGACUCACAAGACACUCAAACUAAACUCUGUUAACUCAAGUCUAUUUUCACUUACUAUUUAUAUGAGUUUAAUAGUCUAUUUUGUUUAUGCACGUUAAAUUAAUAGUAUUCAAACUCAUUUUUAGCAUAUUGAGACAAGACUCAGUACACAACCAGACUAAACUUGUGUUAACUCCGUCUAGAUAGAAUCAAACAAGUUUACUUGAAAGAUAGCAGUUUUCUUGGGUCAAUUAGCGAUUAGGGUUGUCAUUUAUUCCUCAAUUGCGGGACCUUGAAACGAAUCCGUGAAAUCCUUCUAAAAACACAUGCUAGAUAUGACCCGCGCUAGCUAGUUUCAGACACAACGUGCAUGCCAGCACUGAAUUUACCAUUGCUAAUGUUAACUAUUUAAUUGUUACCGUAUCCAUACCAUAUCACGCUACCCAAUUUUUAAAUAAGUAUGAAAACUAAUUAUUCGAUUCAAAUAAUGAUGUUUGUGGUAUUAGUUUUACCAACAAAAUUAAACGGCCCUGCUUGUCAACUUAAUUGCCUGUUAGGAACAAAUUAAUAUUUGCUUGUUCUAUCGGCUCUGUAGCUUUAGGCUCAUGCUUCCGUUACCAACUUAUUUGCUUAAUAAUAUACAUCUGAACUCUGCAACUACAAAGUUUAAACGAAUAAAAAAGACAAAUAUGUUUGAGAAUAUAUCAUAAAAAAACAGUUUAAUGUUUAAAGUACAACUUGUUAAACAGAUACAGUGCAAUAUCAAUUCAAGCGGCCAAUCUUUCAAGCUUUGUUUAUUUUCCGGGAAAACGGAGGAACAUCAAGACUGACUAUAUAAGACUAUCAUUUUUAGUAAACAUAUAUAACUUUGAGUAUAUAUAACUUUUUUUUUAUUUACUACACAAUUAAAUAUAAGAUGAACAAACAAUCACUUAUGGUGAACAAAUCACAUUCUCUAACAGAAAUAUUGAUCGACAAAAUUGAUAGAUUACUUUUGCACCUAUUAUAUAGUAACAAACGAAAAAGAAAACCUAACAAAUUGGGUCAUUUUAAACUUCUUUUCCCUAUUUUUUUUCACUUGUUUUCUUCAUUUUAGGAGCAUUGAUUAAAUUGACUUGAUAAACUAGACAAUCUAUAUCAAAUCAAUUAUUUUGAUUCAAAUUGGUUUGAUUAAUUAGUUUUUUUUUUUUACUUCAAAUAUGAAUAUCCAAUUACAGUUUGUUUGAUUCUCUAAUAUAUUCAUUUGCUUACAGUUUUAAAUAAUAAAAAAUCAACACUUAGUGGAGAUAAAAAUUUUAAAUGACAAUAGAAUGAUUUAUUUUUUAAAAAUUCAAAUAUAACCAAUAUAUAAUAUAUUCAACAUGACUCAUUAGGAUUUAAUUUUAAUUUAAUCUAAAUUCGGACCAAUUCAUGCACAAAAACCUGUAAAUUUCAUACUCCGUUGGAUCUCAAUUAAUAUAAGAAAAAUGGUCUUGCUAAACUUGUGACCUGAGAGCACUAGUUAAGAAACCAAAAGAAGAAAAUAUUCAGUGUAAAAAGUAUUAAGAGAAUGCCAAAAAGAUCAUGAGCAGUACGUAAUUUUCUAUCUUCCAUUAAAAUAUUUCUACUUUAAGUUCUUUACCUAAUGUGUUAAGGAUACUAGUUGGCAUUUACCAAAGAAAAUACUUAUUUGUUCUAAUUAAGAAAAUUAGUUAACCACAUUUAAUUAAAACUAACUUUUUUCUUCACUUAUCCUUCAUUGGAAUUCGGUAUUAAAAACAUAAAAAAUGAAAAAUAUUUUAGAGAUAAUAAUUAAAUAAAGUAAAUUUAAUUAAUACUGAUUUUCUUAUAUUUGUGACUAAAAACAAUUUUUUCUUAUAUUUGAAAUGAAAGGAAGUAUUAUUUUUCUUUCAUAAAGCAAACCUACUCAUGAUUAACACUUAAAAUUAGUAUUACAACACAAAGUUUUGAGUGUUGGCAUUACACUUUCUAGCACACUUUCUUAUUGGUUGAAAUUUGUUAAAAAUGAAAAAUCAUGAGUAAGGUCCUUUAAAUAAGAACUAAUGAAAUCCAUUCAAUUUUAUGAAUUUUAGUCCCUCCAUGCAAUUACCUAAUUCAUUACGAUUAAAGAAAGUGACUAAUUUAAUUCAUAAUAAUAAGUUUGUCUUACAUUUAUAACAUUUUUUAAAAUUAUUUUUAUCAUUAAUAUUUUUCUCUCGUCUAAUGGUUUGUUAAUAUAUAUAUAUUUUUUUAAUAAUGCAUAUUUAAUUUAAAAAUAAUUGAUGCAAGAAAUAUUAUAAAUUAAAUUUUAUAAAAAAAAAAUAAGCAUUAUUUUAAAAGUCUUAUAAAUAGGAACAGGAAAAGAAUAAUCAAUUUCAACUAAUAGAAAACAAUAUGUAAAAAAGAGCAUGUUAAAGUCUUAAAAGAGCAUGCUCUUAAUAUUUCUCUUAUUACGAUUAUGAUCUGUUUUUCUCCAUUCGAUCAAUGUAUUGAGUGCAUGUUAGCCACACGCGAUGACACACAUUGGCAGAAAAUUUAUUAUAAUAUCUUGUAUAUUUUCAUAUUGCCUUUUUUAUAUCCAGUAAGCUUUUAAGAUGAUGUUCUCAUGUACUAUUCAUCCUAUUUUUGAGGUGAAAAAUUACAAUAGGGGAAGUCAUGCCACCUCUUAUAAAGUCAAGGAAGACUGUCAAGUUAUAGCAAGCGUGGACAAAAGUCUCCAUCAAAUGUGUCAACUCUUGUUAGCCUCACGCACCAUUAAUUAAUCUUAAUUGUACAAAUACAAUAAAUAUAAAAUUAAUUUUAAGUAAAAUAAUAAUCUAUGCAUAAUUAUACAGAUAUGAUUAACUUUUCUGGCCAUCAGGUUUUUUCGAAUACAUCUCUUUUAUCUAUAGCAUAUUAGUGUUAUAUAUUUUGUAUCCAUAAGUGAUAUAUAAAAAAUUUAUCACAUCUGUGGACAGGAAGACUUUGAACUUUUCAGCAACAUCUAUCUUAAAUAUACUAGGAGCAAGUUGUGAUAUUUUUCCCUUUAUUUUUGUCGUGCUAUAGCAAGUUGUGAGUUUGCUAUCUAGUUAAUUGUAUAUAAAUGUGAUUAAUUAAACAAUGUCAGAUGUAUUUGUCUGUGUUAGUUGAACCGAUAAAAUUUAAAUAAAAUAUCUUACACUUGUCAAAUUAUUUGAUGAAUUGCCGUUGAAUAGGUUAGCCACCUGAUUUGAUCUAAUCGAUGCUGACAAUAAUAAUAUAUUAUAUGAUGACCAAGAAAUUAAAUGCUGAUCCACAGGAACAGUUUUUUUUUUUUUUUUAACUAGGUUAACCAUUGGUGGAAGAGGGUUAAGCUAUUCUAUUUACUUUUAAAAGCUAUAUACAGGCUGGUGUAUCCUUCUUAUCAUUGCAUAUGGUUUUACUCUAAGCUUCAAAAUUUACUCUCUUUUUUUUCUUUCAAAAAUGGAAAUUUUCGAUUCAUUUCGUUGGUCUUUAAUUUAGAAGAACAAAAUUUGCUUUCCUAUUUUUGCGCAGGAUCGAGGAUCACCUAGUUGUCAUUAAAAUACUGGAUGAAGAUUUUCCUAGAGAGUUUAAUACUACUAAAAGAUGCUUACAAAGAGUCUUCUGGUGAUAAAUUGGCUAAGAAUAAAUGUUUUAUAGAAGCAAGAUAUAGUUAAUGCAAAAAUAUAAGACUUUACUCUCUCAUCUAAUCAUAAAUGGUAUAUAUAUAAUAAAUUUAAUUAUCAAUUUUUAUAAUAAUUAUUUUAAAAAUGAUAUAUACACUUAAUAUGAUUUUUUUAUUAGGACAUACUUUUAUCUACAUCAAAUUGACAUCAUAUUUUUUAUCCUCGCCGGUGUUUACAAAAAAAUUAGUGCAACGCCUACCUUGAGACAAACUUGAUAGGAAGACUUUGAGAUUCCAGCAUCUCUCUUAAAUAUUUGGGCUAAUUAUUCCUAAACUUUUUCAAAAUUUAGUUUUUAAUUUUUAAAGUUUUUUUCUGUUCCUCAAGAUCUCUCAACUUUUUAUUUUUAUCAAGGUUUUUAGUUCUUACAUUUUUAUUUGACGGGUCAAUGUCUCUCCACUUUUUUCAUUAAGAUUUUUAAUUUCUAAACUUUUAAAAAAAUCGAUUUAUAAUUAUUGAAAACUCAUUAAAUUAAUAAAAAUAAUGGGUUUAAUUUUUUAUUCAAGAACUAAAAAUUGAAAUUUCUAAAAGUUAAAAAACUUUGACAAGUCAAACAAGAAAUUAGGGAUUAAAAUUAUAUUUUAAAAAAAUUAAAAACUAAAGCCUUAGCUAAUUCUAAAUAUUUUUGUGAGCAAGUUAGUGAUUUUCUCUCCUUAUUUUUGUCCAACUACAACAUCAUGUGAAUUUCUGAUCUUCCUAAUGUGUAAAUGUGAUAAAACAAUGUUUAUUGUAAUUGUGAGUAGUGUUAGUUGUACCAAUAAAAGUUGUAGUGAAUUUAACUCUUUUAGAUUGACAAUAUAUAAGGCGAAUCUAUAUUUAUAAUUAUUAAAAAUUCAUCUGUUUAAAUUUUUAAUUUUGGUGUUAUUUAUAUUUAUAUUUUGAUUUUAGGUAUAACUAUUUCUUUAAAUGAUUUUUGUGAGAUUAAAUAAACAUUUGAAUCAAUAUCAUGUUUUUAUUAUAAAAUUCUUAUAUGAAUCAUUUAUCGAAUACAUUUUGUAGAAAUGACAACUAGAAAUUGGAGAUCAUAUUUGAUGAGGUAUAUUAUCUUACUCUUUGUCUUUUAUCAUUAUUUUUUUCUUUGCGAGUAUCAAUCAUGUUAUUUUUCUUUUCUUCAUUUUAUUGUUACGUUGCUAUAUAUUUUGAUGUAGUAUCAUUUCUUUUAUUCUUCAAUUUUUAUGUAUGAAAAGAUAAUUUGAACGUAUUAUCGAUAAUCGUCAAAAAUCAAAUUUUAACUUUUUUAGAUUAGUAAGGUAUAAUAUGGAUCUAUAUUCAAUAUUGUUAAAAAAUAAAUUUGUUGAAAUUAUUAUUUUUAGUGUUUUUUAUAUUUAUAUUUUGAUUUUAGGUCUAAUUGUUUCUUUAAAUAUUUUUUGUGAAAUUGAAUAAACAUUUGAAUGAAUAUCAUACUUUUAUUAGAAAGUUCUUACAUUAAUCAUCUUUCUCUUUCUCUUUCAUUAUUUUUUCUUUUUUCUUUGCAAGAAUUGCUUCUGUUUUUUUCUCUCUUCAUUUUAGUUUUAUGUUAUUAAAGUUUUAAUUAUUAUUAUUGCUCAGGUUUUUUAUAUAUGUUUCAUUUUUUUCUUCUAUAACUAUUAUAUUUGUUGGAGUUGAUUCUGUUUUUAUAGUUGUUGGAGUCGACUUGGAUCCGAUGCAAAAAAUCUUCCUUAUUUGUAUUUUUUUAUAUUUUUUGAAUAUUUUUCACUUUUAAUUCCUUCUUUUUAUAUCUGCAGGCCAUAAAUAAGAAAAAUAUCAAUUCCUAACAUUUAAGUAAAAGAUAAUUGCUAAAUAAAUAUUUUUAAAUAUAUUUUCACUAUAAUUUUAUUAUAAAAAAUAGCUCAUAUUUAUCAGUUAUCAGGAUCACCAAUGGUUUAGGACUUUGGAUGAUGUUUCCUCAACAAUCGUUCAGUUGGUUCUCUAACUUUUUCAGGUUGAUCAUCCGCUAGUGUGUUGGACUCAACUUGACUUGACUAGAUGCAACAACAAAUUUGAUGAUAUUUUCUAUUUUUAUCUUUGUAGAGGAGACAUGCAACUCUGGCAUUGUGGUGUGAAGCUUGUUGUCAUUAAAUCUUACAUGAAUGGUCUUUUUCGCACUCAAGGUUUUGGAUUUAUACACUCUAUAUACCUUUGACGAUUAAGAGUAUCCAAGGAAGGUUUCAUAAUCACAUUUGGAGUCAAACUUUCCAAGGUUAUCCUUGGUGUUUAAAAUGAAACACUAGCAUCCAAAUGGGUGGAAAUAAGAGAUGUUGGGCUUAGAUCCCUUCCACAAUUCAUAGGGAGGGUUCUUUAAGAUUGGCCUUACAUAAAUUAUGUUUUGUAAAUAACAGGCAGUGUUUACUACUUCAGCCUUGCUUAGUUAUUUGGCAGAACUUAGGCAAAGCAAAGAGGAAACAUAGAGUUCUGAACGAGGGUAAAAGCUAGAUCCUUAAUAAGUUCUUUUUACUACUUCACUCUAUGUUGUGGUGAAAGCUAGAUCCUUAAUAAGUUCCUAGCCAUUUCUUGAAGAGAUCUAUUUUUCCUCUCAACAACUCCAUUAUGUUGUGGUGUUUUUGGAGUGGAAAAAAUAUGGUGAAUACCAUUCUCUUCACAUAAUUUUUCAAAAAAUCAUUUUCAAACUCUCCUUGAUGAUCACUUCUAAUUGAAUAGAUACACAUAACUUUUUCAUUUAGAAUCUUUUUACAUAAUUUAUAGAAGGAAUCAAAAGACUCAUCCUUGUGGAUUAGGAACCUGGCCCAUGUUCAUCUAGUGUAAUCGUCCACUAUGACCAGACCAUAUCUGAGUCCAAAGAGGCAUGUAGUCCUGAUUAGUCCAAACAAGUCAAGGUGUAGAAGCUCUAAAGGCCUUGAAGUGGAAACAACAUUUUUGGCUUUAAAAUAAUCUUUUACGUGUUUUCCUUUCUAGCAAGCUUCACAAAGAGAAUCAUCUUGAUAUGAUAGCUUUGGAAGUCCUCUUACGAGGCUAUGCUUUUGAAGCAUUGAGAUUAACCUCAAGUUACCAUGACCAAGCUUCUAAUGCCAUGCCCAUUGAUGCUCUUUGAUUGAGAGUAAGCAUGACACCUUUUGACUGGACAAAUACCCAAGUUUAAUCUUAUAGAGUUUUGUUUGUCUCUUAGCAGAGAAUAAUGAAGACUUGCCCUUGUUUUGGAUGAUACACAUAUCAUUUUUAAAGGUGACAUUGUAUCCAUUGUCACAGAAUUGACUUAUGCCUAACAGAUUAUGCUUUCCCUUUAACAAGUGCAACAAUAUCAAUAGGAGGAUAAGGAGCAAUGUAGACCUUACCUACAUAAGUUAUUAGACCUUUCUGAUUCCCUCCAAAAGUGACCACCCCACCAGACAUAGGGCUUAGGGAUUGGAACAUAAACUUUUUUCUUGUCAUGUGUCAUGGGAAAACACUAUCCAGGUACUAUGACUGGUGUUUCUUUCCUAGCAUCAAGGAGGUCUACGACAAGAAUUAUUUUAUUCUUUGGUACCCAAAUAUUUUUGUCAUUUUUCCUUGUUAGCUUGUGGGUGCUAGUAGGCAAUGGAUGGACCCUUUGAUGGGUUAUGCUUUAUAGGGAGGUCCUUGCACUUAUUAGUUUCAUGGCCUACUUUUCCACAUAAGUUGCAAAUAGUGACUUCUUCGCCGUGUACAAUCUUUUUACCUUUGAAACCAUGGCAAAAUUUGUCUUUAGGGUUUCUUUGCACCUUAAUAAUUUUGUUAAGGGCUUCAUGACCACCAACAAAUUUGCCUAGUUUAUCUCUCAUGUUUUCUAUCUUCUCAUAGAGUUUUGGAUCUUAGGUGGUAGUUCCUUCAAGACCUUACAUCCCUUAAGCUUAUAGUUCAAAUUAGAAGACAUCUAUUUGUAAUGACAUUCCGUCUAGAGAUUUGAGUUCUUCUUUUUUAGCUUAUCAAGUUCAUCAUUAGCAAGGGCGAAUUCUUUUUGAAACAAGAGUUUUUGUUUAAGCAUUUCCUUGUGCCCUUCUUCUGAAACUUCAAGAUUUGUGGUUAAAGAUUUCACCCUUUCUUCAAGUCUUGAAAAUCCUUAAGAAGAGUUUUGCAACCACUGGAUACCUUAUCGUUCAGUAGUGCCUUGACUUCCUCACAAACAGAGGUAUCUUGAACAAUACCAGGCAAAGUGUUUUCCAAGACAAAAUCAACUAAAUUAACUUGAUGAACUUUCUUGAGAUCCUCAUGCUCUCUUUCAAGGUGUUGAAAGUAUUUUUUUUAAUUUUCUAUAAGCUUUAGAGAUGUGAGUAGGGGUAGAAAAAAGUUGAUUGUACCCUUUAAUUAAAUCUUCUCUAGAUUCAAAUAUUACCUCUUCACCAUCAGAGUUGAUAGUGUCAUCAGGCUGGGGAUCCUCAUAUUUUGAACUUGUGUUUAGUGUUUGUUCAACUUUACUAGUGGAUGCAUUAACCAUAAAAAACAAGUUGGCUUCUUUCUCAUUGUCCUCAUUAGAUGAUGAGUCGUCUAGGUCUUCCCAAGUGCUUAUAAGGCUUUUCUUUUUGGACUUGAGGAAUUUCUUCUUCUUAUCCUUUGAAUUUUCAAGGUCAGAACAUUUUGACUCGAAGUGCCCUGGCUUUUUGCACUCAUAGCAGAUGAUUGGACUUUUCUCUUUCUUGUGAAAGCACUUUUGGAUGAACUAUUGAAUCUAGAGCAGUUCUAGUUUUUCCCACAUGUUUUUGAUCUUUCUGGUGAUCAAACUUACCUUGCCACCUUCUUGAUCAGAGUCAUCAUUGUUAGAUUCUUCUUCUGAAGCAUCAUUGACGGUAAAAACCUUGGAUGAUGACUCUUUGGAUGCAAAAUUAUGUUUUGAUCUUUGAACCGUAAGGGCUAGCAACUUCCCUUUCUUUGUUCCUUCAUCUUGAGCAAGCUCUUGCUCAUAGACUUUAGGAAUCCCAAGGAGCUCUUCUAGAGUCAUUGAAUCAAGAUUCUUGAUACCUCUUUAUGUUGUAACCUGUGAUCUUAAUUUUCUAGAUAAACUUCAUAAGAUUUUAUCAAUGUGUUCAUAAUUAUCAUAAUGUCUACCUAGAGAGCGAAGCUCACUAAGAAGGGUUACGUUUGGAGGCGUCCAAACAUGGUUUGGAUAUCUUCUCCCCCUUUCAUACUGAAGAGUUCAUAGUUACGUGUCAGAAGACUCAACUUGUUACAUUUUACCUCAAAGGACCCUUCAUAGGUAAUGGCUAAGGUGUCCCACAUCUGUUUGGUGCUUCUGAAGUUGUGAACUUUGGAAUUUUCUUCUUGUGAUGGAGCGCACAACAAAGCGUUCCUUGCACGUAAAUUGAGAAAAAAUUUGGACUUAUCACCAUCUGUCCAUUUUUCCCUAGGGAUCUCAUUCUUCUAAACAUCUAAAGGAAUGUGAUUUCCUUUUUCUAUGACAUCCCGUAUAUCAAAGUGAGUGGAUUCAAAGAAGGUAACCAUUCUUUCCUUCUAGUAGUCAUAGUUCGCUCCCUUGAACAUGGGAGGCCUUUUCAAAGCACAUCCUUCCUCCAUCAUUUCAGGAAUUUUCUUUCCUCUACUCUGUUAAGAGCUCAACCUAGAGGCCAAGCUUUGAUACCAAUAGAAGUACCUGAAACACACUAGAAAGAAGGGGAUCAAAUAUUGUGAUGGAUAAAACUUCAUCUUUUGGAAACUUUGAAGUUUUUCUCAAACAAAUAUCAAUGGACAAUGAGGUUCAUUAAAGGGGUUUGAUAUCACUUUGACCUUUGAAAACAAGUUUGCAAAACUUGACACAAUAGUGUAAAAGUAAACUAUAGAAAGAACUAGUUAUAUAAAAGUAUUAAAGAAAACACCGAGGUUUUAUACCAGUUCACCCAACUCUUGGGCUAUGUCUAGUUCUCCUUCAAAUCUUGAAGGGUUCCACUAAUCAAUUCUUUGAUUACAAUCAAGUAUUCUCUAUGCCACUUCUUGCUACAACGAGUACUCUCUAGGCCACUCCUGAUGCUACCCUUAAUCUUCCCUUGAGAUUAAGACCCAAGUAUUCUUUAUCACUAAGUCAUUCAUGGCUUUCACAAACAAUAAAUGUUCGAAAGAAAGUGUGUUCUUAUUACUUAAAGCGUGUUUACACAAUAACAUCAAAUACAAUAAAACUUGAUAACUUAGCAGAGCUAAGAUUCACUCAAAUUGCUCAAGUUUUCUUCAUUCAAGAAAACUGAUAGUGUUACAACACUUCGUUCAUUUUGACUCACAUUAUUCUCUUAUUAUUUGACAACCUUAACACAAAUAUCUUCAAGCUUUAUAUAGAUAUUAACCAUUUGGCAAGUGUGCUAAUUGUCCAAGUAGUAAAGACUCGGAAGUCCGAGUGUCGAUUUCCAUAGAAACUUUAUUUUGUACUUGCAUUGGAUAAUUUCCUAUUUAUAAGAGGAAAAGAUAAGUUGGAGUGAAAGAUGAGUGAAAAGAAAAAUUACUAGAUAAUAGAUAUUAGUAGACAAAGGAAAUAAUAGAAGACAAAAGAAUUAAUAGGGAAUUCAAUGAGAUGAGAAUGUUAAGACCUUACAUGUCUUAUUUUUGUUGGAUCAAGUGGCCUCGAAAUAAUUAAGAAGAGGGGGUUGAAUUAAUUAUUACUAGACCUUUACUAAUUAAAAUUUACCCUUCUUAGGCUUUUACUAUGUUGUUAAGAAAGUAAAGAACAGAAAUAUAAACUUAACCAAAAGUAAAAGCGGUAAUUAAAGUGCACAGCGGAAAUUAAAAGAGUAGGGAAGAAGAAGACAAACACACAAGAGUUUUAUACUGGUUCGGUAACAACCCGUGCCUACAUCCAGUCCCCAAGCAACCUGCGAUCCUUGAGAUUUCUUUUCAACCUUGUAAAUUCCUUUACAAGCAAAGAUCCACAAGGGAUGUACCAUCCCUUGUUCUCUUUGAACAACCUAAUGGAUGUACCCUCCACUAGAACUGAUCCACAAGAGAUGUACCCUCUCUUGUUCUCAGUCACAACAACCCAAGUAGAUGUAACCUCUACUUGUACCACAAAGGAUGUACCCUCCAAUGUGUUAAGACAAAGUUCUCAGGCAGUUAGUCCUUUGAAACUUUGUGAAUGGGGAAACAAAAGAAUUCUCAGGCGGUUAGUCCUUUGAAAUCUUUUGUUUAUGGGAAAGGGAAGAAUCAAAAGAAUUCUUAGACUGUGUCGUUUUGAAUUCUUUGACAAGGGAGAAGGGAGACACAAAAGAAUUCAGGCGGUUAGCCCUUCGUUCUUUUGGAAAAGGGAGAAGAGAGACAAAAAGAAUUCAGGCGGUUAGUCCUUGGCGAAUUCUUUUUGGCAAAGGGAGAAGGGAGACACAAAAGAAUUCAGGCGGUUAGUCCUUCGUUCUUUUGGAAAAGGGAGAAGAGAGACACAAAAAGAAUUCAGGCAAUUAGUCCUUGUUGAAUUAUUUUUGGCAAAGGGAGAAGAGAAUGAAAAAGAUGAAUAACACAAGUUUUUGAACAAAGAACUUUUCUUGGAAGAGAAAGUUUUGAACAAAAACUUUUAGAAAGAUGAAGAGAAAAAGAAUUAGAAAAAUUCUGUAGAAAGAAAUGAAAGAAGAUGUUGAAAGAUAGAUUGAAAGAUAGAAUGAUUGAAAAAUAUGAUGGAUCUAUAUCAAAUUCAUGCCAUGGUCACAUAUUUAUAAUCUUUUGAUGACUCAAGUCAAAGUUUGUGACUUUUGGCAAUUUCUUUUAAAACUAGUCACUUAGAAAAGUGGCAACUUUUGAAAGAAUCUUCAGAAACAAGUCACUUGAAGAAUUGUGACUUUUGGAAAUGAAUUUUUCGAAAACAGUCACUGGUAAUCAAUUACCAUAAAGGUGUAAUCGAUUACACAUCAACAGAUGUGACUCUUCAUUUUGAAUUUUGAAAAUCUUAACAUUUUAAAACACUGGUAAUCGAUUACAUGAUUAUGGUAAUCGAUUACAACUUUGUAAAUUAGUUUGAAAACAAUGCUGGCUACUGGUAAUCUAUUACUACCUUAUGGUAAUCGAUUACCAGAGAGUAAAACUCUUUGGUAAAAUAUUUUGUGAAAACUUCAUGUGCUACUCAAUGUUUUGAAAAACUUUUUAGUACUUAUCUUGAUUGAGUCUUCUCUUGAUUCUUGAAUCUUGAGUCUUGAAUUUUGAUCUUGCUUAUUCUUGAUUCUUGAUUCUUGAAACUUGAUCUUGAAACUUGAAACUUGAUUCUUGAAUCUUUGCUUGAAACUUUGCUUAACUCUUGAUUCUUUGGCAUCAUCAAAAUAACCUUGGAAAACAUUGCUUCCACAAUUUUCCCAAGAUGUAUUAUUUUUUAUUUUUCCUUAUCAACCAGAUGAAUUUGUGCUACCCACGUCUAUUAGAUUACUUGCCCCUGAUGUCUCACGAUGACAAACAUAUUUUACCUAUCUAUCUCCCAAAUGUUUUUUCAAAGAUUCAAUAGAUAAAAUGCAUGAAGUUUUAAUUCUAGAUGCUUGCUUUGAUGCAUCGGCAUAAUGCAAUGGCUAUAUGUCUAGCAAUGAUUUUAUUAACAUACCCAUUUCUUUUAGUUCUAUUAGAAAUUAUCCUCUAUCAAGCGACUAAUUCUUAAAACUGACACAUGCAAAACCUUCCUUGUAUUCCUAUUAAGGAUUACCCUUUGUCAAGCACCUAACCCCCAAAAUAAUGCAAGGCUGAAUGAUGCAUGAAAUCAAAAGUAAGAAAGGAUAAUAGGAAAGAAAACAUUUGUUACAUUGAUAAAUAUGAAGUAUACAAUACAUCUCUUGGCUCUUUAGGCUUGGCAAGCCCUAACUAAAGGUUUAGCCUCUCAUAGCCAUAAGGGGUCUUACAUUAGAAAAUGGGUAUAGGAACUGAUGGAGGAGAAGGGAGCAACCUGUGGGAUGAAGGCCUCUGGGAUCAUCAGUGGUUGAUUCAUCCCCCAAUAUUUUUUCUUACUUUACAAAUGAAAAAUAGAACAAAGCAAAAAUACUGGGUUGCCUCCAAGUAUGUGCUUAAUUUAUCGUCUUUAGCUAGACGUUGUCUUUUCUUUUAUGGAUUGUUCAAGUAGACAACACUUGUUAACCUUUCUAAGUGGCCUCCAUUGUAAAUUUUUAAGUGUUGUCCAUUAACAAUCCAUGUUUUCUCAGGGGUGCCCACUGUAGGGUCCACCAAUUCCACAGCUCCAUGGGGUCUGACUUCUUUGAUCACGAUUGGCCCUGACCACUUUGACUUUAGCUUUCUUGGGAAUAACCUAAGUCUAGAAUUGAAGAGCAAGACUUGUUGGUCUGGCUGAAAGUUUUGUCUCUGUAGCUUCUUGUCAUGAUACACCUUUAUCUUCUGUUUAUGAAUCUUAGAUAAUUCAUAUAUGUUUAUCCUUAUUUCUUCUAACUCUAACAAUUGUAACUUCCUCUUCUCUCCAGAUGCAACUUCAUCAAAGUUAAGCAGUUUGAGGGUUCAAUAGGCUUUGUGCUCCAAUUCCACCAGUAGGUGGCCUGCUUUCCCAAAGACCAGCUGAAAUGGUGAUAGGCCUAUAAGAGUAUUUAAUGUAGCCCUGUAAGCUAGAGAGCACCAUCUAGCUUUAAAGCCCAAUCCUUUCUUGAUGAUGCAACAGUCUUCUCAAGGAUUUGCUUUAGCUCUCUAUUUGACAAAUUUGCUUGGCCAAUUGUCUGGGGAUGAUAAGGUGUGGCCACCUUAUGUCUAACAUUGUAAUGCUCUAGAACCUUCUUCAGUUGCACAUUGUAGAAGUGUGUUCCCCCAUCACUGAUUUGGGCUCGUGGUACCCCAAAAAGGGAAAAUAUGUUUUUCUUUAAGAAUUUUAUCACUACUCUGGGAUCAUUCUUAGGGGUGUCUAUGGCUUCCACCCACUUGGACACGCAAGCAACAACUACCAGGUUAUAAACAUUCCUGUAUGAAGAUAGGAGAGGCCCCACAAACAUCAACCCCCCAUCAAUCAAAGAUUUCUACCUCCUAGAAAUCCCCCCUAUUCUCUGGUAUUUGUCACAACGAUGCACAUAGUCAUGAGGGUCUGUAAAAAUUGAGGGCCGAAAGAAUCCUACUGGUAGAACCUUUGUUGUUGUCCUAUCUCCUUCGUGGUGAUCGCCAUAUGGUGAACUAUGACAGUGCCAAAGGAUGCUCUAUGCUUCCUCCAUCGUAACACACCUCCUCGGCAGAUUGUCUGCUCCUAGCUUGAAUAGAUGUAGAUUAUCCCACACAUAGAAGUAGGCAUCAUGUAGAAAUUUCUUCCGCUGGCUCCAGUUAAGCUCAUCGGGGAUGAUUCCUAUGGCUUUAUAGUUAUCCAGAUCAGCAAACUAAGGUCUUGCAGUGGCUUGUAUGAGGAACUCAUUUGGAAAUUCUUCCUUUAUCUCUGGUUCUUCUUUGGUUACUUCUUCAUUAUUUAACUGGGAGAGGUGGUCAACCACCACAUUCUCGGAUCCUUUCUUGUCCUUGAUGACUAUAUCAAACUCUUGAAUGAGCAGGACCCAUCGAAUCAAUCUUGGUUUUGAAUCUAUUUUUGUGAAAAGGUGCUUGAUGGCGGCAUGAUCAAUGAAAAUCACUACCUUUAACCCCAUCAAGUAUGGUCUGAAUUUUUCUAAGGAAAAGACAAUAGCUAGCAUUUACUUCUCUGUAGUGGCAUAAUUCAUUUGUGCUUCAUUGAGAACUUUGCUAGCAUAAUAAAUGGAAUGGAAUGUCUUGUCCUGCCUUUGUCUUAGGACAACACCUACUGCAUAAUCACUAGUGUCGCACAUUAAUUCAAACUUUUUAUGCUAGUCAGGUGCGAUCAUCACCGGGGUGGUCAUGAGCUUGUCUUUCAGGGUCUGGAAGGUUGCUAAACAAUCUUCAUCAAAUUUGAACACAACAUCUUUGUUCAGCAGAUCGCUCAACGAUCUUGCAAUUUUGGAGAAAUCUUUGAUAAAUCUCCUGUAAAACCCAGCAUGUCCUUAGAAGCUCCUAAUGCCUUUAACAUUCGAUGGUGGUGGCAACUUCUCAAUGGCAUCAAUUUUUGCCCAGUUUAUCUCAAUCGCUAGGGCCUAAAUUUUGUGGCCCAAGAAAAUUCCUUCUUGAACCAUAAAGUGGCACUCAUCCCAAUUUAGAACUAGGUUUGUCUCCACAAAUCUUAGUAGCACCAUCUCCAAGUUCUUCAAGCAUCAUUCAAAUGAGGGCCCAAAUACCAAGACAUCGUCCAUGAAUACCUUGAUACUUUUCUCUACCAUAUCUGCAAAAAUGGCCAACAUGCACCUCUAAAAUGCGGCAGAUGCAUUACAUAACCCAAAUGGCAUCUUCUAUAGGCAAAGAAACAAAAAAGGCAUGUGAAGGUCAUCUUCUCCUAAUCCUUGGGGUCCAUCACAAUCUAAUUGUAUCCAGAGUAUUCAUUCAAGAAGCAAUAAUAAGCCUAUCCUGGAAGCUUCUCCAACAUCUGGUCCAUGAAAGGCAAAGGAAAAUGGUCUUUCCUUGUGGCUUCGCUGAGCUUGUGGUAAUCGAUGCACAUUCUCCAGCCACUAACAGUCCUUGUUGGGAUUAGGUCAUUCCUUUCAUUUCGAAUGACUGUCAUGCCCCCCUUCUUUUGUACCACUUGGAUUAGGCUUACCCAAGCACUGUCGCAAAUGGGAUACAUAAGUCCAGCUUCUAAAAGCUUGAGCACCUCUUCCUUUAUUGAUGGGUUGAGCCUUCUCUAGGGUUUUCUGACUGGUCUAUAUUCUUCCUCCAUCAUAUCUUAUGCAUGCAAUAGGAAGGGCUGAUUCCUUUAAGAUCUGAUAUGUGCCACCCAAUUGCCUUCUUGCAUCUCUUGAGGACCUCUACCAACCUAUUUUCUUCUUUUACUGUGAGCUCACUGCUGAUCACCACAGGCUUUGUCUUGUUCUCCUCCAAGAACACAUACUUCAGGUGGCUGGGUAGGAUCUUUAGCUCCACCUUGGUCUUCUCAGGUGGACUCUUGCUUUUCAAUUCUCCAAAUUGGUUCCUCUUGCCGGCAUAUUUUUUUCUUGAUCUAAGUCUUCCAAGCAAGCCCUUAGAUCCUUCUCUUCUUCACUGGUUAAACAAUCCACAACAUUGAUCAAAGCUUUCUCUAAUGAAGUUUGUGUGGUUUGAAUAACACCAAUGUCUUCUUUAUCGACCUCCUUCACCUUGAAGCACCACCUAUCUUCCACUGGGUAUUUAAUUGCUUCGAAAAUGUUAAAGGUUACCUUUUGGUAAUCAACGCUCAUUUCCAGAUUACCAUUCCUCAUAUCUACUACACCAUUAGCGGUUAGCAUGAAGGAUCUGCCUAGGAUAAGCGGAAUCUCCAUAUCUUUUUCUAUGUCCAUGAUGACAAAAUCCACCAGGAAAGUAAAGUGAGCUAGAGCAUCUUUUACAACCCCGUAUAGUUUGAUGAUUGAUCGAUCUGUGAGCUAGAGCAUCAUCUUGGUAGGGUUUAUCUUUAGGUUUCCAAUUCUUCUACACAUUGACAAAGGCAUCAAGUUAAUACUUGCCCCUAAGUCAAUGAGGGUCUUCCCUACUAACUCAUUCCCUAUAGUGUAAGCACUACUAAAAAAUAGGAUUUCAACAUCGGUUAUUAAGGACUUUUAACAUCGGUAAUUAAUCGAUGUUGAAAGUACUAACGUUGAAAGUAAUAUUGUUAUCAUUAGUUUUCCAAAACCAAUGUUAACAUAAAAUUACAAAAUCGGUUAUUUAAAAAACAGAUGUUGUCUGCAUAUAAUAACAUCAGUUUUUCCAAAAACCAAUGUUGUUGGUAACAAAAUAACAUCGGAUUUUACUGAAAAUCGAUGUUGUUUUCUAAUAAUAGACAUCGGUUUUUGGUAAGAACCAAUGUUGUUUUAUUACCAACAACAUCAGUUUUUAACUUUGCAAUUGUUAUUCUGUCCAACAAAAUCUUGGAACUUUUUACUUACAAACAAUUUACUUGUUACUAAUAUAAUCCAACACACAUUUUUCUUUAGAUCUACUUUUUCACUCCGAUAGUAUCAGAAAUCGAAUCAAUGCAUAGGAAAUGAAUGUUUUGUCAUACUAUUAAGUUUACUAAAAUACAUAUGAUAUAAUUCAGACUAUACUACAUUACUUAUUUUACUGGAUCUUACGGAGCCUGUUCAUAUAGAAUAUAAUCGAGUCUGAUCAUAGAAAAGUUUCUUUUCAAGUAAAACUGAUGUUGUUGAUGAAGCUUAACAUCGGUUUUUAAAAAAACUGAUGUUAAUAUAUACAUACAACAUCGAUUUUUACAAAAAAAAUGAUGAUAUUUUUUACGAUUUUUUUAAUAUGUUGUCUAUUUUUUUAAUAACCCCAAAUUAACCUACAAAAUUAAAAGAAUAACUACAACAUAUAAUUUUCAUUUUGUUUUGAAACAAUUUUUACUAGAAAAUUCCAUAAAAAAAUUUAUUAUUUACUAUGAAUUAAAAGAAUGUUUAAUGUUAAGGAGACAUGAAUUGUAAAAAAUGUAAAGUAACUAAACUAAAAUUCCAAAAUUGCCGAAACACUAAUAGUUUCAUUUUUAACUUUCAAAUAAUAGGUUGUCCACCGGAUGCGAAGCGCCUUCAAUCUCUAAACUUCUAAUGGUCUUGUAUCAUUGAAAUACUGCAUGAUAUAAUAAAACAUAAGUCAAUAAUAUAUAAUACCAAUUAUACCAAAAUGAAAUAUGUUUGAAUAAAACAAUUACCGUUUCCCAAUUAUUCUUGAAACUUUCUAAGAUUAUAGUUGACAUCCAUUGCAUGACAUAAUACUCACACUCAGUGCUUCCUUUUUGUCUAUUACACUAAAUACAUUCUUAAGUACAAAUUAGUCUACACAAUAUUAAAAUAUAACUAGAAGCAUUGUUUAAAUGGCUUACUUUAACAACAAUCCACUUAGCAGCAACCUUGGAUUUACUUUAUGGAGUAUCAUCAAGUCCUUUCAAAGCAUUAUUCAAUACCAGUAAGACUCUGGCUGAAGCUUUUAUGUGUCAAAUAGUUAAGUUACACGGUGUUCCCAAGUCCAUUGUCUCGGAUAGAGAUAAGGUGUUGACCAAUAAUUUUUGGCAACACCUAUUCAAAAUACAAGGGACUACUUUAGCUAUGAGCUUGACUUACUACCCUUAAAUGGAUGGAUAAUCGAAGGCUCUUAAUAAGUGCUUGGAAAUGUAUUUGUGGUGUUUUUCUUUUGACAAUCCAAAGGCUUGGGCUAAGUUGUUGGUAUGGACAAAAUUAUGGUACAAUACCUCUUUCCACAAUAGUUUAGGCAUGACACUUUUUUAGGCUUUGUAUGGAAGGGAACCUCCAGCUUUACUUAGAUACAAUGGCAGCUCUCCAGAUCCGUUAGCAGUGCGAGAAGUGUUACAUGACAGACAAAUGCUAUUGGACAAAGGCUUGAUAGAAAGUUCAGGCGGAUAAGAAGAGGCUUGAUAGAAAGUUCCAAGUGGGAGAUGAAGUGUUAGUAAAACUCCAACCAUAUAGACAACAUUCUGUAGCCCUAAGGCGGAAUAAAAAAUUGUCCAUGCGUUAUUUUGGUCCAUUCACGGUGCUUGAGAAAAUUAGCGAAGUGGCUUAUAAAUUGCAGUUGCUUGACACUGCAAAGAUUCAUCCUAUUUUCCAUGUUUCUCAACUCACUUCCAAGGAGCUGCUACUAAGCCUUAUGUGCCACUACCGCUUACCACAUUUGAAUUAGGCCCUUAUUAGGCCCUACAACAAUGCUUGAAACUCAAACCAUUGUUAAAGGAUCCACUUUAAUUCCUUAAGUACUCAUUCAAUAGGAAGGUUGUAGCAUGACAGAGACAACUUGGGAGGAUGUUGUAGAAAUUCAAGUCAGUUAUCCAUAAUUCAACCUUGAGGACAAGGUUCCUUUUAAAGGGGAAGGCAAUGUAAUGAACCUGCUAGGUAAUGGAAGGGUUGAGUCAACAAAAGACAGAGAAAAAGAGAAGUUAUUUAUAAAUGGUCCAAGAAUGCGCUUGGCCAAUGGCAGGCUAAGGGAUUUUGUAUGAAAAGUUGGUUAUUAAAAGGGAAGGGUAAUCAUUGUGAGAGGGAGGAUGGGUAAAUUGUGAUUUUCUCUCUCUUCCUUUAAAUAUUCCCUCUAUUUUUUCCAUAUUUGUCUUUUGCUAUUGUACUAGUCCUCUCAACUACAUUGGUUGAGAGAAGAAUUUGCAUUUGCCACAACAAUAACACAGUACAAUUUUAAUUCCUUUUCCCUUUGUCGCAUUACAAACCUUUCAACUUGCUAAGUAAAUCAGACAAUAUCAAUUCACCAAAAUAAAAGACACUUGCUAAUUAAUCUUCGUGUGUUGUUUCUUGACUUACACCAUGAAAGGGAUUUAUUUGGAUUAAUUUUAUUUGGGGACAUAUAAUCACUUUGAAGAAUUAAUUUGAAUCAAGCAUUCUAAAAAUGUUAAAGAAAUUGACCAAUGCUUUGUUAAAGAUAAAAUUUAGUGGUUCUUAUGCAAUUUUGUGAUUGAAUGUGACAAACCAAUUAUACCUAAUAAACAAAAUUGAUAGUUCAUUUUGACAAAAAAAAUAUUCUUUUUUAUAUUAAUUCCUAAUAAAAGAAAUUUAAUUUAAAGUAAAUAUCUAUAAAGAAAAUAAUAUUUUUAAUUUUUUUUAGAAAAAACAUUAUAAGGCAGUUCUCCAAAAAUUUACUUUCUCAGACGAUUUAAGAAAAAUUGUCUUAGAAUCCUCAAUUUAUUUAAUUUUUUUAAAAGACAUUCUAACAUGAUUCCCUAAAAAAUCGUCUUCGAAAUUUUUUGGAAAAUCGUGUUAGAAUCCUAAAAUUUUUUAUUUUUUUAUUCUAACAAAAAAUCUUAACAUUGCUUUAUGAGAACCAGUGUUAACAACUUCCAUUUAUUUACAAAUUAAAAUGCAGCCAAAUAUUUGUUACCACCGAUUUUCAUUUAAAUUGAUGUUAACUGGACGAUGUAGUAUGCAAAUUUUCUGGUAGUGACUUGACAUUAAAUCAACAUUUUUAAAUGGCUUCUUGCAAGAAGAAAUUUAUGUAGAACAACCCUAAGGUUUUGUAAAGAAAGGAGAAGAAGAUAAGAUUUAUCAUCUCAAGAAAGAUCUUUGUGGAUUGAAACAAGCUCCAAGAGCUUGGUACAGUGGAAUAGAAGAGCAUUUGUUGAACUUAAGGUAUAAGCUUGUCAGAGUCAACAUUAUAUGUCAAAAUAGAUGGAGCUGGUUUUCUUAUCAUCUCACUCUAUGUGGAUGAUCUUCUUGUGACAAGAAGCAACUCAAGUCUUGUAGAGAAGUUCAAGGAAGAGAUGAUGGAGGUGUUUGGGAUGACAGAUCUUGGUUUAUAGACAUUCUUUCUUGGAAUGGAAAUUAAACAAGGAGAACAUGAAGUCUUCAUUUGUCAAAAAAAGUAGGCCAAGGAGAUUUUGAUGAAGUUUAAACUUAAAGAAUGAAAAGAAAUGAGUACUCCUAUGAAUCAAAAGGAGAAGCCGUGUAAGGAAAAUGAAACCCAGAAGAUAGAACAGGCGGAUUUUAUAUAAAGACAUGAUUGGUUGUUUGAUGUAUCUUACAACAACUCGUCCUGAUAUUCUAAAUUAUAUAAGCAUUUUGUCUCAGUUUAUGCAUUAUGCAAGUGAAAUGCAUCUCAAAGCUGCAAAAAAAAAAGUAUUAUCGUCAAAGACACUUGCAAUUUUGGCAUUCAGUACAAGAGAACUGAAGAAUUCAAGCUAACAGGCUUCUCAGACAGGGAUUGAGGUGAUUUGAUUGAUGACAUGAAGAGUACUUCAAGAUACUAUUUUAACUUUGGAUCAAGAGUUUUCUCAUGGAGCUCGAAAAAACUAGAGAUUGUUGUUCAAUCUACAACAGAAGUCAAAUUUAAUUUGUUGUUGUUGCAGCUGCUAUUAACCAAGCUUUGUGGUUGGAAAAAAAACUUGACUUAAAUAUUUUUUUGAUCCCCAAUAAAUAUCUAAUUUUGCAUUUGCUCCCUAAUAAAUAUCUAAUUUUGCAUUGCUCGCUAAUAAAUUUUUAUUUUGCGAUGAAUCUCUAAUAAAAACAACAAUUUUGAUUUUGGUCCUUGACACCUAUUUUUAGUCCCAAAUAAAUUAACAAAUUUUGUGUUUGCUCCAAGAUAAAUAUUUCCCGUUUGUUAUUAAUACAAACCAAACGAAAUUUGUUAAUUUAUUAGGAAACAAAUACAAAAUUUUCUAAUUUAUGAGUGACUGAAACAAAAUAUUAAGAAUAAAAAAUAAAAGUGGUAUUUUAUUAUGGACCCAUUGCAAAAAAAAAAAUGAAAACAAAUGUAAAAAUUGAUUAUUUAUUAGGAAUCAAAAACAUAUUUAAGCACAUACAUUUUUGUUGACAACAAAGCUGCAAUAGUUAUCUCUCAUAAUCUUGUCUCGUUGGAAAACUAAGCAUUUUAAUAUUAAGUUGUUUUUCCUUGAGGUAAGUACAAAGAGAUAAACUUGUUGGUCUUGUGUAUUGCAAAACAGGAAAUCAAGUUACAGAUUUGUCCACCAAGCCACUAGCUGUGAGCAAGUUCGUGUUUUUAAAACAGAAAUUAGGACUCUAUAGAUCUAAAGCAAGGAGUGUUAAGAAAACUGUUAUUCCUUGACAUCCUUAUCUUUUAUGGUUUUAGUCAUUGAAUAAGUCUUCUUAGUAAAGUAGUGAUUCAUAUAUACUGUAGGAGUGUUGUUCCUAAACUUUAGGAAAAAGUAUUUCCUUUUUUCUUAAAAGAAUGCAUUUGUAUGGUCCCUUUAUUCCGUCCAAUUUUGAAGGAAAAAUAGGAUAAAAGAUUUAUAUAAAAAUAUCUUUAUUUAUAGUAUAUUUCUAUCUUAAGUAUUUGUGUAUAUAUAUAUAUAAUAUGAAAGAAAAAAAAAAUUAUUUUAUUUUCUUUCAAACAAUUUCAUAAGUAUCUAUUUAUAGUUGGUUUAAGUAAAAUUAAACUCAUAUCUCUUGAUAGAUAUGAGCAAGAUUUUAGGUUCAAGUCUUAUAAAUAAAUAAAGAAAAUGUUGUUAGGAAGGGAGACUCAUUAAAGAUGAUUACAAUCAUUAGUAAAGUCAAUGAAUACUUCAUAAAUGUAACAUGAUAAAAACCCAUCAAAUCAAGUCAUUUUUUAGCUUUGUUUUUUUCUCUUUCUCCUUCUUUUCUUUCAAUUUCUUUCUGGAGUAAAUUAUGAUCUUAGUCCUAAAUUUUUUUACUUUUAUGGUUUUGGUUCUUUAACUUUUCAAAGAUUGGUCUUCGAUCACAAAUUUUUUUUUCAUCCAAGGUUUUCGUCCUUUUUAUUCAUUUUCGUUUAGUGAUGACAUGAUGAUGUUUUUAUUAUUAUUAUUAUUUUAUUUUAUCACAUUUUCUAGUGGUUUUUAAACUGUCAGGUGUAUUUUAAAAAAUGUGGUAAUUUUAGCCCCGCAAAUUGCUUAAUCUUGAACAACCUAGAACCGGAACAAUCAAAUUUCAUCCAAAUUAACCACUUCACAAAUUUUGGGGAACCCACUGAUGUUGUUCUCAUAGAGCGAGCAACUUCAACAUUCAAAUUUUGGGGCAACCCAACCAUUCUCUGAGAAGAACGACUAUUCUUGGAUAUCUGACACUUUCUAUUUUGAGGAGAAUGUAUUCAUGGAUGUGCUAGAAUGAACACGGUCGUUCUUCAAAACAGCAUGGUUGUGCUGUUCAUCAAAUUACUCUUUUUUCAAUCUUUUUUUGUAUUUUUUCCACAUUUUUCUGCCUUUGAACCUGCUGUUAAAUACUUUAUAAAAAUUCAUGAGUUUUACCAACAUAUUAUGAUCAAAAUAUGUCAAAACAUAACAAAAACUGAUGCCCAAAACAUAACUUUGGUUUAUCACAAGUUCUCGUUAUUAGUUAUUUAUUUGAAAUAUCAACAUUGUGUUAAUAAAUUAAAAAAUAAAACCGUGAAACCAAACCAAAUCAAAUCAAACCGCAACAAAUUGAUUUAGUUUGGUUCAGAUUUGAUGUUGUCUUGAGAAUGAAUGAAACCAUAAUCCAAGAAAACAAGUGGUCUCACAUAUAUUAUAUUGAUGCUUGUGUUAAUAAAAAUUUGGCGCAAUGAGGAUGUCGAUAUUGAUAGGAAGCCUUUGAGAUUUUUUAGUGUUUUUAUUCAAUAUUUUGUGAGCAAAAGUUGUGGUAUAUUUUCCUUUUUUUAUCCAUAGGAAUCAAAGACUUUACUUUCAAGAUUUCUAAUGUUUUUAUUAAAUAUUUUAUCAGAAAAUUUGCAACAAUUCAUAUAUUUUACUCAAUUAAUUGAGUUAAAUUUUCUUGAUUUUCUCCCCCUUUCAUUUUUUGGUGCUAGAGCAAAUUGUAAAUUGGCAAUCUAGCUCAUAUGUAACUGUGAUUAAAUAAUAUCAGUUAUAUUUGCCAUUUUUAGUGUUGUACCAAUAAAAAGUUAAAAUCAAUCUUUAUAAAACUAUAAUAGAUCAUUACGUAAAAGAAUACUACUUUUGUCCCUAUUUAUACGACAUAAUCAGUAAGUUUUUUUCCUUAUUAUAUAAGACUUCAUUUCAUCUCUGGUGUACAUUAACUAUUUUUUUAUUAAAAUAUACUUAAUUAUAUUUUUCUCUCUCCUAUGAUGAUUAUAGAAGAUGAAUAGAUUUCCGAUAAAAUUAAAGAUAAAUCUAAAAAAGUAUUAUAAAUUUAAUGUCAACAACUAAAUAAACUAACUUUUUUAAUAAAUAUAAAUUAAUCAAUUAUAUCUUAUAAUUAAAGACAGAUAAAAUAAUUAGUCAUGAUUAACUUGAUUCAAUUAUCACAUUUUCUCUAACACAUCUUUCUUAUCUGUAUUUAUUGAUGACAAUAUAUUCUAUACCAACAUUAGUGUUUACAAAAAAAAAAAAUUGUGUAACGUCUAUGUUGAGACUUUAGAGGAAGACUUUGAGCUUUUCAACAUCUUCCUUAAAUAUUCUUUUGAGCAAGUUGUGAUUUUUGUUGCCUUUAUUUGUGUCCUAGCUACUACAAGUUGUAAGUUUGUGAUCCAGCUAGUAUGUAAAUGUGAUGAUUAAAUAAUGUUAUCGUUUAUUAUAUUUGUCAGUUUUAGUUGAACCAAUAGAAAAUUAAAAAACCAAAAAUUUAUCUUUAUACAAUUACAACUUGUAGUAGCUAAAUCACGACUAUAAAUAGAUUGUUAUUUUACUUAUCUUUAAUUUUAAUGAUUUAUUGUGUCCUAGCUACUACAAGUUGUAAGUUUGUGAUCCAGCUAGUAUGUAAAUGUGAUGAUUAAAUAAUGUUAUCGUUUAUUAUAUUUGUCAAUUUUAGUUGAACCAAUAGAAAAUUAAAAAACCAAAAAUUUAUCUUCAUACAAUUAUAAUAAAUCAUUAAAAUUAAAGAUAAGUAAAAUAACAAUCUAUUUAUAGUCGUGAUUUACUUGCCUCCAUUAUCACAUUUUAUCUAAUACAUCUUCCUUGUCAAUAUCAAAUUGAUGACAUCAUAUUUUAUACCCACGCUAGAGUGUACAAAAAUUUAGUGUAACAUCUUUCUUAAAUAUUCUUUUGAGCAAGUUGUGAUUUAUUUUACCUUUAUUUUUGUCCUACUACAACAAGUUGUGAAUUUGUCAUCUACAUAAUCGGUAAAUGUGAUUAAAUAAUGUUAAUUGUAUUUUUCAGUUUUAGUUUUAUCAAUAAAAAAUUAAGAAACUAAAAUUAAUCUUUAUACAACUAUAGUAAAAAAAAAAACCUAGCAUACCCUAAUGUUGGGAGAUUCAAUCCUCACUUAGUGGAGGUACGAGGAAGAAUAAUUAUAUGCGGUCUUACUUUGCAUAUGAAAAAUCUGUUUUCGGAUGCGAACCUAUGAACAACCAAUAACCAAGGCAAAACUAUACAACUAUAUAUAAUAAAUCAUUAAAAUUAAAUAUAAGUAAAAUAAUAAUUUUAUAUGUAAUCAUGAUUAACUUGUCUGGGUUAUCACAUAUUCUCUAAUAGUUAUUUCUUAUCAAUAUCAUAUUCAUGACAUCACAUUUUAUAUCCACUUUAGUGUGUACAAAAAAUUAGUGCAAUGUUGAGACUUGAGAGGAAGACUUCAUCAUCUUUCUUAGAUAUUCUUUUGAGUAAAUUGUGAUUUUUUUCCCUUUAUUUUUUUCCUACUACAACCAAUUAUGAAUUUGUGAUCUAGAUAAUGUGUAAUUGUUAUUAAACAACGUUAAUUUGUUUGUUAGUGUUGGUUGUAGGGUGUGCUUGAUAACAACAAAAUACAAAUAACAUACAAAUUAUCAAAAUACCCUUUUUACUAAGGUGUAUCAAACACCUUUCCAUAGCUUCUUCCCGGACGGGAGUACUUCAUUUUCUUUCUUUUCUUCACCUCUUCACCCAUGUUCUUCCUCCUUUUUUUUACAGGCAAAGAAAAAGCAUUAUAAUAUGAUUAAAUAUUCCGGUUUUAGACUUUUAAGUUUUUAUCUUUGUUUCCUCUUUUAAUGUUUUUGGCAUGAGCCAUCAACAUUGAAACAACCAUGCCUCAAGAUACUACUAUAUAUGACCACUGCAAUACCUAUUUUCUAGUCAUGUUUCUAUGAAACUACAAUAAAAAUAAUUAAGAAGAAUACAAUCUAAAGCCAACUAACGAAAAUAAAAGAUCAAACUAACAAAUUCAUGAAAAUACCAAUUAACGAUUAUAUGCAAGUGAACUUGUGGAUGUACGUGAACAAUUAUUAUGUGCAUUUGUACAAAUGCAUCCAAUAAACAACGGAAAUUUCAGGAGGAACAAAAAUCAAACUUCCCAAAUCCUAAAAUUUUAAUUAAAUUUAAUCUCUUUGCUACAGAAACCAACAUGGCCAAACGCAUCUUCUAUUUUGCUCGCUUUUUCCAAUUUCCAAACCAGUAAUGGUUCUCACUUAUCAUGAUUCAUGAACUCCUUUUUUUUGUCAAUCAAAUUUCUCAAAAUCCAUUUCCUGAUAAUGCCAUGGGUAGAUUUCUUUUUUAUUUUAAUUUUCUUACUACUUUUUUAAAGAACACCAUUAUGGAAUUGAUUGCUUGGGAACAUGAGAAAUGAGAACCGCAACAAAGCCAGAAGUGGGAGAAGAAGAGGUGGAACGUGUGAAAGAUAAAGGGGAGGGAAAAAGGUAUAUAAUUUAAACUUUUCCAUUUGUUAGCCAUGGUACAAAAAGUAAGUUGUCCCCUGAUUCAGUGAGUUACAAAUUUUGAGUUUUGUCCGGUCUUGUUUUCCUCAUCUUAUGUUGUCUACUAAUUAUUAUUUGAAACAAACAUUGAAAAAUGCUUUUUUAUUGUCCAGUCCGCUAAAAUUUAACAAAAUCAAACGCUUCGUAUUGAUAAAAGUUAAUGAAAAAAUGCUUUCUAAUUAUGUCUUGCAGGUAUAAUUUCAUUUUGCUUUAUUUUUUAUUGUUCGUAUACUUCCGUAAACUACCCUUUUUCCUUAAUAAUUAAUAUGCAUAUGAGCUUUGCAACUUGCAACUCAUAAAUGUUUAUAGAUGCUUUAAAAGAAAAGACAAAUCUCUGUAAAUGUGUCUGAGUAAAGAAACAAUUUGAGCAACUGUGAGAAGGAAUAAAAUGCUAACCUACAUAGAAGAAGUGGUCUUUUAUUUUUUGUCAGUCAUGGAGGAAGAUGUAAAAUGGCCACUAAUUUAUAAUUGAAUUCUUUACGCUACGUUUUUUUUUAUUUAUUUUGUCCCAGCUUGUUUUUCUCUUCCGUUGUUGGGCUAAUUCAGCAACUGUCUUCAUUCGUUAGUCGUUUUGCAUGUUUUUUUAACAUUAGGCUCUGUUUCCAAGAAAAUAAUAUAGCCAAGUCUUCACAACUUCACCGCAAAGCACUGUUUCCAACUACUAUUAUCUUAUAUUUUUGUAAAUAACCUUUUUGUUUAUAUCUACUAAGUAUGUAAGAUGAUGUUCUGACAGUAACAUUGUCCGUAUAAUUACAAUAAAUUGUUAAAAAUAUAAAUAAAAUAAUCAUCUACAUAUUAUUAUGGCAUGAUUAACUUAUCUCGGUUAUCAAGUUCUUUCUAAUACUUCCUCUUUAUAUCUAUAUUGUAUUGAUAUCAUAUUUUGUACCCAUACUACUCUUUUCAAAAAUUUAGUCUGAGACGAAGACUUUGAGCUUUCCAGCAUCUUUUUAAUUGUUUUCCAAGCAAUUAUAUUUGUUUCCUUUUAUGCCAUACUGAAAACAAGUUGCGAAAUUGUAAUUUAGGUAAUGUAAUUAACAAUUGUUAAUUGUAUAUGUCAGUGUUAGUUGUACCUAUAAAACGUAAUAAAAAUGUACUGGUCAAAUUAUCAUAUUCUCUCUGAUACAUCCUCUUUAUAUCUAUAUCAUAUUGAUAAAAUACCAUAGUUACAAAAAAAAAAUAUAUUAAUAUGAUACCAUGCUAGUAUUCACAAAAUUUUAGUACAAUGUCUACGCUGAGAUGACGACUUUGAGCUUUCCAAUAUCUUUCUUAAGUGUUUUCCAAGCAAGUUGUGAUUUUUUCCCUUUUAUUAAUUUGUAUGUCGUACUGAAAACAAGUUGUAAAAUUGUGAACUAGCUAAUGUGAUAAUGUGAUUAAACAACUUUAAUUUGUUUAUGUUAGUUUGUACCAACAAAAUUCGGGUGCUAACCAGUUUACACAAUUUACGUAUCCAAUUUAAUCUAGAUAAUUUGGAUUGGAUUCUUUAAUUCUUUUAUUCAAACUCAAUCUAAUCCAAUUAGAUUCUUCAUAUAUGAGUUGGAUAAUAUAUUUCUAUUUUUAAACUUGAUUCAACUCGACCCUAUUCAUAACAUAUAAUUAAUUUAUUGUUAAAAUUAAUUAAUAAUUAAAUAAAAAUAUAUUAUUUUUUAGUUGACAUAGUUUAUUAAAAUAUUAAAUUAAACCACUCAUUCUUUUUCUUUUUUAAGUUGUGGGUUUUGUCUAUAUCUUUAUUUUGUUUAAGUUUUCUCAUAUGAAUAAUUUAAUAUAGUAAUUUGUUUUUAUCUAAAAUAAAAAUAUUGUAUUAGCAUUAAAAUCAUUAAUAUUAUUACAAUUUGGUCUCUUUUGAGAGCGUUUAAUCAUUAUACACUUGUAAAGUGUGACACCCUCUAUCCCGACAUACAUAUGAUUAAGAAAUAGAUAUAAACAUCUUGAAUUUUAUUUAAAUCUUUUAAAAAAUUCAGGUGGGUAAAAGAGUCACAUUCCCUUCAUUGUUACGAAAUAAAACUUAUUAAAAAAAUAGAUUUAAAAUAAGAUCAUCCAAGUUUACAAAAGAACUCAAGUUAGGCAGCAGAAUGAAGUAAAGUAUAUGUUUCAUGCAAUUAAAACAAAACCUCAUGCACCAAUAUCACAUCAUAUCAUAGCAUUAUGUUACAUUGUUCUCUAGUACAAGAUUCUUUAAAGUUAUCUACCUGUUGGACAAGUGACCUCUAUGAAGAUUUGCAUAUGGGUUUUUCCGUAAUGAUAACCACACCAUUAAAUAUAGAAGGCAUAUUAAUGGAGUUUCCUUCGGGAAAUAGAAAAUUUGAUGAAGGCAUAACUAUUCUUGAGUUUUCUAAACUUGAUACGAGAAUCAAGCUUUGAUAUCACUUGUUGGACAAGUGGCCUCAAUAACUUAAGAGGGGGGAGAAUUAAGUUUGAAAAUAUUCUCGAUUAAUCAAGUUCUAAAUAUAGAAGAUGAAGAUGAGGAUGCAAGUUAUUUCAACAAUAUUCUUAAAGUAUGCAAGAUAAAAAAAAUAUACGAAAUAAAAAAUCAAGAUAGGGAAGAGAGAAAUACAAACUCAUUUUAUCCUGGUUCGGCUACUUCCCGUGCCUACGUUUAUCCUCAAGCAACCCACAUGAUAUUUUUCACUAUCUUUAUAAAACACUUUUACAAUUUCAGAACAACCUAGGGAUCCCUCUCCGUUGUGUUCAGGAAUCUCACAAUUCAAGAGACAAACGGUCUCUUGAUCACAAUAUUUUUUUCAGAAAGUAUAGAAGUUUUUCUUUCUUUUAGAGAAUAUGAUACAAGUUGAAAAUCUUAGAAGAAUACUCAAUUGAUUUACAAGAUUCGUUGACCAAUGAUUUAUUUUUGAGAAAACAAGACAAUAAGGUUCUAAAAAUAUCUGAAGAUUUUUCAUAAAACAAGCCACUUAUUUAUAGGCCAAUGGUGGCUUUUCAAAAACAUUUUGAAAAGAUGUGACCUUUUAGAGAAAUUUUGAAAUUCCCUCACUGGUAAUCGAUUAUAGUUUCUUGGUAAUCGAUCACACAAUUAUAUAUUAAUAGGUCAUGACUUUUUAAAUUGAAUUUCUGAAGUUUCAUUAAUGGUAAUCGAUUAGAGCCAACUGGUAAUUGAUUACAACAUUUAAAUUUCAAAUUUCAAACUUUUUUUUGAAAAGCCUUUAUAGUAAUCUAUCUUUGGUAAUCGAUUACAAUUAUUGGUAAUCGAUUACCAGUGGAAAAAUACUUAUUUUUGCACUGAUAAAAUAUUUUUAUAAUCAUUUGAAAAUCAUGUUUUUAAGGCCAAACAUUUUUAACCAAUAAGAGAUUCUUUUAACAAAAAUAAACUAAGUCUUAUCUUUAUCUUGAUCUUGUUUUCUUGAUCUCAGAUUUGACUUAAAGUAAUUUUGUGUUGCUUACAUCUUGGCAUCAUCAAAACCUUCAUACGCAUACAUUCACACUACCUAGUCAUCUACUCCUACGAAUACAAGGUUCGAGAUUAUCACCAGAUACAAAUACAAACAACACAUAGGGAGUGAGUUAUCACAUUUCUAAAUAAAAUACAGAUAAGAAAAAACAUAAGCAAAAUCCAUUAUAGAAAUAUUUAUAACAUAGUUCAACUCAACUUAAUACAAUUCACGUCACUUUACCACUUUAUCAUGUAAAAUUUAUUUUUCAAUCAUCAAUGACAUUACACAAGAAUCACACACUCGAGUCAAGAAGUAACAACACUCAUCAAUUUCAUAAUAAAUAAUUCAGAGGCGUUAUGCAACAAUUAUAAUAAGACUCAAACCUAUAUGCAAUGUGGUAUUAUGUUAAUGAAAACUAUAAUAGAGCACUUAGGAGUGCAUAACAAGAUAUGUCACACAAUGGGUAUAUCAUGUCACUCUCACUAAGUACAAUUAUAAGAUGAUCAGUCAGGGUCACUGUAUUUUACGAAAAUACUCCAACCAUAUGAGAUCAACAUAUGCUUAAAGGAGCAUUCAAACCGAGUGUAUUUACCCCCAUGGCCUAGACUCUGAAAAAUCCUUUAAGGUCUCACCUUCUUGAUUUUGGUCCAAUCCCUAAAAUAACUUUUGCACACAGACAUUGCUCAUGAAUUAUACAAUACUCACGACCUUACACUAUUGUUUUCAAACAUGUUUAACACAUUGCGCUAUAAUUUAACACUUCAAGUUCCUAACUUGGAACCUUACACUUUUCUUUUAACAUUUUGCACAUAAAAUUUUUUCUCAUGGUAAACACCAGUCAUGUUAUUGUAUAAUUCAAAACUCACAAUACAAGUAUUAUCACAACAAGUAUUAACCUCACACUUACAACCAUAUCUCAUGUUCAACUUUGCACUUAUAUUCAAUCUCAGUAACAAUGUUAUAAUAUCAAAGCAACAUGUUAUCUCACAAUUCAUCACAUAUUCAAUUUAUCACUUACACAUAAUUUCAAUCAUAAUUUCAUGAUCUCAAUAUAAGAAUUUAUCACACUAAUCUAGUAAAAUUUAUCCAAAACACAAACAACUUAUACAAAAGAGAAGAGAUUAAUGCCUCUAAUUCACUAUCUUUGUGUGAGGGAUAUUCCUCUCAUUACUAGAAAUUAUAGAUUUAACAUCGUUAGGUUAGCAUCGGUUUUGGAUAAAACUAAUGUUAACAAAAACACGAUGGCAUACUUGUAAAUAAGAUCGGUUUAUUAACAUCGGUUUUGACAAAAUCGAUGUUAACUUGGUCAUGUUAACAUCGAUAUUUUGAAAAACCGAUGUUAACAUGACAUAGUUAACAUUGCUUUUGUCAAAACCGAUGUUAACGACGUCAUGUUAACAUCGAUUUCUUGAAAAAACCGAUGCUGACGAUGUUGUGUCAACAUCGGUUUUUUUUUUAAAAAAAUUGAUGUUGUGUUUUUACUUAAAUUAAAAAUCCAAAACCCUUUUAUGCCCACGCUCAGUCUCGUAAACUCACCCUUGUCACUGCCAUUGUCUCUGACCCACACACUUAAUCUCGUAAGCCACCCUCAGGCCAUCGUCGCGCUCACUGUUGUGUGUUGGUAAGUUUGUUGCUUCGGAAAAAUUCAUCUCGUGACUUUCAUUGUCUCUGAAUGACAUUCGUUGCUUUCCUUGCAGCCAUUCCAUUGGCACCAAAGCACUCUUUGAUCUUCUUUGUACUUGCAAUCAAAGGGUAAGAUUUUGUUCUUCUUUCCAUUAUGUUAACAAGUUUUUUAUCUCCUUAAAUUGAGCUUUUAACUUCCCUUAGUUGGUCGCAACUGGCAUGUGAUCUAUUUAGGAAAGUUGUAGUUUCACUAUUAUAAUACAUUCUGCUUGGUGGCAUGUUAUGUUAUUAUUAUCUAUCAUAUGGUCUAUUUGAAAACUCCAAACCAGCUCUGGUUCAAGGUCACUGUUGGUCUGAUUCAGUUUAUAAACACUAGUACUGUGUUAAAAGAAUAAUAAUUAUAGAAAGACAAAGCAUUUCUACCUCUUUGUGAUGGUGUUUCACGGUUUCCCCUUUAGUUCCAAUCACCCAGAGUGUUUGUUAUGCUAUAAUUAGGAUUUUACACAGUUCUGUUACUCUUGUUAUUGUUUCACCAGGUCUUCCUCAAUCCUAAGCUAAACAACAAGACCACCUGGACUGCCCUAUUCUUUGAAGGUUGCUUGAGGUAUUUGUGUUCAUACUACUAUCAAUGCUUCAUUGCUUUACCAAAAAUCGCAAUAUCUUUUUUAAUGACUAUCAAUCAUGAUUUAUUUUAUGUUUUUCAACAAACUUCAAUCAAUAAUAUAUUAGAGACUAUGUUGCAUAACUUAAUUGUAUGUUUAACUUGCAUGUCUAGACUUUUGACAUUGUUGCCCAUUUCUUUAGUUAUUUAUGACUUCAAAUUUGACAAAGAUGACUUCAAACACAAAAGUUAUUUGACAGGAUCCUAACAAACUUAGGUCAUACUGCCCCACCAGUUAUUGGAUUUUGCAUGCAAAAAGGAGGUAAGAAGCUGCAUUUUUAUACCAUGAGUGGUUUACCAAUUGGAUGAGUGAUUUACCAAUUGGAUGCCUAUUUUUAGACUCUGUAUUUGUUAGUAGGAAGGGGGUUUCACUGGUUGACCUUGUCUCUCCUGUAUAGUAAUCAAUUACCUCUGUUAGAUUGAUACCUAUUUUUGUAUGAGUGUUUUACCAAUUGGAUGCCUAUUUUAGACACAGUCCAUCCAGAGAUUUGAACAAUCGCAAUUUGAAUUAGAAAGUUACAUUAUGAACUAGAUACAAAAUUCAAAGCGGGAUUUGUACCUAGGAGCUUGUUUGAAUGGGUAAGUUAAACUAAACAAAUGAAUUUAAAUAAUGGAUAAUAGUAUAAUAACCUAUAUUGGUCUCCACUGAAGUUCACAUUGACAAAUGAUCAUCAUUUUGCCUAAGGAAAAUGUUGUCAUCUGGUUUUGUUCGAUGCAUAAUAGGCCACACAACUACCUCAAAGGAAUAAUUAAUAGGUCAGUGUUGUUUUUCAAUACAUUUGCAUUAGCAUUAGUCAGGAACAUUAAUAUUUUAAUUGUACACUAAACAUCCAUGUUUGUAUUCAACAGUGCUUUCAAAGGACUUGACAAUACUCCACAAAGUACAUCCAAGGAUGCUGCUAGGUGGAUUGUUGUUAAAGUAAUUCAUUUAAACAAUGCUUCUAGUUAUAUUUUAGUAUUGUGUAGACUAAUUUGUACUUAACGUUAAAUAUCUAAAUUUCAUAAUGUAUUUAGUGUAUUAGACAAAAAGGAAGCACCGAGUGUAGGUAUUACGUCAUGCACUAGAUGUCAACUAUAAUCUUAGGAAGUUUCAAGAUGGGAAAUGGUAAUUGUUUGAUUAAAAAAAAAUUCAUUUUGUUAUGAUUGGUAUUAUAUUAUUAACUUAUAUUUUAUUAUAUCAUGCAGUAUUUCAAUGAUGCUAUACCAUUGGAACAAGAGAGAUUGAAGGCGCUUCACAUCCAAUGGGCAAAGUUUUAUUUGAAAGUUAAAAAUGAAACAUAGGAUGUUUACGCAAUUUUAUAAUUGUAGUUUAUUUACUUCACUUUUUUUACAAUUCAUGUCUCUUUAACAUUAAAUAUUUUUUUAUUCAUAGUAAUUAAUAAAUUUGUCAUGGAAUUUCUAGUAAAAACUAUUUCAAAAUAGAAUGAAAAUUAUAUACCGUGUGGUCUGAUUUUAAAAUUUGCAGAUUAAUUUUGGGGUUAUUGAAAAAACAAAUAUUAUAUUAAAAAAUUCCUAAAAACAACAUUGGUAAUUCUUAUUAAGAUGUUGUAAUAUAACUUUUUUUUUUUUACCAAAACAACAUUUUUUAUAAUUUUGGGGAAUGAAAAUAACAUUUUUACCAAAACCGAUGUUUAUAUGAAGAUAUAUAACUUUUUAUAAUUCUUAUUAUAUAACAUCAGUAAUUUAAAGAAUAGAUGUUGUAAUUUUACAUUAACAUAUGUUUUUGGAAAACCGAUGUUAACAAUAAUACUUUUAAAGUUGGUACUUUGAACAUCGGUUAAUAACAUAUGUUGAAAGUUCUUAAUAACUGAUGUUAAAAAUUUAUUUUCUGGUAGUGUUUCACAGAUAUUUUUUCACAAAUCCUAACAAUCGAAAUGUGUCAAACUGUGUUAUAAACUUGGUGUUCAAAUAUUAUGAUGAUCAAAUAGGCAACAAGUCCGGAAUUAUAGUUUUACUAGGACAUAUUUAAGUGUAUGAAGGAAAAAUAGAAGAUUUUGGGAGAAAGGGAAAGGAAAACAAAUUUGAGAGAAAUAGAGAGCGUAAAGACGUAUCGUAAAUGUAAAAAAAUGAUAUAAUAUAUCUCUAUUUAUAGCCAGAAUAUUUUCAACCAAUUAUUUACUCUAUUUUUUUUAUUUUUUUAUUUUAUAAAAAAAACUCAAUUUUACUUCCUAUCAAAUGAAUAAUAAAAUAUUUUUAUUUUCUAAAAAUAUAUAUUUAUUUUAUUUAUCUUAAUAUCAUUGUUUUAAUCAAUAAAAUUAUUUCUUCUUAUUUGUUUAAUUACAAAAACCUCAUUAUUUUUCUAAAAUUUUAUUUAUUUUUAAAUAAAAUUCUUUUUAAUUUAUUUUAAAAAAAUGGAGUACUACAUAAAAUUUAAGAUAAAAAUAAAUUAUUAUUCUAAAAAAUUUAUAUUUUACAAAGUAAAAAAAUAUAUUUUUUAAAUAUUUAGAUUCGAUCAAUAGAAGUCAAUCCAUCUCAUUUAUGAUUAGAUUAAUUUAAAUUCAAUCUCUCAAUAAAAUUGUACAAACCCAACCUAAUCCAACCGAAAACAAGUUGGAAAGCGACAUCCAUAAACACCACUAUAAUAAAAGUUAAUAAAAAACGAUCUUGUCAAAUUAUUUGUCUUGCAAGAAUAAACUAAUUUUAUUUAUUGAUUUGACUCUAUUUUCAAGGCUCAUACUUCCUUCAACCACUUAUAUAAACUAUGUGUAUCCAAGGUUUGUCAUACAGUCUUAAAAAAAUAGGUUGAGCACCGUGAAAGAAAAUGCUAACUCACAGGAAGUUUAGGUCAAUAAUGGAGGAGGAGGAGAUCAAAUUGCCACAUUUUCAGAAUCCAGUCGUCAGUACCUGGAGGUAUCCUUACAUUUGCUUUACUCUAUAUAAUUGAAAUAAAUUAUUAAUAAAAUAUAAAAAUAGUAAUCUAUGUAUGAUAUAGAGUCAUGAUUACUUGUCUCAAUCGGUUAUCACGUUCUGUCUAAUACAUCCUCUUAUAUCAUAUUGAUAUCACAUUUUGUACCCAUGUGCGAUGUCUAUGUUAAGAAGACUUUGAACUUUCUGGGGUCUUUCUUAUAUCUUAUUUAUAUCGUAAUUAUUUUUUAUGAAGUAAAAAAAAACUACUUAUGUAGGAAAAAAAAAAGACUUAAUAUGUCGUUAUCUUUUUUUUUUUUCCUUAAAAAGUCUCUUCCAAAAUUUAUUUGAGUUUCAUUCACAGUUGAGUUGGCCUUGUAUCCUUUCCAGUUGGCUUUUACUUUGCCUACUCAGCGUAUAUUUGCAUGUUUCUUAUUCUUAGGUCAUUAAUAAUCUAUUAUAUGUUUUGUCUUCAUCCCAUUAGACACUUGCAAUUUUGUUUAAUUUGGACUCACUCUUUAUUUGUUUUAUUUUUUAUACUGAGAUUCACUCUUUGGUUAUUUACAACUUAGUUUAUUUUUAUAAUAUCUUAUAUUUUUCAUAUUGCCAUUUUCAUUUUUAGCAAGUGUGUCGUGUAAUAUGAUGUUCUCACAAUUAAUCUUAAUUAACCAUGUAAUUAGAAUAAAUUGUUGAAAUUAAAUAUAAGUAAAAUAGUCUGAUUAACUUGUCUCGUCGGUUGUCAUGUCCUCUUUAACACAUCCUCCUUAUCUAUAUCAUAUUGAUACCAUGUUCUGUAUCGUGCUAGUAUUCACAAAAAUUUAGUGCAAUGUCAAUGUACAGACGAAGACUUUGAGCUUCCAGCGUCUUUCUUAAAUGUUUUCCUAGCAAGUUGUGGUUUCUUUUUCCCUUUUUAUUUUGUCAUGCUACAGAGCAAGUUGGGAAAUUGUGAUUUAACAAUGUUAAUUGUAUUUGUCAGUAGUAGUUGUACAAGAAAGAUAAAGACAUAUAUAAAACAUGAGAUCCCAUCAUGAUAUACUCUAUCUCUUUUUGUCUUGAUAAAAACAUAAAAGAGAAAAAUAUAAAUUUAUAUAAUAUAUAAGUGAUAUAAUGUGAUAAUAUAAAACAGAGAAAAUUUAUUUAUCGAACGAUCAAACAAGUUUUUUAUCUAGUAAAAAACUUGUAAAAUAUAGCCUAUAUUUUAUAUAAAUUUUUAUAAACUAAAAAUACUUGAAAAUAUUUAAAUGUAGCUAUCUUCUAAAAAUACUUGGGAAUUGUUUUUUUAAACCGAGAUUCACUCUUUUGGUUUUUCAUAUGUUAAGAGAUGACAAUGAUGAUGGAAUGGUUAGGGGGUCGAAUCCUUUUAUAAUUCUCCUGAUUUCAUCGAAGUGUUCCCAUCUAAUACAAGAUUAUCCUCAAUCAUUGAAGUGUUCCGAUUACAUUCAAUUAGAGAAAAUCCCUUUGGAAUAAAUUCUAAUUGUCUAACUCCUUAACUCUAAUAAGAUUAACCGAAGCCUUAACUUUAAGAAUUCAAAAAGAAAGAAAAAAAUAACAAAUGCAUCAAGAAAUUCUAUUCUCAAACUUAUCCCAAUAUAUACAUGGCAAUCAAUCUCAAUUCCAUCCACAUGCACAAGAUUACAAAAGUUAAUGAAAAGCAUUAAGCUAAUGAAUAGCUUGCAUUGAAUAUAAAAAAGUCAGAUUACAAAAGAUUCUCGUAAAAUUCAUUCAUCACUAACCAACAGGAUUUAGCAAAACAAAAAGAUAAACAAAGUGAAAGAGUAAGAGAUGAUGGUAGAUGGAGGUACUUCCACUAUUUCUUCAAGGCCCUUUAGGUCAUGGUACACUGCUUCUGGAGUCUUUAACACUCAGCUCAAUUGCAACUACUUUGUUCUUAUUCCCUGCAAAAUCAAUGGAAAUAUACAUAAAAAGAAAAAUACUUACAAAAUAAAAUGAGCAAAAAAAAUAUACCAUGUCUAUCUUAUAUUUCAAUGUUUCAAUAGUUUCUUGCACCCAAAAAAAAUAUUUCGAUACUUUUAUACCUUUUCAUUAAAUGUGAAUUUAAGGUUUGUCAAAAUUUAUACUAACUCUUAUCUUAUAUUAAAUAUGUGAAUAUAUAUCGUAACACCUCUUACAAAUCUUCACUCACACUUGUCCUAUAAAAUUCACAAUUAUAAAAAAGUGAAUCUCAGGUAUUAAAAUCUUAAAUAAUUAACACACAAUCUAAUCGAUCUAUAAAUCUACACUAUGCUAUAGUAUACUUCAAUUAUACCAUGUUAGGAAAUAUUCAAGUCCCACGUUGGUUAAAAAUAAAUCCACAUUAGAAUAUAUAAAUGAGGAGCAACCCUCAGUCCUUGAGUUAUUUUUUGGGGUUGAGUUAGAUCCAAACUCACAUUCUAAGUGUUGGAUAAUACCCAAGUCUCACAUCGGCUAAAAAUAAAGUCAUAUUAGUAGGACCCUGAAAGAAUGAUGGUAUUAGAGCAGGUUCUGAUCCUGGGUGUGACCGCUAAACCUCGUUUUGUGGUGACAAGCACCCACCAUUACCAAUAGAAAUAAAAAAUUCAAAUUAGUUGAGAUCCAAUAUUGUACCAAUUAUUUAUAUUUUCUUGCAAUUUUUAGACAAUUUUACUCCUAAUUAACUUGUAUGAGUGAUACACAAAAGAAAAAUAAAGUAAAUACCAGAACAAAAAGGGUGUCAAAAGGAAAUCAUUUCAGGAAUUAGAAAAAGGUUGCAUUUUUCUUAAUGUUUGAAGGAAUUUGUUGUUUUUAGAAAGAUACGAAUGAUUAAAAGAUAAAGAAACUCAGGAUAUUACUGCAGAAGAAAGGCUGUUUUAUUGAUCUGAAAAGCAGAGUGCAUUUUACAAAGAGAUGCUAAAAUAUAUAGAUAAAACUCCUAUGGGUUGUUGCCUAAAAAAUAGAAGAUAAAUUUAAAACCAGCAUAACAGCAUAACAGCCUAACAACAUAUCUGAACAGCAUAACAACCUAACAACAUAUCUGCAGCAUAACAGCAUAUCCUAAAAAAAACUAGCAACAAUUUAAAAAAUUUGUUUCAAGAGUCAAACAGUUAACAGAAUAAAUGCCAAGAAUAUCAUUCAAGAGACAUAUUAUUGAUUAAUUAAUUAAUAAGAAAAAAAAACACACCUUUGAUUACGAUUUCUAACUUUGUGAGUGAUGUCUUCUGUUGAGGUUUUUCCGAAGUUCUACACCAACCCGGAAAAUAAUGUUACAUGGGGCACAUGCUGGAUGACCCAACGCUCUUGUCCUCCAUUGAGAGAAAUGCUUUGCUCAAACUCAGUGGGCAUAAACCACAUAUUGAGAACUUUAAGUUUCUUCAAGUGUUGAAUGCCAGAGGGUAUUUUCUUGAGUUGAGGGAUUCUGUAUAACUGAAGCUUUUCCAAAGAAUGCAGCGCUCCUUCAUCAAUAGAGAUGGAACUCAAGUAAUGCAAAUCUUCGAGCUUUAGUUCCUUUAGUUUCUGAAACCCUCCAUAUUGAAAAUGCAAAGCUCUACCUUGAUAAGCACGACGGCUGAUAGAGAGGAACAACAAACUUGGCAUAUCUUUUAGUGAUUCCAAUGGAUCAUAAAUUAAGUUAGAGCACAUCAAGGACAAUUUCGUAAGAUUAAGGAGCUUUGGAAUCCAAUCUGGCCACUUUGUUAACUCCCCACUUAGGCAAAGCUUCCUAAGUGUAGACAAGGAUGACAUAAAGGGCAAGUCAAUUACUUGGUGGUCUUCGUCUGUAUCAACAAAUAGUUUCUCCAAAUGACGCAUCUCAUUUAAUGAGGAACACAGAGCGUUUUUGUGUGCUUCUCUGAAUUCAGUAAUGCUCAGAUUUCUUAACUUCUUUAGCUUUCCUAGCUCUCUAAUCACCACUCCAUCAUAAUCAAUUAUCAGCAUAGAUAUCUUUUGUAGAGAUGUCAUGCCUCCAAGACUAUCCUUCAAUUGAACGGAAGAUAUCUUGUUAGCCAGAAGAUGACAUAGUUUUCUAAGCUCACUAAUCUCCUUUGGCAUCUCAUGCACAUUUGUUUGUCGCACAUCCAAGGUCUCCAAGUUUUGGAGCUUACCAAUGGAUCUUGGAAGACUUUUUACUCUUGUAUUCCUGAAGCUUAAAUACUUCAAGUAGAUUAAAUUCCCCAAAUUUUCAGGGACAUGAUAUAAUCGAGCAUCUUCAAAAUCAAGUACCUUCAAUGGAGUGGAGUUUGCGGGAAUUCUAUUGAUGAAAUCUUGAGAUAAUCCUUUGUUUGUGAAAAAUAGAAUCACCCUAAUGUGUGAGCUUUCAAUGCUUAAAUCAUUGGAACCCGUUGCAAUUGUCAGGCGUCGAAUGAUCCCACUUGACACUAAUUGAUCAUGCUCAUCAAUCUCACUUGACACAGAUUGAUCACGCUCACCAACAUACUGACAAAAUCCCGUAUCCUUGAUUUUUCUAAUGAUCAUCUCACGUAUUGAGUCAUGGACACAGCAUGUCUUAACUUUUCCAUCGAUGGUGAAUGAAGUCACUUGUACCAAACUUCUAUUAAUCAACUCUGUUAAAUAUUGUUGUGCAAGUUCUUUCAAAGUUUUCCUCCCUUCAUAUUUCACAAACCAUUCUGCUAUCCACUGUCUAAUCAAUCUACUAGAUUUAACUUCAUAGUCUUCAGGAUACAUUCCGAAAUACAAUAAACAUGAUUUGAGAUUGUAUGGCAAAUUAUCAUAACUUAAACUUAAAAUUUUUAUGAUACUAAUUAACCUAGAAUUUCCCUCCAACUCUAAUCUUAGACGCUGACUAAACCUUUCCCAUUCACCUUUGUCUUUAGGUUUGUUAGCUAAAAGGCCACCAAUAACCACAAUAGCUAGAGGAAAACCUUGACACUUCUUAACAAUUUCAAGAGAUGUAUUUUCAAGUCCUUCUGGACAACAUCCAUUAAAAUCACGCUGAAAUGCCUUCUUAUAGAACAAUUUCAAAGAUUCUACUUCAGUUAAAGGAUUCAUCUUAUGCACAUGAACAAAACAAGAUUCCUUACAACACACUGCAACAUCUUUGUCUCUGGUUGUGAUUAAUAUCCUACUCUUUUCUUUAUUAUCAAAUAAGGCCAAUUUAAUGUCAUACCAAAAUUCUUUAUUCCAUACAUCAUCAAAUACGACAACGUACCUCUUGCCGUUCAGGUAGUUUCUCACUUCAUCUAUCAACGACUCUCGAUCCAUGGUAGAAACAUUCUGGGGAGGACUAUUCUUUUUAUCUUCGUAAAACUUGCACAACAAUUUCCUCAGCAAUUCUACUACAGUGUAGGAUUGAGAUACAGUGAUCCAUGCAUGACAAUCAAAAAGCUUACGGACAUCUGGGUUGUCAAAAACUUGCUUGCUGAGAGUGGUUUUACCCAAUCCUCCCAUUCCUUCCACGGUGAUGACAGUGAGCUCUUUGAGUCCAUCUACCAACCAAUCUUUCAAAAUUUUUCUCGGGCCUUCCAAACCCUCAGUGUCAGCUUCAUGAGUAUGUAGAGCAGCCAGUCUAAUGUUUUGCCACGCGGCAUUUUGAUUUCCUCUAGAACUGUAUGGUCUUUGUUCUAAAGAAAAUUGGCUACAUAAACCAUAUCUUUCCUUGAUUCCACAGACAAGUGAUUUCACAUCGUGAAUCUUAUACGCUAAUAGAAUACGAGGGAUCAGAGUUUUCGUGAAGCCAACAGCAUCACAGGGUAAAACUGCACAUCCAGGAUCACCAGGUUGCUUUUCCUCACAGGAGAUCUCAUAUUCAUCGAUGACAUCUUCCAUGCAAAAAGCUGCUUCUCUCAGCUGUUUCACCAUUUUUUUUAUUCCUUCACGCCUAUCAGCAUCUUGUUCAUCUUCAGCUUCUUUAUCAGCACCAUGGAUGAAAGCUUUAAAGCUUUCCAGAUCAGCUUCAAUGUCUGCAGACUCCUUUUUUACACCCCUGACCUGAUUGAAUACAUCCACAAUUAUUGGAUACACCGCACGAGCGAAGGACACUAAGUAGUCCCAGUUACACAUUUUUUGCUUUGUAGUGACUAGCUAGUGACUGCGAUACGUUUUUUGCUUUGUGGUGAGUGCUAAUUGUUAUGAAUGGAGCAAGGCCUUGUUUCGAGGACAAGGUACCUCCUGGACUCAAGUUAUGGAAAAUGCCUUUUUCUUAUUUUCCUUCAUUCCUUGCAACCUUAUUUAUACAUUUCUAAUAUUAAUUCUGUAACAAACUUUGAUAACAGAAUAUCCUAACAAUCUUUAUUUCUAGAAUAUCCUAAUAGUAACUGCUUCUAGAAUAUUAUCAUAGUCAUGCUUCUGGUUGCAUUGUUCCUUCUUUGGUAGAGGCUUGCUUAUGUUCACGUGAUGUAGUCCUUCAGGUAGUGAGGGGGUUGAGUGUUUCUGAUGGGCCUAGUUAUGCCUGUGUGUGUAUUACUAGCAGCACCCCUGUCUGUGAAUGUAGUGUCCCUCUCUGUGUGUAUAUUGCUAUCAACACCCCCCUCCUCGAAAUCCACCUUGUCCUCAAGGUGGUAUUGUGCCUUUAAUUCGUCCCAUGAUUCCCAAGUAGAGUCUUCAGGGGCUUGUCCUACCCACUGGACCAGGACCAGGCGUGUGGGAGGUUGGGUUGAGUCAUCAAACUUGGAGCUUAAGAUGGAUAACGGGCUCAACACAGGUUGGUUGUUAACCAUUGUUAGGGGAAUUGGGUCCGCUGUUGUCAUCGGAAGGGGACCCUGGUGGGGCCGAAGGAGUGAACAAUGAAAAACGGGGUGGAUCUUGGCAGUGGGGGGAAGCUGCAACCGGUACGCAACGGGCCCAAUCUUCUCGAGAAUCUGGAAUGGGCCAAAAAAUCGUUUGGACAGCUUGGGAUGGGCGGUACCAGUAAUAGAGCGUUGACGGAUCGGUCGGAGCCGAACAUAGACCCAUUGACCCACUUCGAAGUGGACGUCACGCCGGUGAGCAUCGGCUUGGUGUUUCAUGGUAUCUUGAGCCUUGAGUAGACGUCGUCGAAGAGUGUCAUGAAGUACCUGGCGCGACGUCAAUAGAGAAUCAACAGCUUCGUUGGUAGAGGACCCUGUGAUGUAGUGUGGAAUGGACGGUGGAGCUUUGCCGAAAACGAUUUCAUAUGGAGUGAAGCCGGUGCUUGAGUGGACCGACGUGUUGUAGGACCAUUCCGCCAUGGCUAAGAAUUUAAACCAGUGCGAGGGAUGAGCGCUGACAAAGGAGCGUAAGUAUUGUUCUAACACGCGGUUCAUGACCUCCGUCUGACCAUCCGUCUGUGGGUGGUAGGCGGUGCUCAUCUGCAGGCGUGUACCACUCAGCCGGAAUAGUUCCCGCCAAAAGGAACUAACGAACACAGGGUCGCGGUCCGAUAUCAAGCUGCGAGGAAGACCGUGGUGCUUACAGACCAUGUCGAGAAACAACACCGCUACUCUGUAAGCCGUAAAAUUAGUAGGGAGGGCACCGAAAUGGACUCCCUUGGAGAAGCGGUCGACGACGACUAGUAUCACCGUGAAACCAUGUGAGCAGGGUAAGUGGGUGAUGAAGUCGAGGGAGAGAUCUUCCCAGACGCCGGAAGGGAUGGGUAUAGGGUGGAGGAGGCCCGUCGGUCGUGAAGUGGAGUGCUUCGAUUGUUGACACGUGACACAAUUGCGCACGAAUUUCUUUACAUCUUGGCGGAGAGUUGACCAAUAGAAGUUGGUGCUGACUCUGUGAGAGGUCUUUGCGAUGCCCAGAUGUCCCCCUAAAGGAGUGGAGUGAAAUUCAGUGAUCAAUACUGGAAUGAAGGGAUUGUCGGAAGUCAACCAGAUACGCCCCCGAAAGAAUAAUAGACCAUUAGAGAUGGUGAAGUCCGGUUGAUCCAAAGGAUGAGCUUGAACAUUGGCCAUGGUGGUUUGAAAUUCGGUGUUAUCGUGGAGGGAUUGGCGUAAUUGAUCCAUAAAUGUGAAAUUAGGAAUAGAUAGGAGGAGAUACUAGCUUUCCGGAGGUAACGUGACGCGUGAGAGGGCGUCCGCUACUGCAUUCGAAGCGCCGGUUUUGUACUGGAUGUCAUAAUCGUAGCCCAGUAAUUUGGAUAGAUAGUGCUGCUGCUCCGGGGUCUGGAUGACCUGAGAUAAGAGGUCCUUGAUACUCUUAUGGUCCGUGAGUAUCGUGAAACGGUGACCCAAUAAAUAUUGGCGCCACUUGCGCACGGCUGACACAAUGGCAUGAAGCUCCCGUACAUAAGUAGAAGAUCGUAAAAGCCGCGGUCCGAAAGGUUUGCUAAAGUAGGCAAGGGGAUGACCCUGUUGAAGGAGAACGGCACCCAUGGCAGUGCCUGAUGCAUCAGUUUCGAGGACAAAGGGGUGUUCGAAAUUGGGCAAAGCCAGCACUGGAGCUCGGGUCAUUGCGGUUUUCAGUGUCUCAAAGGCGAGCUGGGACUCUGGGGUCCAGUCAAAGGCGUUUUUGCAGAGGAGGGCCGUCAACGGGGAGGCCAGGGCGGCAUAACCUUGGACAAAUUUGCGGUAGAAGCCUGUGAGGCCCAAAAAAGCACGGAGAUCCUUAGGGGUCUUGGGGGUGGGCCAGUCGAUCAUGGCUCUAAUUUUAGAGGGGUCGGGCUCCACGCCACGCUCCGAGAUGAUGUGGCCCAAAUACUCCAGGCGCCUCUGAGCAAAGGAACACUUGGUAUGUUUGAGGUAGAAUUGGCCCUGUAACAAGGCUUGGAACACGAGUUCGAGAUGAUGGAGGUGGGCCUGCAAAGAAUCACUAAAGACAAGUAUAUCAUCAAAGAAAACCGCAGUGAAACGACGGAGAAAGGGUUGGAGCAAGGUGUUCAUGGCGGCUUGGAACGUUGACGGGGCAUUACAGAGACCGAAUGGCAUGACACGGUACUCGUAAUGUCCCUGAUGAGUCCGGAAUGCUGUCUUUGGAGUAUCUUCAGGAGCCAUAAGAAUUUGGUGAAAGCCUUGUUGCAGGUCGAGUUUCGAGUACCAGGAUGCAUGGCCCAAAUCGUCCAACAAUUCAUCAACAGUAGGCAUUGGGAAACGAUCCCGAAUGGUCACGGCGUUAAGAGCGCGAUAAUCGACGCACAUACGCCAACUGUCGUCUUUUUUCUUUACCAAGAGGACAGGGGAGGAAAAGGGACUCCGGCUGACUUGAAUGAGGCCGGCGGAGAGGAGGUCGGCCACCUGUUUCUCAAUCUCGGCUUUCUGAAAAUGCGGGUAGCGAUAAGGACGAACAUUAAUGGGCUCCGUGUUGGGUCGUAAAUGGAUGUGAUGGUCAAUGGAGCGUGAGGGGGGUAGGGCUGUGGGUGUUUGGAAAAGGGAUUGGUAUUUGUGGAUUAAAGCAUCAAUGGCGGGUAUGGACGAAGGUGUUGAUGAGGGUGGGUGCUGGGGGAUGGUGGUGUCACUAGCAGGGAGGACGCAAAGGUGGAAGAGGGCUGAAGUGGCAUUGGUCUGGAUCAUACGCUUGAUUUGGGUAGCAGAAAUAGGGUGCGGCCCAUGGUCGGCGUCGACAUGAAGCUCGACGGGUUGGCCCAGGUGGUGAAACUUCAUAAUGAGGGAGGUGUAGUCAGUCGUAAUGGGCCCAAGUAGUUUUAGCCACUGGAUUCCCAAAAUGACGUCGGCACCACUAAUAGGCAAAAGGUGAAACGUUAGGGUAAAAUGGUGAGACUGGAGGGAAAUGGUGGUGUCGGGGCAUAAGUGGGUACAUGUGAGGACGGCGCCAUUGCCGACAAGAACUCGCAGAGGGUUAGUGGGGACGGUGGGGAGGUGGAGGAAGGUAGCAAGUCGGGGUUGCAAGAAAUUGUGGGUGCUACCACUGUCAAUAAGGACAGUGAUGCGCGUAUGGUUGAUAUAGCCGAAGAGGCGGAAGGUCUCGGGGGUGGGGAGGCCGGAAAGGGCGUUAAGGCUGAUGUGAGGAGUGGGGAAAGGAAGAUAAAAAUCAGGGAUGGGGUCAAGGUCCGUAGGGGGGGUAGAGGCCGGGAGGGAUGGUGGUGGGGAGUUGAAGGGUAAAACGGCGUUGUCGGGGUUGUCGGGGGUGUCGGGGUCUGCGAUAAGUAAAAGGACGCGCCCCUUGCAAUGAUGGGAAGCGCUCCACUUAUCGUCACAAUUAUAACAGAGGCCGCGUUCGCGGCGGUAAGCGAUUUCGGAGGGUGUGCGUUGGGUGAAAGGGGGUUUGGGUCGUGGGGGUGGUAAUGGAGAAGGAAAGGUGGUGGGAUGGGCAGGGGCUAUGUGGGGAAUGGUAUUAGGGUGGCGUGGAGGUCUAGGACGGUCACGGAGCUUGUCCUCCUGAAGCUUCGCUAACGCGGUGGCCUGCGGAAAAGAGAUGGGCUGGAGGGCUAAGACCUCCCGGCGGAUGUCCGGGGCAAGACCGGAUACAAAGCAACUCAACAGGAAUGGGGGUGGGAGCCCGAAAAUCCUGUUCGCGAGGCGUUCGAAUUCGAUCAGAUAAUCAUUGACGGAGCCGGUCUGGGUUAGCUUGAACAAAGCCCCUUUCGGGUCAUCGUAGUACGUGGGAGCGAACCGGGACUCCAAAGCCUGAAGAAAACUGGACCAGGAUGUGAUGAAGCCAUUGCGGAACAUCCAUUGGUACCAGCUGAGCGCCGGACCAUCGAGGUAGAAAGAGGCUAAGGUAACUCGUUCCUCUUCUGGCGUUCCCUGAUAUUCAAACAGCUGGGUGAUUUUGAAAAUCCAACCCACGGGGUCGGAUCCGUCGAAACGUGGAACAUCAAUUUUGACAUGAUUGCGUGAUGCAGGGGGCGGUUUGGGAGAGGAGACGGGGCUCGCGCUGCUUUGGCGGUCGAGGCGAUCCAGGAUGGCAUCAACUUUGCUGGCAAGCUCGGAAUGGUGCAGGGAUAGGCGGGAGAUGGCCUCCUCGAGCCUAUCCGUGGUGGUCUUACGUGUGUUAUGGUCAGCCAUGGAAGGGCAGGUCGGACCAAAUGUUAUGAAUGGAGCAAGGCCUUGUUUCGAGGACAAGGUACCUCCUGGACUCAAGUUAUGGAAAAUGCCUUUUUCUUAUUUUCCUUCAUUCCUUGCAACCUUAUUUAUACAUUUCUAAUAUUAAUUCUGUAACAAACUCUGAUAACAGAAUAUCCUAACAAUCUUUAUUUCUAGAAUAUCCUAAUAGUAACUGCUUCUAGAAUAUUAUCAUAGUCAUGCUUCUGGUUGCAUCGUUCCUUCUUUGGUAGAGGCUUGCUUAUGUUCACGUGAUGUAGUCCUUCAGGUAGUGAGGGGGUUGAGUGUUUCUGAUGGGCCUAGUUAUGCCUGUGUGUGUAUUACUAGCAGCACCCCUGUCUGUGAAUGUAGUGUCCCUCUCUGUGUGUAUAUUGCUAAUCUUCAUGUUCUUCAAGAUUAUAUAUAGCCAAGUCCAUGGUCAUAGACUCAUAGGAGGAGUUUGAUGGUAUGAUUUUCCCUUUUCCAUUCUUUAAUAUUUAUUUAGCAAGUUGGAUACAGCUAAUUAAUUUACAGAUUUUAUUCGAUUGUUUAAUUGGUCCAUGCUUUACUGUUUGCAAAUGUAAUUAGUUAUCACAGUAUGCAUACCAUAUCACGGUACCCAAUUUUUUGUAAGUUGCACAUACAAUAUAGUUAGUAUAACUUUAAGGUAAUUAUGAUUAAUGGGAUGAUAUGAAUGGAUAAUUUCAUAUUCAUUUUCUUCAAAUAAUUUGACUUCAUUAUAAAACACAUCUCCUUAUUUUAUCUAUUUCAUCAAAUUAGUCCUCCUAUUUUUUAAUUUACUAUUUAAAUCUCUCUAUAUUUUAAGAUGCUUGAGAAAAUACUAGAAUUAUAAUCCUUUAAGUAAAUGACACAUUUUUUUAACACUACACUCACAUGAUAUAUUUGGUACAAAAUAUAGUAUCAAUAUAAGUUUUAUGAAAAAAUAGUUCAAAAUUCAAAUUUUAUUUAUUUUAAUUUAUUAUAAUUUUAUAAUCUUAUAUAUUAUCUUUCAUAAUAUAAUAUAUGAGAUUAAAUUCUAUUUUUUAUAUAAAUUAAAAUUUGUAUACUUAUAUAGGCGUUAUUUUAUUUUAUAUAUUAUAUUUUUAUAAUAUUAUAUAUUUUUAUUACAUUAUUCAAAAAUUAUUUUACACAAUAAAUAUAUAAUAUAAAUUUUAUCUUUAAUAUAUAUAUUUUAAUAUAAAUUAUACUUUCGUAAAAUAAUAUUAUUUUAUUAUAUUUUAAAAUAUUUAUAUAUGUAACUUAAUGGCAGUUGUUUUUAUCUAUACUAAGAUAUUCUUGUUAUUUAUAAUAAUAUUAUUAUUUAUUUAAAUUUAAUUUUAUUUAAUCAGGUACAUAUUUUUUUAGGAAUUAAAUUAUAUAGUUAAGAUAUAUAAUUAAAUAAAAUGAGAGUAUUUUUUAUUUUAAAAAAUAUUUAUAUAUAUGAUUUAUUGACAUUAUUUUUUAUGUAUAUUAAACCAAAUAACAUGAAUAUAUUAAUAUAGAUAAAAAAAUAUUAUCACUAAAUCACAAGCAAUAUUUUAAAAGAUAAAUAUAAUAUAUAAAAUAAAAAUAAUACUUAUAUAGAUAUAGAUAUUCUAAUUUAUGUAAAAAUAGAAUUUAAUCUUAUAUAUUAUAUUUUAAAUGAUAAUAUAUAAGAUUAUUAAAAUAUAAUCAAUUAAAAAAGAAUAAAUUUUAAAUUAUUUUCGCAUUAAACUUAUAUUAAUAAUAUAUUUUAUAUUAAAUAUUCAAAUAAAUACUUUGCUGUAUUAGUAAUACAUGCAUGUGCUUUUUAUUUUAAGGACCAUAAUUUUAGUCUUUCCUCAAACAUUUUUAAAUUUUUAUUAUUUUAAAAAAAUAUUGGUCAACUUUUUAGUUUAAUCAACAUUUAAAUUUUAAUAGUCAACGAUUACCAAUGGUUAAAAUCAACACCGAUAACUAAAAUAGUGAAUUUUAAAAUAUAAGAGAAUUUAAAUAAUCAAUUCAAAAAUAAGAAGAUUGAUUCAAUGAAAUAAUUAAAAUAAGAAGAUAAAUUUUGUAGUUAAGCAUAUUUUUUUCUCCAUUCGAUUAAUGUAUGAAUUGCAUGUUAGCCACGUGCAAUGACACACAUUGUCACAAACUUUAUUAUAAUAUCUAGUAUACUUUCAUAUUGCCUUUUUUAUAUUCAGUAAGUGUGUGAGAUGAUCUUCUCACGUACUAUUCAUCCUAUUUUUUAGGUGAAAAUUUACAUUAGGGGAAGCCAUGCCGCCUCUUGUAAAGUCAAGGAAGGCUAUCAACCCCAGUGAAAAUUUAUAGUAAUAAUAUUCCCAUAUUACCUACCGAAAUAGGAAAAUGAAUCCAUGUUAUAGCAAGUGUGGACAAAAGCCUCCAUCAAAUGUGUCAUCUCUAGUUAGCCUCACAAUUAAUUAAUCUUAAUUGUAUAAUUAUAAUAAAUAUAAAAUUAAAUUUAAGUAAAAUAAUAAUCUAUGCAUAAUUAUACAAGCAUGAUUAAAUUUUCUGGCCUUCAGGUUUUCUCUUAUACAUCUCCUUUAUCUAUAGCAUAUCAAUGUUAUAUAUUUUGUACCCAUUAGGGUUAUAUAAAAAAUUUAUCACAUAUGUUGAGAGGAAGACUUUGAACUUUUCAGCAUCGGUCAUCUCUUAAAUAUAUGGUGAGCAAGUUGUGCUAUUUCCCCCUCUAUUUUUGUCGUGCUAGAGCAAGUUGUGAAUUUGUUAUCUAGUUAAUUAUAUAUAAAUGUGAUUAAUUAAGCAAAUGUUAGAUGUAUUUGUCAGUGUUAGUUGUACCGAUAAAAUGUAAAUAAAAUACCGUACACUUGUCAAAUGAUUUACCUUGCUGGUAUAUAUAUAAUUUUGAUUAUUCAUUUGGCUUUAUUGUUUUAGUUUGCACCGGUAAUUUACACAAUUGAUCAUUUUGAUGGUUGAUCUUGAAACUGGUUUGAUCUAAUCGAUCCUGACAAUAAUAAUAUGUUAUAUGAUGAGCAAGAAAUUAUGCUGAUCCGCAGGAACAUGUUUUUUUUUUUUAACUAGGUUAACCAUUGGUGGAAGAGGGUUAAGCUAUUCUAUUUACUUUUAAAAGCUAUAUAUAUACAGGCUAGGGUAUCCUUCUUAUCAUUAAUACAUAUGGUUUUACUCUAAGCUUUAAAAUUUACUUUUUUUUUUCUUUCAAAAAUGGAAACUAUCCGAUCUAUUUCGUUGGUCUUUAAUUUAUAAGAAAAAAAAUUCGCUUUCCUACUUUUGAGCAGGAUCGAGGAUCACCUAGUUAGUCAUUAAAAUAAUACUGGAUGAAGAUUUUCCUAGAGAAAGUUAAAUUUCAAUAGUUUAAUACUACUAAGAGAUGCUUACAGCGAGCCUGCUUCUGAUGAUAAAUUAGCUAAGAAAUGAUUUGUAGAAGCAAGAUCUAGUCAAUGUGAAAAUAUAAGAUUUUACUCUCGCAUCUAAUCAUAAAUAAUAUAUAUGAUAAAUUUAAUUAUCAAUUUUUAUAAUAAUUAUUUUAAAAAUUAUAUAUGCAUCUAACAUAAUUUUUUAUUAUGACAUCUUUUUGUCUACAUCAAAUUGACAUCAUAGUUUUUACCCAGACUAGUGUUUACAAAAAAAUAAUGCAACGUCUGUGUUGAGACUUAGAGGAAGACUUUGAGCUUCCAGCAUCUUUCUUAAAUAUUAGGGUUAAUUAAAUUAUUUAGUUUCUAAAUUUUUUUAAAAUUUAUUUUUUUAGUUCUUAAACUUUUAUUUAACUGGUGAAUGUUUUUUAAUUGUCUUUUUAUUAAGGUUAUUAGUUCUUAAAUUAAAAAUAAUUUUUAAUUGUUGAAAUCUCAUUAAAUAAAUAAAAAUAACGUGUUCAAAUUUUUAUUGAGGGACUAAAAAUUAAAAUUUCUAAAGAUGAAUGGACCUUGACUAGAAAAAUUAAAUUUUAGGGCCUAAUAAUUAAAUUUCAAAAAAAAUUAAAAUCAAAAACCUUAUUUUUGUGAGCUUGUUAGGGAUUUUUCUCUCCUUAUUUUUGUCCGAUUACAACAUGUGAAUUUCUGAUCUACCUAAUAUGUAAAUAUGAUAAAAUAAUGUUAAUUGUAUUUGUGAGUAGUAUUAGUUGUACCAAUAAAGUCGUAGUAAAAAAAACCGUGAUUGUAUACUUAUUAUUAAUGGUCAUACUUCCGUAAAAUACUCAGAUUCCUUAUAUCUAAUGUUUUUUUUUAAUCUUAAUACUAAUAUAAUAUGUAUAUGAGGUUGGCAUGUUGCAACUAAUUAAUAAAUAUAACAUUUUUUAUUAGAUUAUCAUGAUUUUGGUGUGGAGUAUUUAAUAUCUUUUUAAAAUUAUUUUUUUAUAUGAAAGAUUCAAAUCCAAAAUCUUAUUUAAAAGAAUUAAAUUUCAUAUUAUUUAAACUAACAACUAGUUAAUAUUUAAUUAUAAAUAUACAAAUGCUUUAAAUAAAAGACAAAUAUUUGUAAAUGUAUCUUAAUAAAGAAAUUGUUUGAGCAACUUGUUAAUUUGCUAAUGUGAGAAAGGAAAUUCUAACCCGCAUGGAAGAAGGGUUUUUUUUUUUUCCAACCAUGGAGAAAGAUAUAAAAUGACCGGAUUUUUUUAUCUCUUCGGUUGCUGGGCUGUCUUCAUUCGCUAUUCGGUUUGAAUGCUUUUGGACUUUUCAGCUACUAGGCUCUGUUUCGAAGAGAAAAAUAUACCCAAUGUCUUCAUUCGUUAUCCCUGUUUCCACUUUCCAAACAAAAGAAAUACUAUAAGUACAACUUAUAGAUUUUUGGGAAAAAUAUGAUUUUAGUGUAUAUAUUUUUGAUAAAAAUGGUAUUAGUUUUUACUUUAAUUUUGAUCAAUUUAAUUUUUAAACUUUAGAAAAUAAGUGGUUUUUGUCCGGCGGCAGAUUCAUAAUUAUUUUUCAGUUAGACACUUAAAGGAUCAAAUUAAUACUUUUAAAAGAAUUUGAGAAUUAAAUUAAAUUUUUAAAAAAAUCAGAGAUUAAAUUAAAUCUUUUACAAUAAUUUAAAGAUUGCAUUAAUAAUGAAGUCUUAUAUUUUUGCUAUACGACUUUUUUUUUGUUGCCAUUACGUCCUCAAGGAUUCUUCAAGUACGCCCCCAAAACACUUACGCAGACCAAUGUAUACAUAUUCCAUAAUCCAUGAUAUACGUUUGGCCCUUAACUUUUUCUGAAUUUUGUAUUUAAUCUUUAAUUAAAAAAAUUGACUUUUUGUCCGUAUAAUUUUUUUUAUAAAAUAUUUUUUUGUCCUUAAAUUUCUUAUAAUUUAUGAUUUUGAUCCUUAAAUUAUUUUACCACCGAUCAACAUUCCUAAUUAAACUUUUCUGUGUCCAAUGUUUUAUCCUUUUCAUCUAUUUAAAUUUGCAUUUAAAUGAAUAAAUUCAUGUUAGAAUGAACACAACAAUCAGUCAUAUCAUACACGAAAUUUAUAUAUUAGGAGAUAAAAAAAAAGCUUUUUAAACUAGAAUAUUAUAUUAUAUAUAUAAACUAGAAUAUUAGAUGUAAUACUGCAAAAAAAAAAAAUAGUUUGAGGAAAUUAAAUAUAUCAUGGGAAACAAGGUGCCAAACUUGAGAUGAAACUUUGUUGUCAUCUCAGCAUGUGAAAAAUAGAUCAUACUAGUCAAAAUAAUUCCUCAAUACUACAAGGAAAAUGACUUUUACCUACAGUCAAAAUCUAUCAUUAGAAGUUCAAAAUUCGUAGGUAGAUGUAUAAAGGACUUUGUCCUACAGACGUUUUUUGUGUCAACUUUGAGGGGGUAUACAGUGACAACUAAUAGUCUGUCACUAUAGGCUUUACCUACAGAUAUAUUUUUACCUAUAGUCAAAAUUUAACUAUCACUAUAGGUAACACCUACUAUUCGAAAUGUGUAGGUAAAAGAUAUUAAUUUAUACCUAUAAUCUCUAACUGUAGGUAAAAGUCAAUUUACUUGUACCUACGGUCUUCUAUAGGUAAAUGUCAUAUAAUAAUAAUAAAACUAAUUCUUAAUUACACUUUGUUGAUCAGUCUUUCCUGUACUAGGUGGCCCCACAACCAUAAUUAGACCAGGCUGAAUGCCAGAGAUGAUUGCUUCAACCUGCUUGAUAGGAACAUUUCACACUAUUAUUAAUAUUUAUCCAAUACUCAUAGAUAGGGAAUAUAAAUAAGAGGAUAAAGACAUAAAGUACAUGUGGGGAAGUAUAUAUGGGGGAUUUUGAUCACCUACAGUUGAACUGCAGCUAGAGAGAAAGGAAGAAUAGGAAGGCCUCACAAUUUUUUAAAAUGUGUGAACCAAGUGCUUUUUUCCUUGCUCUCCUCAACUGCACCCACUGACAGAAAAUACAAAGAAAACAGAAAGCCAACAUGGCCAAAAAGAACUUUCCAAUUUCUUUGCAUAUUAACAAUGGAAAUUUCUUUAAAACAACCAUCAGCAAAACAUCAACAAGUAAUGGUAAACACAAUCCUAUUCUUUAAUAAAUUUAAGGGUAACAUGAAUCUACAUUGUCACAAAAUCAUGGACUCCUUAUUCUUGUCAAAACUUUUAAAAUAUAUCAUGGCACACUAAUCAUUCAUUUCAUAUUACUGACGAGGCAACAGUAUAAAGGGAAAUAGGACAUGACUUGUGAUGCUAACUACACUACAUACUUAAUAUGUACUGGAUCAAGAAACACAAGCAUUGUAUUUUUGCAUUCUACAUGCAUCAAUUUAGGCAUAUGAAUCAAUUGGAUUUUGGUCAAAUACUCAUAUUCAACUAUUGUGAGGAAAGCAGGGGGGCAAAGAAAGAUUAAAAGAAAAAUCAUUAUGCAUGAAAAGUGACAAUAUAUGAUUGAGAUCAAGAGCUGAAUUCACCUGGGUGGGUGUAAAUCGAACUGAAUUUUGUUUAGGCUGAUCUUGAGGAUAGGGGCCAGGAUCUGGAGGAGUAUAUGUCUCAAUAAUUAGUGCUUGAGGAUAGGGGCCAUGAUCUUGAGGAGGAACUUGAUUAUCUGUAUAUGUAACUGUAUUAAAUAUACAAAUGCCAACUAAUUCAAUAUGUGUGUGUGUGAGAGAGUGAAGAUCCAAAAUCAAGAUUAUUAAAAACAGAAGAGUCAAAAGUUACAUCUUUUAAUCACAUACCUUACAGCAAACAAAAUCUCUUAACUCCUCCGGAGAAAGAACAGACAAUUUCUUGGACAGAUUAGCACGUAAAAGUUGAAGGGAAGGAAUAUUAAUCAGAUAUCUAGAGUACCAUUUGGCUAAGGCUAUAAGAAACUUGUAUACCUUAAGGAGCAUAUCCUUUGGCAAGUUUGAUCUUAAUAACAGGGACCCACUGUGGAUAGACAGUUGCACAAGACAGAAAGUGAAUGAGAAACUUGUGAUAGAAGACUAGACCAGUAGAAACCAAUUGCAAAAUUUACACUACAAAUCUCUUAGAUAGGUAUAUAUGUCUUACCUUGCCACAGGUUACUUCCUAAAUCAUCUUCAACCCCAUCUUUCUUGUACAGCUAAAUAAAAAAAUCAUGUUAGGUGUUGCUAGUAGUAUGAAAAAGUAUCAACCAAAUAAAAUACAAUAAACCCAAAUAACAACUAAUCAUUCUUGUAUAUAUAUAUGAAUUUGUCUUUAAUUCUAUACAGGGCUCAGUUUAACAUGAUCAUCUAGCUUUAAAGAAAUUUGGUCUCUGCAAAUUUCUAUCGAGUAACUCAUCUUUCCAAUGAAAAAAUAUUUACAUUUGAUUUGAAAUAGCAAAGCUUAUAGUAUAAAUCAGCCCAAUGAAUGCUUUCAAUCACACACAUCUAAUAUGGUCUUUUGGUAGUAAGGUUUUGAAAUAACUAAAGUAUAACUAUAAAGAAUAAUAAAUGUAAUCACCAAAGAGUUGUAUCCUGAAUCUUGUGUACUCUUAGGACAAGAAUAUAUGUCCUGGCCACCAUAAUGGAUUGAUGAGCUAAGUUGACAUGGUUGAAGUCUUUGUUCCUAAUAUAUAGAACUCAUAUCCUUUUGUGCUGUGUUCUGAGUUUCACCAUGAUUUCCCAUGCUGAUGUAAUCUGUAUUAAUAGAAAAGAAAAUUUUUUAAUCAUUGCCAAAAAUUUAUAGAAACGUAACAAAACUUGAAAGUUGUAAGCAAGGUUUUAAAAAAGGUCUGCAACCACGAUUUUGACGGCAACAUCAAGAUUUGUUGCAAUAUUGAGGAACGCGACAAAACCACAAAUGCAACUGCAAUUUAAAACUUUGCGUGUACGAAGAGUGUCUAAAAACAUAGUACACUAACCAAAUUUGGAGUUCCACCCUUCACUGGAACUUUUUCCACUCACUUCGGAGCACAGAGAACCUCUCCCUAACACCUGAAUCAUCACAACCAAGAAAAACCUCAGAGCUGUUUCAACAUAGUCCAUAUGCAAUGAUGAUGAUGAAACGACAAUAUGACGAAGAUGCUCACUGUUUGUUUCUUUUGUACAUAAAUUAAACUCGCUGAAAAGCUGAAAUUGGAUUUGCUAAAUGACACAUGAAGCAUUAAAUCACAGACCAUUAGCAGCAGAACAACAAAGCCAGUAAAAAUACAAAACAGAAACUUUCAUGUAAAACAUGAAAUGCACAUAACAAACACAGAGAUUAAAAUGAAUUGAACUAUGAAAAAUCAAACCAAACAAACAUCACACCUUAGGCGGUGGAGGAAACAUAGAUUCAAAAAUCCCAGAAGCAGAAGAUUUCUGGAACUGGUUAGACCCAAAGAGCUCAGAAGUGAAAGAAGAAGAAGAACCCAAAGUUACAAGCUAGCUGGUUACGUAUAAUAAGAGCAAAGUUGCUUAACAAUUCUUUUAAUGCUGCAGCAUGUGUUUCUCUAUUGUAUUUAUAAAUGAUUAAUUGCACCGCUACUCUAUUGUAAGAUUGUGAUUCACUCAUUAAUAAUAUUUACACCACUUAUAUUCACCUUUCUAAUUUUCAAAGAUCUAGACGCUGCAAUAUUAGUGACUUUCGGUUACUUACAAUUUACAAAUCACUAGUUUUAAUUUAUCCGAUCCCAGCAUAGGAUGUGUCGCCCAAGGCUAACAUGGGUUGCUUUAAAUUCAUCAUACCUGCAGCAGGCAUUUGAAUUAUUAGUUUAAUAAAAUAAAUACUUUUUCUUAUCGAAUUUUUGUUUUAAACUUUUCAAGACAAGAUCAAUGUGAAAUUGUUUCAGCAAAAAUAUUCAAACUAUUCAUACGGUACAUGUACUAACUUUUUUAAGAGUUACUUUUUAAGUUGUUUUUUUUUUCAAAGGACUAUUUUUAAUAACUGUUUGGCCCAAUUUUUACUUGUAAGUAACUUUUAAGCUCUAAAAAAGCUGGGCUAAACUGACUAUAAAAAAUACGUUUAUUUCUUAUGUUAGCUGCUAACAAAUACCUUGUUUGUUUAACUCUUAAAUUUUGAACUAUAUAAUUGCUUCUUCUUUUUAUGGGUUUUUCCACUAACGUCUUCCAUGAGGUUAGAGUUAAUUACAUUUACAUCCUUUUUAAUUACAAAAUUAAAUUAUCAUUUAGAUGACUCUUAUUUUUAUAUUAUUAUUUUUAAGGGUACUAGCCUACUAGGUGUGUGGUCUGUACAUAAAAAUAGAAUAAAAUGACCAUUCCUAGUGUCACUCUCGUUAGGUAUGCUAAAUUAUAGAAUGACAAUACCAUUUCAUUUGUAUGUUAAACUGCCUUAUCAAUUCUCUAAGUAGCACCAACUGACAAUCAUUAACCUGAAGCCAAAUUCCAAACGGGCAUAUUUAGGAUGGGAUGACGGGUUGCUACAGUACAUGUUCAGAGACAAGAAUUGAUGACUUUAGAAAUUGCAAAUUAUUUUCUUCCUUUUGGUAUUUUCUUUCAUGAUGACAAGUUUUUGCCAAAAUUAUACCUAGAUGGAUUGGAUGGUUAGUGGAUAAAUGGAUUGAAUUGUCACCCCUAUUGAACUGUGAACAAUGAACCUAUCUAUUCUAUCCUACCUUUUGUGAAAACUUAACUUUUACUUAGAAAGAAUGGGAGAAUUAAUAAGGAUCGAACUCUAUACCACAUAGUCAUAGAGUAACAUUCUGAAAAGCUUAUGCUAUCAGUGCACAGGAGGAAUGAUUUUAUAUCUAAUCUAAUAAGAUAAAUAAGUUUUAUAACACAUGCUUUGGAAAGAAGAAAUAAAAACCGCACCUAUAUUAUAAGACCAUAACUGGUAAAAGCAUAAAGUUUUAGUUAGGGAAACAACUGAAAAGAAGGAAUUCUUACAGGAAAAGGUUCCAAGUUGAUGCAAUCCUACCCCGCAAGGGCAUUGGAUAGAAAACUCCAAGUAGAUUGGGCCAGAGAUGUAAGAGAAGGCCCUAGGGUUCUUAUGAGCCUUAGGGUAGAUUUCGGGCCCAUGGGCUAAGUAUGAGCCCACUUAUCUUUGUAAAUAUUAGAUUAAGGUUUCAUUAUUUUUGGGCCUUAUAUUUAGGGCUCCAUAAUGUAGGUAGGGUACCCUAGAAAUAUAGGAUUUUUCAGCAGUUGUAUUUUAGGGCACCUAGACUAGUUUUUGUAUUAGGGGUAGUUUUGUAAUUUCACAUGCACUAAGUGGAUAUUUGAAUUAUGUGGUUGGAAAUAAAUUUAAUUGAAUUGGUAGAAGCCCAAUCCAAUUAAAUUUUAGAGGGGGAGGUGAGCAUUUGCUUACUACACCCCAUUGCCACAUCAUAUAGUCACACUUUGUGCAUGUCCUUCAUGCUUUUCAUGCCUCAUGACACCUAAGCACACUUAGUGGAGAAUCUUGGAAUUGAUCUUGGAUUAGUGGGCUGAACCAUAACUAAAAUUCACUAAUCAUAAUUAGUGAAAUUUUGGCUCCAAAGUUUGGCUCCACAAAUUCAAUUUCAAAUUCAAGUGAAAUUUGAAUUUCCCUCCAAUUUUGUGUGACACUUAGGCUAUAAAUAGAGGUCAUGUGUGUGCAUUUUUUUCAACUUUGAUCAUUUGAAUAUUAAACUUCAGAUUUCAAAGCUCAUUUAGAGCACAAAAUUUCGUGCUCUUCUCUCCCUCUCCCUUCAUUCAUCUCCUUCUUCCUCCAAGCUCUUAUCCAUGGCCUCCUAUGGUGGUGAGCUUCUUCUAGACUCAUCUUCUCCUUGAAGUGGCGUCUCCUCUCUCUCUCCCUUUCUCCAUUCCGCUGCCAUUCCUUUGCUUCUUAUAAGAUGAAUGAGUGAAAUGAGCCUUUUCUGAAUUUCAGUAUAAAUAUACAUAUUGCAAUAAACUGCAUAUGCAUGAGUGAAAUGAGCCUUUCCUGAAUUUUAUCUUCUUCUUCGUAGAGGUCACUGGUUCUCGAAACCAGCUUUCCCAUACUCAUCACGUAACAUUUUGAUGCUUUCAUUGAGAGCCAAUGACUGUCAUACUAGCUUCAACUACCGCAACCCAAACCACCCGCUAAACAGAGCUCCCGUGGCUGCCUUCCAUGGCUGCCAUUCCAGCCCAAACCACCGCAGUCCAUAGCAUCCGCCAAACCAUCUUGAACUUUCUCCCGCUAGCGAGGACCGCCUCGAGACCGCCCUGGCCAAACUCACCCUCAGUUAACUCAACCUCGCUGCUGUCGUCGACACCUUGGCCACCACCAUCGACAACCUUCUUCAGCGACUAAGCCCCCGUAAUCCCACUCCAUAUUUUUCAUCUUAUGCCCCUGUGCAAGCACCAGCCGCCAUCAUAUCACCUCUGCCGUCCAUGUCGACUCCACCGCCUAUGCCACCUCCGCCGUCCAUUCUGACUGCGCCUCCAUGUCCUACACCCGUGCAACCAUUCACCGCACCCUUGCUGACUCCACAUCCCAUGCCUGCUGCCUACCUCCCUGAUCUCGAACACACGCGCGCCAGUGUUUCAUGCAACAAGCUCGUCGGUACUGUUGCUCCGUAUGACCGUGCAACAACUCCUAAUGGUAAAGAUCUCGAAGGGAGAAACAUGAUGUUGUUUAAGAUAGGAACUGAAUACCAUGGACCUACCAUGGUUGCAUGCAAGCACCAACAAGUUGUUGACCAAGAGUAGUCUCGCCGGAACCGACCUUGGGAUCCUGGUAUUGAUUUUAGAAGCCACUGUUUGAAGCCCCAACACCUUGAGGACAAGGUGUUUUUGAUGGGCCUGGGAAUGAUACAGCUACACCACUAGGGGGGUCUGCAAGAAGUAAGGGCUAUAAGGCCCAAAAGGGAGACUGCACCACCAGCCUACUUGAAGGAUUACCUAUAGCAUGGUUAAUAGGAAGCAAAACGUGCUUUUUAGAUAAAUAGGUUGUUAAAAAAGAAUAAUAUUAUUAUCAUUCUGUUAGGAUAUUUUGUGAUUUUGUUUAUCUUUUUGUUAGUGUUGUCGAGAGCUUGUCACCCAACACUUAGCCUUAUAUAUGUACGAAGGUGCUUUCCUUUAGGAGGUAGUGAAAAUAAAAAUUGGACUUUCCUUUCUCCUUGCAUUAAGAGGUUGGUCCUCGAAUUCCAAGUGCUAUCUUCUUCUCUUCUUCUUCUUCUUCAGGAGGUGAUGGACCCUCGAAACCAGCUUUCCCAUACUCAACACGUAACAUUUUGGUGCUUUCAUUGAGAGCCCAUGGCUGCCAUACCAGCUUUAACUACCGCAACCCACACCACCCACUAAAUAGAGCUCCCAUGGCUGCCAUUCCAGCCCAAACCACCGUAGUCCACAGCACUUGCCAAAUCACCUUGAACUUUCUCCCGCUAGCGAGGACCGCCUCGAGACUGCCCUGGCCAAACUCACCCUCAGUCAACUCAACCUCGUCGCUAUCGUCGACACCUUGGUCACCACCAUCGACAACUUUCUUCAGCGACUAAGCCCUCGCAAUCCCACUCCACAAUUUUCAUCUUCUAAAGCAACUAGCAAGGAGCCUAGUAGAGAUAGUAACAGAGGGUGCUACUAGAAGCAAAGGUAAAGAGAGCAAUCACUAAACCUUCAUACCUGAAGGAUUAUGUGAUAUGAUCGUGGCUGAGAUGACAAUAGGAGGAUUUGCAGAGUAUUGAUGUCGUCCAGCAGGGGGGCAGCAAUAACCAAUUCUGUUUUUGGUUUAGGAUAUUUCCUAGCAUAGAAUCCCAAUUCUGUUAAGGAAUUUCAGUAUAAAUAUACAUAUUGUAAUAAAUUGUAGAUGCAUGAGUGAAAUGAGCCUUUCCUGAAUUUUAUCUUCUUCCUAGAGGUCACUGAUCCUCAAAACCAGCUCUUUAAUUUCCUGCACGUAUCAUUCUCCAUUCCCAACUUCCUUUCCUAAUGUUGAAUCCACCAACUAGUUUCCCUGCUAGCAUAACAAGAUUUAUUAUCCCUGGUCCUAACCAUGAUAAGAAGUGCAGUCCAAAAUAUUUCUAUCUACCCAGAAAAAAUAUAUAGAAAAAAUAAUCAUAACUUAUAAUGAACCUUGCCGCUAUCAAUGAUGUAAAUCCGAUAAAGAAUGUGAUUAGGAAACAAAUGAAUGAGAUCUUAUAGAAUACAUAAUCAGCAAAGUAAGCCAGAAAAAGAGGAAGGAUUUACUUGCCUCUUAGGUGGCCCUUGUGCUUGCACCUAUUGUGAAUGGCUGGGUCCCAGCCUUGGAAGUACGAAGAUGCAUAACUCUCCCUAAUUCGCUUGUAAUUUCGUCAUAUUUUUUAUUCUCCUCCUGUAAUAUAUAUAUAAAAAACAGUGAGGACUGAUUUUUCACUGGAAUUCCAAAGGACUAUAAAAUUCUUUAUAUGAUGUUAGACAAGAGGAAAUAAAAGAACAGCAUAGAGGAACUCGUAUGUGUAGGAUCAAUUCCUGCCACACAUUUAUAGCAAAAGCUUGAGCUAUUAUUUCUUUAUUGCUUUACAUCAAACAAAUACAGAAACAUCCUAAUAUUUUUGUUUUCCCAAAAUUAAACAGAGAUUCAUCCUAGUAAAUGAAGAACUGUAUCAACAUUUACCCAGAAAAACCCAGAGCAAUCAAAGAACAUUCAUCCUUUUCUAGAUUUUAUUAAAAUUGUUGACAUCAAUAUUUUCAGACAAAAAUAUUUGGACAUCCUCCUUAUGAUCUUAAGAACACAAAAAAAAUUAUCUCUCCAAAAAUCGUCAGAGAAAAAUAAUGAUCGAUCCAGAGCACGAACAUCCUCACUGGAAAGGCAGAGAAUGAACAUAGGGUUCAAUCCAUAUUCUUCCAACAAAAUUAUCAUAAAAAAUUUUGAAAAUUUUAUGGGAUACUACCAACCCAUAUAUCAACAUAAAUCAACUACCUUUUUUUUUAUUUUUAACAUUCCAGAACACAUUAAUUAAAAUAAAACAGAAUGGAUAGAAAACAGAGAACACUCAAACCUAAGUGAACACCUAUCAUUUUUUACCAAAAUGCGUGUACCAUUUAAGCUUCACAAUGAUAUAGACAUCACAUUUCCUUCAACCAAAUAUCCUUUUUAAUAACAUAAGAUGCAUCCAAGAUCAGAUCAAAACACCAAAAAUCAGAACAGGGCCAAAUUUCUCGGUGCAUGCGACACGGAUCCUCCAAAAUCAACAUGCAACCACAUAUAUCAUCACUUGCAUCCACGGAUUCGAGCAUCACCCAUCAAGCAAUUUGAAACUCAUCAAGCACCAAGUAGAGGUGCUUAGGACUUGUGAAAAACUCAUCAAGCAAUUUGAACGCAUCAACCACAAGCAAUUUGAAGUGCAAUGGAGACAUAGUCAGGGCUUAGGACUGGUGGAAAAUUAUGAUUAUCACCCUUUUCGAAAAAGCCUAGUUCUUCAAACUUCAAACAGUGACAAACCAAGUAGAUUUUCCAUUAUUUCCCUUGCUCACCUUAGUAUGAGGGCGAGCCCUGGUGCAGCGGUAAAGUUGUGCCUUGGUGACUUGGGAGCAAAUAUAUGAGUCUCGGCUUUACUUUACAAAUUUUUCAAAUUAAAAGGUGUAAUAAUGUAUAGAAUGCAAUGAAGACAUAGUCAGGGCUUAGGACUGGUGGAAAAUUAUAAUUAUAACCCUUUUCGAAAAAGCCUAGUUCUUCAAACUUCAAACAGUGGCAAACCAAGUAGAUUUACCAUUAUUUCCCUUGCUCGCCUUACUAAGCUGUUGUUAGUUUAAUUUACUUGGAAGAGAAUGAAAGGAGUAUAUGGGAGCAAAUAUAUGAGUCUCGGCUUUACUUUACAAAUUUUUCAAAUUAAAAGGUGUAAUAAUGUAUAGAAUAAUUGAACACUGUAGGCGAAAGAGGAAUUAUCUUGACCUUAGUCGCUAUAAUCCUUACAGAAGGCACAUCUUGAAUCAAAUUCCUUGAUCCCUCUCUUGACCUUAGUGGUCAAAAUAAUCUUGCAUAUACGAGUAAGAGAUAACUUUUAGGUUCUCUAAGUAUUGAUGAAUACCAUAAACUCAAGCUUUUACAAAGAGUGCAGUGCUCCUCUAUCAAUGCAGAUGAAAUUCAAGUUAUCCAAUCCCUCGAGCUGUAGUUCCUUCAGUUUCUGAAACCCUCCAUUUUGAAAAUGUAAUCUUUCACCUACAUAGGCCCUGGUCUGGAUAACGAGGAACAACAAAUUUGGCAUAUCUUUUAUUGAUUCUAAUGGAUCAUUAGUUAACUUGAAGUACAUCAAAGACAGUUUCACAAGAUUUUGGAAUCGUGGAAUCCAAUUUGGCAACUUUUUUAACUUUCCAUUGAGGAAAAACUUCCUAAGUCCAACCGGGAUCGACAUAAACUUCAUUGUUAUCUAUUGUAUCAAUAGGUAGUUUCUCCAAGAAUUGCAUCUCAUUUAUCGAGGAACAUAAAGUAUUUCCAUGUUCUCCCUUAAAAUUAGUGAUGCUCAGACUCCUUAACUGCUUUAGCUUUCCUAACUCUCUGAUCACCACUCCUUCAUCAUCCAUUAUCAGUGAAGAUAUCUUUUGUAGAGAUGUCAUGCCUCCAAUACUAUCCUUCUGAUACGUGCAAGGAAAAUAAGAAGGUUUCGAGGACCUAUAGGACCUCCAAAGAACAAAGGGAAUAAAGAAAAGGUAAUUCUCAUUCAUAUCUUGCUUGUUUAUUACAUAUGUAUUAUUUAUACUAUCUCUUCUAGCAAAUUCUGUUAUCGUUUUGUGCCUAAGAGAAUAUAGUUUGUUAUGCAUGUCUCCUCUAGUAUCGACAAGCGCCAAGCAAGAAGAUCACGAAAGAUUGCAUGCUAAAUUCCCUAUCUCAUCCUCAGACAAAGUCCCUGAGGUAAGAUGGUCUCGUCACUACCCUUUUGGGCUUUUUUGCUCUUUGCACCUGCUCUGUUGCUGUUGCUCUGUUUUCAGCACCUUUUGCAUUAGCUUCUAUUUUCCCUUCAGCUGAUUCUGCUUCCUUAUCACUCCACGGCCCUUGGAAAAGCACCUUAUCCCCAAGGUGAAAAUCGUGGCAAAGUUGAGACCAAUCCUCCCAAGAAGUGUCAUCAGGAGAUAGUCCCUGCCACUGGACUAAGACCUGCCAAGUCUCAUUGGGUGAAUCAGCCUUGCGAUAAUCCAGGAUUGCCAAAGGGGCUACGAUAGGCUGAUGAUCAAUAAUUUGGCCUGGUAAAGUGAGUGCAGUAACUUCAGGAUCCCCUUUAAAUGGUUUCAACAUAGAACAAUGAAAAACAGAGUGAAUUUUCGCUUCUGGUGGCAGCUGCAAUCGAUAGGAAACCUUGCCAAUACGUUCAAUGAUCUGAAAAGGUCCAUAAAACAUUUUAGCUAACUUUCCCGAGAAAACUUGAGAACCUUUGGCAGUGGAUUGACGAUGUGGUCUCAACUUCAGCAGCACCCACUCUCCGGGAUUAUAUGUCACCUCACGACGGUGGGUGUCAGCCUGGUCUUUCAUUGUAGCCUGUGCCUUCAAAAGUUUCUUGCGGAUGAAUUGAAAAACUUCAUCUCUGUUGGUCAUAAAGGUGUCAACUGCAUCGAGAUUAGAAGUUCCGGCAAUGUAUGUCGGAAAGUUGAAUGGUUUGCGGCCAAAUGUUACCUCAUAAGGUGUGGUGCCUGUUGCUGCAUUCCAUGAUGUAUUGUGGGAAUACUCCGCCCAUGCCAGAAACCUUCCCCAAUUUGACGGCUGAUGAUGAAUGAAACUCCUCAAAUAUUGGUCAAUGACGUGGUUUAAAACCUCUGUCUGGCCAUCACUUUGAGGGUGAUAGGCCAAACUCAUCUUUAAUUGCGUGCCACUAAGAUGAAAAAGUUUUUGCCAGAACUUGCUGACGAAGAGCGGAUCCCUAUCAGAGACCAAGCUCCGUGGCACUCCAUGGAUCUUCACAACCAAUUCCAGGAAUAGAGAGGCUACUGCGUGAGCUGUGUGUGCUGUGGGCAACAUUCCGAGAUGCACCCCCUUGAAAAAAUGAUCAACCACCACUAGAAUAACAGUAUUGCCGCGGAAAGGGGGUAAGCCGGUGAUAAAGUCAAGGGAGAGAUCCAUUAUAAAGUCAAGCGGAAAAGCGAUGUUGUUUAAGUUCUUUGGCUCUUAAAAGCUUUCAAGGUUGUCUCAAAUUCGUAAAAGAUAAGAAUAAAACUCAAAAUAAUUGAAAAAUGAUUUUUACAUAGUCUAAAAACCUAUAUAUAGCUUCGUAAAGAUAUUUUCUUGAAAAGGAGCACUACAAUCGUGGUUAGAAGUGACGCUGAAGCCUCGAACCAUUAUAAAUUGACUAUGAUCCUCUUGAUUUACCAUGAUCGUGGUCAAUUUACCAUGGCUAUUGUUGGAUCUUGAUGCUGUUUGGGAGGACUCUUAUCUCUUUAUUGUGAUCAUGCUGAUUAUCACGACUGUGAUCAAUGUACCACGAUAGUAAUCUAGUUAUGUAAAGUUCUUAAAUCUUCAUAAAUUUGUAUAAUUUCCUACUCUUUCACUCAAUUGAGUGGUUAUACUUUUGGAAUACAAAACUAGUGUCCAAUUGCAAAUUCUACCAAGAAAAUGCAUACAAAAUAACACAAAAAUUUGUACAAAAUAUCACUCACAAAGUGAUUUAUCAAUAACUUAUAAAAGUCCCAUUUUAGAAAACAUUGUUGUGUUGUUUUAUGAGAGUUAAAAUAUGUUUUUAAUCAAAAAGAUUUUUGAUGUUUUCAAACAUCAAGGAUUAAAAGGAAAAAAAAAGAGUGAAUAAACAAAAAAUUAGGCAAUUUAAUUGAAUAUUUUAGAAUUCAAUAAAAUUUUCAAAAUUUUUAAAAGUAAAAAAAAACCUUACUUUUUUGUCGUGCUAUUUCUUUAUUUAGCAUUGGUCCUCUAUUAAUAAACAAUUUAAUUUAGUAGUUUAAUUUUCAAAACGGUGCAAUUUGACCCCUUAGUAAACUUCUUGUUCUCACUGUUUGUUUUGUUUGUUUUUUAAAUUUUAAUAAACAAUUUAAUUUGUUCCUUUGUUUGAUUCAAUCUCAUCCCACUAUUAAUAAACAAUGUCAAGUGAAUUUGGACCGAAAAGAUAAAAUUGAAUCGAUUUGGAAUUAAGCGAUUAAAUUAAAGAUUAUAUUAUUAGGAGGACAAAAUUAAAUAAAAUAAAUAAUGAAUGAGAUAAAAAGAUAAAAUUAAGCCUUGAAAAAUUUAUCUAACUCCAGAUAAGUGAUAUAUAACUUGAUUUUAAUAAUAUAUAUUCGACCAUUAAAAUGUUUUUGAAAAAUAUGGGAUCAAACCUAAACAUAAAAGUUUGAGUACCAAAAUUGCUGAAGCACUAUGCUAAGAGGAUUAAAGUGCUAAGCCAAAAUCAAACAUGUCUUGUUACAAUACGAGUUCACCCCAAGCUUAACAUGUACAACCCAAAUUUUCACUCCAAUUCAAGUUCUAGAACGUGGGUUUGGUUAUACAAAACUGAGAGUACCCCAUCCUAUUUAUAGAGUUUGUCCAUCACAGAGCUCAACCAACUCGUUAUCAGAACGUGGGCUUGAGGAUAGGUACGUGAGUUUGUUACUGAAGGUUACAGAGAUAAAGGUUGAAUGUGGAAGGAAAAUGAAUUAGAUUCAGAAAACCAAAUUCCUGAAAAAUUGCAACUUGAAAAAUAAAAUAAAAGAACGUGGAACGUGGGCCGCACAACCAUUCCAACAUUCUCCCACUUAGUCCAUUUAACUCCACAUCAACCGUAACAAGAAACAUAAUAUAUGAGUCAUGUGAUAGGUCCUCUGAUGAUGAGUAAUGUCUUUCAUGUACCACAAUAUAUCAAGUCUCUCAACACUAGCUCUCAACUUAAUGAAUAAACCAUAUGUUUAUUCUAUAUCUAAACCGAAUGAUUUUUCUCGAAAUAAAUAAAUAUAUGCACAAAACCAUAUGAGAAAAUAUCUAACUAGAUAAGAGUUUCAUUGAAAAUAACAAAUGUACGUACAAUGAAAUUACAUCAUGGAACCAAGUCCCAUUCGUACUAUAUAAUCCUUAAAAUUUUUUGGUGGCAUGCCUUUAGUUAAAGGAUAAACAAUCAUCAACUCAGUGUUGACGUGUUCAAUGACCACUUUCUUUUCUUUAACACGUCCUCUUAUGGCUAAGUACUUGAUGUCGAUGUGCUUACUUCGACUUCCACUUUUAUUGUGUUAGCCAUAAACAUCGCAACAGAGUUGUCACAGUACAACUUUAAUGGCCUGAAAAUAGAGUCUGCAACUCUAAGGCCAAACAUGAAACUCUUCAGCCAUACACCAUGCGAGGUAGCCUCAAAACAAGAAAUGAACUCAGCCUCCAUAGUGGAAGUAGCAGUUAAGGUUUGCUUGGCACUUCUCCAAGAUACAGCUCCACCGGCUAACAUAAAAAUAUAACUAGAUGUUGAUUUUCGUGAAUCAAUGCAACUAGCAAAGUUUGAAUCAGAGUAGCCAAUCACUUCUAGACAAUCAGUUCAUCUGUACAUGAGCAUGUAAUCCUUUGUUCCUUGAAGAUAUCUCAUCACUUUCUUUGCAGCUUUCCAGUGGUCAAUACUUGGAUUACUCUGAUAUCUUCCCAAGACUCCAAUAGCGAACACAAUAUCAGGUCUAGUGCAAACCUGAGCAUACAUAAGGCUUCCAACUGCUGAAGCAUAUGGAAUAUUUUUCAUGUGUUCCCGUUCAAAAUCAUUUUUGGGAGAUUGACCCAAAUCAAGUUUAUCACCUUUCACAAUGGGAGCUACACUUGGUGAACAACUUUUCAUAUUAAAUCUCUUUAAAAUUUUGUUGAUAUAGGUUUCGUGAGACAAGCCUAAAAUGCCUCGAGAUCUUUCUCUAUGGAUCUUUAUGCCUAUGACAUAAGAUGCCUCUCUCAUAUCCUUCAUAUCAAAGUUCUUUGAGAGAAACUGUUUCACCUCAUACAGUAUACCCUUAUCAUUAGUCACAAGCAAAAUAUCAUCUACGUAUAACACUAGAAAACAAAUCUUACUCCCGCUGACCUUCUGGUAUAUACAGUGAUCCAUGACAUUCUCUUCAAAGCUGAAUGAAGAAAUGACCUCAUGAAAUUUUAAAUACCACUGGCGGGAGGCUUGUUUCAAUCCAUAGAUGGACUUAUUAAGCUUGUAGACUAAGUGCUCACCAACACUAGAUAAGAAUCCCUCAGGUUGUUUCAUGUAAACCUCUUCUUCUAGAUCACCAUUCAGGAACACUGUUCUCACAUCUAUUUGAUGCAGCUCAAGAUCAAAAUGAGCUACUAAUGCCAAAAUUACUCGAAGAGAGUCUUUCUUAGAUACAAGGGAAAAGGUCUCUGUGUAAUCGAUUCCUUUUCUUUGAAUGAAUCCUUUAGCAACAAGUCUUGCCUUAUGUCUCUCAAUGUUGCCUUCUAAGUCUUUCUUUGUUUAAAAGACCCAUCUACAUCCGGCGGCUUUUACACCAACUGGAAACUCAACGAGAUCCCAAACUUGGUUAGAUGCCAUAGAAUCCAUCUCAUCCCUCAUAGCAUUAUACCACAAAUUUGAUUCCUUAGAACUCAUGGCUUGUGAAAACGUCUCAGGAUCAUUUUCAACUCCAAUAUUGUAGUCUGAUUCUUGUAGGUACAUUACAUAAUCACUAGGAAUUACUAUCCUUUUUACUCUAGUAGAUCUUCUUAAUGCUGCUUGGUCAUCCUGCUGAGGAACUUGUUUAACCGAUUCUUCACCAGUUUGUUCAAUAUCAUCACAUUGUUCCUCACAAACAACUUGAUCUACAUGAUCACUUUCAACAGCUUGUGGAACUUCAAUCAUUAGUUGUCUAACACCCAUUUUAACUUAAGGGGUGGUAAUGACUACCAACCUGUUACUUAUCCCAGAAGGUUAAGCUUCAUAGUGAUCCCUUUCAGAAGAAAUGUUCUUAAAUUGAUCACUCCCACUGAUCAAGUCAUUUUCAUGAAACUUUGCAUUCCUUGAUUCUACAAUCCUAGUGUUGUGGGAUGGACAAUAGAACCUAUACCCUUUAGACUUUUCAGCAUAUCCAAUGAAAUACCCAGUAAUAGUCCCCAGUAAUAGUCCUAGGGCCUUGUUUCUUCUCUUGUGGAUUAUAAAUUCUUACUUCAGACGGGUAUCCCCAAACGCGUAUAUGUCACAAACUUGGUUUCCAACCCUUGAAUAACUCAAAAGAUGUCUUUGAGAUAGCCUUGGUUGGAACUCAGUUUAAUAUAUACACAACCGUCUUAAGUGCAUCAAUCCAUAAAAAUUAAGGAAAAUUUACAUUACUCCUCAUGCUUCUCACCAUGUCUAAUAAGGUUCAAUUUCUUCGUUCUGCCACACCAUUCUAAUCCGGAGAACCAGGCAUAGUGUAUUGGGCAACAAUCCCAUGUUCUUGAAGAAAUUUCGCAGUUGAACCUGAUUGUCCAUCCUCUGUGUAUCUACCAUAGUACUCCCUACCUUUAUUUGAUCUCACGAUCUUAAUUUGUUUUUUACAUUGUUUCUCAACUUCAGCCUUAAAAACUUUAAAGGCAUCUAAAGCUUCAUUCUUAGAAUGAAGUAAGUAGAGAUACAUAUAUCGUGAAUAAUCAUCUAUAAAGGUUAUGAAGUAUUUUAGACUAUUUGCAUCCAUGUCUGGACAACAUAUGUCUGUAUGUAUGAUUUCUAAUAAAUUAGAACUCCUCUUUGCACCCUUUUUAGACUUGUUAGUUUGCUUACCCUUAAUGCAAUCUACACAAGUCUCAAAAUCAGCGAAAUUCAAAGUACUAAGUACUCCUUCAUUUACUAAUCGCUUAAUUCUCUCAAUAGAGAUAUGUCCUAAUCUCCGGUGCCACAACAUAGAGGAUUCUUUAUUCACAAUACAUCGUUUUAACCCAACAGAAACAUGCAUAGAAUUAUAAGUAGCAUCGCUUUUCAAUUCAAUCGAAUGAAGACCAUCAAUCAAUUGACCACAACCAAUAAUUUUGGAUUUAUUCAGUAAAUUAAAACCAAAGUCUGUAAAAUUAAAAUAGAAUCCCAAAGGUGCAAGUUUAGAAACAGAAAUUAAGUUUUUACAAAAACUAGGAACAUAAAAAACUUUCUCCAAAUGCAAUUUAAAGCCACUACUUAAAACUAAGAUGCGCGUUCUAAUGGCCUCUACAUGCGAGCUCAUCCUACUCUUUGAGUAGAUGCACUGCUCACUUUCCACUGGCUUCCUUAGACUUUCCAUACCCUGCAAGGUAUUAGAAACAUGGAUUGUAGAACCAGAGUCAAUCCACCAUGUAUUAUGAUUCACAUUAAUCAUAUUAGAUUCAUAACAAAUGAAAGUAAAUAGUGUACCUUUAUUCUCAAACCAACUUUUAAAUUUGGGGCAAUCCUUCUUUAUGUGUCUUUUCUUUUUACAGAAGAAACACUUUGACUCCUUUGUAAUUGUUGGUUGAGUUGGAAUCCUUCCUUUAUUGGUCCCUACAGACUUCUUCCUAUCCUUUCCAAAAGUAGAAGUAGUCAAAUUUACCUUCUCACCCUCUUCCAUUAUCAAUCUCUCCUCUUCUUGAACACACAUGGUCAUCAGUUCAUUAAUAGACCAUUUAUCCUUAUGUGUGUUGUAGGAGAUUUUAAAGGGUGUAUACUAUUGAGGUAGGGAGCACAAAAUGAAAUGUACCAGGAAGGAUUCAUACAUGGUAACUUCCAAGAUUUUCAACUAAGCCUCUAUGUCCCUUAUGCACAUGAUAUGUUAACGCACACCUCUCGUUCCAGUAAGCUUAAUGGAAAAGAAUUGCAUAAUGAGUGUGCUAGCAAGCGACUUCUCAGAGGUCGUAAACUGUUCAUCAAUGGCUUUCAAAAGAUCUCUGACCUUAUUAUGUUGGUCAACUGAAUCCCGGAUAUUAGCGGAUAUGUUGGUUUUUAUGAACAUAGCGGAGAGACGAUUAGAUCUCUCCUACUUUUCAUAAAGGUCAACAACAUCAGGUUCCCUAGUUUCAGUAAUAGCCGGUGGCUCAUCCUUCCUUAUAGCAUAGUCAAUAUCCAUCCAGCCCAAAUGAAGGAGAAUUCUUACCUUCCAAACCUUAUAAUUAUCACCUUUCAAUAUGGGAAGGUCACAAGAAAUUAAUAUUCAUAGAUUGUGAAAUUGCAAACAAACACACAUGCUCAUUAAGAAAAUUUGAGACUAAACAAAUGUCAUGUUUUGUCAAUGCAAAUCAUGUCUCAAUAUAUGAAUCUAGUGACACAAAACUUGCCUAUGGGCUAAAGUCCUACUCAAUUAGAUUCAUCAUGCAAAUUUAAGAUAAAACUAUUAAAUCAUGUUCUUUUCCUUAAUUCUUGUGGGUAAAUUAAGAAAUAUAAUCUAAUAUUUUAUCCUAAUUAAUCAUACAAAUACAACAAAAUUCCUGUAGGUAGAUUUCAUCACAUUACAUAUUAUUAAUCACAAUUAAUGUUUCUAAUGUGAUUAUAAAGUUAGCAUAUAAUUUUACUCAAUUAAAGAUAUUGUGGCUACUCUCUAAUUUAAUAAAAUUAUAUUAAUCACUUAACAUUCAAAAAUAAUCUUUGCAUAACAUACUUAAUAAUACAAAUGUGCUCAAUAUUAAAUCAUAAAAAUUACUUGUAUACCAAUUCAAAAUAAUAUUAUACGUAUAUCCAUUCAACAUGUAAUAAACUUUAAAGGAUCAAAUCCAAUGCAUACUAGUAUUUAACAUAAUAUUGCAUGUUCAACAUAACUUAGAGACACACAAUUUUAAAUAGCUUGCACAUAAAUGAUUUAUCCUUCAGCAGUUAUAAAAAUAAACAAAUAAAUUGCAAUAGCUUAAUGGCAAAGGGAGUCAUUUCAUGCUAUAGUAAACAAAACACGUGCAUGUGCGUCUUCUUCCUCCGGCGUAUCACAUUAUUUUAAUAUAUAAAAGUUAGCUUCCCUUUAUGCUUUCUAAAAAGCUUCAAACUUUUAAUAUUUAAAUAUUAAAUUCAGAUAUAAAAGUUAGCUUCCCUUUUACGUUUUUUGAAAAGUUUCAAACUUUUAAUAUUUAAAUAUUAAAUUCAGCUUUCUGAGAAGUGUACGCUUUCAAAAAUUCCGUUUAACGCUUAUUGUUCACCUUUCUUCUCUAAUUGAACAAAAGCAGAAUAGAAGCAAGGCAGAGGCACUAUGAAGCUUUGAUACCAAAUGUAAAUUAAACAGGUACUCAUCUAAACAUGUAAAUCAAUUGAAAUGGCACAUUUAGAUCAAACAGCGGAAACUAAAUAUUACGAGCGUACCUUUAGCCAUUGCAGAUCGAACGCGAAGUGACGCAUACACGAACCCAAAGGCAUCUUUGUUCUUCCAGACCCUUACUCGCUCUAAAUAGAUGGUGUAUUUUUCUGAAUAGAGGAGUGACUCUGUCCAUCAUAGAGUUCAACCAACUCGUUAUUAAAACAUGGGCUUGAAGAUAAAUACGUGAGUUUGUUACUAAAGGUUAUAGAGAUAAGCGUUGAAUGUGAAAGGAAAAUGAACCAAAUUCAAAAAACAAAGUUCCUAAAAUAUUGCAUCGGGAAAAAUAAAAUAAAAGAACGUGGAAUGUGGGCCGAACGACCAUUCCAACAGAAUCCACCAAGUUGUUUCCCUGCUAGCAUAACAAGAUUUAUUAUCCUUGGUCCUAACCAUGAUUAAGAAGUGCAGUCCAAAAUAUUUCUAUCUGCCCAGAAAAAAAUAUAUAGAAAAAAUAAUCAUAACUUAUAAAGAAACUUGCCACUAUCAAUGAUGUAAAUACGAGAAACAAUGUGAUUAGGAAAAAAAUGAAUGAGAUCUUAUAGAAUACAUAUCAGCAAAGUAAGCCAGAAAGAGAGGAAGGAUUUACUUGUCUCUUUAGCUGGCCCUUGUGCUUGCAACUAAUGUGAAUGGCUGGGUCCCAUCCUUGAAGUUCUAAGAUACAUAACUCUCCCUAAUCCGCUUGUAAUUUCGUCAUAUUUUUUAUUCUCCUCCUGUAAUAUAUAUAAAAAAACAGUGAGGACUGAAUUUUCACUGGAAUUCCAAAGCUUUUACGUGAACAAAAUAUACUUAUUAAUUCCUUAGUAAAACGCCCGUCGGUAAUAUAUAUAAAAUGAAGAAAGAAUUAAUAAUUAAGAAUAAGUGUAUAAAUAUAAUUAGAUGAAAUUAGGGUGAGCUCAAAAGUCUGAUUCUAUAAAGAUUGAUUUUGAUACCUCCAAUGCAUCCUAGCUUGUUCACUUGCAGCCCUCUAUAUAGCUUUGUUCUUCGUCUUCUUCCCUCUUCUCUACAUAUACAACAGAAUAGAUAUGAUCGAAACCUUAAGCGUCUCUCAUUAAUAUUUUUUGCUUUAGUUGUUGUCAUUGUUAUCUAUCUCCACUUUUGUAUUGGUUCUCAUUCUGUUUCGUCCAUUCCACUAUCCCAGAGAUACCAGAAAGUUCCCUUUCAACAACUCAGUCAUGCCAUGUGGGGAGUAGAGACAAGUUGAGAGUACUGCAUGUAUGGCGUGGUCAUGCCAUGUAUUUUUUUAUUUAUUAUUAUUUGCCUUCAAUCUCACGUCACGUUCUCAUCAAACAAAUACUGAAACAUCCUAAUAUUUUUUUCCCAAAAUUCAACAGAGAUUCAUCCUAGUAAGUGAAGAACCGUAUCAACAUUCACCCAGAAAAACCCAGAACAUCAAAGAACAUUCAUCCUUUUCUAGAUUUUAUUAAAAUUGUUGACAUUAAUAUUUUCACACAAAAAUAUUUGGACAUCCUCCUUAUGAUUUUAAGAACACAAAAAAAUAAUUAUCUCUCCAAAAAUCGUCAGAGAAAAAAUAAUGAUCGAUCCAGAGCACGAAUGUUAGGUGCAAAACGAUAACUGGCUUCGAGGACCAGAAAUCUCCAGAAGAUUAGAGAGGAAGAAGGAGAAAGAGUAAGGUAAAGGAAAAUUUUAUUCAUAUUCUUGCUUGUUAUUUACAUAGAUAUGUAUAGCAAUUCUCCUAACAGAAUUGUGCCAUUUUGCUCAAGGAAUAUUACAGGUAUCAGAAUUUGUUAUUCUUGUCGGAUGAAAUGAGACAAGCACAACCCAAGCAAGAUCUUUGCUGCUGCAUUGCCCUAUUUGUCCUUUGCUUCAUACGUAAUCGUGAAGGUAUGAUGGUUUCGCUGCCCUUCUCUUGGACUUUUCUUCUUUUCGCACCUCCGGUUUGCUGGAUAUUGCCAUUUUCUUCUCUGUUUCUGCUUUCUUGUUGUCUGCUUCUGGUUUCUUGUUCAUGUUGCCUGCUUCUGAUAACCUAUCAUAUCGUCACUGGAAAUGCAGAGAAUGAACAUAGGGUUCAAUCCAUACUCUUCCAACAAAAUUAUCAUAAAAAAUUCUGAAAAUUUUAUGGGAUACUACCAACCCAUAUAUCAACAUAAAUCAACUACCUUUUUUAUUUUUAACAUUCCAAAACACAUUAAAUAAAAUAAAACAUAAUGGAUAGAAAACAGAGAAUACUCAAACCUAAGUGAGCACCUAUCACUUUUUACCAAAAUGCGUGUACCAUUUAAGCUUCACAAUGAUAUAGACAUCACAUUUCCUUCAACCAAAUAUCCUUUUUAAUAACAUAAGAUGCAUCCAAGAUCAGAUCAAAACACCAAAAAUCAGAACAGGGCCAAAUUUCUCCAUGCAUGCGCAUGGAUCCUCCAAAAUCAACAUGCAACCACAUGUAUCAUCACUUGCAUCCACGGAUUCGAGCAUCAACCAUCAAGCAAUUUGAAACUCAUCAAGCACCAAGUAGAGGUGCUUAGGACUUGUGAAAAACUCAUCAAGCAAUUUGAACGCAUCAACCACAAGCAAUUUGAAGUGAAAUGGAGACAUAGUCAGGGCUUAGGACUGGUGGAAAAUUAUGAUUAUCACCCUUUUCGAAAAAGCCUAGUUCUUCAAACUUCAAACAGUGACAAACCAAGUAGAUUUUCCAUUAUUUCCCUUGCUCACCUUAGUAUGAGGGCGAGCCCUGGUGCAGCGGUAAAGUUGUGCCUUGGUGACUUGUUGGUCAUGGGUUCGAAUCCGGAAACAGCCUCUUUGCAUAUGCAAGGGUAAGACUGCGUACAACAUCCCUCCCCCAUACCUUCGCAUAACGAAGAGCCUCCGGGCAAUGGGGUACGAAGUUUUUCCCUUGCUCACCUUAGUAAGCUGUUGGAGUUGAGAGAAGUUGAUAAUGAAUUCUUCCAAGUUCGUAUAAAUGAUUCCCCUUUCCAACAUCAAAAGGAAAGUGUUAGUUUAAUUUAAUUGGAAGAGAAUGAAAGGAGUAUAUGGGAGCAAAUAUAUGAGUCUCGGCUUUACUUUACAAAUUUUUAAAAUUAAAAGGUGUAAAAAUGUAUAGAAUAAUUGAACACUGUAGGCGAAAGAGGAAUUCUCUUGACCUUAGUCGCUAUAAUCCUUACAGAAGGCACAUCUUGAAUCAAACUCCUUGAUCCCUCUCUGACUAAUGUAGUAGUCAAAAUAAUCUUGCAUAUACGAGUAAGUGAUAACUUUUAGGUUCUCUAAGUAUUGAUGAAUACCAUAGGCCUGGUGCCUCCAAGAGUCGUGGGAUUGUCAUAAACUAAAGCUUUUGCUAAGAGUGCAGUUCUCCUCUAUCUAUGCAGAUGAACUUCAAGUUAUCCAAUCCCUCGAGCUGUAGUUCCUUCAGUUUCUGAAACCCUCCAUUUAGAAAAUGUAAUCUUUCACCUACAUUGGCCCUGGUCUUGAUAACGAGGAACAACAAAUUUGGCAUAUCUUUUAUUGAUUCCAAUGGAUCAUUAGUUAACUCGGAAUACAUCAAAGACAGUUUCACAAGAUUUUGGAAUCGUGGAAUCCAAUCUGACAACUUUUUUAACUUCCCAUUGAGGAAAAGCUUCCUAAGUCCAGCCGGGAUCAACAUAAACUUCAUUGUUAUCUAUUGUAUCAAUAGGUAGUUUCUCCAAGAAUUGCAUCUCAUUUAUCGAGGAACAUAAAGUGUUCCAUGUUCUCCCUUAAAAUUAGUGAUGCUCAGACUCCUUAACUGCUUUAGCUUUCCUAACUCUCUGAUCACCACUCCUUCAUCAUCCAUUAUCAGUGAAGAUAUCUUUUGUAGAGAUGUCAUGCCUCCAAUACUAUCCUUCACUGCAAUUGAAGAUAUUUCGUUAGCCAGAAGAUGACGUAGCUUUAAAAGCUUGCUAAUCUCCUUUGGUAUCUCAAACACUUUUGUUUGUCUUACAUCCAAUGAUAUGAAUAGUGGAAGAGAGGUGCAGGAAGUAACUCAGGGUCUAGACAGCAAUGAGGGGGUGCAAGGAGGAAAACCAAAGAGAACUAUUCACAGGCCUGCAUACCUGAAAGAUUAUGCGUGACCAAGCUGAGCUGGAAUAGAGAAUAGAGAAUCUGCUGAGAUUGUUGUCGAGCCUCAGGGGGCAGCAAUACCAUUUUCGUUAUGCUUGUAAUCUUUUCCUUCAACAGAAUCACAAUUCUGUUAGGAAUAUAGCUUUAUAUAUAUGACCACUGUAAUAACAGCAGAUAUAGAAGAAAUAUAUACAACUUUACCUUCUCUGUUCUCUGCGUUCCUUUCUUCUUAGGAGGUUCUGGGCCUCGAACCCAGCUCGCGUCUAUCAUUUUUGGUGCUCUCGUUCACCAUGUCUGAUUCCUCCCAUACCCUUGGUUCUGCAGUCACCCUCGAAGCCGCCAUUCUCAAACUUCCCCAACACCAAAUGUCCCUCAGUGAAUCCGUCCACAACAUGACCCAGAAAUUUGAUGAACUCCUCCUUCGCUUACCACUCUCCCCGAUUCAACCGCAACCCACUUCUGCUCCUACCCUCACCUCCCCUGUUCCUGCAACACAGCAUCGUAUGAAACUUGACAUACCCAGGUUCGAUGGCACUGACCCUUGCGAGUGGGUGUUCAAAAUCAACCAAUACUUUCAAUACCACGCUACCCCAGAACAUGAACGUCUUACCAUUGUUGCCUUCUACAUGGAGGGUCGAGCACUGGCGUGGUUCCAGUGGAUGACCAGCAAUGGUCAACUGACAUCGUGGCCCCCUUUCCUCCACGCCUUGCAGACUCGAUUCGCCGCCACCACGUACGAGGACCCUACGGGCUCCCUCUUCAAGUUGACGCAGACCGGCACGGUGGCUCAAUAUUUGUCCGACUUCGAGGACUUAGCCAACAGAAUCGUUGGUCUCCCUGCGCAAUUCCUCUUGAGUUGCUUCAUUUCGGGCCUCAUGCCCGAAAUACGCCGUGAGGUUCAGGCGUUGCAGCCUAUGACCCUUGUGCAAGCCGCGGGUCUCGCUCGCCUCCAAGAAGACAAGCUUCUGGAUACACGCUCCUCCUUCCGUCACCGUGCACCGCCGACUUUGACGAUACCGGUUUCUCGCCCAGCUCCCACUACGACCCUCUUACCCUCUCCACCUUCUCGCGUGCCCACCCCUCGCUCACCCACACCGCGACCUCCACCCACUCUGAAAAGGCUCUCACCGGAGGAGAUGAUCUCCCGCAGGGAACGCGGGCUGUGCUUUAAUUGUGACGAGAAGUACCAUAGAGGUCACAGAUGUGCCUCUAGGGUUUUCUUCUUGGUUGCUGAAGAAGACCCAGCUGCUGAGGUUAAUAUAGAGGAACUGGACCCAGGACCCGAACCACCCGCGACCCAUGACCCGUUAGCGACCCAAAUCAGUUUCAAUUCUUUGGCGGGUCAUUUAGCCCCGGAAACGCUCUGACUGUUAGGGAUGCUCUCCGGCCACCAGGUUAUCAUCCUCGUGGACGGGGGUAGCACCCAAUUCCGGCGACUCCUCCGUAAACCACAUACGGGAGUCUAUUUUCACAUCACCGUGCUCGAAGACGAACCUCAGACUGGUAAGAGUCCCCACCCACGUCUUCAAUAUUUAAUUGAUCGUUUCCUUGCCUUAUUUCAGCCCCCUUCUUCGCUGCCACAAGCUGCGCCGGUCAACGUAUGACCUUAUCGUUAUCCACAUUACCAGAAACACGAGAUUGAGUCGCAGGUUGAAUCAAUGCUCCAGAAAGGACUCAUUCGCCCAAGUAACAGUCCCUUCUCCUCCCAUGUGCUUCUGGUUCGCAAACAGGAUGGGUCAUGGCGCUUUUGCGUGGACUACAGAGCUUUAAAUGCAAUCACGGUGCGUGAUCGGUUCCUGAUACCCACCAUUGACGAGCUCUUAGACGAAUUGGGCAAAGCUUGUUGGUUCUCCAAACUUGACCUGCUCCAGGGGUAUCAUCAGAUCAGAAUGAACUCCGACGACAUUGCCAAGACUGCAUUCCGUACGCACCACGGGCAUUAUGAAUUCAAAGUCAUGCCCUUCGGCCUCUACAAUGCGCCGUCGUCAUUUCGGGCGACCAUGAACAUGAUUUUCCGGCCAUUCCUUCACAGAUUCGUGAUCGUCUUUUUCGAUGACAUCUUGAUUUAUAGUGUGACAUUUGAUGAUCAUCUUGUUCAUCUGGAACAAGCCUUCCAAGUCUUAGCUGAGAAUCAAUUCGUCCUCAAAUUGACCAAAUGCUCUUUCGGUCAACCUCAGGUGGAGUACCUGGGACAUAUGGUUUCUUCGAAGGGCGUUGAGCCUGUGGCUUCCAAGGUCAGCGCCAUACACCAUUGGCCCGUUCCAAAGUCAACUCGUGCUCUACGGAGUUUUCUUGGACUUGCGGGAUUUUACAGACGCUUCAUAAGGGGGUAUGCUUCCAUCGCGACACCUCUGGUGCGAGUCACCACGGUGGAACCCUUCCAAUGGACCACUGAAGCUCAGGGAGCAUUUAGCAUGUUGAAGAAGGCUUUGUCGGAGGCUCCAGUUCUCGCGCUUCCCGAUUUCCAGGUUCCCUUCACUAUGGAAACGGAUGCUUUUAGGGUAGGGAUGGGUGCCAUUCUCUCUCAGCGAGGCCAUCCUAUAGCUUAUUUUAGCAAGCCAUUCCCCCCGAAACUCCACCAUGCCUCUACUUAUGUCAGGGAAUUAUUCGCAGUGACCACCGCAGUCCGGAAAUGGAGACAAUAUAUCCUUGGGCACCGUUUUACAAUCAUUACAGAUCAUCGGAGUUUGAAGGAACUCCUCACCCAAGUCAUACAAACUCCCGAACAGCACAUGUACUUGGCACGACUGAUGGGGUUUGAUUAUCAGAUACAAUUUCGUUCCGGCGCAAGCAACCAGGCAGCAGAUGCCUUAUCGCGGCUCCCAGAGCACACCACUUCCUUGUUCUUGACACUAUCAGUACCCUGCCUGACAUUCAUGGACGAAUUACGAGCUCAGUUGACAGCGAGUUCUGAAUUCCAGGACAUGGUCAAAGCCAUUCAAACAUCACCCUCAGUGUAUCCUGAUUACACUAUUGUCAAUGAUUUGGUACUCAGAAAAGGGCAAAUUUGGCUCCCUUCCAAACUUGCUCUCAUUCCUACAUUGUUGACCGAAUUCCACGCAACACCCACUGGGGGACACUUGGGAACUGCCAAGACAGUAGCACGCAUAAUGGAGAACUUCCACUGGACUGGCUUAAGGAAAGACGUUGCUGACUUUGUAGCUCAAUGCAUGGAUUGUCAGAGUGUGAAAUACGAGACAAAACGAGUAGCCGGACUGCUUUGCCCCUUACCCAUUCCUCACCGGCCAUGGGAAGACCUCUCCCUUGACUUCAUUGUUGGCCUUCCCCCGUAUCAUGGUCACACUGUUAUUCUUGUUGUUGUGGAUCGAUUUUCCAAAGGGAUCCAUUUGGGCAUGUUGCCCACAGUCCAUACAGCCCAUUUUGUAGCUUGUCUGUUCAUGGAUAUCGUCGGAAAGAUUCAUGGUAUGCCCCGGAGCUUGGUAUCGGACCGUGACCCUCUUUUCGUAAGUCGUUUUUGGCAGGAAUUGUUCCGGCUUAGCGGUACUCAGCUCCGCAUGAGCUCUGCCUACCAUCCACAGAGUGAUGGUCAAACAGAGGUGUUGAACAGAGUUAUUGAGCAGUGCCUCCGUUCGUUCAUACAUCGCCGGCCGAGCUCAUUGGGUAAAUUUCUCCUCUGGGUUGAAUGGUCUCACAACAAGUCGUGGAACGCGGCCACUGGGUCCACGCCAUAUGAAGUCACCUUUGGCCGGAAACCCUUCAACUUCCCGGAAUACAUUACUGGUUCAUCCAAUGUGGACGCGGUGGAAGAGAUGCUGACCAAUCGUGAGGAGACUUUCCUAUCUAUUCGAAAGAAACUCCUUAAGGCACAAGCUCAGAUGAAGCAUUAUGCAGAUGCAAGGCGGAGGAACGUGGAAUAUCACCCGGGAGAUUGGGUCAUGCUCAAAUUGUGACCACACCGUCAAUCUUCAGCUAAACACUCGCAGGCAACGUCGGGCAAGUUAUCUAAACGGUAUUAUGGGCCGUUUCAGAUAUUGCAACGUGUUGGACAGGUCGCGUAUAAGCUGCAGUUACCUGAGGGUGCUAGAAUUCACCCGAUAUUCCACUGCUCUGUUUUGAAACCUUUUAAAGGUUCACCGGAGACGAUGGAGCCAGUAGCCCUGCCGUCUCGCUUUGAUCAGAAUCAACCACUCAUUGCACCCUUAACGAUUCUAGACUAUCGCCAGCGUACGGAUAAGAAGUGGGAAGUUUUGGUUCAGUGGGAGGGCUUAUCUCCCGACGAGACGACAUGGGAGGAGCUAGACCAGCUUCGCCGUGAUUACCACCUUGAGGACAAGGUGUUUCUGCAAGGGCCAUGGAAUGAUAUGAAUAGUGGAAGAGAGGUGCAGGAAGUAACUCAGGGUCUAGACAGCAAUGAGGGGGUGCAAGGAGGAAAACCAAAGAGAACUAUUCACAGGCCUGCAUACCUGAAAGAUUAUGCGUGACCAAGCUGAGCUGGAAUAGAGAAUAGAGAAUCUGCUGAGAUUGUUGUCGAGCCUCAGGGGGCAGCAAUACCAUUUUCGUUAUGCUUGUAAUCUUUUCCUUCAACAGAAUCACAAUUAUGUUAGGAAUAUAGCUUUAUAUAUAUGACCAUUGUAAUAACAGCAGAUAUAGAAGAAAUAUAUACAACUUUACCUUCUCUGUUCUCUGCGUUCCUUUCUUCUUAGGAGGUUCUGGGCCUCGAACCCAACUCGCGUCUAUCAUCCAAGGUCUCCAUGUUCUGGAGCUUACCAAUGGAUUUUGGAAGACUUUCUAUCUGUGUAUACCAUGAAGCUCAGAUACUUCAAGUGUAUUAAAUUCCCCCAAUUUUCAGGAAGAUGAUAUAGUAUAGCAUCUUCAAAAUCAAGUACCUUCACUGGUAUGUAUUUUUCAAGUAUUCCACUGAUUAAGUAUUCGGAUAACUUUUGCUUUGUGAAAAUUAGAACUGACCGAAUGCGUGAUCUUUCAGUAUUUUCAAUUAAAUCAUUGGAAUCUGAUGCUAUUGUUAAGCGUCUAACGAUCGCACUUGACAUCAAUUGGUUAUCCUCAUCAAUAUACUGACAAAACCUUGAUCCAAGGAUCAUUUCAUGUAUUAAGUCAUAAACACGACGUUCUUUAACUUUGUCAUCUAUGGUAAAUGAAGAUACUUGCACCAAACUUGUAGUGAUCCACUCCAUUAAAUGUUGUUAUGCAACUUCUUCUAAAAUUCUCUCACUUUCAUGUUUGACAAACCCUUCAGCUAUCCACUGCCUAAUCAAUCUUCGAGAUUUAACUUCAUCAUCUUUCGGAUAUGUAGCAUCUCAUUUUUUGUAAAAAAAUUAAAAAGGCUUUUUUAGUAAAAAAAAGAUAGAGUUUUAGAAAAUGAUGAGAUUUUAUAAUUAAAAAAAUAAGGAAAAAUAAAUAUAUUAAAAUAAUAGUUUGGAGGAAAAAAAAAUACUUGAUUUAUUCAUUUGAUAGAAAAUAAAAUAGAGUAUUUAUUUAUAAAAUAAUAAACAAAAAAAAGAGCAAAUCCUAGCUAUAAAUAAAGACAUCUUAGGUCAAUUCUCAAUUUCGUUUUCCCUUCUCCUUCUCCCAAAAUUCUCUUUUUUCCAUAUACUACCAAACCUGUCUCAGAAAAAUUAUGAUCUCGGACUCAUUCACCAUUGGAUUAUCAUGAAAUUUGAGAAGCAGGUUAGAAACUUAUUCCCAAACAUUCUCACCGUUGGGAAUAACAAAAACAUAUCGGAACAGAGAGAAAUACCCUUUACAUUGUAGUUUUUUUUCCUACAGAAACCCAAAAUUAUUUCAGUAAAACUAUGAUCCUGAACUUGUUAACCGUUGGAUUGUCAUGAAAUUGUGAUAUGCGGUUUGAAAUGCAUUUCUGCACAUCUUUACCGUUGGGGUAUGAAAAAUAACAUAUGUGGAGGGAGAAAUACUCAUUGCAUGUAGACAAUUGAAUGAAGACUUCAAUCCCUUUUUCUUCACUCUAACGUUUGGGAAUCCUAUCAGAGGAAAAACUUGAGGAAUCUCAGGAAACCGCUAAAGAUGCCACUAUUGCUAUCACAAUACACACGUGAGUUCUGUUAGAGGUAAGGGAUGAGUUAUUCACAAUUGGGGAGUAGUGAGAACAUGUGUAGGAAUCCUUAGAGUAUCAAUUGGAAUGAGUUUUUGGGAUGUUUCUGCAAAUUAUGAUUUUAUCCUUACAAUUAUAACUAUGAAUUAUAUAUGUUUGACGAACCAAUUAAUGUUCCAAUGUGAAAUUGCGGUGAAAUUGAUGUAUUCUUAUGUUGAGUGUGAAGCCUUAAAAAAAUUGAGUUCUUUUUAUUAACGUGAAUUAUACUCUAAAUAAUAUUCUUUAAUGACUUAUUUUAUACAAAUUAUUAUCUUGUUCUAUAUUUUCCACGAUGAUGAUCAACUUGUUAUGUGUGUGUAUAUAUAUAUAUAUAUAUAUAUAUAUAUAUAUAUAUAUAUAUAUAUAUAUAUAUAUAUAUAUAUAUAUAUAUAUAUAUAUAUAUAUAUAUAUUGUAAUACUAAAUAAUAAAUUAAAGAAAGUUGUAAGCUUAAUGCUUAGUAGUAAUUUCUUUUGAUGUAAUCUUGAAUUAAUUGUUGUAGAAACUCUUUUGAUUAAAAAUAAUGUAGUUUGAUUUACUAUAUAUAUAUAUAUAUAUAUAUGUUUUGCUUUGUGUCAUGCAAAUAUUAUUACUGUGUGAUGUGUUGUUAGUCGUCAUUUACGACUAACUUUUUUAUUGAAAAACUUUAUGAAAUUUAUGUCUUUUUUCCAAUUUAUGGUUCUUUUUGUAGGGUUGUGUAUACUUUUAGCUUAGUUUAGUUUUUAUGCAGAGAUAUUCACUUCAAUGAGCAUUAAUGAGUUUUCAACUUCAGUUUCAGGUAAAAAGAUGGAAAAAUAGAAGGUUGUUGCAGUUGGUGUCUCGCUAAGCGAGCAACAUCCGUUAAGCGAGACAGCAACUCGCUUAGCGAGUCAAAGGAAUCUAAAAGAGAAUCUGUCACGCAUGCACACGCCUAGCGCGCCAUCAACUCGCCCAGAGAGUCAUUUGUCUCUUCUGGCGCCCUGCGCGCCUGGCUUGCUAAGCCAAAAGUCACUUACUCGCCUUAGCACGAAAAUGGCGCUAAGCAAGCCUUCGAGGACAGAAAGCCCUUAAAAGCUGAAGUUGGCGAAAAAGGAGGAGUUUUUUUUAUCGGAGCUUUGGCAUAGAACAAUUGGGCACUACGUGAAAGACACAAGGGAGCACCAAAAACCCCAGCUUUCAAGAGGAUCUAAGGUUUUAGGUUAAUUUGUAGGUUCCUAGAGGUGGAGGAGACAUCCCCACCACUAUGUAAUCUGUAUUUUGCUUCCAAAAACCCUUAUUGUAGCUAAAAGGUGGUACCUUGCCAUGGAAGGCUAAAGCUUUUGUUGGGUAAUUCUAGUGAGUCUUGAUGUAAAUAUUAUUUACUAUCUAUUUAAUGUUCUUUUGUUGUGUUCAAUGUUUCUAUUUGCAUUUAAUUCUUGCAUGUUUUUGGUCUGAUCACCCAUUUGUAUGUAAAGUUAGGAUUUUUAGCAUUAAAAAAUGUUUUGAAUCCUUAGAACUCGAUAGAGUAGGGCUAGAUAACUGUAUUGUCUGGACACGGAAUACAGGGACUCUAGUUUGUAUUAUGCUGUGACCUUAAUGUUGUUCGGUUAGGCUAAGUUCGACGAGGGAUCCGAGAACGAAGUUUAAUUAGAAUUAGCCCAUUCAUGCGAGACAUCGGUGUAUGGGAUAAUUGUCCUCAGCAUAGAACACAGGAACAACAUUAGAUAAAGAAAAACCUUUAAUUGCAUCAAGUAACUCAGUAGAAAACCCAACAUUUUUAUCAUUGGUUUAUCUUUUGUAUUUAGAGUUAAUUCUGUAGUUAUCUUAAGAAUUACAAAUAUCUCUUUUGUUUAAUUCCAUUUCAUGCUUUUCUUAUACAAAUGUCUAUUUACUGAAUGAACGUUUUUCCAAAUGUCACAAACUCCCUGUGUUCGAUACUCGGUUCUUACCGUUUUAUAUUACUUGUGACUCAGUACACUUGCUAAUAAAAGAUUUUCUAGUACUGAGUUAGUGUCUGAACAAGUUUUUGGUGCCGUUGCGGGGGAGUUUAUUUCCAUUUAGGAAAGUUUAGUUCAGUUUGUAGACAUUGAUUCUUUAUUCUUUGAUUAAUUUUUGUAUGAAUAUUUAGUUAGUUCAUAAUUUGUUUUUCUCUUGAAUUGGUUAACCCCUACUCUUGCUAGUGCUUUAUAUGUGAGGUAAAUCUUCUGCAGGUGAUUUGGUUCCAUUGGAUUUGGAAAUUGAUGCCAGAUGUAGAAGAAACAACGCAGAAAGAAGAAGGAAAAUCUUGUAGGACAGGACAACACCGCCACACAUUUAUAGCAAAAGCUUGAGCUAUUAUUGCUUUAUUGCUUUAUACAGCUGCAUCAAACAAAUACAGAAACAUCCAAAUAUUUUUUUCCCAAAAUUCAACAGAGAUUCAUCCUAGUAAGUGAAGAAACGUAUCAACAUUCACCCAGAAAAAUCCAGAACAUCAAAGAAAACAUUCAUCCUUUUCUAGAUUUUAUUAAAAUUGUUGACAUUAAUAUUUUCACACAAAAAUAUUUGGACAUCCUCCUUAUGAUCUUAAGAACACAAAAAAAGAAAUUAUCUCUACAAAAAUCGUCAGAGAAAAAUAAUGAUCGAUCCAGAGCAUGAACAUCCUCACUGGAAAUGUCACACCCUCUACCCCGACAUAUAUAUAAAUAAGUAAAAUAUAUAAAAAUCUCAGUAAACCAAUUCACGUGGAUAAAAGGUUCACAUUCAUUUCACUAUUAUUAAUUAAAACUUAUUAAAAACAUAUUCGACUCAAAAUAAGGCCGUCAAAAUUUACAAAAAUAUUUUGUUAAAUUAGUGAGGUAAAAUAAAAUAGACUAACAUCAUGCAAUCAAUAUAAAAACUUAUGCCCCAAUGUCACAUCCUAUCAGAGCAUUGUGUCCCGACAUCCUUCAGCACAAGGUUCCUUAAAGCAAUUCACCUAGUCAUCUGCUCCCUCGAACACAAAGUUCAAGAUCAUCACAUGAUCUAAACACAAACAACACACGAGGAGUGAGUUGUCACAUUCCUAACUAAUAGAGAAACAAGAUAACUACAUAUACAUAUCAUAUAAACAAAAUAAAACUUACUUAAACAUAACUCAUGUAAUUCCACCACUUUGUCAUUCAAAAUUCACUUUUCAAUCAUCAAUCACAUUACAGAAGAAUAACACACUCCGAUCAAGAUAUAAUAACACAUCAAUUUCAUAAUAAAAAAUUGGAAAGCAUAUGCAACAGUUAUGCUAAGACUCAAGCCUAUAUGCAAUGUGGUAUGUCAGGUCACUCUCACAAAGUAAAAUCAUAGGGAGACCAGUCAAGGUCUGUUUUAUGAGAAUGCUCCAACCAUAUGGGAUAUGGGAUCACCAUAGGCUUAAAGGAGCACUCAAACCGGGUGACCCCCAAGGCCUACACUCCGAAGAGUCCGUCAGGGCCUCUCCCUUCUGAUUCAGGUCCAACCUCUAAAAUAAUUUUUGCAUACAGACACUGCUCAUGAAUUAUACAAUACCCACGACCUCACACUCGUGUUUCAAACACGUUUAGCACAAUUGCGCUACAAUUUAACAUUGGUUCCUAAAUAGGAAACCUACACUUUCUCUUUAACACUUUUUUGAAGAUAGCAUUGGUCAGGUUAUUGUACAAUUCACAGCUUACAACACAAGUAAUGUCACAUCAAGUGUUAACCACACACUAAUUCACAACCAAAAUUCAUUCACAAUUUCACAUCUCAUAAUGUCACAAUCCACCAUCACAUGUUUACACGUAUCACACAAAUUAACACAUGUUCAACAUUGCACUUAUACUCAAUCUCAAUAACAAUACUAUAAUCUCAAAGCAACAUGUUAUUCCAUAAUUCAUCACAUAUUUCCCUUACAAACACUGCUCAUGAAUUAUAUAAUACCCACGACCUCACACUCAUGUUUCAAACACGUUUAACACAUUGCGCUAUAAUUUAAUACUGGUUCUUAAAUAGGAAACCUACAUUUUUCCUUUAACAUUGUGCAUCAACACUUUUCUCAAGAUAACACUGAUCGGGUUAUUGUAUAAUUCAUAGUUCACAAUAUAAUUAUUGUCACAUCAAUUAUCAAACACACACAUUUAUUUACAACCAAAUAUCAUUCUCACAAUUUAACAUCUCAUAAUGUCACAUUGAUCAUCUCAUGUUUACAUGUAUCUCACAAAUUGACACAUUAAACCUUGUACUACUUAAUCUCCAUAAUAAUAUUAUAAUGUCAUUAUAAUAACUUAUUACACCUCAUAACUCAUAUACACAUCACACAAUAAUAAUAUUUGUAUGACACAAAACAUAUAUAUGUAUAAGUAUAUAGUAAAUAAAACUACAUUAUUUUUAAUCAAAGAGUUUUUAUAACAAUUAAUUUAAGAUUACAUUAAAAGAAAUUACUACUAGGCAUUAACCUUACAACUUUAUUUAAUUUAUUAUUUUAGUAUUACAAUAUAUAUAUACACAUAACAUGUCGAUCAUCAUUGUGGGAAAAUAUAAAAUAAGGUAAUAAUUUGUAUAAAAUAAGUCACUGAAUAAUAGUAUUUACAAUAUAGAUCACAUUAAUAAAAAGAACUCAAUUUUUUAAGGGUUCACACUCAACACUAGAACACAUCAUUUUCAUAGCAUUUUCUCAUUGGGACAUCAACUGGUUCAUCAAACAUAUAUAAUUCACAGUUAUGAUUAUAAGGAUAAAAUAAAAAUUAUAGAAACACCCCAAAACUCAUUCUAAUUGAUAAUCUAAGGAUCUCUACACAUGUUCUCACCAAUCCUUAAUUGUGAAUAACUUAUCCCUUACCUCGAUUUAGUCGCUCAAGCGUUCUUCGUUAUCAGUUGUGAUGUUUCUGGUGUUCUCUAGAGCUCCUCCUCCACUGUAUGAUGGUAAUCUUGUAUUCAAGGAAACAAUUUCUUUCAUGGUAUCAGAUUGAUUAGGGAAAGAUCUUUGAACCUUCCUCUGCCUUCCGCACACAGGCCCUAACGCCGUUCAACCCCUUUCUUCUUCUUUUCCCCUUCUUCUCCAUCACCAUGUCUGACUCAAAAUCUACCUUUCACCCUACUUUUACUGUCUCCAACAUCAAGAAUCAUGUCCCAGUCAUUCUUGAGAUGGAAAAUAUCCAAUACGCGACAUGGGCUGAACUUUUCAAAAUUUACGCACGAUCCCAUAGGGUAAUUGAUCAUAUAAUUCCUCGCAGGAUGGCAAGCAGAAGGCGCCACCAAUGGAGGAGGAGAAAGAACUCUGGUCGACACUAGACGCCACCGUUCUAUAAUGGAUUUAUGCCACCAUUUCUCAUGAUCUUUUACAUACUAUUCUUGAACUUGACACCACGGCAAUGGAGGCUUGGAAUAGGUUGCGUGAUAUAUUCCAAGAUAACAAACACUCUCGUGAUAUUAAACUUGAGUAUGAUUUCACCCACACAACCAUGGAGGCCUUUUCAAGUGUCUCGACUUACUGUCAACAUCUCAAGUCACUGUCAGAUCAACUUAACAAUGUCGGCUCUCCGAUCGGUAACAGUAGGUUGGUUCUGCAAUUGGUGUCCGGUUUCAUUGCACACUACAAGGGAGUGGCCACACUCAUCUGUCAAAGUGAUCCCUUGCCUCGGUUUUAUCAAGCACGGUCGAUGCUUGUUCUCAAAGAAUCCAGCCUCAAGAAGGCGGCUCAGACCUCGUCCUCCACCAUGGUGGCUCGUGCUUGGGAUGAAUCUCAAGAGGUGUCUGAUCAUUCAUUAGCACAUCGCAUAAAUAAUGGUAGAAAACAGUAUUCAAACUGUGGUAAUUCUGGAAAGAAUCGCAACAACACUGGUGGUUGUGGUAACUCAUGCGGUGGCAAGGGAGGCUCUGGUGGUGGGGGUAAGUGUGGUGGUGGCAGCAACCGCUGGGGUGGACAAUAGCAGCCCCAGAACAACCCCUAGCCUGCAAGACAGCAAUGGCCUUGGCCAUGGAUGCAGUGGGUUGUUCCUCCUUGUCCGUACCCAGUGCUCCAUGGGCCAGGCCCAAUUUUCAGCAACCUCUGCAUCAACAGCCCGGUAUUCUUGGGUCCAGACCUCAGCAGGCAUACACAGCCACAACUCCUACUCCAAUAGACAUCGAGGCUGCAAUGCACACCCUUGGUAUCUCUUCUCCGGAUCUGAAUUGGUAUAUGAACACUGGUGCCACCUCUCAUAUAACGUCCGCCUCAAGUACUCUAACGUCUUAUUUUAAUAUGAGCAAUAAUCGUGGUAUAACUGUUGGUAAUGGUCAAUCAAUUCCAAUUCUUGGUUAUGGUCAAACCAACUUGCCUUGCCCAUAUCCUCCUUUAGCCUUGAAAAAUGUCCUUCAUGCUUCUAAACUAAUAAAAAACUUAGUGUCGGUUAGAAAAUUUACCACUGAUAACUCUGUGUCUGUUGAAUUUGAUCCCUUUGGAUUUUCUGUGAAGUAUUUUCAGACGGGGAUGCCUCUAAUGAGGUGUGAGAGUCGUGGCACGCUUUAUCAUAUCAUCGAGUCCACCACUCCAGCUACUUUUUCCUCUACUCUUGCUGCCUUAGCUUCUUCUCUUUGGCAUGAGCGGUUGGGACACCCGGGAGUACCUAUCUUGCAUUCUCUUAGGAAGGAUAGAUUUAUCAAAUGUAAUCAAAUUAGAGAUUCUCAUAUUUGUCAUUCAUGUUCUCUUGGAAAACAUAUCAAGUUACCAUUUAUUGUGUCACAUUCUAAUACUCUUAUGCCAUUUGAUAUUGUUCACACUGAUCUUUGGAAAUCACCUGUUUUGAGUUUCUCAGGGCACCGAUAUUAUAUCUUAUUGUUAGAUGAUUAUUCUAAAUUUUUGUGGACUUUUCCUUUGUCAAACAAAUCAAAUGCUUAUUCCACAUUCAUAAAUUUUAGAGCUUUCAUCCGAACUCAAUUCAAACGGGGAGUAAAGAAUAUACAAUGUGAUAAUGGUAAAGAGUUUGAUAAUAAGCAUUUUUGGGAUUUUUGUAAAGUGAAUGGUAUUUCUUUCUGAUUGUCUUGUCCUCAUACUUCUCCUCAAAAUGGGAAAGCCGAAAGGACAAUUCGUACAAUUAAAAAUAUUGUUCGUACUUCACUUGCCCAUGCUUCAUUACCUCCUUCAUUUUGGCGUCAUGCCUUGCAAAUAGCGACUUACCUUCUCAAUAUUCUUCCUCAUAAGUUACUAAACUAUAAAUCUCCUCUUAGGGUUCUUUAUCAUAAGGAUUCGACCUAUUCUCAUCUUCGGGUUUUUGGGUGUUUAUGUUAUCCUUUAUUUCCUUCCACUACCAUAAACAAACUUCAACCCCGCUCUACUCCAUGUAUUUUUUUGGGAUAUCCUUCGAAUCAUCGUGGUUAGAAAUGUUGUGACUUUUGGGAAAAUAAUUAUAAGUCAUCUUGUCAUUUUCGAUGAGACACAAUUUCCAUUUGCUAAAUUACAUACUCCCCAUAUUCACACUUAUGAUUUCUUAGAUGAUGGCCCAAACCCAUACAUGGUCCACCAUUUAGUGUCUUAAUCCACUACUCCUAAUGCUCAAACUCCUGGUCUGGUUCCAUUUGGGCCCAACUCCCCUAAUAUUGCAACCGGCCCAACCAUUGAGACAAAGAAGAAUAUUUUUAAUUGUAUGAAUUGUCCAACAACUGCUUCCCCUCCUCCUAGUCCAGCCCCUUCUUCACGUCCCAGCCCACUUCUUCGGGUUGUUACACGUAGCCAGCAUGGGAUAGUUAAGCCAAAGAAGAUCUUUAAUCUUCAUACUACUGUUGCUAAAUCCUCUCUGUCACGUAACCCCGUGUCGGCCCUUAGGGACCCGAAUUGGAAAAAGGCUAUGGAUGAUGAAUUUGAUGCUCUUAUUAAAAAUAAGACGUGGGAGUUAAAGCCCAGUCCACCUGAUGUUAAUGUAAUUCGGUCAUUGUGGAUUUUUGCUCGUAAAUAAAAAUCUAAUGGUUCUUUAGAGAGGCAUAAAGUCGGUCUUGUAGGUGAUGGCAAAACUCAACAGGUUGGCGUAGAUUGUGGUGACACAUUUAGUCCGGUGGUCAAACCGGCAACUAUUCGCACAGUUCUGAGUCUGACUUUGUCUAAGGCAUGGCCCAUUCAUCAACUUGACGUCAAAAAUGCCUUCUUACAUGGUGAAAUUAAUGAGACUGUCUACAUGCAUCAGCCUAUGGGUUUUAGGGACCCGCAAAAACCUAAUCAUGUUUGUCUGUUAAAGAAGUCUCUAUACAGGCUUAAACGGGCACCAUGGGCUUGGUACAAGAGAUUUGUUGAUUUUGUUCAUACACUCGGGUUCUCUCAAAGCACUUCGGAUCAUUCUUUUUUCAUCUAUAGACAAGGUACUUCUAUGGCUUAUAUUUUGUUAUAUGUGGAUGACAUCAUUUUGACUAUUUCCUAUUAUGAGCUUCGUAAGUCCAUUAUUACCCUUCUUAGCUUGGAAUUUGCUAUGAAGGACUUGGGACAGUUGAGCUAUUUUUUGGGCAUUGCUGUAACUCAUCAUGCAGGUGGUUUGUUUUUAUCUCAAAAGGAAUAUGCCAUGGAGAUUAUUGAUCAUGCUGGCAUGUCUUCUUGUAAGCCAUUACCUACCCCUGUUGAUACUAAAUCGAAGCUUAGUGCUACAUCAAGCACUCCAUUUGAGGAUCUGACUCUCUACAGGAGCCUUACUGGAGCUAUACAAUACCUUACUUUUACCAUAUCCGACAUUACAUAUGCAGUGCAACAGGUGUGCUUAUUCAUGCAUGACCCAAAGGAUGAGCACAUGCACGCUCUCAAGCACAUAUUUCACUACAUUCAGGGUACUCUAGACCAUGGUCUUCGUCUUUAUCCAUCAUUUACAUCCACUCUUAUUUCUUAUACGGAUGUUGAUUGGGGUGGAUGCCCGGAUACAAGAAGGUCUACUUCUGGGUAUUGUGUAUUUCUUGGGGAUAAUUUGAUCUCUUGGUCAGCUAAACGACAGGCUACUUUGUCCAGGUCUAGUCCAGAGGCUAAAUAUGGAGGGGUUGCCAAUGUAGUUUCAGAGUCAUGUUGGUUGCGAAAUCUGCUUUUGGAGCUUCAUUGUCCGAUCCAGAAGGCUACAUUGGUUUAUUGUGAUAAUGUAAGUGUGAUAUAUCUUGUGGGUAAUCCGGUUCAACAUUAACGCACUAAACACAUUGAGAUGAAUAUACAUUUUGUUCAUGAAAAGGUUGCUCAUGGUCAAGUUCGAGUUUUACAUGUCCCAUAGAUUGACAUAUUUACCAAAGGACUUCUUUUGGUGUUAUUUGAGGAUUUUCGAGACAAUCUCAGUGUUCGUCAACUUCCUACUUCGACUGUGGGGGUGUGUUAGAAUAUAUGAUAAUAUAUUCUGAUUUUGUAUAGUUGUUAUAGCCAUAUAAUUAGCCCUUAGUUAUAGCUAAUCAGUUGGGAUUCUCAGCCUAACUAUACGCUGGUAAUCUUGUAUAUAAGCUAAUGAUGCUUAAUGAAUUAUUCAAGGAAACAAUUUCUUUCAAAGAUAUUCAUUUUUUUUCAUGAUCUGAAAAUAUAUAUUAACUUUGUUCCUUUUUAAUAAUGCUAUUUUUAUUUUCACUAACAUUUUUAAUUUAUAUUAGAAUAUAAAAAACAGAGUAAUUUGAUUGGUAUAAGUUAUGAAUUAUCACUGUUUGAUUGAUAUAAUAACCUGCAAGUUACCCUGUUUAGCCAACUCUUUAUUUGUCAGAGUAUUAUUUGGUAAAGGUAAUGCUUGUGCUGACAAGCUUGCCUCUUUUGGAGUUCAGGCUUUAGAGAACUUGGUGGACUACUCCGCCUCAUUUUGUUUCUGAGGAGCUCACUAGAUACAGAUAUGGGCUCCCAGCAUACAGAUUCACUUAGUGUUGUUACUUGAGUAUGGUUUUACCCUCCCGAGGGUUGUAUCUUGUGCGUUUAUUAAGAUAUUCUAAGGUGUUUCUUCUGCUGGAGGCCUAUGGGCUGAUACCCCUCCGAAGAUCACCUCCUAUUUUGCUUCAAAAAAGAAAAAAGGAUUCCCUAGCUAGCUUCUUUUCACAUCUUGAAUUCACCAACUGGUUUUCCAGCUAGCAUAGCAUCACCUUGAGUAACACUGCACCCAUUAGCCAGGGUCCAGUCACUAACCAAGAAGUAACCGGAAGAUUUGUGAUCUGUGCAGUAAGAUAUGAAGAAAAAACAAUAAUAACUUAUAAAGAACAAUGCCAAUAUGUCCAGCAUAUCCCGCAGCAAUCCUUCUAGAGUGUAAGAUUGGGGCACUAUGAUCUUGAAAUAUAAACUUGAUUUUGGGUCUUAUUUGUCUAAACAAGGAAGUACAAGUUCUAGAAGACAUGCUAAGCUAAAAGGAAAAGAAAAACAAUAGCAGUCAGUGGCAAGGAAAAAAAAGACAGGAGAAAAGAAUAGAAGGGAGACAAAAGAACAAGUAGCAUGUAUGUCAAGAUUGAAAGAUUAGGAUCUUUAUAAAUAUAUCCCAAUCCAUGUCUCUGUCUUUAAUUUUCCUUAUUUUUAUUAUUAUAGUUCUUGAAGGAGCCCUUUAUUUUUUUGGUUUACAGCUUGGUUGAAUUGAUUUGCACAAAAGGUCAAGAAAGUGAUAUAUAUAUAUAUAUAUAUAUAUAUAUAUAUAUCUGGCUUGGACCGACCCCAUACAUACGCUAUGGGAAAACUUCAGUAUUGUUUAUGAAACUAAGUUUUCAGAAUACGCUAUUGUUUCUUUCUUUUUUAGGUAUAAUUAUAAAUAUUCUUUUGGUUCCUAUUGUUAUAAUUUGUAACGACUUUUCAAAAUUUGAUUUCAGGAAUUGUGCAUCUGUUCGGGAACUGUGGUUCCAACAAUUAAUCAGAACACUGCAUAUGGUUAUUUUGUUUCCUUUACACGGACCUAAAUCAGCGCCUAGAUGACACACAUAUACAUUGUAUAUGCUACUAGGUUCAGCACCUUAAUGACACUCACUGAUUGCACAGCACACUAAUGACCCUGCAUAAUUGGUCCCUGCAUGAACACAUAAAUGAUAGAACACAUACUUCAUUGGCAAGUCACAAGUGUAGUACAACCUCGCUCAAACAAUUAUUAUGCUCCACUAGAAUUGUUAAAUAAAAACAAAUUCUACUUCUAUAAUUAGUUUUGUGAGUUAAUAUACAAUUGGGUCCCCUAAAGUGGUUAGUAAUUUGUGUUGUUUUGGUUCUGUCAAAGAUACGAGUUAGUACUUUGAGGGAUCAAAUUGUAUACAAGCUGACAAUUUGGUACGGGAUAACUUGUUAGAAAGUAGAUAACUUAGUGCUUUCAAAGAUUGUAUGUGUGCCUUUCCUGAUUGGGUGCCAACCAUUAUGGUCUCAAGUUGAAUACCUCUGAGUUAAAUUUUUCUAAAGUUGAUGCAGAAACAUAAGAAAAAAAUAAUGAUAAUGCAAGAAAACUAUAUUACAUACAUAUUCACUGCUAAUGAAUACUGUCUUCGAGUCGAUUUAAGUGUAGUGCAUAAUAGUGCACACAGUCAAACAAAUUCAGUUUUUAUUCCCCCUAUGUUAUUAUCCAAAUUUUAUUCAGUCAUAUUCCAAUAAAAAAAUUUAUUAAAAUUUCAACUAUUUCAUAAACUCAUAAGUCCAAAUGAGCAAAAAAACCAACUUGAUAUUUAUUAAUCUUGUCGUUCCAUCCAAAUAAUAAAAGAAAAACUUUAUUCUACACAAUGUUUAAGUGUAGUCACAGUAUUCCAAGUAUUUUUCUCACUCAAUCUGAUUUUCAAUUCCAUGAAACAAGUCACAAUAACACAAACAAAUUCAGUCAAUUUUAUUUUAAAUUCUGUUUCGCAUUGAAUUUAAGUACAGCCACAGUAUUCCAAGUCUGUUUCGCACUAAAUUCUGUUAACAAAAUUAAGUGAAAACAAUAAAAAAAAUGGGGCACAAAUUACGGUUCAGACACAAUCAAAUAACAGUUUAUUAAUGAAACCAUUAUAAAAUUACGUUGAUAUGAAUUUUGAAAUAGUUAUAAUAGAAGUCAACAAAUUUAUCAAAUACUAUACAUGGUGAUUUGCAAGUGAAUGAUGGUCUAAAAUUGUUUUACAUUGGCGAUGCAAACUAUUUUUUAUAAUUUUUUUAGCUUAAAGACUAUGUACAUUGUUGGUGUAAAAAGUUUUACAUUGUCCAUCAUUUUAAAAUAAUCAUUAUAACUUUUAAUGCUAUUAGCCAUUGUAAAGGUAAAAAAAAUAUCCUAUAUAUGAUUGUUUAUGAUCAAAUAAUAAUGUAUGAUUCCUUUGAAUUGUCAAUACAUAAUUUAUUUUUUAUAUUUUUUUCAUUUGAAAAAUAUGGGAUCAAAACUGAACAUAAAAGUUUCGAUACCAGAGCACUACGCAAAGAGGAUUAAACUGCCAAGCCACAAUCCAAAAUAUCUUCUUACAGUACGAGUUCACCCAACCUUAACAUGUACAAUCCAAAUGUUCAUUCCGUUCUAGAAGCAUAAUCUGAAUUUACUAUUUACUAUUGUAAUUGAAGAUGAAUAUAUCUUAUAACUCAAAAGCUCUUUUCCACAGUUGAAAAUUCUAAAUCUUUAGAAUUUCUCAAUCAGGGCACUCAUUAGGUUCAAGAAUAUCUAAAUUGUCUUAAUUGUUGAUAAUAAUUCCCGUAGAAUCUCCAACCUCGUUUGCAUUAUAUCCUAAAUUCAAUCGUUAUUUUAAUUUCACAGUUGUCAAUAGGAAUAUACGAUCAACGUACUAUAAGUGACCAAAUAUCAAUAUAUAAAGGCAUUAAAUUAAAACAAAGACAAACAAUCAAUUUAAAAGAAAUGAACUUGAAUUAUACAUAAGAGUUCAAAUUACAUCAGGUUAACAAAAAUUUAACUACACAGUUUAGAAAAAGAGAACAAGAGAAAGAGAAGAAGGAAGCUCAUAAAAUUAAUUUGAUGAAUCUUGCACUUUGAUGCCUCAAAUCCACUUAUCCACCAUUUCAGAAGCCGCAAAAGAAAGAACAUGAGCGAAUCUUCAGUUUUCUAGUUGUCAAAAAUUGCAUGCAUGUGUAGGAACACCAUUUUCCCUUCUACGUAUUGUUUAGUGUUAAUAACGCUAGAAUGGGCUUACUAAUUAACACUCUAAAAACCAUGAGAUUCGAAUGCUGGAAAUAUUGGAAUUGGAACACCUCUUACAAUCUUCCCUUGGUGCUUUCCUAAAUUUCAUGAUUGUACAAAGUGGGUCAAACUUCAAAGCAUCAAAAUUAGGAAAAAAUCCACCUUAUUAGGCUUCAAUCAUAAUGGAAAAUUAAAAAUCCACAACAAUUACACGAAAUAUAUGCUUACAACCCUAUAAAAAUACCAAGUUAAUUUCUUCUUAAAAUCAUACAAUGAAAUUGUUCAAGUACUUAUCAACAUGGAAAUAAAAUUAAAAAAAAAAACUCAAUUCAGUUGAGGUCAACAUUUACCAAUUCUGAGCACAAUAAUACGAAGGAUUAUAAUGGUUAGACUCUUAUAAUGAAGAAACGUUAACUAAGGUUGGUGUAGGCAUAUACUUGUUAGACAAUUCUUUCCCUAACUUCUACGUGACAUAUUGUAUAAAAAGAAAUAUGAAGCAAAUACAAUAAGAGAAAACGAGGCAAAAGUAAUUAUUUUAGGAAUUAGAUAACGGUUGCAUUUUAUAUUAAAGAAAAGAAUAAGGCCAGGAAUGCCAUUCUACAAAGUUAUUAAUGUGAAAAAGACGCACCUUCUAUUUUCAAAGUUGGACGCAUCUUAGUGAUGACUUCUGCCGAACAUAUGCAAAGGUUCUUCAGCAUCUUCACUCCAAAUACGUACGUGGGGCACAUCUUGGAUGAUCCAGUGGUCUUCUCCUCCAUCAGGAGCAGUGCGCUGCUCAAAUUCAGUUGGCAUGUCCUCGAUAUAGAGAUCUUUAAGUUUCUCCAAGUGUUGAAUUCCAGAGGGUACUGUUUUGAGUUGGGAGAGUUCUCGUAAAGAAAAUAGUUCCAAAGAACACAGUGCUCCUCUGUCGAUAAGGAUGGACUCCAACUUAUUCAAAGAUUUGAGUAGCAGUGUCUUUAGUUUCUGAAACCCUCCACUUUGAAAAUUCAAAGUUUCACCUUCAUAAGCAUUGUCACUUAAAAAGAGGAGCAUCAACCUUGGCAUAUUUUUUAGUGAUUUCAAUGCAUCAUUAGUCAACCUGGAGCCGCUCAAAUACAGUUGCACAAGAUUUGGGAACUGUGAAAUCCAAUUUGGCAACCUUGUUAACGUCCCACGUAGGACAAGCUUCUUAAGUGUAGACAUAGGUGACGUAAUGUACAAGUCAAUUACUUCACUCUCAUCAGCUGUAUAAAUACGUAGUUUCUCCAAGAGUGGCAUCUCAUUUAUCAAGGAACAGAGUCUCUUUGUGUUUUCCCGUAAAAUCUAUCACUGUCAGUUUCCUUAACUGCUUUAGCUUUCCAACCUCUCUAAUGACCACUCCAUCAUCAUCUAUAAUCACUGGAGGUAUCUCUUGUAGGGAUGUCAUGCCUCCAAUAUCCUUCCAUUGAAUUAAACCCGUAUAAUAAGACAGAAGAUGACGUAGCUUAGUAAGCUUACGAAUCUCCUCUGGCAUCUUAGACACACUUGUGUUUCUUAUAUCCAAGGUCUCUAAAUUCUGGAGCUUGCCAAUGGAUUUUGGUAGACUUUCAAUACAUGUAUUCCGGAAGCUUAAAUACUUCAAGUGGCAUAAAUUCCCCAAAUUUUCAGGAACAUAAAGUAAAUCAGAACCUUCAAAAUCAAGUACCUUCAAUAGCAUGUAAUUGGUAGGGAUUUUGUUUACUAAGUGUUCAGAUACUUCUUCCUCUUCUCCUGUGCUAAUAAUAAUUGACCGAAUGGGUGAGCUUCCUAUACUUCCACUAAAAUCAUGGGUUGCAAUUGUUAGGCGUCGAACAAUCUUACUUGAUACAGAUUGAUCAGGCUCGUCAAUAUACUGACAAAAUCCUGUAUCCUUGACUUUUCUAAGGAUCAUGUCGUGUAUUAAGUCGUGAACACGACACCUUUUAACUUUGCCAUCAAUUCUAAAUGAGGAUACUUGCACCAAACUUCUACGGACCAACCCUGAUAAAUAUUGUUGCCCAACUUCUUCCAAAGAUUUUCCGGUUUCAUGUUUGACAAACCCUUCAGCUAUCCACUGUCUAAUCAAUCUAUCAGAUUGAACUUCAUAGUCCUCUGGAUACAUUCCGAAAUACAAUAAACAUGAUCUGAGAUUGAUCGGCAAAUCAUCAUUACUUAAACCUAAAAUUUUUGUUAUACUAUUUAACUCAGAAUUCCUCUCCAAGUCUAAACUUAGAUCUCGACUAAACUGUCCCCAUUCAGGUGCACUUUCAUCUUUUUGAGACAAAAGACCACCAAUGGCCACUAUUGCUAGAGGUAAACCUUUACACUUUCUAACAAUUUCAAGAGAUAUAUCUUUAAGUUCUUCUGGACAAUCUCCAUCGGAACUAUACUGAAAUGCCUUCUUACAGAACAAUUUCAAAGAUUCUUCUUCCGUUAAAGGUUUUUCUAGCUUAUGCACCUCAACAAAUGAUGAUUUCCUACAAUAUUCUGCAACCAUCUCAUCCCUGGUUGUGAUUAAUAUCCUACUUCCAUUUUUAUUAUCAAUUACAGCAGAUUCAAUGUGAUCCCAAAAUUUUCCAUUCCAUACGUCAUCAAACAAGACAACAUACCUCUUGUUGCGCAAGCGGUUUCUGACUUCUUCUGUCAACGACUCGAUGGUAGAAACAUCCUUGGGAGGGUCCUCCUUUUUUUCUUUGCAAAGCUCAUUCAACAUAUGCCUCAGCAAUCCUUCAGAAGAGAAGGAUUGAGAAACUGUGAUCAACGCAUGGCACUCGAAAUUGUUACGCACCUGGUCAUAAACUUGCUUGGCAAGAGUGGUUUUUCCCACCCCUGCAAUUCCCACCACAGAGAUGACAGUGCGUUUUUCUCUUCCAUUUGUCAACCAAUUUUUCAAUAUACCUCUAGGGCCAUCAAGCCCCACAACCUCAUCUUCCUCAAUAAAGAGAGGAUCCCUUCUAAGUUUCUGCCAGGUGACAUCUUGAUUUCCUCUAGAACUGGUUGGUCUUUGCUCUAAAGGAAAAUGGCUUUGGAAACCAUCUCUUUCAGCACGAAUAAGCGAUUUAACAUCCUGAAUCUUAUACGCACUUUGAAGGAGAAGGAUUUGAGUUUUGAUGAAGGCAACAGCCUUACAUAGUAAAGCUGCACAUCGACGAUCAUCAGGUUGCUUAUCCUCACAGGAGAUGUUAUAUUCAUCGAUGACAUCUUCCAUGCGAAAAGCUGCUUCUCUCAGCCGCAUCACCCUUUCUUUUUUUCUAUGACGCCUUCCAUCAUCUUGUUCAGCUUCAGCCACUUUAUCAGCAUCAUUGAUGAAAUCUUGAAAGCUUUCAAGUUCAUCUGUAAUGUCUCUAACUUCUUUUGGGAGAUCUCUCAACAUUUUGACAGCUUCCAAUAUUUUUGGAAGCGCAUGCUGACCAGCCAAGGACACUGCAGUUUCUGCCAUUUUAGUCUAGCUAGCUAGCUCUCUUUUUUGGUUUGUUGGGAGUGCAAAACUUGAUGUUCUGCAACGUUGUAUAGCCAAUAAAUGUACUUAGCCAAACAAUGAUACGGACACGGUUUAUGAUAAUAUCUUAACCAUAUAAUUUCAAUAAAAUUUUAAAAUUAACAUGAUUCUCUAUUUAUAAGUUCUAUAGUCAUGAUUAACAGGUGUCGGUUAUCAGAUUUUUUUUUUUAUAAGUUCUUUUUAUCUAUAUCAUACGGAGAUGAUAUUUUGUAACUUAGUGCACUGUGUACGCGGAGACGAAGACUUUGAGCUUUGCAGCGUCUCUUUUGCGAGCAAGUUGUGAUAUUGUGGUCCAGCUAAUGUGAAAAUGUGAUUAUCAGAUUAUUUUUUUUAAAGGAAUAAUUUCAUUUUGAUUUUUCAUUUAGCACUUAAGGCUCAUAUUUUUGUAAACCACUUUUCGCCCCUAACAGUUCAUAUAUAUAUGCUAGCUUUGCCGCUAAUAAUUGUAUACAGAUGAUUUUUUUUAAAGAGACUUUUUUAACGUGUCUAAAAAAAUAGAUCGAGCAACUUACUAACAUGCUAGUGUGAGAAAAAAAAAUGUUAAACCACAUGGAAGAAAGAUAUGUCUUCUUUUUGGUCAAACAUGGAAGAAGAGAUAAAGUGGCCAUAUUUUUAUUUUCCAAUUUAUUUAUUUAUUCUUUUUAAAUUUUUUAUAUUGUCCCAGCUUCUAUCUCUUCCGUUGUAUGUUAAUUCAGCAACUGUCACUCCUUCGUUAGUCAGUUUGUAUUUUCUUUGUCAUUAGACUCUGCUUCCAAGAAAAAGAAAUAUACCCAAGUCUUGAAGAUUUAUUCUAUCGUCGGAGUAUUUUUCUUUUGCUUGAUUUCGAAUAUCUCUAACUCUAAUUCAAUAUAUUCAUUUUUUCAUGUUCUAAAAAUAUAUAUAAUCUUUUCUUUUCUUUUUAGUAAUGUUAUUUUAUUUUCACUAACAUUUUUUGGUAUAUUAAAAAAUUCAUUUGAUGGGUAUAACAUGCAUGUUUACCCCUGUAGCCAAGUCUUCAUUCAUUCAUUAGGUCUUGUUCUGACAAAAGAAAAGAAAUAGAACUAUGAUAUUCUUCUACCCCGUUUUAGGAUGAAUUGAGAUGGAAAGAUGAGAGAGAAAAGAAAAAAGAUACAGAGACAAAGUGAUAUAUGUGAUAAGUAAUAUACUAAAGAAAGGAGCAAAAUAAAAAAAGAAAAUUUGGUGGACGUGAGAUGAAUAAUUAGUAUUUUUGACAGACAUAAUAUACUUUUGGCCCUUAACUUUUUUGAAUUUUGUAUUUAAUCUUUAAUAAAAAAAUUGACAUUUUGUCCUUAUAAUUUUUUUGAUAAAAUAUUUUUUUAUCCUUAAAUUUCUUAUAAUUUAUGAUUUUGAUCCUUAAAUUAUUUUACCACCGAUCAACAUUCCUAAACUUUUCUGUGUACAAUGUUUUAUCCUUUUCAUCUAUUUUAAUUUGCAUUUAAAUGAAUAAAUUCAUGUUAGAAUGAACACAACAAUCAGUCAUAUCAUACACGAAAUUUAUCUAUUAGGAGAUCAAAAAGAGCUUUUCAAACUAUAACAUAUAUAUAUAUAUAUAUAUAUAUAAACUAGAAUAUUAGAUGUAAUACUGCAAAAAAAACGUUUGAGGAAAUUAAAUAUAUCAUGGGAAACAAGGUGCCAAACUUGAGAUGAAAGUUUGUUGUCAUCUCAGCCUGUGAAAAAUAGAUCAUACUAGUCAAAAGAAUUCCUCAAUACAAUGCAAUCAAUAAUCAUCUAACAGUCCUUUGCACAUGGCUUCUUGCCUUGUUUUGUCCUUUCUCAAUCUAGCUGUCUUGCAAAUUGAAGAUGCCACCUAAAACACACUAUUGUCUCUGCUAUCUUUGGGUCUACCAGUGUGUGAAUAUUAAUUUUAACUUAAAAUAAUUAUUUUUUAUUUAUCCAAAACAACUGAAAAAGACAUUACUUCAGAAGUAAAGAUACAAUAAAUAAAUUAUGUAAGGAACCAUUUUACAACUUUUAAUAAAUAAAAUAUCAUUUUGUAACUUUUAACAAAUAGAAGCUUAACUUACAAUAUAAAAUAGAGAUACAAGACCAACAUAGUAAUUUAGCCAUAAUUUUAUGUCUAACACCUAUUAGUGUGAUGUAGACAAAGAGAAAUAAAGCAUACUCCAAUUCAUUUCAAGCUGAAUCAGUGCCUGUAUCUCAAACACUUCUUCUAGAAGAGAACACAAAGAGCUCUGGUCCAAUCCAUUCAAGCCGAAUCAGUGCAUGCCUGUAUCUUAAACACCUUAUAGAGUACCAAUCCCACCAUCAAGAACAUCUCAUCAAAUGAAUUGUUCCUCACUGCAGUGUCCACCAGCCUGUGCAUCCUUGGUGAGAAAAACCUGAACUCAAAAGUUAAAAUAAUCUAGGCAGCAAUUACACUCAUGAAUACUCCAAGUUAUUGAGCAUAGGUGGUGGAUUACGUGGGGUGUGGUAAUUUUCUGAUGGAAGUAUUGAUGAAAGUUAGAUGUUCUCCAUUCCCAACUUCUUUUCCUAAUGUUGAAUCCACCAACUUGUUUCCCUGCUAGCAUAACAAGAUUUAUUAUCCCUGUUCCUAACCAUGAUUAAGAAGUGCAGUCCGAAAUAUUUCUAUCUGCCCAGAAAAAAUAUAUACAAAAAAUAAUCAUAACUUAUAAAGAACCUUGCCACUAUCAAUGAUGUAAAUACGAGAAACAAUGUGAUUAGGAAACAAAUGAACGAGAUCUUAUAGAGUACAUAUCAGCAAAGUAAGCCAGAAAAAGAGGAAGGAUUUACUUGCCUCUUUAGCUGGCCCUUGUGCUUGCACCUAAUGUGAAUGGCUGGGUCCCAUCCUUGAAGUACUAAGAUACAUAACUCUCCCUAAUCCGCUUCUAAUAUCGUCAUAUUUUUUAUGCUCCUCCUGUAAUAUAUAUAAAAAAAACAGUGAGGACUGGUUUUUCACUGGAAUUCCAAAGGACUAUAAAAUUCUUUAUAUGAAGUUAGACGAGAGGAAAUAAAAGAUCAGCAUAGAGGAACUCAUAUGUUUAGGAUCAAUUCCUGCCACACAUUUAUAGCAUAAGCUUGAGCUAUUAUUUCUUUAUUGUUUUAUACAGCUGCAUCAAACAAAUACUGAAACAUCCUGAUAUUUUUGUUUUCCCAAAAUUCAACAGAGAUUCAUCCUAGUAAAUGAAGAACCGUAUCAACAUUUACCCAGAAAAACCCAGAACAUCAAAGAACAUUCAUCCUUUUCUAGAUUUUAUUAAAAUUGUUGACAUUAAUAUUUUCACACAAAAAUAUUUGGACAUCCUCCUUAUGAUCUUACGACCACACAAAAAAAAAAAUUAUCUCUCCAAAAAUCGUCAGAGAAAAAUAAUGAUCGAUCCAGAGCACGAACAUCCUCACUGGAAAUGCAGAGAAUGAACAUAGGGUUCAAUCCAUUUUCUUCCAACAAAAUUAUCAUAAAAGAUUCUGAAUUUUUUUUCGGAUACUACCAACCCAUAUAUAUCAACAUAAAUCAACCACCUUUUUUUAUUUUUAACAUUCCAGAACACAUUAAAUAAAAUAACAAAGAAUGGAUAGAAAACAGAGAACACUCAAACCUAAGUGAACACCUAUCACUUUUUACCAAAAUGGGUGUACCAUUUAAGCUUCACAAUGAUAUGGACAUCACAUUUCCUUCAACCAAAUAUCCUUUUUGAUAACAUAAGAUGCAUCUGAGAUCAGAUCAAAACACCAAAAAUCAGAACAGGGCCAAAUUUCUCCAUGCAUGCGCACGGAUCCUCCAAAAUCAACAUGCAACCACAUAUAUCAUCACUUGCAUCCACGGAUUCGAGCAUCAACCAUCAAACAAUUUGAAACUCUUCCAAGCAGCAAGUAGAGGUGCUUAGGACUUGUGAAAAACUCAUCAAGCAAUUUGAACACAUCAACGACAAGGAAUUUGAAGUGAAAAGGAGACAUAGUUAGGGCUUAGGACUGGUGGAAAAUUAUAAUUAUAACCUUUUUCGAAAAAGCCUAUGUUAUGCAAAGUAUCUCAGAAAUGAUACACUGAAAAAUCAGAAGUUUUUUAUUAGGAUGAGUUUCAGAUUACAAAGAGUUUUUCUACAGAGAAUUGAAAAGAAUCACAUCCAAUCUAAACAAUAUUUGAGCUAAUUAUACUAGUUUUUACAAAAUGAACAGCUCACUAACUUUAGUAGUUUGUUAUACCUGUUUUAACUACCAGCUUAGUUUGUUACAACUAUUUUAACUACCAACUUAAUUUGUUAGUUAUGUGGACCAACUUAUCAACAAAUCUCCACCUAGGUUACAUAACUAAACAAGGAUCAAAGUGGCUGCUCCCUUGUUGACAUUAGACUAGCUGACAUUACUUCAAACUUAUAAGGUCCAGGCAGUAGAAAAACUUGUUAUUUGGUAGAACUUUAGUGAUUAUAUCAGAGGGAUUAUGCUCAGUGGAGACUUUCUUCACCAACACAGAUCCUUCAGAAAUAGUCUCUCUCACAAAGUGUAGCUUCACAUCUACAUGCUUUGUCCUUUCGUGAUAAAUUAACCUGGUUCUUUGAAAGGUGAAUAGCACUUUGGUUUUCACAAUGGAUAGUGAUAACAUGAUCUUGCCGCUUCAGCUCUCGAACUAUUCCCCUGAACCACAAUGCUUCUUUUAUUGCUUUUGUCAAAGCAAUAUACUCUAUUUCAGUAGUAGACAAUGCAACCGCCUUCUGAAGACUAGCUUUCCAGCUAAUUGCAGUUCCAAAUGUAGUGAAUACAUAGCAUGUGAGGGACUUUCUGGUGUCCAAACAACCAGCAAAAUCAGAAUCUACAAACCCCUCUAUUACAACAGUGUUUUCUUGGCAACCCUCAACUUCUCCAUAUAUUAGACUCUUUCCAAUUGACCCUUUUAUGUACCUCGUGAUCCAUUUUAGAGCCUGCCAGUGUGCCUUUCCGGGAUUUUCCAUAAAUCUGCUUACAUGGCUAGUUGAGUAUGAAAGGUUAGGUCGAGUGCAUACCAUGGCAUACAUGAGUGAACCUAUUGUAUUUGCCUAAGGAACUUUAGACAUGAACUCCUUAUCUUCUUUGCUUUCAGGGGCUUGAUCCAUACUAAUUUUGAACUGUUGAAACAAAGGGUUGAGACAGGUUUAGCAUCUAACAUACCAAACCGAUUUAGAACAUUCUUUAGGUACAUUCCUUGAGAUAUAAACAGUAGCUUCUUGUCUCUAUCUCUCUUGAUCUCUAUACCCAAUAUUCUUUUAGCUCUACCCAAAUCUUUCAUUUCAAAAUCUUUUUUCAAGUCUGCCUUAACUUUUCUUGUUUCAUCCUUGUUAUUGCUUGCUAUUAGGAUGUCAUCUACAUACAAUAGUAGAAUGACAAAAUUAUGAUAUGAGGCAAACUUGAAAUAGACACACUUAUCAAACUUGCUCCUCUUGAACUUGAUGUGAGCCAUGAACUCAUCCAAUCUUUUAUUCCACUGCCUUGGAGACUGCUUUAGACCAUAUAGAGACUUGUUCAGUUUACACACAAAGUCUUCCUUUCCUUCUAUUAUAAAUCCCUCAAGUUGCCUCAUGUAAAUAGUUUCUUCUAGUUCUCCAUACAGGAAGGUCGUUUUAACAUCCAUUUGCUCCAAUUCUAGAUCAAACUUGGAAACCAUUGAUAGCAGAAUUAUUAUGGACUUGUGCUUCACCACUGGAGAAAAUACAUCAUUGUAAUCAAUUCCCUUCCUCUGAGUGAAGCCUCGAGCUACUAGCCUAGCUUUGAAUCUUCCUUGUUCAACUCCAAGAAUGCAUUGUUUCCUCUUGAAAAUCCACUUACAGCUGACUAACUUUGACCCUGCAGGUCUCUUUACUAGGUCCCAAGUAUGGUUAUCAUGGAGAGACUUCAUCUCUUUGUCCAUGGCCAUAAGCCAUUUAUCCUUCUCUUUGCAAUCAACGACAACUUUGUAACAGUUUGGUUCAUCAUUCAUGACCUCACUAGAUGCAACAAGAGAGAAUGCCAUCAAAUCUGCAUAACCAUACCUCUUAGGGGGUUUGAUUUGCCUUCUGGUUCUAUCUUGAGCCAGCAAAUAACCCUUCUCACCUUCUUCCCCAUCAUUGUCAUCAGUCUGAGAUUGAAUAUCAGAUUCUUCUCUAUGCCAAAUUUCAGAUUGAUCUAUUUGGUUUUCUUCAUUGAGCUCCACCUCAAUGCUAUCAUUUUCUGAACUUACAUGGACCACCUUAUCUUUUGCAAUUGCCUUUGUUUUAUAAGCCAUUUCAUACUCAUUAAAAACAACAUCACGACUUAUAAUGCAUCUUUUGUGUCCUGACUCUAGACACCACAAUCAGUAUCCCUUAACACCUUAAGGAUAUCCUAGAAACAUACACUUGAUAGCUCUAGGUUCCAAUUUGUCUUGCCUUGUGUGAGCAUAAGCAACACAUCCAAACACCCUGAGUCUAUCAUAACUUGGAGGAUGCCCUGACCACACCUGUUCUAGUGUCUUCAUGUUUAUAGCUAUUGAGGGGCACCUGUUGAUUAAGUAACAAGCAGUCAUGGCUGCUUCAACCCAGAAAGAUUUUGACAAAUUAGCACUCACAACAUACAUCUCACUCUCUCAAGAAUGGUUCUAUUAAAUCUCUCAGCCAAACCAUUCUAUUGAGGUGUUUUUACUAUUGUCUUGUGUCUUGUUAUUCCAGCCUUCCUAUAGUAGUUAGUGAAAAAAUCUUAACAAAAUAAGUCCAUAUCUAUCCUGAAUCUUUUAAUCUUUUUUCUUGUUUGGUUUUCUAUCAAUGUUUUCCAGUUUUUGAAACAAUCAUGCACCUCGUCUUUAGUUUUCAAAAUGAAAACCCAUAACUUCCUGGAAUAGUCAUCUACCAUUGAUAGAAAAUACCUGGCACAUGAGUGAGAUGGAGUUUGAGAUGGACCCCAUAAAUCAGUAUGGAUGUAGUCCAGAGUACCUUUAGUUCUCUAUUGUCCAGUACCAAACUUGACCCUGCAAGAUUUUCCAUAAACACAGUGUUCACAAAAGUCAAGUUUCUCCACCUUAUCUCCACAAAGUAGGUUCUGUUUUCCCAGUUCAAUCAACCCCCUCUCACUCACAUGUCCCAACCUUCUGCGCCAUAGUUCAGUCUUUGACAACCUUUUGAUAGAAAUUGUAGCAGUUGGUCCCAUUACCACUUCUCCAAUCAGAGAAUACAGGCAUUCUUUUGCAUCCCUUUCAUGAAUAUCAUGGAGCAUUUUAGAACCUUUAGAACUUCAUUCUCCCCUUUGAACACAUAGCCUUGUUUGUCAAACUCACUAAGAGAAAUCAAAUUUCUUUUCAAAUAUGGGACAAGCCUUACAUUCUUGUUGACUCUCUCAGCACCAUCAUGAAGGUGGAACCUCACAGACCUAAUUCCAAUAAUCUCACAUGACUUGUUGUUUCCAAGUAGGACUAAGCCACCAACUUGUUCAUCAAGCUCCUCAAACCAAGACUUGUUUGGGGUCAUAUGGAAUGAACAUCCAGAGUCCAAGAUCCAUUAUAUCUCAGUGUUUUCAUGAUACACCAUUAAAUCCUCAGUUGACUCAUAACCAUCUUCAACUAGAGCAGCAUUUCCUGGUUCUUUAGAUCUAUCUUGCUUGUUUCUUUUCUAUCUAUCAGAACAAAAUCUUUGAGUAUGGCCUUCUCCUUUACAGUGGUAACAUCUAAUGUUUGGUACAUUAGAUACAGAUCGAGUUUGUGACUUGGAUCUUUUCCCUUCUGUCUUAUCAUCCUUCUUAUACGGUCUUCCACGAACUGUGACCUUCCCCAUGUACAAAAGGCCUUUGUUCAUUUAUUUCUUUCAUUUAAUUCCUUAGAGUUCAAGGCUGAUUGGACUUCUACAAGAGUGAGAGAAUAUCUUCCAUAGAGAAUUGUUUCUUUGAAAUGAGCAAAGGUCUUAGGUAGAGCACACAAUAACAUUAAUUCUUGAUCUUCAUCCUCAAUAGUAACAUCAAUGUUUUCAAGAUCAAGAAUCAAUUUUUUAAAGAUAUCUAACUGUUUUUCUACAAUUUUAUUUUCUUGCAUCUUAAAUGAAUACAAUGCUUGCUUAAGGUAGAGACGAUUUACCAGAGAUUUGGUCAUGUACCAGUCUUCAAGCUUUCACCAAAUUCCAACUGCAGUCUUUUCUUUGGAGACUUGUCGAAGCACUUUGUCUCCUAGACUCAAGAUGAUGGCACUAUAUGCUUUGUCGAGCAAGAUCUUCUUGUCUUUACCUUCCAUCUUCACAACAAGAUUGGUUUCACCAUUCAGAGCAUCUUCAAGACCUUGAUGCACAAGAAGAGCUCUCAUCUUUAAUCGCCAAAGACCGAAAUCAUUCUAUCUUGUGAAUUUCUCGACUUCAUACAUUGCAGAUGCCAUGGAUGAUCAGUCCAUGUUCACCACACCAGUUUGUUAUGCAAAGUAUCUCAUAAAUGAUACACAAAAAAAUCAGAAGUUCUUUAUUAGGAUGAGUUUCAGAUUACAAAGAGUUUUUCUAGAGAGAAUUGAAAAGAAUCACAUCCAAUCUAAACAAUAUUUGAGCUAAUUAUACUGGUUUUUACAAAAUGGACAGCUCACUAACUUUAGUAGUUUGUUAUAACUUUUUUAACUACCAACUUAGUUUGUUACAACUGUUUUAACUACCAACUUAAUUUGUUAGUUAUGUGGACCAACUUAUCAACAACCUAGUUCUUCAAACAUCAAACACUGGCAAACCAAGUAGAUUUUCCAUUAUUUUCCUUGCUCACCUUACUAAGCUGUUGGAGUUGAGUGAAGUUGAUAAUGAAUUCUUCCAAGCUUGUAUAAAUGAUUCCCCUUUCCAACAUCUAAAGGAAAUUGUUACUUUAAUUUACUUGGAAGAGAAUGAAAGGAGUGUAUGGAAGCAAAUAUAUGAUCUCGACUUUACUUUACAAAUUUUUAAAAUUAAAAGGCGUAAUAAUGUAUAGAAUAAUUGAACACUGUAGGCGAAAGAGGAAUUCUCUUGACCUUAGUCGCUAUAAUCCUUACAGAAGGCAUAUCUUUUGUACAGAUGUCAUGUCUCCAAUACUAUCCUUCACUGCAAUUGAAGAUAUUUCGUUAGCCAGAAGAAGACGUAGCUUUAAAAGCUUGCUAAUCUCCUUUGGUAUCUCAAACACUUUUGUUUGUCGUACAUCCAAGGUCUCUAAGUUCUGGAGCUUACCAAUGGAUUUUGGAAGACUUUCUAUCUGUGUAUACCAUGAAGCUUAGAUACUUCAAGUGGAUUAAAUUCCCCCAAUUUUCAGGAAUAUGAUAUAGUAUAGCAUCUUCAAAGUCAAGUACCUUCAAUUGUAUGUAUUUUUCAAGUAUUCCACCGAUUAAGUAUUCGGAUAACUUUUGCUUUGUAAAAAUUAAAAUUGACCGAAUGCGUGAUCUUUCAGUAUUUUCAAUUAAAUCAUUGGAAUCUGAUGGUAUUGUUAAGCGUAUAAUGAUCGCACUUGACACCAAUUGAUUAUGCUCAUCAAUAUAGUGACAAAACCAUGUAUCCUUGAUUUUUCCAAGGAUCAUUUUCAUGUAUUAAGUUAUGAACAUGACAUCCUUUAACUUUGUCGUCUAUGGUAAAUGAAGAUACUUGCACCAAACUUGUAGUGAUCAACUCCAUUAAAUGUUGUUGUGCAACUUCUUCUAAAGUUCUUCCACUUUCAUGUUUGACAAACCCUUCAGCUAUCCACUACCUAAUCAAUCUUCCAGAUUUAACUUCAUAGUGUUCUGGAUACAUUCCAAAAUACAAUAAACAUGAUCUGAAAUCAUCAUAACUCAAACCAAUUUUUUUUAAAUACUAAUUAACUCAGAAUUCCUCUGCAACUCCAAACAUAGAUUUUGACUAAACCUGUCCAUUCAAGUGCACUUUGACAUUCACUAUAUAAAAGACCAACGUUCACACUUUCUAACAAUUUCAAGACAUACACCUUCGUUUUCUUUUGGACAGCAUCCACCAAAACCUGAAAAAAAUGCCUUUCCACAUCAUAACAAUUCCAAAGAUUUUUCGUCACUUAAAGGUUCUAGCUUAUACACCUGAAUGAAGGAAGUUUUCUGACAAAACUCUGCAACCUCUGUGUCCGAAGUUGUGAUUGAUACCUCUGUGUCUGAAUUUUUAUCAAUUAGAGCAAAAUCAAUGCCAUCCGAAAACUUUUUAUCCCAUACGUCAUGAAACAGGACAACAUACCUCUUGUAGCACAAGUGGUUUCUCACUUCAUCUAUCAAUGAAUCAUUAUGAAGAGGUGUCUCCAAUUUUUCUUUGCAUAACUUGUAGGAUUGAGACACUGUGAUCCAUGCAUGACACUCGAAGUUGUUAUGGAACUCCAUGUUGUCAAAAUUUCGUUGUAUUUUUUUCCAUGUUGUAAUCAUCCAUCCAACACUUGUCAUAGAACCGAAACAAUUGUGAUCAUUCAUGUUGUGUACUGAUAUAAUAGGUAAAUUCAUUGUUGUACCAUUGCAUUCUUGUUCCUUAUGGUGCUUUUCCUGGUAAAUAGAUCUCCUUAGUGUUUUUCAUUUCAGGUCUCUUCUAUUAUUCCCAGAACAGAAAUGCAAAUGCCACUAUAUGUUGCCAAAACUAUUUGCUAAAUGCAAUAUGAUUCAGACGUGGCAGACCCCCCAUAUGUAUGUCCAAUAUGUUUGUUAUAUAUAAAUUAUAACAGUCCCAUUUCAGAAAACAUUGUUGUGUGGUAUUAUGCGAGUCAAAAUAUUUUUGUUAUCAGAAAGAGUGGUGAAGUUCUCAAACAUCAAGGAUUAAUAGGAAAAGAAAGAGUGAACAAACAAAAACUGGGCAAGUUAAAUUUAAAAUUUUCAAAUUCAAUAAAAUUUUAAAAUUAGAAUUUUUUUUAUCAAAAACUUAAUUAAUUUUUUGUCCUACAACUUAUUUAUUUAUAUAUUUGCCUUCAUUCCUCUAUAGUUGGGAAAUCGACAAGGUAAACACUGGGGAUAUUUAAACCAAUGGGUCUCGAGCAAUCUUAUAAGUGAGUUUGACAUCACACCUUAAUCCCAAACUUUAAGGCUCAAAUUUAUGGGUCUUGUUCCCACUUAUAUGGUAUUCAAUCUUUUCAUUUGUAUCCAAUGUGGUACUUCACCUCGCACUUGUACUCCAACAAUCUUUUCCUUAAAUGUGAAUCUUUUUCACAUGAUAGUUUCCCCCUCGAAUGAAAGUAAUUUUCAAUCUAAAAGUAUUCAAUGAUGGCCCUUAGAACUUAAUCAUGACUACCUUUAGCUCGCCUAACCAUUUCCACCAACAUGCUCUAGUACCUUGUGCCGCCACAACACAUGCAAGACCCGCUUCCUAGCCUCCAUGCAUGGACCCACCUAUCAGGAAGACUUUCAAUAUAAGGGAUCCCUAUGUUCAUGGAUCAACCAUCGUCAUUUUACUCGUUUGACCCGGUCACCACAUCAAACCAUCGACUUUGAUACCAAUUUUUGUGAAAACCUAGGGGGUUAACAUCGAGGAGAUUUGCACCAGUGAGCCUUGAGCAACCACAUAAGUGUCUUUGACAACACACCUUAAUCUCAAACCUUAAGGGUUUUGACAUGUAUUGACUCUCCAAUUUCUUCCAUACCACUGCCUUGGAGAUUGCUUCAAUCCAUAUAUAGACCUCUUCAACUUACAAAUCAGCCGACCCGGCCGAUCCACCUUUACUAAACCUCUCUGGUUGCUUCAUGUAAAUUUGUUGCUUUAGAUCACUGUCAAGAAAGGUUGUCUUCACAUCCAUCUGCUCCAACUGAAUGUCACGAUUGGCUACUGAGGUUAGCACUGCCUUAAUAGAAGUAUGUCUUACGAUUGGGGAGGAAAUCUCAUCAUAAUCAAUCCCCUUCUAUUGUGCAUACCCCUUUGCUAAUAGGCGAGCAUUGAACUUUUCCCCUUCUUUUUCUGAUACUAGAGGUUUCCUCUUGUACACCCAUUUGCAUAUCCUAUGGUUUUGUUGCCUACAGGAAGCUAAACUCACUCCUAUGUCUGAUUCUUCUACAAAGACUUUAUUUCCUUCACCAUAUUGUCUUUCUCAUGGUUGUUCAUAACCUCUUGAAAAGUAGAAUGAUAUCCAACACUAGUGAAAAGUGAAAAAGCAACAAACUUAGCCAAUUCUUCAAACCCAUAUUGAACAACGGGUUUAAUGUGAAGUGAUCUCUAUCUUUGACAAGAUGGUACUCCUGAUGUGGUCCACCUAGACUCACCGAUCCUGGCUUAGGUAUGGGUGUAACCUCAAAUCUUGGACUACAUGGCUCUAUCGUCUCAGGAAUCACCGACAAUUACUUGAAGUCCACCUAAAGCUCAAUGGAGUUGGGGAAAGCUCUAGUAGACACUAACAUAGUUGUCUCAACUAUCUCUGGUAACAUGGAUUGCUCAUCAAACACUGCACCAUUGCUAAUCACCAUCUUCUUGGAAAUUAGAUCCCAAAACUUAAACCCUUCCACACCUUUGGAAUAACCUACAAAAACACAUUUUUCAACUUUGGAUCAAGUUUAGAUCUCUCACAUUGGAUAUAUGCACAAAAGCAUAACACCCAAAUAUUCUCAAAUUAUUAAAAUCAACAGGGUUGCCAGUCCAAACUUCCUCUGCAACUUUCCCAUCAAAUGAUGCUCAUGGUGAUCAAUUAAGUAGAUAACACGCCAUAUUCACCACUUUUGCCCAAAAUCCUUUAGAAAGGAUAGCUUGCAACCUCAGGCGCUGAGCCCUUUCAGUAAGGGGCCUAUUCAUCUUCUCUGCAACACCAUUCUAUUGUGGUGUUUUCCACACUGAGAAAUGCCUCUGAAUGCCAUGUUCCUCACAGAAUUUCUAAAACAGUGAGUUUGUGUAUUUUGUGCUAUUAUCAUAUCUCAACUUCCUGGUCUUUUUGCCCGCCUGAUUCUCCACCUCAGCUUUACACAACUUGAAAUUCUCAAAGACUUCAAAUUUCUAUUUCAUGAAGUACACCUAGACCUUGCGAGAAAAAACAUCACAAAAUAGUGAGAAUCACCCAUUGACGAAUCUCUAGUAGGACCCCACACAUCAGUAUGCACAUAAUCUAGAAUCCUUUUGGUGGUAUGUUUCGUAACUUUAAACCGCACUUUGGUUUGUUUCCUAAGAAAAUAUGCUCACACAAGUCUAACUUGCAACUCUGAAUUCCUUUCAAGAGUCCUCUCUUAUAAAGCUCCACCAUCUCAUGCUCACUGAGAUGACCCAAACACAUGUGCCACAAUUUGGUAGCAUCAUCAUUAGACUCAAUGGAUGCAACUCAACUUACAAUUAUGCUCCCCAAUAGCCUAUAAAUAUUUUGUACAGUUUGUUGUGCUUUCAUCAUAGUCAACGCCCCCUUACACACUCUGAGGGUAUCUUGAUCUCUAUCAGUUCUAUAACUAAAAUCAUGGGCCUGCAAGGUACUAAGUAAGAUCAAAUUCUUCCUCAACUCAGGGAUAUGACGAAUAUCACACUACAUUCUCACUCCACCAUUAUCCAUAGCAAUUUGCACCUAUCUCAUUCCAACAACAACACACUCCCUAUCGUUACCUGUAUAGACAUUGCCAAAAUUACCUAACAUGUGUAUGGUGAACUACUCCUUGUUGGGAGUCAUAUGGUAAGAACUUCCAAAAUCAAGAAUCCAUGCAUCUGUCAACAGAUUGCAUGAACCAGAGAGAACAUCUCCCUCACUAUAGUAGUCUGAAUCAUUAGUCUUUUUGCCACAUUUGCUAAAUGGGAUGCCCUUUCUCCAAAUUUCUUCAACUCUGGGCAAUACCUCUUGAAAUGCCCAUUUUGGUUGCUUUUGUAACACUCUUCUCUUUCUUGCAUUUUCUAGACUUGGACUUCUUCCUAUGUCUACCACUAGAACCCUUGCCAUAUGUCCUUUCACGUUCAUGUUUCCCUUUCACAUACAGGCCAUUUCCUUGCAAACUUCCUACUACAUUCUUUCUCCAUUGAGAGUGAGAUGUAAGUGCAGCCGUUAUUGCCUCCAGACCAAUUAAGUCUUUCCCGUGCGUUAAGGUUGUCACCAAAUGUUUGUAAGAAAAAGGAAAAGAACAUAGUAGAACACAUGCCUUAUCCUCAUCCAAAAUCUCCACCUCCAGCCUUAAUAGAUUGCUGAUAAUCUGAUUGAAAACAUUCAGAUGUUGUUGGAGAUCGAAACCUCCUAUAUCUUCAACCUAUAUAGUUUUUGCUUCAUUUUUAGUUUGGUCAUCAGCAAUUUCGACAUGUAUUGACUCUCCAGUUUCAACCAUACAUUCCUUACAGACGUCAACUUCAUCACAUGAUAGAGGAUCGACAAGUGUGCCUACAUCCUCUAAAGCAAAGUGAAUGUUACUUUUUUCUUAUUAUUCAACAAUGGAGUUACAUCAGGAUAUAUAUAAUAUAUGUGUACAGUAUCUAACCCAUGUACAUUAUCUUUAUGUGUUCUGUGGGGGCUUUGCCUCCUCACCCGAACCCACUUUGUAAACCAGCAGCAAGUGGUCAUUACACUCCACCCUAACUUUACCCUGCCCAUAAAAUAUGAUCCAUGCAAACAUCUAUUAAUAAAUGGUUUAUUUUGAUCAUUUAUUUUUUUUAUAACUUCUAAGUAUGAGUUAUUUUUUAUAAUAAAAAUAUAUUGAAAAUAUCUUUAAAAAUAUUUAUUUAGCAAUUAUUUUUGGCUUAAAUGAUAGGAAUUGAUAUUUUUCUUAUUUAUGGCUUGCAGAUAUGAAAAGGAGGGAUUAAAAGCAAAACAAAUCUAAAAGAUACGAAAAAUAUAAAUAAGGAAGAUUUUUUGGCAUCAAGCCCAAGUCCACUGCAGCAGCUAUAAAAAGGGAGUCAAGCCCAAGUCCACUCCAGCAACUAUAAAAAGGGAGUCAAGCCAAGGAGAAAAGACACACCGAGUCUCAGAGCACUCUCACUGCUACCUAAAACCUGAGAACUCUUCCUCUCUUCUCUCUUUUUAUCAUCUUUCUUUCUUUCACCCCUCUCAUUGUAAAGCCCUCGUGACCAUGAGUGGCUAAACCCCUAGUUAGGGUCUGGCAGACCUAAAAAGCCAAAGCGAUAUAUGAUGUACUUCAUAUUUAUCAAUGCAACAAGAUUCUUUUUCCAGGUUUUUCUAUUAUAUUAUCUUUUUUGCUUUUAUCUUGCAUUAUUCAUCUUUAUAUUUUUUUAGGGGUUAGACGCUCGAGAGAGGGUAACUUCUAAAUAAGAUUUAAAGAAAAUAUACAUGCAUUAGUUUUAGGGGUCAGACACUCAGAAGAGGAUAACUUCUAAUAGAACAAAAAGAAAGGAUUUCAUAAAAAAUUAAUUGCUAGACAUAUAACGAUUAUUUUAUGCCCAUGCAUUCUUGCAAACAUCUAGAAUUCAUACUUCAUGCAUUUUAUUUGUUGAGUCUAUGCAAAGGAAUUUGGGAGAUAAAUGAAUAAAAUAGGCUUGUCAUCAUGAGAAAUCAAGGGCAAGUAAAUGAAUAGAUGUGGGUAGAAUAGAAUCACCUAAAUUGAUAAAGAAAAAUCAUAAACUCAUACAUCCUAAGCAAACAAGGCAUUUUAGGUCCUAACAUUCGCAUUCCAUUGAAUUUUCUCUUUAAUUAUUCUACUUUUAAUUCUUUUGCUUUUUAUUAUUUAUAAUUAACUAUUAUUGCCUCCUAUUCUUUCUUCUACUUUUUUCUUUUAUUAUUUUCCCCUUAUAAAUUGAAAAGUAUCUAAGAUAAGUACAGCACAAAAUUCCUGUGGAAUCGACACUCGGACUUCCAAGACUUUAUUACUUGGACAUUUGGUACACUUGCCAAACGCCUAACAAGUUUUUGGCGCCAUUGUCGGGAAUUUUUUCUUCGUACUUGGUUGCCAUACCUUUUCAAUUUGUAAGAAAUUCUUUUAUUCUUUAUUUCUCACUUUUUCUUUCCCAUUCUCUCUUCUACUAUUUCUUCCAUAAUUUGCACGGGUAGUGCUUGUUUUUGUGUAUGUGAGGUAGAACUGUAAUUGGAGAUAUAAUCCCUAUCAACUUUGAAAUUGAAGCCACUUGCAGGCGUAACAACGCUGCAAGAAGAAGGAAGAAAGAAACACAAGAAAGCGGUCACACCUCACCUCCCCCUUCUCCAUAAAUACAUAUUCAAAUGGAGGAGGAACAUGCACAAUGAGUCACACUAGAGGACUACUCUAGUACAGCUACUCCGCAAUUCUUCACAAGCAUCGCAAGGCCGAAGGUUCAAGCGGCCAACAUCUUUUAUCCUCACUCUCUCAUCCAACUGAUCCAAGGAAACCUCUUUCAUGGUCUUCCAAAUGAGGAUCCUUAUGCUCACCUCGUCUUCUAUAUAGAGAUUUGCAACACGGUCAAGAUAGCUGGAGUUCCUGAAAAUGCAAUAUGCCUCAAUCUCUUUUCCUUUUCACUAGCAGGGGAGGCAAAAAGGUGGCUACAUUCAUUCAAGGGUAACAACUUAUGGACAUGGGAAGAAGUCGUAGAGAAGUUCUUGAAGAAAUACUUCCCAGAGUCAAAGACCGCUGAAGGGAAGAUGGAAAUCACUUCAUUCCAUCAAUUUCCUGAUGAAUCCCUCAGCGAGGCGCUCGACCGUUUCCACAGACUACUCAGGAAGAUGCCUACACAUGGGUACAAUGAGCCAGUGCAACUGAAUAUCUUCAUAGAUGGCCUGUGACCACAAUCAAAGCAACUACUGGAUGCAUCCGCAAGAGGGAAGAUCAAGCUAAAGACACUGGAGGAGGCAAUGGAACUUAUAGAAAACAUGGCGGCUAGUGAUCACGCCAUCCUUCGUGAUCGCACAUAUGCCCCAACAAAGAGAAGCCUUCUAGACCUCACCACUCAAGAUGCAACCUUGCCUCAAAACAAGCUGUUAUCCCGACAAAUAGAAGUCAUAAUAGAGACCCUCGACAAGCUUCCACAACAAUUACAAGCGGUAAGUCCUUCUCAUUCUUCUGUUAUGCAGGUAAGGGGAUGUCACACAUGUGGAGGAACGCACGAGCCUGGACAAUGUAUAGUCCAAGAAGAUCCUUCCAGGGAAGUAAACUACAUGGGAAUACAGAAUUUUCAUAGAUUCCAAGGUUACAAGCAAGGAGGACCGUUAGGAUUCAACCAAGGGCCAACAGAAUUUAAUCAUGGCCCACCAGGAUUCAACCAAGGGAUGACUUUUACACAAGGCUCAAGUUGGAGGAACCAUCUAGGGAAUUAGUACAAUAAGGAGAACAAGAGUCAGCCAUCCUAUCAGCAUCCCAGCCAAGAGCCAAGUCAUCAAAAACCUACUAACAUAGAAGAGUUGCUGAUACAGUUCAUGUAGAAGACUGAGUCACAUCAGAAAACUAUUGAUGCAGUAAUUAGAAAUUUAGAAAUUCAAAUUGGCCAAUUAGCUCAAGAGAAAGAUAAAAGGCCCACUAGAACUUUCGGAGCCAACACAGAAAAGAACCCCAAGGAAGAGUGCAAGGCAGUACUGACCAGAAGCUAGAAGAGAGCACAAGGAGAGGCAAAAGCAAAAAAAGACCAGUCUAAGGAAGGAAGGACGGACAGAGAAAGAGAAGAAGAGAAGAAGGAAGAAGAGGAGGAAGAGAAUACGAUCUUACUCCCUAAGACCAAGAGCUAGUUAGCCCGAGAGGCUAAGAAAGAAGAGCCACCAAUUCCUCUAAAGGAGCCCCCAUAUCCUUUAGUGCUGUCCAAGAAGAACAAGGAGCGCUACUUCAAGCGUUUCUUGGAAAUAUUCAAGGGGCUGGAGAUAACAAUGCCAUUCGAGGAAGCCUUACAACAGAUGCCGCUUUACUCCAAGUUCAUGAAAGACAUUCUCACCAAGAAGGGGAAGUAUAUUGACAAUGAAAACAUUGUGGUGGAAGGCAACUACAGUGCAGUGAUACAGAGGAAGCUACCCAAGAAGUUCAAAGACCCCGGAAGUGUAACUAUCCCUUGCACUAUAGGGAAAGAGGCGGUAGACAAGGCCCUCAUUGACUUAGGAGCAAGUAUCAAUCUGAUGCCACUAUCAAUGUGCAGAAGAAUUGGUGAUCUGAAGAUAGACCUACCAGGAUGACACUUCAUCUAGCAGACCACUCAAUCACAAGACCAUACGGGGUGGUAGAAGAUGUCCUAGUCAAAGUCCGCCACUUCACUUUUUCGGUGGACUCUGUCAUUAUGGAUAUUGAAGAAGACACGGAGAUUCCUCUUAUCUUAGGUAGACCCUUUAUGUUGACUGCCAACUGUGUGGUGGAUAUGGGGAAUGGAAAUCUGGAGUUGAGCGUUGAUAAUCAAAAGGUAACCUUCGACCUGUUUAAAGCAAUGAAGUACCCAAAAGAGAACUGGAAGUGCUUCAAGGUGGGGGAAAUCGACAAGGAAGAUGUUAGCACUCUUGGAACACCACAGACUUCGCUGGAAAGAGCCAUGGUGAAUGUGGUAGACUGCUUAACCAGUGAAGAAGAAGAAGAUCUCAAGGCUUUCUUGGAAGACUUGGAUCGACAAGAUAACAUCCCUAAGGAGGAAGCCAAUUUUGAGGAGCUAAAGAGCAAGAUUCCAUCUGAGAAGAAGAAGGUAGAAUUGAGGAUAUUGCCCAACCAUCUGAAGUGUAUGUUCCUGGAAGAAGAUGAGACUAAGCCCGUGGUGAUCAGUAAUGCACUCACAUCCGGAGAGGAAAAUAGGUUAGUAUAAAUUUUGAAGAAACACAAGGAAGCAAUUGGAUGGCAUAUAUUGGAUCUCAAAGGUAUCAACCCUGCCUACUGCAUGCACAAGAUAAUGAUGAAAGAAGACUACAGGCCAGUCUGAUAACCCCAGAGAAGGCUGAACCCAAUAAUGAAGGAAGAUGUAAGGAAGGAGGUGCUUAAGCUUCUAGAGGCUGGGCUUAUCUACCCCAUCUCUGACAGCACUUGGGUAAGCCCAGUACAGGUGGUACCAAAGAAAGGGGGCAUGACAUUCAUUCAGAACAAAAAGAACGAUCUGAUACCAACACGAACCGUCACUGGCUAGCAAAUAUGCAUCGACUACCGUAAGCUGAAUGAAGCCACAAGGAAGGACCAUUUUCCUUUGCCCUUCAUGGAUCAGAUGCUGGAGAGGCUUUCGGGUCAGGCAUGCUACUGCUUCUUGGAUGGAUACUCAGAUUAUAAUCAGAUCGUUGUGGACCCCAAGGAUAAAGAGAAGACGACCUUCACAUGCCCAUUUGGUGUCUUUGCCUAUAGACGGAUGCCAUUUGGGUUAUCUAAUGCACCAGCCACAUUUUAGAGGUGCAUGCUGGCCAUAUUUUCAGACAUGGAGGAGAAAAACAUUGAAGUAUUCAUGGACGACUUUUCAGUGUUUGGGCCCUCAUUUGAAAGCUGCCUGAAGAACUUGGAGAUGGUACUACAGAGGUACGUAGAGACUAACCUGGUGCUAAAUUGGGAGAAGUGCCAUUUCAUGGUUCGAGAAGGCAUAGUCUUGGGCCAUAAGAUUUCAGCCUGAGGGAUUGAGGUCGAUCGGGCAAAGAUAGAAGUCAUUGAAAAGUUGCCGCCACCAUCAAAUGUAAAGGGCAUCAGAAGCUUUCUUGGGCAUGCAGGUUUCUACAAGAGGUUCAUCAAGGACUUCUCAAAGAUUGCAAGGUCGUUGAGUAAUCUGCUGAAUAAGGAUGUGGUUUUCAAGUUUGAUGAAGAAUGUUCAACAACAUUCCAGACCCUGAAGACCAAGCUUGUGACGGCACCAGUAAUGAUUGCACCUAACUGGAGAAAGGAAUUUGAAUUAAUGUGUGACGCCAGUGACUAUGCAGUGGGGGCAGUUCUGGGGCAGAGGCAAGACAAGGUAUUUCACGCCAUCUACUAUGCUAGCAAGGUCCUUAAUGAAGCAUAAAUGAAUUAUGCCACCACGGAGAAGGAGAUGCUAGCCAUUGUCUUUGCCUUGUUGAAAUUCAGGUCUUAUUUUGUAGGGUUGGAGGUCAUAAUCUUCACUGAUCAUGUUGCUAUCAAGCACCUUCUCACCAAAGCAAAUUCCAAGCCAAGGCUGAUUAGAUGGGUCCUACUGAUACAAGAGUUUGACAUUGUCAUCAAAGAUAAGAAAGGAUCUGAGAACGUGGUAGCUGAUCACCUUUCUCGGUUGAAGAAUGAAGAGAUAACCAAAGAAGAACUGGAAGUGAAAGGGGAGUUUCCAUAUGAGUUCUUUCUACAAGUUGCCACAAGACCUUGGUUUGCUGAUAUGGCUAAUUACAAAGCCACAUGGAUCAUUCCAAAAGAAUUUAAUUGGAGUCAGCGGAAGAAAUUUUUCCAUGAUGCCCACUUCUAUGUAUGGGAUGACCCUCAUUUGUUCAAGACAGGAGCCGAUAAUCUACUGAAGAGGUGUGUCACAAUGGAGGAAGCAUAGAGCAUUCUUUGCCACUGUCACAGUUCACCCUAUGGCGGUCACCACAGUAGAGACAGGACAACAACAAAAGUGCUACAAUCAAGUUUCUUUUUGCCCUCUAUCUUUAAAGAUGCUCACGAUUUUGUGCGUUGUUGUGAUAAAUGCCAGAGAAUAGGGGGGAUUUCUAGAAGAAACGAGAUGCCACUACAAAACAUCAUGGAGGUAGAGAGUUUUUACUGUAUGGGCAUUGAUUUUAUGGGACCUCUUCCUUCUUCAUAAAGGAUUAUCUAUAUCCUGGUGGCUGUAGACUAUGUGUCCAAGUGGGUGGAAGCCAUAACAACUCCAAAAGAUGAUGCCAGGGUAGUGAUAAAGUUCUUAAAGAAAAAUAUUUUCUCCGUUUUGGAGUCCCAUGAGCCCUAAUCAGUGAUGGAGGAACACACUUCUGCAACAACCAAUUGAAGAAAGUCCUGGAGCAUUACAAUGUUAGACAUAAGAUGGCUACACCUUAUCAUCCACAGACCAAUGGCCAAGUAGAAAUUUAUAACAGAGAGCUUAAGCGAAUCCUCGAAAAGACUGUGGCAUCAUCAAGAAAGGAUUGGGCUUUGAAACUAGAUGAUACUCUCUGGGCCUACAGGACAACAUUCAAGACCCCCAUCGGAUUAUCACUGUUUCAGCUAGUAUAUGGGAAAUCAUGUCACUUACCGGUAGAGUUGGAGCAUAAAGCCUAUUGGGCUCUCAAAUUGCUAAACUUCGAUGAAGCUGCAUAUGGAGAAAGGAGGAAAUUACAGUUGCUGGAGUUAAAAGAAAUGAGAUUGAAUGCCUAUGAGUCCUCUAGAAUUUAUAAGUAGAAGAUGAAGGCGUAUCAUGAUAGGAAGUUGCAGAGACAAGACUUCCAGUUAGGCUAAGAGGUUUUACUCUUUAACUCCAGGCUUAGAUUAUUCCCAGGAAAGCUGAAAUCAAAGUGGUCAAGGCCAUUUGUGAUUAAAGAAGUGAGACCUCAUGGAGCAAUAGAAUUGAUGGACCCUAUAGGAGACAACCUUAAGAGGAGAUGGAUCGUCAAUGGACAGUUUUUGAAGAUCUAUAAUGGCGGACAAUUGGAGAGGUUGACAAGCGUUGACUACCUGAAGGAAGGCACAACGUCUAGCUAAAGACGAUAAACUAAGUGCUGGCUAGGAGGCAACCCAGCACAUCUGUACAAAAUUAGAUUUUUUAUUCAAUUAUAAAAAACAAGUUUUUUUUUAGGAUCUUCAUGGACUCUCAGUCCACUUGGGAUGUAUCCACAAUUGAUGACUCAGAGGCCUUCAUCCAGUAGGUUGUUUGGCCAGGAGUCCAACCCUCUACUGAUGGGGGGUGAGCCCUCUGAGGUCGGAGAUACCACUGAAGUUGGAACUAAGGAUGAGACCAUAUUGUAUAUCUAGCAGCUGAUGGGGAUCCAUGGCCCACACAAGAUUGAGACCCAAAUCUUUUUACUAGGAUUUUUUUCUUUCGUUUCUUUAUAUUUCUUGUCUUUAGUUUUUCUUUUUCACUAUCUUUCAUUAUUUUUCUUUAAUUUCAGUAGUUUAAAUUCAGUCAUUACAUAAAAAUUGCAUGAUAUUUAUGAAGUCACUAGUGCUAAGGCUUUUUCUGAAGGACUUAGACACUUGAAAUGCUGCAUACCAAUUUUUGUGAAAAUGCUGGUUUCAUGAAGGCAAAUGUUAGUUCAAGUAAUGGAGUAUGAAUCACAACAAAGAGAGGAAAAGGUUAGUUUGUCGGAAAGAAAUCAUGUGCGGUAAGCCAACAACUUUGUUUUGUCCCGGUGAGUUGUGUGAAACUUACUUGUGAGAGAAAAUUUGUUUUUAAUUUCCUGUUAUUGCAUCAUUUUUAUACUGUUUGAUUAAUUACAUGAGGUGGAAAUGAUCAAGGCUAUGUUUCUUCUUAUUUUCAGCCAAAAAGCCAACCUUUGAUGAUAAUUUAUCCCUUGCAACCUAUUUGAGCCAAAAAUGAUAAUCAUGUUUUUUUUUGUAAAACCCUUAAGCUUACUUUAAUUAUCUCCUACCUUGUUUUAUGGUUUAAGAGAGCAUAAGGAUCUUAGUUAUGAUAUGCUCCUAAUUUGGGGGAGGGUUAAGGUAAAAAUUGUCUCAGGAAGAUAAAACAACACACAAUAAGGCACCUUAAAAAAAAUUGUAUGCCCAAAGUUUCUUUCCAAAAAAAAAAUAAAAAUUGAAUGCCCAAAAGUUUCUUUUCAAAAAAAAAGGAAAGAAGAAUAAUAAGGGCAGAAAAUAAAUAGGUGCCAUAAGUGCUGUUAGAACAAUAAAUUGAGGUAAAAAAAACCUAGGCUGAAUAAGUGAAAGUUUUUCUAGGAUAAAUGCUCUCUUAUAACCCUAAUUUUUGAAAUCCAAGAAAAACCAUAAUUUUUUUUAUUAUUUAGGCCACAUUACAAGUCAAUAAAAGUCCCUAGUACCAAGUGUAAGUAGGAUAACUUUAACUAAGAUGAAGUGCAAAAAUUAGAAACAUUAAUUGCAAGUCGUAGAAAUUUAAACACUCAUCCAAGACACUUGUGUGCAGAGAGAAACACUAAAACCUUGUGAGGAAAACUGAGGCAAGCUGACUUGAUUGAUUUCUGUUACUAACCAAUUCUAUCUCAAUGUUUGUUUAUGCUUCCAUUGCAAGAUCAUAGCAAAAGCAAAGAAGGUCCAGCUAAGGGAAUUUGAAAAAUUGCAGCUAUUGAAAGUGUUAGAGCAUUCGGAGCCUCCUCUCAUUUUUUUUUUUGCUUGAGGACAAGCAAAGUUUUAAUUUGGGAGAUUUUGAUAACCACUAAAUAUGAGUUAUUUUUUAUAAUAAAGAUAUAUUGAAAAUAUCUUUAAAAAUAUUUAUUUAGCAGUUAUUUUUGGCUUAAAUGAUAGGAAUUGAUAUUUUUCUUAUUUAUGGCUUGCAGAUAUGAAAAAGAGGGAUUAAAAGCAAAAUUAAUCCAAAAGAUAUCAAAAAUAUAAAUAAGGAAGAUUUUUUGGCAUCAGCCUCAAGUCCAUUGCAACAGCUAUAAAAAGGGAGUCAAGCCCAAGUCCACUUCAACAAUUAUAAAAAGGGAGUCAAGCCCAAGUCCACUUCAACAAUUAUAAAAAGGGAGUCAAGCCAAGGAGAAAAGACACACUGAGUCUCAAAGCACUCUCACUAAUACCUAAAACCUGAGAACUCUUCCUCUCUUCUCUCUUUCUAUCAUCUUUCUUUCUUCCACCCCUCUCACUGUAAACCCCUCAUGGCCAUGAGUGGUUAAACCCCUAGUUAGGGCCUGACAGGCCUAAAAAUCCAAAGCGAUGUAUGAUGUACUUCAUAUUUAUCAAUGCAACAAGAUUUUUUUUCCAGGUUUUUCUAUUCUAUUAUCUUUUCUGCUUUUAUCUUUCAUUAUUCAUCUUUAUAUUCUUUUAGGGGUUAGACGCUCAGGAGAGGGUAACUUCUAAAUUAAAUUUAAAGAAAAUAUGCAUGCAUUAGUUUUACGGGUUAUACACUCGAAAUAGGAUAAUUUCUAAUAGAAAAAAAAAAGAAAGGAUUUCAUAAGAAAGUCAUUGCUAGACAUAGAAUGAUUAUUUUAUGCCCAUGUAUUCUUGCAAACAUCUAGAAUUCAUACUUCAUGCAUUUUAUUUGUUGACUCUUUUCAAAGGAAUUUAUGAGAUAGAUAAAUAAAAUAGGCUUGUCAUCAUGAGAAAUCAGGGACAAGUAAAUGAACAAAUGUGGGUAGAAUAGAAUCACCUAAAUUGAUAAAGAAAAAUCAUAAACUCAUAGAUCCUAGGCAAACAAGGCAUGCUAGGUCCUAACAUUCGCAUUCCAUUGAAUUUUCUCUUUAAUUAUUUUGCUUUUAAUUCUUUUGCUUUUUAUUAUUUAUAAUUCACUAUUAUUGCCUCCUAUUCUUUCUUCUACUAUUUUCUUUUUUUAUUUUCCCCUUAUAAAUUGAAAAGUAUCCAAGAUAAGUACAACAUAAAAUUUAUGUGGAAUCGACACUCGGACUUCCGAGACUCUAUUACUUGGACAUUUGGUACACUUGCCAAACGCCUCACAAUUUUCAAAAUGAUGCAAUUUGAACCGUGAAUAAACUUUUUCAUCUCACUAUUUAUUUUUUCAAUUGGCUUCUGCUGUUAAUAAACAAUUUAAUUUGGUCCCUUAUUUGAUUCAACUUCAUCCCACUAUUAAUAAACAAUGUUAAGUGAAUUUGGACGAAAGUGAUAAAAUUAUAUCAAUUUCAAAUUAAGGGACCAAAUUAAAAAUUUUAUUAUUACCAUGUCGAAGUUGAAUAAAAUAAAUAAACAAUGAGACAAAAAUGAAUAAAGACUUAAAAAACUUAUUUCAUAGUAGACGAGCCUAAUUUUUAGUAUUUUACUCAAGAUAAAUGACAGAUAAUUUGAGUUUAAUAAUAUGUACUAAAAGAUGCGUAAAAAGUGUUGCACAAGGGAAAGUGAACCCUAUGCGGUAGUAUCGUGAACUCGAAAGUCUGGGUAUCGUACUCUAGAGAUUAGUUGUUUUCUUGAAUAAUUCAAUUGAAUAAACUAAAUAAUUUUGGGGGGAGGGGGGUGGUUUAUCUUGUGUUUGAGAGUGUUUUACCAAUUGUGUCAAAGAAAAUAUAAAUUAAGUUGAGCAAUAGUUUCUAAGGAAAAAGUGUAUGAAUGAAGACAAGCCCGAAUUAUGAAUUUGUGUGUACCCAUUUUCCCCUAAUCCUAAUUAUAAUUAUGAACCCGAAGUUAAUGAUUAAUCGCCGAUUGCCUCAAAUGUAAUUGUAAGCCUAUGGUCAAUGUGUAAUUAUCGGUGCAUAACCUAAUUUAUGAUAGUUAAUGAUUAUUGUUUUAUAUAUGACAUAUAAUUUAUGAUUGAAUAACAAUGUGUAAUUGUGCUUUGUAUUAUCAGUGCAUAACCUAAUUUUUCUUAAAAAAAUUUCCACUUACCUUGCUCAUUUUGAAAAUUUUUGGACCAAAAGUUUGGAUACCAAAUUUGCUGAAGCACUAUGCUAAAAAGAUUAAAAGUGAUAAGCCAAAACUUAACAUGUCUUGUUAUAGUACAAGUUCACGCAAUCUUAACAUAUACAACCCAAAUUUUCACUCCAAUUCAAGUUCUAGAAGCAUAAUUGAAAACUAAAAUUAGUAUUUACUAUUGUAAUUGAAGGUAAAUUUCUUAACUCAAAAAUUCUUUUCCUCAGCUGAAAAUCCUAAAUCUUUAUUUAUAAUUUCUCAAUUAGGGCCAUCAUUUGGUUGAAGAAUAUCUAAAUUUUCGUAAUUGUUAAUAUUUAUUCCUAGUAUCUAAAUUCAAUCCUUAUUUCAAUUUCCUAGUUGUCAAUAGGAAUCUACAAUCUAUAGGCAUGCAUAGUCAUCAUUACGGUUGAUCAAGAGGCUAUUCAUAUGCUUAUUUGUGGAAUCCAACAACUAUGAUAUACAAUAUACUACAUGUGUUAUUCAUAUCUUUUUUUUUUUUUACCUUUUCACAAUAAUGAAUACAUAAAAAUCAAGUAUGCUUAAAACAAGGAUGUAAUAGCUAGGCAGGGGUACCUCUUGUAGGCUUGUACUCCAUCAUCUAAUAUAUUUUGUCUUGUAAUUUUUUUAAAACUUGAAACAGUCUAAAAUCAUAGAAUUUUUGUUGUUGUUUUCAGUUGCUUGCGCUCCAUAUUGUUUUACAACAGAGUGGAUUCAGCUUUUAUCCUCAAAAAUCGAAGGUGCUUGCAAGUGUACAUAUAACACUACUACAAAAAACAGUUUUAACAUCGGUUUUGGAUAAAACCGAUGUUAAGUUAACGCGGUGACAUAUUUGUAAAUAAAGUAUCCUUCUUAACAUCGGUUUUCCAAAAAACCGAUGUUAAUGCAUACACUUUAACAUCGGUUUUUCAAAAACCGAUGUUAAUGCAUAUACAUUAACAUCGAUUUUUCGAAAACCGAUGUUAACAUCAUUAGUUAACAUCGGUUUUUGAAAAACCGAUGUUAACGUAUGAUAUGUUAACAUCGAUUUUUUGAAAAAUCAAUGUUAAUAUAAACUUUUUUUUAAUUAUUUAUAUAUUUUUAAAAAAAUAAUAUAUUUCGUUAUUAAUUAUAUUUUAAUUAAAAAAUAAAAUAAUUAAUAAAAAAUAAUAAAUUCAAAAGGUAAGCAUUUAAAAAUUAAAUUAAAUUUUUAAAAUGAAUUUUUUAAUUUUAAUUUAAUUAUUUCAUGAUUAUCAUUUAAAUAUAACAAUCAUUUAUAUAAAUUAUUUGAUAUUAGUUAAUUUGAUAAUAUAAAGAAACUGUUUUUAAUAAUAGAGUUUAACUUUUAUAGAUUUUUAUAGAAUGUUGGUAAAAACAAUUAUAUCAUAAAAAAAAUUAAAAUCUUUCAUUAAUAUAUUUUUAUUUAAUUAUUAUAAAAAUAAAAAAUUAGUUUUUUUCUUCAUAAAAAGGUAAAUGGAGAAUAUUGUUUAAAAAUUCUCUGAAAUCCUACUAUAUUUAUAUUAUCGUAUUAUCUUUAAAUUUAAAGUAAAUUAUAAUAUUUGUAUAUAUUAAUUUGAUUUAUUGAAAAUAUAUGUUACAGUGAUUUAAUUUAAAUAAUUAUAGUUAUCUCAUAUAUUUGUAGGAUUUAAAAAAAUGAUAUUUUUAUUAUUUUUAAACAAAUUUAAACAAAUUUUUCAGAACAAAAAUAAAAAUAUUUUGAUGGCACGAAAAUUAUGUUUUAAGUCUUUAAAUUUAGAGUUAAUUAUAAUCCACAUGAAAUUUAUUUUUAUUACAUUUUUCAUUUUUUUAUUAUUUUUAACCUCAUUUGUUAAUUAUGUGUAUUUUUUGUUAAUAAAUUUAAUAAAAAAUUAUUUAGGAAAGAAGAAACAAAGAAAAAGAAUUAUAUUUAAAUAGUGAUGAUUUUUUUUUUGUCAAAAGUUAUUUUAAUACUCAAUUAAAUAUAUUUUAAUACUCAUUUAGGAAAGAAGAAACAAAGAAAAAGCAUUUCGGAUUAAUUAUUUUCAGUCUCUAUUUUUUUUUAAUUCUAAUUUUAUUAUAUGAACAAAUAUUUGGUUUGUCAAAGUCUUCAAACUUUUCUUUAUUAUCUUUAGAUUUUGCCGUCAACUUUAUUUGUUUGACAAAAUGAUGUUAUGAUAAACAUUGAGACUAUCACAUGUUAGAUAAAAAAAAAUAUAUUGAAUUUUAUUAUUAACUUGUGUUAAAAAUAAAUAUCUCCAAACAUGAAUUAUAUCACCCAAAAUCAAAAUCAAAUAUGUAAAACCAAUUCCAUUUAAAAUUAAUUUUGUAAAUGCUGAUUCAAAUUACUAUCUAAAAAUUGAUUAUGUUGUGAUGAAAAUUCUGCAUAAAGUUGACUCAAGGAUAUGUUGCAAAUAAUGGUUAAAGUCGACCAACUUUUCAUAUACAUACACAAAAUUUUAUAAAUAAAUGACAAUAUAAAAUUUUAACAAAUUCAUUAAAAAUCACCAAUUUUUUAUGACUUAUUUUUCAUCAUUUAAUGAUUUUUUCUUUUUUUUUUGAAUAAAUUUUUUAUGAGUCUCACUUGUUUCCUUCUUUAAAAGUGAGACGUACUAAAAUUAUAAAUUUUAACUAAUUAUAAAAAAGGGUAUGGGAGAAUGUGGCUAACAUUUCUCCCUUCCUGUAUUCAAACUACAUUUAAUUUUUACAUUUUAUCAAUACUAUUUUAUUGGUUCAGUGGAGUAAUUUUAACUAAUGAUAAAAAAAGGUAUGGGGUAAUUUUAACUAAUGAUUUAUUGAAAAAGAAAUUUUGAUAUUUUUUUUAUAAAAUCUUACAUGAAAACAUAUAAAUAAAUAAUAAUUUAAUUUAGAAAAAUUUAAAUAUUAUAAAUCCGUUCUAUAUUAAUUGAAAUAGGCUAAUUUUCAAAUAUUACAAAUAAAAUUACCCCCAACAAAUUUUUCUUAAAUAACUUCGUUAAUUCAUGUUUUAAGAAAAUCAUUAAUUCAUGUUGAUAUUAAUUUUUUUUAAAUUCCUUAAAAAAAUUAUUUUUAUAUUAACUAAAAGUAAUGCAUUUUUAAAAAAAAAUUAGUAAACACUGUAAAUUUAAUUUAAAAUUUGUGUUUUGAAAAAAUCAUUAAUUCUAUAUAUAUAUAUAUAUAUAUAUAUAUAUAUAUAUAUAUAUAUAUAUAUAUAUAUAUAUAUAUAUAUAUAUAUAUAUAUAUAUAUAUAUAUAUAUAUAUAUAUAUAUAUAUAUAUAUAUAUAUAUAUAUAUAUAUAUAUAUAUAUAUAUAUAUAUAUAUAUAUAUAUAUAUAUAUAUAUAUAUAUAUAUAUAUAUAUAUAUAUAUAUAUAUAUAUAUUGUUUCUCCCAAAAGCGCAUUCUGUCCUCACUCAAAUGUACUCACUCACUCACUCUCCCUCGUCGCCGCUGAGACACAAAGAGUAGCUGCCUCGCAACGCCGCCCUUGCCAUCACGAAGAGUAGCUCUCUCGUGACGCCAUCCUCACUAUGCCGUUUCAGGUGAGAUUUUUAUGCAUCCAUCGCGAUUUCACCCUAUAUUUUUAGGGAAUUUGAUUUCGAAAUCACAAUAGGAGCUGAACUUCACUAAACCCGUAGGGACUGCGCCUCUUUAGUUAGAAAAAGAAGUCAAAAGGCAAAACCUAGCACAAAAAGCAUAUUUGAUUGUUAAUGUUGAUGGAGAGUGUGGAAUGCUCCCAAACAAAAACCGUACCAUGGUUAUUUCUGGCAAUGUAGUGGCUUUUUUGCUGUGAUGUUGUGAUACGUUUCUGUAAUGUUGAGUGCAAAUAUGCACCACCUAGAACUUCUUGUAACCAUCUUUGUCUUUGGGUUCAAGUGCUCCAAUUUCAAAUUUUGAAAAGGCAAUUUUAUUUUGUGCCUCCUCUUUUUCUUUCGGCACUCUCUGCAUUUUUGUAUUUUUUCAAAUUUUUUUCGGAUGAUUUUACUGUUACAUCUCCUAUUCCAUAUCCUUAUAGAUCUUGAUUAUGUUCUUUGUUGUUUUUUCAUGGUGUGUGAUUUUUUAUGUGAUGGAGCUUAUCAUCUGCUAUUAUACAUUUACAACUUACAAUUUUGAUAUUUUCUUAAUUGAUGCUGCAGUCCCACUAUGUUCUGUUGCUCUGUUCUUUCAAAGAACAACUUCAACAGCAUGUCCGGGUCCAUGCAAUGGAAGCAGUCAUGGUUUGUUGGGAGAUUGAGCAAUCCUUACAAAGUUUAACAGGUACAGCGAUAGUCUUUUUAGUGAUUGUUACAUCUCAACAUAAAAAUAAACCAAUAAAGGUUGGGUACAUGAUAAAAUGGAAAUCAGUACCAGAAAAUGAUAAAAUGGAAAUAACUUGAUUCAAGUUACCUCAAUUAUGUUCCUGCUAUCAAUGAACCAGCCUGUAAUUUACUCUCCCAAACACAAUAUUUUAGUUAUUUAUGACCAAUUUUUAGAAAACUGCAAUCAUUUAUAAAAAAAAGGCUCCUAUCUAAAAAAUUUACUCACAAUUUCAAUGGGAAGAAAUCUCAAAUAAUAUUUUAUAGGAAAAUAGGCGUAACAUGUGCUGCUGUAUGUUUGUGAUUAACUAUUAACUAAUAACUAUACGGUCUCGGGUCGGGAACUUGGGACAGAGUCGUUUCUGGCAAUUAAUUUAGACUGAGGGUACUUAAGUUCUCGAAAUCAGGGAUUUUACCUGCCGUGAGUUGUAACCUCAUGUUCAAAUUUUCUUACAAGGUCAACUAUCAGUCAAUAUUGCAAGGUUCAGAUUAACAAUCAAUGAUAUGCAAGUCCUUAAUUGUUGUUGGACUAAGAAGCAUGGCUACAGAGAUUAAUUUUCCUUAUCUUUUCACAUAUAAGGUUUGAGGGGAUUUGUGAGACUUCAAAUCAUGGCUUCUUAACUUAAUUAAAAUAGAAACAUAUAUAACCAAAUAACGAAGAAUAUACCAAACCCCCCACUUAUUGUCUCAGAUAGAAUGAUGACAAUUUCUGUAUUUGAUGAAAGUAUUGACGACUUUUAUAGUGCAUAGCCCAGUUGUCCAUAUUUUUUGGCACGUUAUUGGCAAUUUGGAUGGAGCACUUUCUACUCAAAUAGAGAGGGAAUUUUUUUAUUUCUUUUAAUGUACUAAAUUUCUAAGUGAUUGGAGCAUUUAGAUUAUUAGAGUAUCUGAUGUCUAAUAGCGAAAGUAUAUAGUAAAGACUUUAGUUCUUACUUAAAAAAAUGUCAUACUAAUGAAAAUUGUUAAUUGUUAAAAAAAUGUUAAAGUUUUUUAUUUAACAAAAAUUAACUAGUGUGUUCGGAACUCAGUUAAGUUCAACUAAUGGUUUAAGGUAAAAAAAAAAAAAAAAUACUUUUGAGAUAGAAGUAAUUUUAUUAAAGAAUUAGAACUUUUAUUCUUUGAUUCUUGCUUUCAUUCAGUUAAUAUCAAUAAGGAAAUGAUAAGGAAUUCAUACAAGUAAUAUUAUAUUUAAUUCUCUUAACUAAAAUAUUAAAUUUAAAUAUUAUGAAUAAAAAAAAUAUGUAAUUGAAAAAAAAAUUCACUAAAAAUAAACGAUCAAAUUUUAUGACAAAAAUUAAUUAUCAUAAAAUUAGUAUAUAUAUAUAUAUAUAACUGGAUUUUUUUCUAUGAAAAAAAAGUCCUAGGAUUUGAUUCCCCAAUUCCUUCUCUGUACGUAAAUAAAAUCUCGUGAGUGAGCAACCAUAAAGUUUGAAAAUGGAUUAGCCUAAUAAAAAAGGACGAUAUAAGCUUAUAACAGUGAAUAAGAUUUAUCUUCACGUUGCGUUUUCUUUUUCUUUAGUGGAGAUAAAUUCUAACCACCUUUAUGUUGCAUUUUGUCUCCGUUACUACCAAAGAUUUAAUUCUCACCAUUAAUUCGUUUUAUCUUUCUUUCUCCAUUAUUAUUAUUUUUUAAGUAAACUGUCGGUGACUCUCCUAUGUGAUCUGUCUCUCUCUCUUUUAGCCUUUAUCAUUUUGUAGUCCAACAGUUAAGAGAAAAGGGAAUACAAUUGCAGUUAGAUCUCUAUUUCCCACAAAAGGAGUCCUAAGUAGUAAGUAAGACAUUUUUUUAAUAUAAUUUAGAAUAAAUUGUACUCGUAUCUUCUGAGCGCUUAUUAUACUUAAUCUUACUCUUUUUUUUUAUCAUAUACAAGAUUGUCUUAUGUAGGUGUUCAUUUAAUUAUUUCUUUGAUUCUUGCUUUCAUUUUGGACCGUGCUGCUCAUCAUCACAGGUACAAAUGUUUGUUACCAAUGAAUAUUUUUAUUACGUGUUCAUUGCCAUUAAUGACAAUUGAUAUAUGCUAUACAAAUUGUGUUCAUGAUGAGUGAACGUACCUUAGAUUCCUGUUUGAGAUUGGAUGGAAUGAUUCUUGCAAACAGUUUGCAUUAAUCAUUGUAUUCAAUCUUGAAUUGUCCGUUUGGACAGUUUGGGGAAACUGAUAUUUUUAUGGUAGAUUCAUGUGUUAAGGUUAAAAUUAUUUUGUUUAAUUUGAUGAAAUUUCGGUAAUGCAUUUCUAGUUGUUCUCUGAGUACAUACUUGAUUAUCGGGAAAUUAAUUUCACCGAUUUUAUGUCGUGUACUUGGAAACCAAUGCGAAAUGCUGUCAAAAUUUUGUCAAAUUUAACAAAAUAGAAUUAAUCCUGAUGUAUGAAGCUACCAUAAAAGACGGUUUUCCCGAAUGGGAUAGGGCCACACCUUUAAUAUAAAAGUGAGAUUUUCAUGCAUCGAAUAACUUUGAGAGUAUGACCGAGAUAUUACUUAGAUGGAUCGAAGUUGGAUGAAUGAAAGUCGCAUCAGCCCAGAUGGAAAAUAUUAUUGUCCUUGCAUCAAUUGUUUGAACGGAAGACGACAAAUACGGGAUGACAUACGAGAGCAUCUGCUGUGUAAUGGAAUUAAAAGAAAUUAUACGACAUGAAUAUGGCAUGGUGAAAUAACAUACAUGCAGAGUAGGCAAUAAUCCGAACCGUUUGAUGUAGAAAUGGGAGAUCGCUUGGAGGAUAUGAUUCGUGACCUUGGACAAGAGUCUUUCCAGCAAGCACAUGCCCCUGUGUAUAAAAGAUUGCAGAGUGACUCAAAGAAGCAUUUGUAUCCAGGAUGCAACAAUUCCUUGACGCUAUUGUCGGUGGUGUUAAGUCUGGUUAAUGUUAAGGUCAGAUAUGGAUGGAGUGACAAAGGCUUUACUUCAUUGCUUCAAAUAGUGCACGAUCUGCUUCCACAGGAUAACACAUUGCCUAAAAGCUACUAUCAGACCAAGAAGAUAUUGUGUCCGAUGGGUAUGGAGUAUCAGAAGAUUCAUGCUUGCCCUAAUGAUUGCAUACUGUACAUACAUGAAUUUAAAGAAAUGUCAAAAUGCCCUAGGUGUGGGGCGUCACGGUACAAGGUGAAGGAUGAUGAGGACUGCAAUUCUGAUGAAAACUCAAAGAAGGGCCCUCCAGCGAAGGUAUUAUGGUAUCUUCCCAUCAUUCCAAGGUUUAAGCGUUUAUUUGCUAAUGAGGACGACGCAAAAGAUCUUACCUGGCAUCCAAAUGGGAGAAAAUAUGAUGGAAUGGUCCGUCAUCCAGCUGAUUGCUCCCAGUGGAAGAAGAUUGAUAGUUUGUAUCCGGAUUUCGGCAAAGAGGCAAGAAAUCUUAGACUUGGACUAGCCAGUGAUGGAAUGAAUCCAUAUGGCAAUUUAAGCACUCAACACAGUUCAUGGCCAGUUCUACUAGUAAUUUACAAUUUUCCGCCUUGGUUGUGCAUGAAGCGAAAAUACAUGAUGUUGUCUAUGAUGAUAUCGUUCCCAAGACAACCAGGAAAUGACAUUGAUGUUUAUCUAAGUCCGUUGAUUGAAGACCUGAGAAAGUUGUGGGAUGAGGGGGCUUUAGUGUUUGAUGGGUUUCGCAAGGAGACUUUUAAAAUGCGUGCAAUGCUUUUUUGUACCAUUAAUGACUUUCCAGCAUAUGGGAAUCUCAGUGGUUACAAUGUUAAGGGUCAUCAUGCAUGCCCCAUCUGUGAAGAAGACACAAGCUACAUACAACUGAAACAUGGUAGAAAAAUAGUGUACACUAGACAUCGCCAUUUUCUAAAAGCUCAUCACCCUUACAGAAGAUUGAAAAAAGCUUUUAAUGGAAGUCAAGAGCAUGAAACUGCGCGGAUACCAUUAAUUGGUGAGCAGGUCUUCCAGCGGGUUGAACACCUUAAUACUGUAUUUGGAAAGACUCAAAAGAAGGAUAAAAGUAAGAGUUGCAUAUGGAAGAAGAGGUCCAUUUUCUUUGAUCUUUCGUACUGGUCUGAUCUAGAUGUUAGACAUUGUAUUGAUGUUAUGCAUGUAGAGAAAAAUGCAUGUGACAGUGUCAUUGGGACACUCCUUAACAUUCAGGGCACGACGAAAGAUGGUCUAAAUACCCGUCAAGAUCUAGCUGACAUGGGCAUACGAUCGCAGUUGCAUCCAAGGUCUGAUGGUAAAAAAGAUACUUGCCUCCAGCUUGUCAUACUUUAUCCAGAAAGGAGAAGAUCAGUUUGUGCCAGUGUUUGUGCCGGGUUAAAGUCCCACAAGGAUACUCUUCAAAUAUUAAGAGCCUUGUGCAGUUCAAGGAGCUUAAGCUGGUGGGGUUAAAGUCUAAUGAUUGUCACGUGUUGAUGCAACAAUUGUUAGCCGUGGCCAUACGAGACAUUUUGCCUAACAAAGUCAGGUUAGUCAUAACUCGCCUGUGCUUUUUCUUCAAUGCCAUAUGUAGCAAAGUCCUUGAUCCAGUCAAGUUUGAUGACUUGGAAAACGAGGCUGCAAUUAUAUUGUGCCAGUUGGAGAUGUAUUUUCCUCUUGCUUGCUUUGACAUCAUGGUCCACUUAAUUGUUCACCUGGUCAGAGAAAUCAAAUGUUGUGGUCCUGUUUAUCUACGCUGGAUGUACCCGGUUGAGCGCUACAUGAAGAUCUUAAAAGGGUAUACCAAGAAUGUACAUCGUCUAGUAGCAUUUAUUGUUGAAAGGUACAUCACAGAAGAAGCCGUUGAAUUUUGUUCAGAGUACAUUGAAAAGGCUAAACCUGUUGGCUUUCCAGAGUCUCGCCAUGAUGACAGAGUGGGCGGUAAGGGUUCAAGAGGACUGCAUGUUAUCACUCCAAGUGUAGAAGAUUUGUUACAAGCUCACUUGUAUGUGUUGAACAACAGAAAUGAAGUUUUUCCAUACAUAGUUCAGCAUGAAUGUUUAGUCAAACCAAGUAAUCCAAAAAUGUCAAAGAACUGGGUCUUGAAAAAUCAUAACAAGACUUUCUCUGAUUGGUUUAAAGAUACAAUCUUUGCUGACGAAAAUGCUUCUAAAACAUUAAGAAAGCUAGCUCAUGGGCCUAAAAGAAAUGUUAUAACUUGGCAAGGAUACGACAUAAACAAGUAUUCCUUUUACACAAAAGCACAAGACGACAAAAGUACAAUGCAAAACAACGGGGUCACCCUAAGGGCUGAAUCUCAAUACUUUGCAAUUGUACAUGAUGACAAUCCUUGUGUAGCUUCAAUCCCAUACUUUGGCUUCAUUGAUGAAAUAUGGGAGCUUAACUAUGUCAAAUUUACUGUUUGUGUUUUCAAAUAUAAGUGGAUUGACAACAACACCGGUGUAUGGACUGAUGAUGUAGGAUUUACGUUGGUAGACCUAUAGAAACUAGCUUACUAGAAUGACCCUUUCAUCAUGGCAGAACAAGCUAAGCAAGUAUUUUAUGUGCAAGACCCUUGUGAUGAAAGGUGGUUUGUGGUUCUACACAGGAAAACAAUUGGUGUUAAUGUAGAAGACGAUGAUUCAUACAUGGACACUUAUGUUAGUCCUUUGUCUACACAAAUGACUUCUAACAGCGUCGGAGAAGAAGAAGCUGACGACAUUCAUGCUAAUCGUAAUGAUCAUGAUGAAGGAGAAUUAAUUAACAUCGUCUAAUGUAAUUUUCUAAUAUAGUAUUUCAUUUCGGUACAUUCGUUUACAUAACUCAUACAAUGUUUUUUUGAUGAUAUUAACUAACUCAACUUUUUCUCUUUAAAGGACCAUGGCUACUCCACCUGCCUCGCCUCCUCCUCCUCUUCCUCCUCCUCCUGCAGACGCAUCAGUGUCUCCAUCUACAUUGAAGCGGACACGCAAGGCGACACGGCUACGAUCAUUGGCCACUAGACUACCUGGGGCAGAAAGACCUGUGGUCAACGUCGAUCUUGCUACCGGCAAGGCCGACGAUACCCAAAAGAAGAAAUUAAGAACAUAUUUGGGGAUUGUCGCUCGUGAUAAGGUCGACGUGACAUAUGACACCUGGAAGGAAGUCCCUACUGCUCAGAAGGAUUUGAUAUGGGAGGAUAUUCAGGUAUUUGAGUUUUCUUCAUUUAUUUUCUUUAAUAGUCUAAAUUUGUUAUUUACUUACAAUAAAACCUAAUUUAUUGUUUGUUAGGCAGAAUUUGAAAUCCCUGAAGCUUCUGACAGUAGGACAAAGAAGAAAAUUCUUCAGAUUGUCGAUGAGCGCUGGAGGCAGUUUAAAUCUGACUUGACUAGGAAAUGGGCACUUGCAGCCGACAAGGACGGUGUGGACGACAUUGUCUGUGAAAAAUAUGGCAUUAGCAAGGAGAAAUGGGCCCAGUUUUGUCAGACCUGCAGAGACCCCUCAUGGGUGGUAUGUACUUUGUCAUUUUAGUUGUUUUCCACAACAAAAUCACUUCUUAUAAUUUAUUGUAAUAAUCAUUUUCAUUAAUGUUAAACUUUUGCAAGAUGUGCGGAAAAAGACACAGGCCUCCCAGAAGCAAAACACUGCCCCCCACAUAUUGUCUCGUGGGGGUUAUGAAUAUUUAGAAGAAAAGCUCAUGGCUAAGAAGAUAAAGAAAAGACUGGAAGAAGCUGCCCAGUCUGGAAGCACUGAGGGCAUCAUUGACCCUCCAUCUCCCAUCAGAUGCCACAUGAAAUGGAAGAUGGCUCGCACGAAGAAAACUGGACAGAUGACGUCUGAGGCAGCAAAGGAAAUAGCUGACAGGAUUGUAAGUCAUUUUUAAUUAAUAAUUGUAAUUAUCUUUGUGUAUUCUGUGAAUUCCUUGGACAAAUAUGUGUUCAGUACAGGAUUCUUUGGACAAGAAGGCGUCACAGGGAUCGUUCAUCCCCCAUGGACGUCAGGAUAUCCAGACUGCUGUCAUUUGGCGACCAGAGCACCCUGGCCGUGUUCGUGCUGUUGGAGCCAGUGUCACCAUAAAGCAAUACUUUGGAUCGGCUUCACGAACGUCCCGCAGUUCUUUCUCCAUGCCUCCUAAAGACCUAGAACAGCUGACCCAACAAAUCCGAGACCAACUGGAGGAGUCAAUCACAUAAAAAGUGACUCGAAAGCUUAUGGCAUCCUUCAGCCAGAUGCAGUCCUAGUUUCAAUCUCAGAUGUAAUCACAGGGACUUGCACUACCUCCAGAGCCAGAGGUUGGUCCCUCAGGUCCUCGUGUCAGCACAAAGGAGAGUUGUGUUGCUCCCUCAAGGAACGAUCCAGGGACGGGUGACUCAAACAAAUGCGGGCUAUACAUUGAAGAAAAUCCUUCCUGCCUGGUUGCCCUAGGAAGACUUUAUGAGGGAUCCACAACAGUUCACAACAUCCCUUUGUUGCAUGACCAAGUCAAGGUUGGUGUUGAGGAGGUUAAAGAUGCAGAGACUCUCGUUCUUGUACCCAUUGACAAGGUUACCUUAGUGGGGCAGGCACUUAACACCUUCCUUGCUUGGCCAACACAUCUUGUGAAGCGUUUAUCAGAACAGGUAUUUUACUCUGAUUAUAUGUUUAUUUUUUUUCAAUUAAUUUGUUCACUGUAAUCAAAACUUGCUAAUUAAUUAUGUUUGAUCAACAGGCAGCUGUGUCUCCAGCAAAACCUCCAGAAAGCCCGGAUGAAGAGGUCGAUGAUCCCCUGUACCUGAUGACAUUGACUAUCACACAACUGUUUUUGAAGCCUCUCCAGGUUAUGUGGGAUGCUACCAUAUUCGGGGUGUUUAAUCAAAACUUCCCAUUGUAUAUAAAGCACGAAGAUCUCUCUGAAAUUGCACACGGUGGUCAAUGUCUCAGCAUAUCUGUUAUACAGUUGUGGAUUCUGUAAGUCAUUUUAGAUUACUGUUAAUUACCAAAGUAAUUGUUUUAAAUUUAUACAUAAUUAACUUUGGCUUAACAACACAACCAUCUGAAUGAGACAAGUGUGCGAGCGGGGAAUUCUAAUGUGUAUGGAUUCCUCGAGCCACAGUCCAUUCAGAGAUUUGGGCAAUCACAAUUUGAAUCCGGAAGUUACAUCAAGAGUUGGAUACAAAGUUCAAAACGAGAUGUUUACCUUGGAACCUGAAUGGGUAAGUCAAACACAACAAUUGAAUUGAAAUAAUCUAUACUACUACUAUAACCCAUAUUCGUCUCUACUGCAGCGGACACUGGCAAAUGGACGUCAUUCUGCCUAAGGAAAACCUAGUUGUCUGGUUUUGUUCUUUACAUAACAGGCCAGACAACUACCUUAAGGGAAUAAUUAACAGGUCAGUAUUGUUUUCAAUACAUUUUCAUUGGCAUAACUCAACAACAUCAAUAUUUUAAUGUUCCUCAUAUUCAACACUAGUGCUUUGAAAGGACUUGAUGAUACUCCACAACCUAAAUCCAAGGCUGCUGCUAGGUGGAUUGUUGUUAAGGUACGUGAUUUAAAUAAAAGUUCUACUUAUAUAUAUUUUAUGUGUGUGUACACUAAUUGUAGUUAACAUUUAAUUAAUAUCCAAAUUUCAUUAUGUAUUUAGUGUAAUAGAAAAAAAGGAAUCACUGAAUGUGGCUACUAUGUGAUGCACUGAAUGUUCACGAUAAUCUUAGGAUCUUUCAGGAAUAAUUGGGAGACGGUAAUUGUUUAUUUCAAACAAAGUUGGUUUUCUUAUAAUUGUUAUUACAUUAUUAAUUUAUUUUUUAUUUGAUCAUGCAGUAUUUUAAUGAAGUUAGACCAUUGGAAGCAGAGAGAUUGAAGGCGCUUCGCAUCCAGUAGGCACAGUAUUAUUUAAAAGUUAGAAAUCAAACAUAGGAUGUUAAGCAACUAUGUAACUUUAGGUUACUUAAUUAGUUUACAUACUUUGCAUUACAUUUUUUACAAUUGUUGUUUCAUCUUAACAUUGAAUAACCUUUGUUGAUAGCUAGUUUUUUGCUAAAACCUAUUUGAAAGCAGAAUGCAAAUGAUAUAUGUUGUGUGCUGUGUGGUUUGAUUUUAAAUUUACAAGUUAAAUUUUGGUUUUUUUUGUAAAAACAGAGACAUUAUUUAAAAAAAAUUCCUGAAAAUAACAUCGGUUUUUUGAAAAAACAGAUGUUAAUUGUCAAUAGUAACACAUUCGUUAACAUCGGUUUUUUGAAAAACCGAUGUUAACUGUCAAUAGUAGCACAUUCGUUAACAUCGGUUUUUUUUACAGAAAACCGAUGUUAACGUUCAACAUUAAUAUAUAUUUUUUGGGUGUAAUUCAUAUUAGCAACAUCGGUUAUUUAUAUAACCGAUGUUGGUAAUUUUACAUUAACAUCGGUUUUUAAAAAACCGAUGUUAACGAUAAUACUAUCAACAUCAGUACUUUCAACAUCGGUGUUGAAAGUCAUAAAUAACCGGUGUAGAAAGCAUAUUUUCUAAUAGUAAACUGCUAGGGGAGAGAUGAGGAAACCCAAUAUCUGUGGCAAUUUGUUUGAAAAGGUACCAGAUUGAGGUUGCAUGUAAUGCUCUAUAGACCUCAUCAGAAGCUGAUUUAUAUGUCAUACCUCAAUAAAAACAAAUGAAAUUAAAAAAAUUAUUUGUUUAAAAACUACAUUCUAAGACGGCUGUACAGAUAACCACCUUAGAAUGUAGUACAUUCUAAGACGGUCGAAGCCUAAAACCGUCUUAGAAUACGCAGUACAUUGUAAGACGGUCGUCAUAGACACAUUAGUUUUUUACGACAUGGUCUACAACGACGUCGUGUAACCGACGUAGUAUGUUUAAAAUAACCGAUGUAGAUUGUGCUUUUUGUAGUAGUGAAAGUACAACUUGUUAACCAUACAAUGCAAUAUCAAUUCAAGCGGCCAAUCUUUCAAGCUUUGUUUAUUUUCCGAGAAAGCAGAGGGAACAUCCAAGACGGACGAUAUAAAACUAUCCUUUUUUUUUUAUUUUCUACACCAUUAAAUAUAAAAUGAAGAUUCUUUUUUAAUUUUUUUCUCUUAUCAAACAAUCACUAAUGGUGAACAAAUCACAUUCUUUAACAAAAAUUAUUCAUUGGUAAAGUUGAUAGAUUACUUUACACGUAUAAUAUUGUAACAAAAGAAAAAGAAAACCAAACAAAUUAGGUCAUUUUAUACUUUUUUUCUCUUUCUUUUCAUUUAUUAUGUUCAUUUUAUGAGAAUUUAUCAAAUUGACUUGAUAAACUAGACAAUCUAAAUCAAUCCAAUAUUUUGAUUCAAAUUGGUUUGAGUGCUUUUUUUAACUUCAAAUUUGAAUAUCCAAUUACAGUUUAUUUGAUUCUCUAAUAUAUUCCUUUGCUUGAAAAAAUCACAAUUUGUUUGAUUCUCUAAUUUAUCUUUUUUACCUUGCAUUAACAUAAAGUUUAAAAUCAUAAAAAAUCAACAAUUAGUGGAGAUAAAAACUUAAAAAGAAAAAAGGAUGAUUUAUUUUAAAAAAAUUCAAAUAUAAGCAAUAUAUAAUUGAAUAUGACUAGUUAGGGUUUAAUUUUAAUUUACUCUAAAUUCGGACCAAUUGCACAAAAACUUAUAAAACUCAUACUUCCUCCAGUCUCAAAUAUAAGAAAAAGGUCUUAAUAAACGAUUGUCCUUAAAGCACUAGUUAAGAAACUAAAAGGAAAAUAUAUUUAGUAUAAAAAUUAUAAGAGAGUACAAAAAGGAUCAUGAGCAACACAAUUUUUCGUCUCCCAUUAAAAUAUUACUACUUUAAGUUCCUUAACUAGUGCCUUAAAGGAACUAGUUGGGAUUUGCCAAAGAAAAAUACUUAUUUGCACUAAUUUAAAAAGUUAGUUAAUAACAUUUAACUGAAUCAAUCUCAAUAAAACUAUUUGUUCUAAACUUAUCCUUCAUCAAAACAUGGUAUUAGGAAUAAAAAAAUAAUUAAAAAAAAUUCAAAUAAAUGAAGGACACUUUAGAGAUAAUAACAUUAACUAAAGUAAAUUUAGUUGAAAUUUUUUUAUAUUUGAGACUAAGAAAAAUACUUUUUUUCUUAUAUUUGAGACCAAACGAAGCAUUACUUUUUCUUUCAUAAAGCAAACCUAAUCAUGGUUAGCCCUUAAAAUUAGUAUUACCACACAAAGUUGAGUGUUGGCAUUACACUUUCUAGCACACUUUUUUAUUGGUUGAAAUUUGUUAAAAAUAAAAAAUCAUGAGUAAGGUCCAUUAAAUAAGAAGUGAUGAAAUCCAUACAAUUGUAUAAUUUUUACUCUCUCCUUUUUAUAUAUAAGAUCUAAUUAUCUAAUUCAUCAAGAUUAAAGAAAGUGACUAAUUUAAUUGAUAUUAAUAAGUUUGUCUUAUGUUUAUAAUAUUUUUUAAAAUUAUCCUUGUCAUUAAUACUUCUCUCUUCUAAUGGUUUGUCAAUAUAUAUAUUUUUUUCUUUUAAUGAUAAGUAUUUUUAAUAUAAAAAUAAUUAAUGAAAGAAAUAUUACAGAUUGAAUUUUUUAAAAUAAAAUAAAUAUCAUUUUAAAAGUCUUAUAAAUAAAAACGGGACAAAAUAAGUAAUUUCAACUAAUAGAAAACAGUGUGUAAAAAAAGAAUAUGUUAAAGUCUUAAAAGAGCAUGUUGUCAAUAUGUUAAAGUCAAUAUUUCUCCAUGUUAGCCACACGCGAUGACACACAUUGCCACAAACUUUAUUAUAAUAUCUUGUAUAUUUUCAUAUUGCCUAUUUUAUAUCCAGUAAGUGUGUAAGAUGAUGUUCUCACGUACUACUCAUCCUAUUUUUUAGUUGAAAAAUUACAUUAGGGAAGCCAUGCCACCUCUUGUAAAGUCAAGGAAGACUAUCAAACCCACUGAAAAUUUAUAGUAAUAUUCACAUAUUACCUACCAAUAAGGGGAAAUAGGAAAAUGGAUCCUAAGUUAUAGCAAGUGUGGACAAAAGUCUCCAUCAAAUGCGUCAUUUCUUGUUAGCCUAACGAUUAAUUAAUCUUAAUUGUACAAAUACUGUAAAUGUAAAAUUAAAUUUAAGUAAAAUAAUAAUCUAUAUAUGCAUAAUUAUACAGACAUGAUUAACUUUUAUGGCCAUCGGGUUUUCUCUAAUACGUCUCCUUUAUCUAUAUAGCAUAUUAGUGUUAUAUAUUUUGUACCCAUUAGUGUUAUAUAAAAAAUUUAUCACAUAUGUUGAGAGGAAGACUUUAAACUUUUCAGCAUCAUCCCUCUUAAAUAUAUUGAGCAAGUUGUGAAUUUGUUAUCUAGUUAUAUUGUAUAUAAAUGUGAUUAAUUAAACAAUGUUAAGGGUUAGUUGUACGGAUAAAAUUUAAAUAAAAUAUGGUACAAUCGUCAAAUUAUUUACCUUGCAGGCAUGAAUGCAUAUAUAUAUAUAUAUAUAUAUAAUUUUGAUUAUUCAUUUGGCUAUAUUAUUUUAGUUUGCAACGGUAAUUUACACAAUUGAAAAACCUUUCAGAAAUUUGAGGUCUCCCCUAACACUCUCCACUCUCGCGUUGGUCCACUCCUCAGCUUUACAAGCAAGAGAGUCAAGAUCAGAGGCUACGUGGACUUGAUGACCACCUUCGGCCAUGGGAAGCUCUCCAGGAGCUUCACCAUCAGAUAUCUAGUGGUUAACACAGACACAUCAUACUUUGCCUUAAUUGACAGAAAGACACUCAACGAGCUUCGAGCCAUAAUCUCCACGCCCCAUUUGACAAUGAAAUUUCCUACACUGACAGGGGGAGAUUGUAACCGUCAAGGCUGACCAAAAGCAAGCAAGAUAAUGUUAUACAGAAAGCCUAAAGGUAGCACUAUAUCCUCCCAUCUAGGAGCUAGCUAUGCCUUACCCCAUAGUGGCUGAAGCCUCUUAAGUCAUGACAAUGGAGGAAGGGUUUCAAGUUCGAAACCCACCGAAGUACUUGUCUAGUUGCAACUUCGGGGCAGUGCAACUCCAGCAUAUUGCCGACGUGCUACACAGAAGCACAAAUUUAUUUGUCUGGCUGCCAUCUGACAUGCUGGGAAUCCAUCCUAGCAUAAUCUGCCACAAACUUGUUAUCUACCCCAGGCCUAACUAAUAUCACAGAAGAAAAGGAAGAUGGAAGAAGAACAAUGUACAGUCAUCAAAGCAAAAGUCAACAAGUUCCUUCAUGAAAACUUCAUCAUAGAGGUUAAAUUUACUACCUAGCUUGCCAAUGUUGUCAUGGUAAAAAAGGCCAAUGACAUAUGGCGAUUGUGCAUCGAUUACAAUGAUCUGAAUAGGCUGGUCGAUGGAGUGUCUAGAUUCUAGGUGCUAAGCUUCCUAGAAAUUUCUCUAAAUACAACCAGACCAGAAUGCAUCUUCCAAACGAGGAAAAAAUGACAUUCAUCACAAAAGAUGCCAACUUUUGCUAUUCCAGCUUUUUCUAUUCACCUGUUCGUUCUUGCUGCCUCUCAGUCCCCACUUCGUUCGUGGUUCGUGUCGCCCAAUCUCAUCGAAGUGUCAUGUCUCCGUCAGGUGCAUUAUUUGUGUUGUUAAUUUAACCCUUCUAGUACAAUUGUUGUUGUUUUUAUUCUUCCUUAUGAAUGUGUUACUGUUAUGUUAUAAAUAGAUGUUUUGUUCUUGUUGCUCCAUCUGUUGUGUUCUUUUGUUGACUGAGUAGGUAGAUUGUUUUCAUGAAUUCUCAAUGCAUGUACUUGAGAUUUGCUCUUACUCUGUUCCUAGAUUGGUCCUUUGUUGGGGGGGGGGGGGGUGAAAAAAGAGAUUGUGUGUGUAGUUAAUCAAGCAGAUGAGAAAAUAAACACGAUUUUUUUUAUCUCUCAUGUAAAAAACGGUCCAUUUUAUUAUAGAAUUGUUUGUGAGGUGUUUGAGAAUUAAGGGAUAGGAAAUCAAUCAAACUUAUUCUUGACUCUGUGUGCUAUUUCCAUCUGGAAUUACAUCCAAUGUUAGUUGUUGGAAAGGUUUAUGAAUUCAUUAAAUUGAUUUCAUUGACAUGAAUUGGAACUUUUGAACUUUUUUGUAUGACAAUUUUCACACUUUAUAUUUAAAUUAGCUUGGGUAAGGAUUGUUUGUGAAACCAAUUGCAUGGGAACUUCUGAUGCUAGAUGGAUUUGAUUUUAUUGUUUUGAUUAAGCCAUCCAUCUCCUUGUUCAUUGUUUCCCUAACUCUUGAGGAUUUAUGGUGUUAUUUACUAGGAAGUAGGAAUGCAAUUUGAGAAGGCUAGUUGCUUGACAUGUUAAUCUAAGAGGUGGCUUUAACUGCAAUAAUUAUGCUUAUAUAGACAAGGAAAAAUAGGCUGAUUUUUUUUUUGUCAAAUUCAGCUUCUAACUUUAUGUUGGUUAAUGCAAGUUUAAGUUUAUUAGUUAGUUUAGUUGAAGAAGAAAGAUAGAUAUAGUUACUUAGAUUACUACCUAACUCCCCUAAAAAAUAUUACUACCUAAUAAUAGGUAACUGAGUCUAAAAGUGGUUAACAUUAACACAUGGAUAAUUAUAUACAAUUAUACUAAUUUACUCUUAAUCACUUUUGAAUUAAAAAUGUAGACACCAACUACAAAAUUUCCUGACAUAACACAAUUCUUAUUCUAUUAAAUUGAAAUUAAGAAUUGAAAUUUAUAAAUUAUUACUAUAAAAAAUUAUACUAUCAAUCAUUAAGAAACGAUAAAUAAGUAUGAAUUUAAAAAUAAUUAUAAUAAAAAAAUAUUUUAUUCUAUUAGUACAUAGACUAUUUAUUCUAAAAUUAAAAUUAAUAAAUAAGUUGUAACAUUUAAAUUUGUUAUUAGUGGUUUUUAAAUUUUCCUUUAUUUUAAAUGGAUUAAUUUACUUAAUUUUCAAAGGAGCCAAACAUUAUUCUUUGGGAUAAAAUAUGUUUUGGUAUAGUUUUUUUUAAAUGGUAUACUUUUUUAAAAAAUUGGUUUUAAGCCUUAUAGUUUGAAAUCAACUAUUUUGGUCUCCAAACUUUAAAGAAUAUGCAAAUUUAGGCAUUCUUUUCUUUGAAUAUACAAAACCUAAAACUAAUUUUAAAUAAUACAAAAACCAAAAAUAUAUUUUACUUACGCAUAAUUUUAUUUAACUCACCCACGCAUGCAUGCGAGAUUGGCUCACUAUACAUUAUCUCAAAGUAUACACCUCACAUCUCACAUCUCACAUAUCAUAUGGAGGAGUUAUGUAACACUUCUAUGGUGAGGAAUGUGCACUUAGUAGGUGUUAAGAAGUAUGUAGAAGGGAAAGUUAGUUGCUUCUCAAAUCUUUAAUUUCUUGAUAUUAAAUUCAAAUAUUUAAUUCCUUGGUAUUAAAAAAAUACAGCACAUUGCUUCUCAUAUCUCUCACUUAGCAUUCAAAUCUUUAAUUUGUAGGCACUUUUCAUUUUCUUGUUUGCAUCGUGAUCACGACACCCCUUGUUGGACAUUAUACUACCAUCAUCACAAGUAAGAUUGUUUUUCAUAAACUUUUGAGGCUCUUUUUUGUUAUCAAAUCUUUUAUAACUUGUUGACUUUUGAACGAUAGACAAGUACACCAAAUUGUCAUAAGUAGUAAAGUUAAAAUGGAAGUCCGAGUGUUGAAUCCAAAAUGACUUUAUUUGCACUUAAGUAGGUGAAUAUAUAAUUUUCAAGCAAUAAUUAAAUUGGUUUAAAAAGUUGUGAAGAAAAUAGUAAAAUAAAUCGACAUAAAAUUAAAUUAAAAUAAAUAAAAAAAGAAAGACAAAUAUAAAAAUAAAUUACUUGAUUAAAACAAAAAAGAUUAGAGAACCCAAUAUUAUUACAAGAGUAAAUUCAGAAUAUGAGAAUAUUGAAAACACAGCCUACAAGAACUACUCUUGAUGUAUUAAUGAUUUUUUUUCUAAUUAUGUUUAUUCCAAUUUUAUACCUGCAACUACUCAUAUACUCUAAUCAAGAUCCCUCGAGUAAAAAAGCCUAACAUAUCAAUCUUCUCUCCCGAAUCCCUUUAAGAGAUAAAAUAGUUAAAUUGCAUUAAGAAUAGAGAUGUAUAACAGGCUAAAUAAAAUCAACAUAUCACUGGUGAUGAAGUUAUUUAGAUACCCAAUUUCCCAAUAACACUGUCCAAUGAUACUCCUAAAACUUACUAAGCAAGUGGGUGAUCAAACCAUAAACAAUAAAAUAAAGCACAGGAAAAGAUAAUGCAAAAGUAAUAUUCAUAAUUGAUAGGAAGAGAAAUUACAUCAAGAACAGUUGGCUGCUAAGCUUCCAACAAAUGAGGGUUUAACCUCUCAUUGUCAUAGGAGGCUUUACAAUUGCAAGAGGAUAAUAUUAAGUAAAAGGGGUAAUUGAGAAAGGGAAUGAAGAAAAAGAAGGACUUCUAAUGUUUGUUUCUCCUUCUUCUAGCUUUUUCCUUUAAUAAGGAAUUGUAUUCUCUAGGAAUUUAUGUGUUUGUUCCUUCUUCUCUUUCCCUCUUUUAUAGGUGCACAUUAGCUUAGUUUUCACACAACCAUUACGCUAAGCGCGCUUUCCAUGCUUAGCAAGUAUGGUGGUAAUCGCAGUCAGUGAGUGUCUCACGCUAUGCGUGUGUUGCACGUUGAGCCUGUGCAUCGCGCUAAGCGCCUGAGACACAAUAAGCGAACAACUUCAGAUCUUCAAUUUACUUCUUGGGCUUUACUUUGUUUUUAUGCGCCAAUUAUUCACCAAACAUAAUAAAUUCAUUAACUUUUGAUAUUUUCUGCGCAAAAACUUAAAUGAUGUUAAAAUUUCAUAAAACUGCAAUUAUGUAGUGAUGCACCAGUUAAAAAGUCUACAGACAAACUAAGGUCUUCUUUGGUGUCAAGAUCCAUGCAACUACAAAAAAGCGGUGUUUUUUUCUUAUGAUAAUGGCAAUGAAGACCUAGAGAAUGAAAGACAGAGAUGGACAGAAAUGGAAAGUGAGUGGAUCUGUCUUACUGAUGAACUUAGAGCUGAUUUUGAGUCCUACCGCCAACGUACAGAAAGGUUGGAGAUGGAACUGAAAUUAGAGAAGAAGUCCUCAGUGGAGAUGGAUGAUUCACUAAAGAGAGCUGUUAUGGGACAUGCUAGAAUGGUAGAACACUAUGCUGACCUACAAGAAAAAUACGAUGACUUGGUUACUAAGCAUGAUGCUACAAUGGAAGGGAUAGCAGAGGUGAAGAAGGCAGCAGCAAAAGCCUCAAUAAAAGGUCAUGCUCGCUUCGCCAAAUCUCUUUCUGCUGAGCUUUCUGCAUUGAGUGGAAAGAGAAAGGGAUCAAAAUUAUUGAAAAAAGAGAACCAGAGCUUGAAGAUUCGACUUUGAGAUACUGCUGAAGCUGUUCAGGCUGCUGGAGAACUACUUGUUAGACUAAGAGAAGCUGAACACGCAGCAGCUGUUGCAGAGGUACAUUUCUAUCUCAUUUAGGGAUUCCCUAAUCCAAAGCAUCAUAUUUUAAGGGUGUUAUUCUGGUGUUAAUUUGGGUCGGUGUUUUUAAUAGAAUUGUUUGGAGUUUGAUCCAUAAAGAAAUUUAUCAAAUGCUAAUAAUACCAACAGUCAUCCACACUGAUUUAGCAAUCACAAAUUCCCCCUCCUCCUCAUCUCCUUUAAUAAAUAUACCUUAAAAGUCAUAAUAAUAAUGAUUUUUUAUUGGAUGACAAUGUAAAAUUAUUUUACGUUUUUAGUGCAUCACUAUUAAAUUCUUUUCAAAUUUUUUGAUAGUUAGAAAAAGGAUUAAUUACGUUUUGUUGUCCCACAAUUUAUUUAUUUUGUAAACAUUGUCCCACUAUUAGUAAAUGGUUCAAUUUGUCCAUUAAUUUUACACCUUUUGCUUGCUCGAUAGCUAAUUAACAAUUUAGUCUUCCAAUUCCAAGCAAUCUAUGUAUAAAGAUAAAUCAUUUAUGUCUUUUCAAUUAAUAUUAUAAUUGGAUGACUUUGAGAGAUCCCACACCAGUUCUUCUCCGUGACUAAGAAUUUUUUUUUUAAUCAAAAUGUAACAAUUUCUUUCAUUAAUUACCAAAAUGGAUAAAUUUUAAAGACAAUUUCAGAUACGAAAAAAUCAUACUUCAUAAAAGGAUUUCACUUUUCCAUUUUUUUAUUUAUUUUUUUACACAAAUUUUUGCAGCUAAAAAACCACCACAAAUUGUUUCAUCAGUAAAAAGGAAGGCAUACAAAUCUCCCAUUUUGUGCAAGAUAAAAAAACUGCCAUUAAUUGCUUCAUAAGUGAAAAACAGACAAAUUUCUCAUUUUCUGGUGGUCCAAGAUGCAAUUUGUGGUGGUGUUUUAGCUGCUAAAAGGGAAAAAGGAAACAGAGAAUGUUCUUAAGACAGAUUAUAUCAUUUAUAUUCUACUAACUUCUCGGACCUCCUCAUUAUCAAAUGCCAAAAUUACAAAUAAAAAGAGGAGAAUAAUGUGACUUUAAAACCAGUAACUGCGGUUGAGGAGAAUGAGCAUAUUAUAUGUUCCGUCUUAACACAUUUCUGAUUCUUAUGUUAUACAGAACUUUGCAAAUGAAAAUUUGAAGAUGCAAAUUGAGAAGCCGGAAAGAAAACACAAGACAGAGAUUAAUACCAUGAAGCAGUACAGUACAAAGAGCAAAUUACCAGAGUCUGCAUUGCAACCACUGUAUAGAGAGGAUUUUGAUGUGCCGCAUAAUGCAACUUCCUCCUAUACGUAUGAUGAUCAGGCAUCAAGAGCAGAUUUUGGAGCAAUAUAUCAGGAGCAUUACUAAUUCAACUGUUGUUAGUAUUAUUAUCAAUUUGAUAGCAGAGACUGCGCAUAUGAUAAAACUCAACAAUUUGUCUGGCAUCAGAUCCUACUUGGAUCAAAGGGAAUUCCUAAAUGCCUCUUUCUUUUUUGUAUUCCUAGAAUUUUAUUGUAUUUUUUUUUCAUGUUGUGAUCAUCCAACACUAGUUAUAGAACUGCAACAAUUGUGAUCAUUCAUGUUGUGUACUGAUAUAAUAGGAAAAUUCAUAGUUGUACCAUUGCAUUCUUGUUCUUCACCCCUAAUUUUUCCUGGUAAAUAAAUCUCCUUAGUCUUUUCAUUUCAGAUUCUUCUUUUACUCCCUAAACCAGAAAUGCAAAUGCUACACGUUGCCACAGUUGUAUGUCCAAUAUGUUUGUUAUACCUCAUGUGCAAAAUAUGAUAGAGGGAUAAGUGUACCUUACGCAAUAAUAAUAGUGACACUACUAGAAAAAUAGCAUUUUACAUCGGUGGUAAAAGCCUUUCAAAGACGGUGGACAUGCGUCUUUGAAAUUAAUGACGUUGUAGAGGAUGAAUCUUUCUACGACGGUCGUAAAAGGACCGUCUUAGAAACACAUGAUAAACCAAGUCAUGCUUACGACAACACCGAUGUAGAAAGCAUUGUUUUCUACAUCGUUGCUGGUGUAAAUACGACUUGGUUUAUCACGUGUUCUACGACUGCGGUUACGUUACGACCGAUGUGGAAAGCUUUAUUUUCUACGACGUUGUUAGCAUAAGCAACGACUUAGAAAGGGCGUAUUCCUACGUCAGCACCGACGUAGAAAGUUUAAUAUUAAUUUAAUAUUAUCAAUUUAUUUAUAUAUAAAUUUAUAUUUUAAAAUAAUUAUUUAUAAAUAAUUAUCAAUAAGUAUUUAAUUAGAUUAAUAAUUAAUAAUAAACAUAAUAAUAUAAUAUUAAUUAAUUAUCAGUAAAGUAAUUAUGAAAAUUUAAAACCAUAUUAUUGUCAAGUAAUUAAGAUAAAUAAUGAUUAUCAAUAAACAUAAUUAUCAGUAAGUAAUUAAAAUGUAAGUUAAUUACAUUAAUAUUUAACAAUAAAGAUAAUUAUAUAAUAUUAAAUUAAUGAAACCAUAAUAUAAGCUGAAAAUUUAAAAAUAAUUUUACUAUAUAAUUUUUUACUAAUUAUGAUAAGUACAUAUAAUUUUUUUACUAUAUAUUAUGGUUUUAUUUAAUUAAUAUUAUAUAAUUAACCAACAUAAUGAUUAUCAAUAAAGAUAAUUAUUAAUAAGUAUUUUAAAUGUAACUUAAUUAGAAAAUUAAUUCAAAAUAUGAUAAGUACAUAUAAUUCAAAAUUAAUUCAUAAUUAUAUAAUAUUAAAUUAACUAAAACCAUAAUCAUAGCUGACAAAUUACAAAUUAUUAUUGUCAACUAAUUAUGAUAAGUACAUAUAAUUUUUUACUAUAUAUUAUUGUUUUAGUUAAUUUAAUAUUAUAUAAUUAAGAAUCAUAAAGAUAAAUAAUGAUUAUGUAUAAUUAUUUAAAAAGUAACUUAAUAAGAUUAAUAAUUAACAAUAAACAUGAUUAUAUAAUAUUUAAUUAACUAAAACCUAAAAGAACAUUCUAUAACCCCAUUUUCGUGGUGGAAAUACAAAAUUACUAAAAGAACAUAUAAUAUAUAAGAUUAAUUUACAAAAUUAAGUGAUGUGAUAUCUAGCUUAGCAACAAACAAUAUAAAUAUUGUUCAUGAAAUAUCUAGCAUUCAGAAUGUAUAACAAUGAUCCUAGUCAACUUGCAAGGAACUAGUCUGUAUGUACGUUAUUCAAAAAAUUAAGAAAACCUUCUUCCAAAAAUAUUGUUUCAGCAGAACCUUGAGCAUCUUCAGUUUACAAAUAACCACCUCCUUUUGAACUCCCAUGACUGGAAAAAGUUAAGUGGUGUGAUUAAAAUAUUUUUUUAUCAUGUUCAUGCAUCAAUAAAGAUAACUAAUGCAACUCAAGCAUACAACAGAACCCAAGCAGACCAAUUACUUUGAACAAUCCAAUUCACCAACACCUCAUGAGGAUUGAAGAAAAAUAUAAUACAUAAAGAAGAGAAUUGAAGAAAAGAAAGAAAAAAAUUAACAGUCAAGAGGAUUGAUUUCAAACCUUUGAUAAUGAGACAAUCUCAACGUCAAGUGCUUCCAAAGUGAUCCACCUUUUCCUCCCAUGAAUGAAAAGCGUGCUCUUCCCUAAUCAAGAUGGAAAGAACAAUAAAUAUAGGAUUAUAAGUAGUAUAUGAUGCAGGAUUUUAUUUCAAUAUGAAGAGAUGCUAUGCUGCUUGAUUAUUAUAGUUUAAAGAUCCAAACGAGAAAAGAUCUAUGUAUUGUGUAUUAUAAACACAGUUGACAAAUGAGUUUGAGAUAUAAAAAAAAUGUGUCUUCAGCUUAUGUAUAAACAAUCAAAUAUUAAUAAACUUGAAAGCAUAGAAGACCUUCUUUGUGGAUAAACUACCCAACCAAAAGGUGUUUUCAGCUUCAUGCCCAAACAACCCGCAAAAUAGACUUUUUGAUCCACCAACUUGACCAGCCAAGUGACCAAAUUUCCUCCAUUGUUUCACCAAAUUGUAUAUAACCUGGGUAAGAUACAAACUAGUUAAGUAUAAAUUAGACUACAGAACGUAUUAGGACACAAUUUUGCAGCAUCACCCCUUACUUAGGACCCAAAUCUCGGAUGUCUUUCUUCUCAGUGGGUAUAGAUUUCACCCUUUACAAUUUGUAACUGUAGAUAUCUGUCUUUGAAUGCAGAAUCAAGAGCCCUGAAGUCAAAUUCCUAGGGAAGAGAUACAUUCAAACUUGUAGCACAUUAUCUUCUUGUAAUAACUAUAGUUUCUGUGAGAUUAAUAUGAUUCUUAUUUCUUACCUUCCAAUCAACGGGGUAUACGUAAGAAUACCCAUCUUCAUAGUCUAAAAAAGCUCGGCAUCUCUCUAGUUUUUCUACACGACAAAGAGUAAUGGAAUUCUAAAAUUUCAGAAGAUUAUGACUAGACUAGUCUCUUCAGUUUUACAUAUGAAGAUAGAUCCUUUUAGUGAAGUGAAACUUAAUAACACAAAAUAUGAUCACAUCAGCUGGCAUGAAUAGCUUAAGCAAAGACCAAAUUUGUUGUUUGUAAAUUUGCAGUUAAUGCUCCAAUGCCCAACAGUAGCGGUCUUCUCUGGCAAUGACCUGAAAAUCGUAAAGGAGAUGAGAUAAAUUCUUUCAAAAUCCAGUACUACGAAAGAUAACUAAGUCUAACAUAGCUUAAAAGGUCCAAUCUUUGAUGCUACAUAUAUAAUAUAUUCCUAUACGGACUGUGUUUCUAGGAGAAAUUCUUAUGUUCUCCAUGAGCAACAAUUUCCUUGCUCUUUAUGAGUAUUGUAUAGUAACUCAGCUAUGGCAUUAAAAAUGUAGUUAAAGGAGACAAUAGUGGCUGAUGUAAUCUAGCAGCUACAACUUUCACUAUACACUAGAGAAUAGAGAACUGAAAUUUUUCUUUCAUAUUUGUGAUUGAUCUUCACUGAGCAAUAUGCUAUAAAAUAAAAUAAAAUAUGUGUUUAAUCAUAGGCUUACUGUCACAGGAUAGCUGAUAUGGAAACUAUUGAGAGAGAAAAGAAGAUUGAUAGAUUAAUUGAUUUAUUGAUUCAAUCUCAUUGUAUUCAUGAAAUUCAUAAUAAGUUGCAUCAAAAGCUUCAGUUUGUUAUUGUAGGUAGUAGGUUGAGGCAAUAUUUCUAAGGUUACUACUUAGUGGUUAGAGGUAGUCCUAUUUCUAAGGAGCACCUACCUGACAAAUUAAGCUACAUUUGAAGGCUGGAUGUUUUAUUUGCUAUUUAUUUCAGCUCUACCAUACAUAUUAGUACCUAUAAUCUUUCCAACUUUUGUAAGCAAAGUGUAUCCAACCACCGAUUUAAAGAUUGAAAAGUAUCUAUCUUUAUAUGCAUAUAAUGGUUUAUACCCUUACUUUAAGUGAGGGAGCUUGGUAUAGAUUUUACUAAAAUCCAUUAUUUGGCCUUCUGAAGUACAUUAUUCUUACUUUAAAUGUGUCUAACUAACAUAAUUUUACCCUCACAUUUUUUUAUUAGCCAAAUAAAAUUUUAUUGCAUUAAAAGGUACCUAAGGUACCAUGCCAAGUCAUCAUAGAAAUUUACACAAGCCAACAAUUUUCCAUGACUGAAUAUAGCUACCCAUCCUCACAUCACAAUGUAUACCCACACUAAUUCCAUUAAUAGUCGCUUAUUGUAAGCAUUAUACAAACAAAACAAGCCUGUUUGACUAGAAGGCAAGAAUUCCACUAGCACCUCCUCAACUGAAAUCCACACCGAUCCAAUACGCGCCUCACGAUUAAAUAUCAAUAUUUCAAGAUAACCGGUCUUCGUUACCAAGUGAUAUAUAUUUGCACCAAUCAAAUUAUUCCUUCUUCCUUGUGUAUUUAAGAUCAAGUUUUUUUUAGCAUUCUCAGUAACUAUUAUUGAAUCUCCACUAGGAUUUCAGAAGAUGCAUGGAUUGAAGCUUUUAAGGGAACUUUCAAAACUAAUAAUACAACAGUUUAAAUUAUCAUUUCAUCAACUGGAAUCUAAAAAUUGAUAAUACGAUAUUCAAAAUUCAUUGCAAAAGAAAAAUAUAUAUUAAAAGAGUUAGUCAUUACCACACUAAUCAAAAGUCCAUUCGAUCAUGUUAGUCAUGUAAAUCGUGCAGGUUUUGAUGAUGUCAAAAACAAUUUGCUUGAUAAGGAGUGUCAUCAUCAAAAAGGGGAGAAUGUGAAUCAUGCAUGUUUUGAUGAUGUUGAAAAGAAAUCAUUUCAUAAUAUGAUUGUCAUCAUCAAAAAGGGGGAGAAUGUGAAUGUAUGUAUACAUAAUUUUGAUGAUGCCAAAGAAGAAUCAAACAAGGUUGCUUCAAAGGAUAAGCAUUGCUUCAAGAUUAAUACAAAAUUGCUUCAACAAACAAAGUCUUGUUUCAAGAUUCACUAUAGAUCAAGUCUUGCCUCAAAACAAAGUGUUUCCAAGACAUACAAGGCUCUGGUAAUCGAUUACCAGACAAUGUAAUCAAUUACCAAAAGACAAGUUUGAAAAAUAGCUAUUUAAAAGGGUUUUGAAUUUGAAAUUUGAACCUAUAAUCGAUUACCAGAUGUUUGUAAUCGAUUACCAGCAACAGAAAUCUAGAAAUUCAAAUUCAAAAGUCAUAAAUAUAAUUAUGUAAUCGAUUACCAAAAACAUGUGAAGAAUUUCAAAAAAAGUUUUUUGAAAAGACACUCUCUUCAAACCAUUUUGAAAAGGCAUGAAGGGCCUAUAUAUAUGUGUGUCUGACUUCAUAAAGUAUAAGAGAAAUUGACCAAGAGAACUUCAUAGCCAAAUGCUCUCUCAACAACUCUUGGGCAAACACUUGCAAAUCUAUUCAGAGUUCAUGGAACUUCAAUUGUAAUAUCCUUCUCUUAAAGAGAGAAUUCUUCUUCUUCUUCUUCUUCUUCUUAUUCAAAAGAGAUUGAUUAAGGGACUGAGGGUCUCUUAAGUUGUAAGGAUUCCUGAACCCAAGGGAUGGGUUGUCCCUAUGUGGUUCAGACUUUGUAAAAGAAUUUUACAAAGAGAAUGGAAAAUCUCAAGUGGGUUGCUUGAGAACUGGACGUAGGCAUGGGGAGUGGCCGAACCAAUAUAAAUCGAGUUUGCAUUUCUCUCUUCUCUUAUCUCAUUUAUUAUUGCAAUCAAUUUUGUCUUGCAUGUUUAAAGAAUAUUAUUAAAUUGAUUACUACUUCUUCUUCUGCAUUUUGAGCCUAUCAUUUAGAAGGGGGUUAAAAGUUUGUUAGUGAAAAUUAAUUCACCCUUUCUUAAGAUAACUGAGGCCAUUUGUCUAACAAGUCAUACAUAUACACAUCGUGGAAGGAAAGUGAUUGGAUGGGAUUCUCUUUCAGUGGGGUCCUGAUGAGAUUUGAAAUUCAGAAGCUUUCAAUGUUCAUUCUUGAUGGGUGAUUGAACUGUCAUUAGCUAGAGUACUCUCCAAAUUGAUGAUAAGGUUUUGAAGAAUACUUCAUGUCAAAGGAAAGGGAGAAAUCGUAGUUGACACUUCAAUGGGUGUAAAGCUAAUCGUUCGUGUUUUUUUAGUACCUGGAAUGAGUCAAACUUAUCUGAGUGAGUUACAUUCUUGAAAAAUUAUACUUUCUACAUUUUUCAUAAUAAGCCAUACAAGAUGCAUCAUAUUUGAUCCAUGCAGAAACAAGUUGUUGAUAAUAAACAUGGUGGCAGUUUUGUAAUUAAGAAGAAUGAUUUUUCUUUUAUGACACACAUUCUAAGACGGUUCUACCGAACUGCCUUAGAAUGUACUAGGGGAAACUUAAACGACAACGGGUUUAUAUACAAAAAUGUCGUUGUUUUUUCCCCUAAUUACAUAAUUGCCACGCGUGUACUUUAAUUUAAAAUCCCUAGACUCUUGCGCUUCCUUUAGUCUCUUGUGCUUCCUUUGAACCCUUCAGUCUCUUGCACUUCCGCCAGGAAAUCACCGCCACGUCCACCGCCACGGCCAACCUCUACGUCGACAAGGAGGACCCCCUCGGCGGGAACUAUGGCGACGUAUCACUGGUGGAGCUGUAGUCCAAGAUGCCGUUAGAAGUUGGCGAGUGGGCGUGUGUGGAGGCGCUCGACGGCAUGCUGGAGAACAAUUUAGUGUUGAUCAGAGGGAGGGCACAGGCGAUUCGCCCCAUCGGGAAGAAGAUGGUGUUUUUGGUCAUCAAAGAGAACGGUUUCACUGUUCAAUGCUUGGUGCAAGUGCAGCCUGAUACGGUGAGUUCGCAGAUGGUGAAGUUUGCCGUGAAUCCAUCGUCGAUGUCGAAGGCGUUGUUUCGGUCCCCACCGCUCCCAUCAAAGGCACCAGUAGCAGGUUUGUAAUAGUUUUAGGGUUUGUGAAUUGUGAUUAGGUUAUGGUUACUCUUCAAUGCAAUGCUCAACGUUGUAGUAGUCAGACAUGUUGAUGAGACUCUUUCAUAUUCUGCUUCUUUAGUUACCUCACUCAUCAUGCCAGCGCGAGGGGGGCCCCCACUCGACCUCACCACUACUCCGCAACAACAAACCGAUGGCGAUGAUGAUUCCCUCACCUACCUCUGGCCCCUCCCUACAUAGUUCACUUCUGGUAGCAACACUCUCUUCGAUUGACCCCGUGCUCACCCUCUCUGUCGCUGGAAACGGUGGUGGCUCCGCCAUUCUUAGGGCGGCCUUCGACCAAUAUAGAGGGAUAGUGUUCAAGAACAUCACUGGUGUCGGGUUUAGUUUCAUCAGAAAGCUGGGGGAACGAUUGGUGUCUUCUAUUUUAGCAAGGAAUCUUCCCAAGUCACUAUUGAGGUGAGGUGCAUUGCUGAUUUACGAUUUCUGGAUUUAGGUUUUAGUUUUUUCUUAAUUACUAAUGAAUUUAGAUAUUCAAUGUUACUUUUCUUUUUUGUGAUUUGGAAAUUGGAAUUGAAGUUUCUUGUUAUGAUUGACUUGAGUUUUGAUCAUUAAUGGGAUGCCCAAGUUAUGAUUGACAAGCACUUUUCUGAGUGCCAAAAGCUGAAUUGAAGCUGGUUUCGACUUUAUUUAUUUAUUUAUUUUCUUUUUGAGGAAUCUUCCUACUUCCCCGUACUAGAAACAAUUCAAUCAUGUACUUUCCUUUGCUUUCUAAGAUUAUAGUACUACGCAUAUCUUAACUCGUAUUUUACAUAUUGCCAUUGUAAUUUACUCAAACAAUUGUUGCAGAAAAGGAAAACAAAAAUGUUAUUAUUAUUUUUUAAAAAUUAUGUGAUUCAUUUCUUAGUCAUUCUGCACGGUUGUAAGUCAUCCUAUUCAGUGAUUUUUUUUAUUGUAGGCAAAUACAGUUUAUGGUGCAUAGCGCGGAUUAGAGGUAUGUAUAGUAUUUGCAACUCAGUCAGCUCAAACUAUUUUUUUUUCUUCUUUUUAACUUUAUUUGGUGGUUUGAAGUGGAGGAUCAGUGAUGGCAGAUGGUGAGGAGGUAAAGACUACAGAUUGAUGAAUGUUGAGCUUUUAGUUAUUGUGUAGUGCUUAAACUUGCGAUGCUUGAUGGCUUUAUUUCAUAUCUGAUUGUUGGAAUUGUAAAUAUAUCAAUCUUACAUUAUAUAUAGUUCAAUUGUAGAAUGAGAGAAGUAUAUAAUUUAUAUUAAGAUAUAUUUUAAAAUAAAUAAUACUAUCAUAAAUAUGAUAUCUUCUAAAUAAAGUAUCAUCUAUACACACAACACACAAAUACUUAUUUAUUUAUUUUUAAUUUGUUAUUAUGUGUUUUAAAAAAUUAUAUAUUAUGUGUUUUCUUAUUGGUCUGCUGAUUUUUAUUUAUUUUUAAUUUGUUAUGGUUUUAUAACUUUCAUACUCUUGCUAAGUUGUUUUAAGGUUGUACUAAGUUGUUCAUCUGCUUAAUUCUAAUAAGCUUCAUGAAGCCCAAGACCAUUUUCUAUGUCUUAUUAUUGUAGUCGUAUCAUUUUACGUGUUCUUUGCAUUACUAUUGAUUAUAAAAUUAAUUUCUCUUCUCCAAAUACAUUCCGCUCUCUCUCAAUUGUGAUGCUAAUCAGCAAGUGUACUGAGUCGCAUAAGUAAUAUAAAAUGGUAAGUACCAAGUAUCAAAUUCACGGGGAACUUGUUUCAUUCAGAAAGUACUCAUUCAGAGGCAAACAUUUUUAUAAAGCAAGUAAUUAAUAAAAAGAGUUUUUGUCCACAAUUUUAAUUAACUACAAAAUUAACUAUCUAAAGGUGAGAGAUAAAAUAGAUGAUUAAAAACGUUGGGUCUUUCUACUGAACAUACUUGAUGUUACUGAGUAAUUUUCUCUAUUUAAGGUUGUUUUAGUGUUCUAUGCCAAAAAUAACUACCUAAACCAAGAUUCCUCGAGUGAAUGAGCCUAACUCUAUUUAAACAUUAUUCUAGAUCCCUCAUCGAACUUAGCCUAAACAAGUUGCAUUAAGAUUACGACAUAUUAUAAACUAAAUCCCUGCACUCUGUCCCCAGACAUACAGUUCUCUAGCUCGUUCUAUCAAGUUCUAAGGAUUUAAAACACUUUCCAAUGCUAAAAAUCCUAACUUUAUAUACAAAUGGGUGAUCAAGCCAUAAGCAUGCAGGAAUUAAGUGCAGAUAGAAGCAAUGAACACAUAAAAACAACUUUAAAUAGAUAGUAGAGAAUUUUACAUCAAAGUUCAGUAGAAAUCCCCAACAAGAGAUUUAGCCUUUCAUUGCAAGUUAGCACCUUUCAGCACCAAGAACAGAUUUUUGAAGGAUAAUUAAGAUUACAAAGUGGUGGGGAUGUCUCCUCCACCUCUAAAAACCUAAAAAUCACUCUUAAACCUAAAAUCUCUUGAAGGCUGAGGCUUUUCGUUCAAGCUCUUCUCUCUUGCUCUAUAAUUCAUCUUUGCUACGUCUCUCUCUCUUAUUUUUGCCAACUUUAAUGUUUUAAAGGCUUCUUGACAUUUCAGAUUAUGAAGGCUCGCUUAGCGCCACUUUCUCGCUAAGCGUGAGUAAGUUAAUUUUUGCUAAGCAAGAUAAGCGUGCUGAGCGUGAGAAGGGACAAACUCCAGGCUAGGCGAGUUGGCGAUGUGCUGAGCGCGAAACCUUCUAAAUGGUCCUCUUCUAGGGUUGCUCAAUGUGACACCCUCUACCCCUCACAUAUAUACUAGUAAGGAAUAAAAAAAAAUCAAAUAUUAAUUAAAAGUAUUUUUAAAACAUUUUUUUUUAAAAAGUCUUUCAAAGGGGAAAAAGGCUCACAUUCAUUUUCUUCUACAUCAUAUUCAAACAUGUCCAAAUAAAUAAUAAAGUAUUCUCGACUUAAACAAGGUCGUCUAAGUUUCAUACAAUUAAUAUAGAACCUAUAUUCUAAUGUCACAUCCUAUCAGAGCAUUGUGUUCCCGUGUCCUCUAGCAUGAGGUUCUUCAUAGUCAUCCACCUAUUCAUCUGCUCCCCCGAACACAAGUUCAAAAUCAUCACAGGAUCCAAACACAACAACACACAAGGAGUGAGUUAUCACAUUCCUAGCUAAUAGAGAAACAAGAUAAUUAAAUAUACAUAUAUUAUAUAAAUGAGAUAGUACUUGCUUAAACAUAGCUCACGUAACUUCACCACUUCGUCAUUCAAAAUUCACUUUUCAAUCAUCAAUCACAUUACACAAGAAUCUCACACUCCGAUCAAGAUAUAAUAACACAUCAAUUUCAUAAUAAACAAUUAGCAAGCAUAUGCCACACUUAUGCUAAGACUCAAUCCUAUAUGUAAUGUGGUACCAUGUUAGUGAAAAACCACCCUAGGGCGCUUAGGAGUACAUAACAAGACACACCACACAAUGGGUUUGUCAGGUCACUCUCACUAAGUAAGAUCAUAGGGAGACCAAUCAGGGUCAUGAUGUUUUGCAAGAAUGCUUCAACCAUAUGGGAUCAACAUAGGCUUAAAGGAACACUCAAACCCGGUGACCCCCAAGGCCUACACUCCGAAGACUCCGUCAGGGCCUCUCCCUCCUGAUUUAGGUCCAACCCCUAAAAUAAUUUUGCAUGCAGAUAUUGCUCAUGAAUUAUACAAUACCCACGACCUUACACUCGUGUUUUAAACACGUUUAACACAAUUGCGCUACGAUUUAACAAUGGUUCCUAAAUAGGAAACCUACAUUUUCUCUUUAAUACUGCGCAUCAACGCUUUUCUCAAGAUAACAUUGGUCGGGUUAUUGUACAAUUCAUAGCUUACAACACAAGUAAUUUCACAUCAAGUGUUAAACACAUCCACUUAUUCACAAUCGAAUAUCAUGCCCACACUUUAACAUUCCUAAUGAUAUUCAUAAGGUACAACAUACACAUGUUCAUCAAAUUUAACCAUAAUAUUCUCGAACUCUAACACUUAAUAAUUUUUGGAAUCAUACUAUAACAACUCUACAAUAUUAUUUACAUAAAUUAUUAAUAUAAAUAAAUAUAUAACUACUUCUAUACAUAUAAACUAGCAUACAUCAUAUUGGAUCACAAAUUUCAAAGUAAGUUUUCAAUGCACAAAUUCUAAAUAAUUAUAUGAACACUUUGAUCAAUUUCAAUUAUGAUAUUAAUUUUAAACUGUAUAAAAAACAUAAAAAGCAUGAAACAAAGAAAAUACAAAAUCAAUAUCUCACUUUAAAUUUCUCCUUACUUUAUUUCAUCAAUUCAUGCUAAUUAGAAAAAUGCUCGAUUUAUAGGGUUCACACUUGACACAAUAGCAUAUCAAUUUCACAACAAUUGGUUUGUCAAACAUAUAUAAUUCAUAAUUAUAAUUAUAAGGAUAGAAUAAAAAUGAUGAAAACACCCCAAAACCCAUUCUAAUUGAUACUCUAAGGAUCCCUACACAUGUUCUCACUAAUUCCCAAUUGUGAAUAACUCAUCCCUUACCUCUAAGCGGACUCACGUGUCUUCCAACAGCGAUAGCGGCAUCUCUGGCGGUUCCCUAAGAUUCCUCCAAUUUUUCCUCCGACUGUUCCGAUAGAGUUCUCAAACGUCAGAGAGACUGAGAAGGGAUUGAAGCCUCCAUUUGUACUAUCUUCAUGCGAUUUCUUUUGCUACCUCCACGAACAUUAUCUCAACAAUCCCAACGGUGAAAGCGUGCGCAAUUGAAUUUUGAACAAGAUAUCCAAAUUUCACGACAAUCCAGCGGUUAACAAAACCGGAAUUGUAGUUUUACCAAGACAGCUAUGGGUUUCUGCGGGAAAGAAAAAGGCUACAAUGCGAAGGAUAUUUCUCUCAGCUCAAACAUGAUAUCGAAAUUCCCAAUGGAGAGAAUGCUUGGAAUUGGGUUGCGGUGUUUAAAUUUCACGAUCAUCCAAUGGUGAAUGAGUCCGAGAUCGUCAUUUUUCUGAGACAGGUUUGGUGGCCUAUGAGAAAAAGAGAGGGUUUUGAAAGAAGAAAAAAGAAAAAAUGAAAUUGAGAGGCAGAGGAGGUUGAGGAGUCAGUCUGAAAACUGACCUUGCAUUUUGCUAUUUAUAGCUAGGGGUAUUCACGAUCUAUUAUUUACUCUAUUUAUUUAUUUUUAUUAUUUUAUAAAAAAAGAAAUUCUAUUUCAUUCUCCAUCAAAUGAAUAAUAAAAUAUCCUUUUUAUUUUCUCUCAAACCAUUAUUUUAUUAUAACUAUUUUUCUUUAUUUAUUUAAUUAUAAAACAUCAUUAUUCUCUAAAAUUUUAUUUACGAAAAAAAUGGGAUGUUACACUCAACACGCUAAGCGAGCUGAAUGCUCGCUUAGCGGAUGUUACUCGCUAAGCGCAUAUGCCUCGCUUAGCAAGACAUCAACUGCUGCACCUUUUUCUUCUUCUUUUGGCCUGAAAUUGAAGUUGAUUCACUAUUAGUUCACAAAAUUAGGAGUAUCUACUGAGAUAAAUCAACUAAACAUGAAAAUAUGUACAAAUACUACAAAAGAACUAUUAAUUUGACGAAAGAUGAAGUAUAUAUAUAACUUUUCAACACAAAAGUUAGUCGUAAAUAACGACUAACAAAAUACUAAAUGUGCUUGUAUUUCAGACACCUGGGGAGACAAGUUUCCAAAUUCUGAUCCUGACUGGGACCUGAUCAUUGCAAGUGAUAUCCUAUUAUGUAAGAUUAUUAUUGUUUACUAUCUUGGUUAGCCAUUUUUAUUUUUUUUAAAAAAAAAACUGAAUGCAAUGCAUCCAUUAAGGAAUAGCAUGCCAUUGUUAAUGGUUUGUAAAGUAAAACUACCAGUAUUUCCUGCAGAUUGAAAUGUAUAAAGAUACUAGAAGAAUUAAAAAGCUAGUUCUCGUGUUCCCAUUGAAAUGCAUUAGUUCUCUGCUAAGUUGGUAUCACUUUAAGUGGUGAUGGAGAAUAACAUCAAAGUGACUAGCCUAGUUUCACUAUUCAUUUUUUUUCUACAAUUAUUUAAGUUGCAAUGUCCAUCUAUUUUGAGCUUUGUGACUUGGUGCUUAUUGUUUCUUGGAAUGCCAAGAUUUGUAAUUUCAAUCUGAGAUUGAUCUAAUUUGUGAAGGAUUGUUGUGAAAGGAGUGAACUAGUACUUUGUCCUUUUAUUUCCAAAUUCUAAUUCUCACUAAUAAUCUGUUUUUCCUUAAAAGUAAAAAAUGAUGCAUUUAAAUUAUUAUACUUGUUUAAUGAAUAUUAAAUAUGUCAUUUAAUUUCAUCAUAUUGUAAUAUUUAAUUGGAUCUGUGAAGAUUUUGGUCUUUAACCAAGCUGAAUGACAUGUGAUUUAUAUAACCUCCUCACCUAGAGUGAUAAGGCUUCUAUUGUUGUAAUAUUCAAUUGAAUAUAGUUUUUUUUUGUGAAUUGUAAUAACCUAAUUUUUUUUUGUUAAAUUCAAGGAACGGAUGGUGUCUGGUCACGGUCACAUGUCCACUUGACAAUGUUCUGGGAAAUGUUUUAAUUUGUGUUUCUGAUCUUGUCUUAUGGAUUUCUUUCCUCUUGAUUGUCGUUCCUAGAGAAAAGAGAUUAUUACAAAUGCAUAUAGUCCCUAAUAUCUCUCAUAUCUUAAACGUUUGUAGAUGUGAAAUAGUAUGCAAAUUUGAUUCAGACCAUUUCCUUUCUUCUCAAUUGUUACAAGCCGCAAGGGAGAAGAGCAGUUUCUCCGACUGGAAAUGAUGAGAAUGAUGGUAUUGUGUUAUAAACCCUUUUAACCAACAUGCUUUGUAAUUGAAGUUAUAUUAAUUAAUUACCUAUUGACCCCUUCUCAUGCAUAUAUAUAUAUAUAUAUUAUUAAUUAUCUGUAGGCAAAAGUGAUUAGAACAAAGAGUGUACAGUUUAUUAAUUACAUAGCUUUCAAUUCUGUAAAAAAAAAUAAAAGUAGCUCGAACUAAAAAAUAAAAAAGGCAUUCUACAUCGGUUUUGAGACGACCGAUGUAGAAUGUUCAACAUUCUAAGACGGUCUAUCGCGACCAUCGUAGAAAAGGUUUUCCCUUUUUACGACGUUCCCUAUGACAACAAUCAUAAACCGAUGCAGUAUGCUUCAAAUAACCGAUGUACAAUCUCAUUUUUCUAGUAGUGAGGACAAGUAGUGGAUCUCUGUCUCAAAUCAAUUAUCUACUGGAUUAGAAAAUGUCUUCAUAGUAAAUCAAGCUAUUUGGCUUAAAAAAUCGAACUAAAAUGAGACUAAAUUAAAAUAAAGCUAUUUUAUGGUGGGGUGAUCAUAAAUCAACUGUUAGCAUCACUAAUACUCAUGUCCAACAUGGAAGGACUAAACACAUAAAAGUUAAGUUUCAUACAAUCUAAGAAAGAGAAAACAACUAGAUACAAGUACACAGAAACAUAUGCUCUAUUCAGUUCAGCUCUUUUUAGCAUGAUUCUAAUCUAGCAAGUUAAUUUAUUCCUUCUUGUUAUAGUGAUUCUAACACCAGUGCCAAAUCAACAUGUAGUAAGUAGUUCAUCAACAACAUCGUGAUUCAUGAACCAAAAAGAAUCAUGUUUUGGAGAAAUCUAUUUUUUCACUUUAGGGUUUCUUUAGUAAAUAUUGGCCUACACAAUAUGUUUUUCCCCAACACUAUCAACUUAAAACAUUUCUUAGAAUAGAACUAGGUAUCACUGAAUUGAAUUUUACCUAACAUUAACCAAAAGACUUACAACCUCAAUUGAUCAAAAGCAUAUGCACCAUAUUUGAUUCAUAUAGAGGAAAAUUGAUAAUAGUAAAUAAGAUAGAAACAAAAACAAGUAGUGGCUCAAAUCAAUCCACUGCUGAGGAAAAAAAUAUCUCAGUAGCAACAACAACAUAAAAAGCUAUUUGGCAAGGAAAAACAAAAUACAUUGGGACUAAAUUUGUAAUGAAGCUAUUUUAUUGUGGGAAUAACAAUAAAUAAGCUAUCACCACCUAUAAAGAUCUGGCUCAUCAUGGAAAGAGUAAACAUAUAAUAUUUGUGUUUCAUGCAACCUAAGAAGGAGAAGAAGUUGGUUUAGUUUAGUUCAUUCAGCUUUGAAAACCAGUUGGCAUACAUAGUAGUUCUAUACUAAUGAUGAUGUUAAUCAAUACCUACUUUCCUUAUUAUAUGAACAUAGUAUGUUUAGAGUAGUUAAAGGCAUGUCUAAGGCACCAGAAGGGCCAAGUGCCUCUUGGCGUCAUAGGGGUGAUAACUUCGUAACAGUCAUUCUAUAAGAGCGUAAAUAAAUGUGAAUGUUAAAAAAAACAAUUGUGGUUCUAUAGGACUCUUUGCCUAUUAUAAUCUAACUAAUGAUGCAUCCAACCAAUAUGUCUGCCACCACUAUAUCCCAUUCACCACAUGAAAAUUGAAUUCUUACGUAUGUUACAAGCUUAGGCAAGUGAAUAACAUUGAAGUCAAAAUAUGAAGAAUGUGUAAGUCAUUAAACUAAAACAAUGCACUCAAUCAAUCUUUUUUUGCCUCUCAUAAAAAAGUAGCCAUUCUAACCAUCAGGCAACCCAUUCAGUUUAAUCAUACAGACACAUACAAAAGAAAUUCAAAUUCAAGAAAAGAAGCAAAAGAAAUAAAAAAUGUGCAACAAGAAAAGAAACUGCUAAAAAGAAAAUAAAGUGCUGCUACAUCUCAUAUACAUUAUUUCAUUGUCUAACCUAUGCUUCAUGCUACCUUCAUAGCCCUGCCUGUCUAUCUCACCUCCUACUAUCAUUUUCAUGAAUUGAAACAAGAAUAGGAGUUACCCAACUCACAACUCAACCAUGAAAUGCUACCCACAAACCAAUUCAAGGUUCUCUAGAUAAACUAACCAAUUAUGCUUCACUCCUUGUGGAAGCUUCAUUUCAACCAGAAGCUAUUUCUCAUUUAGAAGCUCAAACUUUAGGUUCUAUACAUGCACCUAUCCAAAACCUAAAACUAACUUAUGAUAAAGCUAAUACGUACAAAUUCUAUCAUUAAAUUAAGGGAGAAACUCCAUUUAUCCUUCCAUCUUGUUUUAAAACAAGAAGGAAGGAAAAAUGAAGUUUAGCUUUAGAUGCUAAUUAAGUUGAAUUUCAAAAUUGAUUCAGAGAAGCACAAGUGCUCUCAACAACCUAAGUUAUACUUGACAAGAGAUGCAGUAUACUAUAAUUUACACUCCCUAACUAAUUGGGAUUUCAUAGUGUCCUAUGCAUUUCUAGCAGAGAUGUUCGAGUUUUCAGGAUGCGUACCCUAAUGUUCAAAAAUUUUCAAAACUGGCAUAGAACUACUAAAGACCACAAAGGCCUUGAAGGAAAUGUUUGACUUUUCAGGAUGCGUACCCUAAUGGAGGGUUUUCAACAUAUAAGUAACAAUCAAAUAGGGGAAAUGAGAAACUGAUCUAGCUACAUGAUCACGGUAAGUGACGGCGGCCGAAGAUGUUCGACGACGGGGUGAGGCAACGUGGAAGAUAGCUACCAUGAAGAUUGUGAGCUCAGGGAGGGCAGGUUGUGUAGCGCGCGGGAAGUCCAGUGAGUGAAAGCAUGAGGACUGGUUUCAACGACAUGCUUUAAUAGCAACAUCAUUGAUGAAGAAGCUCCUAAUUACAAAAAUGUCACUGUUUAAGCAACUAUGACGGGUUCUCACAACCGAUGUAGAAUGUUCGUCGUAAAUUGUGCUUUUUCUAGUAGUGUGGUUUCGAAAGUAUGGAUAUUAAACCCAAAUGACGAGUUGUAUUCUCAUUAAACUAAUAGUUGAAGUAAUUAAAAAGAUAGUUUAAAUAUUUUUAUGGUUUUGGUUUUAUAAGAAAACAAAUAUAUGAAUAUAAAGAAAGGGUUCAGUGAUGAUAAGAGUGAUCAAAGGUUAUGACUUACUAGUACUAAUUUUCUCUCAAUCCUAGUUGCAAUAAAAUUCUUUUUCUAGUUAAUUACUCAUUCACAAAAUCAACUAAAGUCUAUGAUAAUGGUUAGAAGAUGCUCCCUGCCUUAAAUCAAUACCCCAAUGAUCAUGGAUCUAUCAAUCUAAGUCAAAAGAAAAUCAAUUAUAGGAAAGAUGAAGUAAAGAUUAGCUAAUCUAUCAAAUAUUAUCCAAACAGUUUGAUCAUGCAAUUUGACAUAAAAUAUUCUCUACUUAAAUCUACCAAUUAUAGAUUGAAUAUGACCCUCUUGAUUGACCAUGAUCAUGGUCAAUUUACCAUGGCUAUCGUUGGAUCUUGACGAUGUUUGGGAGGACUAUUGUCACUUUAUUGUGAUCAUGCUGAUUACCACGACCACCAUGACCAAUGUACCAUGCCAUAAUCAAGUUAUGUAAAGUUGUUAAAUCUUCAUAAAUUUUUACAAUUUCCAAUGUAACAUCCCAUUUUUUGUAAACUAAUUUAAAAAGGAUUGAAUUUAUAAAUAAAUAGAAUUUUAGAAAAAUGAUAAGGUUUUUAUAAUUAAAUAAAUAAGGAGAAAUAACUUUAUUAAUUAAAAUAAUGACUUGAGAGAAAAUAAAAAAAGAGUAUUUUAUUUAUUCAUAAAAUAGUGUUUGUUUUUAUAAAAUAAAUAAAUAGAGUAAAUAAUAGGUUGUGAGUAUCCUAGUUAUAAAUAAUGAAAUGUUAGGCCAGUUUUCAGACUGACGAUAGCUUCUCAACCUCCUCUUCCUCUCAAUUUCGUUUUCCCUUCUCUUUCUUCCAAAACUCUCUCUUUUUCCCGCAUACCACCAAAAUCAUCUCGGACUCAUUAACCGUUAGAUCGUCGUGAAAUUUAAACACAAGGUUCGUAACUCAAUUCUGAGCCUCACCGUUGGAAAUUACGAACAAAUGUCAGAGCCGAGAGAAAUAUCCUUCGCAUUGUAACUUUUCCUUUCCCGUAGUAACCCAGAGCUAUCUCGGUAAAAUUACAAUCCCAAACUCGUUAACCGUUGGAUUAUCGUGAAGUUUUUAUAUGUAGUUCAAGAUUCAUUUCUGCACAUCUUCACCGUUGGGAUUUGCAAUAUAAUAUCUGUGGAGGGAUAAAGAUGCACCGCACGUAAGACCAUGGAAUGGAGGCUUCAAUCCAUUCGCAUUCUCUCUAAUGUUUGGGAACCCUAACAGAGCAACCGAAAGAGGAGCUCAAGAGAGCACCAGAAAUGCCACAAUUGAUAACGGAGAACGCUUGAGCAACUACAUCGAGGUAAGGGAUGAGUUAUUCACAAUUGGGUUUUAGUGAGAACAUGUGUAGGGAUCCUUAGAGUAUCAAUUGGAAUGAGUUUUGGGGUGUUUCCACAAUUUUUGAUUCUAUCCUUAUAGUUAUAAGUGCGAAUUAUAUAGGUUUGAUGAACCAGCUGAUGUCCCAAUAAGAAAUUGCUAUGAAAUUGAUGUGUUCUUGUGUUGAGUGUGAACCCUAUAAAUUGAACCUUUGUCUAAUUAGCGUGAAUUGAUGAAAUUAAGUAAGUAGAAUUUAGCGUAAGAGGGAGUGAGAUAUUGAUUUUGUAUUUUCUCCUUUUCAUGCUUUUUAGUUUUUUUAUAGCUUAAAAUUAAUAUUAUAUUUGAAAUUGACCAAAGAUUUCUAGUAGACUGUGUGGUAUUCUUAGAUAAUAUAUACGUAUUCAUGUAUACUUAUAUAUAUGGGAAAGUGUUCAUAUAAUUAUUUAGAAUUGGUACAUUGAAAGCUUACUUUGAAAUUCUUGAUCCAAUAUGAUGUAUGUUGCAGGUUUUAUAUAUAUAGAUUUAGCUAUAUAUUUAUUUAUAUUAAUAUUUUAUGUAAAUAAUAUUGUAGUGUUGUUAUAGUGUGAUUCUGAAAAUUAUUAAAGUGUUAGAGUUUAAGAAUAUUAUGGUUAGAUUUGAGGUACAUGUGUAUUGAGAUGUGUUUAUUGAGUUGUGAGCCGUGAAUUAUACAAUAGCCCGACCAGUGUUGAUAUUGAGAAAAGUGUUGAUGCACAAUGUUAAAGAGAAAGUGCAGAUUUCCUAUUUAGGAACCAGUGUUAAAUUGUAGCGCAAUAUGUUAAACUUGUUUGAAACACGAGUGUGAGGUCGUGAGUAUUGUAUAAUUCAGGAACAGUGUUUAUAAAUGAAAUAUGUGAUGAAUUUUGGAAUAACAUGUUGCUUUGAGAUUAUAGUAUUGUUAUUGAGAUUGAGUAUAAGUACAAAGUUGAACAUGUGUUAAUUUGUGAGAUAGGUGUAAACAUGUGAUGGUGGAUUGUGACACUAUGAGAUGUGAAAUUGUGAAUGAGUUUUGGCUGUGAAUAAGUGUGUGGUUAACACUUGAUGUGACAUUACUUGUGUUGUAAGCUGUGAAUUAUACAAUAACCCGACCAGUGUUAUCUUGAGAAAAGUGUUGAUGUGCAGUGUUAAAGAGAAACUGUAGGCUUCCUAUUUAGGAACCAGUGUUAAAGAGAAAGUGUAGGUUUCCUAUUUAGGAACCAGUGUUAAAUUGUAGCACAAUUGUGUUAAACAUGUUUCAAACACGAGUGUGAGGUCAUAGGUAUUGUAUAAUUCAUGAGCAAUGUCUGCAUGCAAAAAUUAUUUUAGGGGUUGGACCUGAAUCAAGAGGGAGAAGCCCUAACGGACUCUUCGGAGUGUAGGCCUUGGGGAUCACCCGGUUUGAGUGCUCCUUUAAGCAUGUGCCGAUACCACAUGGUUGGAGCAUUCUCGCAAAACAGUGUGACCCUGACUGGUCUCCCUAUGAUUUUACUUAGUGAGAGUGACCUAACAUACCCAUUGUGUGGUGUAUCUUGUUAUAUACUCCUAAGCGCCCUAGGAUGGUUUUUCACUGACAUGGUACCACAUUGCAUAUAGGCUUGAGUCUUAGCAUAACUGUUGCAUACGCUUGCUAAUUGUUUAUUAUGAAAUUGAUGAGUGUUAUUAUGUAUUGAUCGGAGUGUGUGAUUCAUGUGUAAUGUGAUUGAUGAUUGAAAAGUAAAUUUUAAAUGACAAAGUUAUGGAAUUACCUGAGUUAUGUUUAAGUAAGUGAUAUCUCAUUUAUAUGAUAUGUAUAUAUAGUUGUCUUGUUUCUCUAUUAGUUAGGAAUGUAAUAACUUACUCCCUAUGUGCUAUUUGUGUUUGGAUCCUGUGAUGAUCUUGAACUCUGUGUUCGGGGAAACAGAUGACUAGGUGAAUUGCUCUAAGGAACCUUGUGCUGAAGGACGUCGGAACACAAUGCUCUAAUAGGAUGUGACAUUGGGACAUAAGUUCUAUAUUAAUUGCAUGAUGUUAGUCUAUUUUAUUUUACCUCAUUGAUUUAACAAAACAUUUAUUGUAAAUUUUGACGGCCUUAUUUUGAGCCGAAUAUGUUUUUAUUAAGUUAUAUUUGGUAAUAGUGAAGUGAAUGUGAACCUUUUAUCCACAUGGAUUUGUUUACCAAUAUAAUUAUAUCAUGUAUGUAUAUGUCGAGGUAGAGGGUGUCACAUCCUACUCUUUCACUCAAUUGAGUGGCUAUACAUCUGAAAUAUAAAACUAGUAUUCAAAUGUGAAUUAUACCAAGAAAAUGAAUAUAAAACAACAUAAAAGUUUGUACAAAAUAUCACUCAGAAAGUGAUUUAUCAAUAACUUAUAACAGUUCCAUUUUCGAAAACAUUGUUUUGUUGUUUUAUGAGAGUUAAAAUAUCUUUGUGAUCAGAAGGAGUUUUGAAGUUUCCAAACAUCAAGGAUUAAAAGGGAAAAAAAAGAGAGUGAAUAAACAAAAAAACUAGGCAAGUUAAUUGAAUAUUUUAGAAUUCAAUAAAAUUUUCAAACUUUUUGAAAGUAAAAAAAAAUCUUACUUUUUUGUCCUACUAUUUAUUUAUUUAGCAUUGUUCCUCUAUUAAUAAACAAUUUAAUUUAGUACUUUAAUUUUCACGGUCUAGUUUUACCCCUUACUAAACUUCUUGUUCUCACUGUUUGGCUUUUCAAUUUUUUUUUCAAUUUUAAUAAACAAUUUAAUUUGUUCCUUUUUUUGAUUCAAUAUCAUCCCACUAUUAAUAAACAACGUCAAGUGAAUUUGGACAGAAGAGACCAUACUGAAUCGAUUUGGAAUUAAGCGAUCAAAUUAAUGAUUUUAUUAUUAGGUGGACAAAAUUGAAUAAAAUAAAUAAUGAAUGAGACAAAAAGAUAAAAUUAACCCUUGAAAAAUUUAUCUUACUCCAGAUAAGUGAUAUAUAAAUUGAUUUUAAUAAUAUAUAUUGAACCAUUAAUUUUUUUUUGAAAAAUAUGGGAUCAAACCUGAACAUAAAAGUUUGGGUACCCAAAUUGCUGAAACACUAUGCUAAGAGGAUUAAAGUGCUAAGUCAAAAUCAAACAUGUCUUGUUACCGUACAAGUUCACCCCAAGCCUAACAUGUACAACCCAAAUUUUCACUCCAAUUCAAGUUCUAGAAGCAUAAUUGGGAACUGAAUUUUUUAUUUACUAUUGUAAUUGAAGGUAAAUAUACCUUAACUCAAAAUCUCUUUUCUGCAAUUGAAAAUCCUAAAUCUUUAGAAUUUCUCAAUUAGGGCAAUCAUUAAGUUCAAGAAUAUCUAAAUUAUCAUAAUUGUUGAUAUUUAUUCCUGUAGAAUCUCCAAACUUGUUGCAUUAUAUCUUAAAUUUAAUCCUUAUUUUAAUUUCAUAGUUCUCGAUAGGAAUAUACAAUCAACGCACUAUAAGUGACCAAAUGCCAAUUCAUAAAGGCGUUAAAUAAAAACAAAGACAAACAAUCAAUUUAAAAGAAAUAAACUUAAUUAUAGAUAAAAAUUCAAAUUACAUCAAGUUAACAAAAAUUUAAGUACACAUUUUAGAAAAAAGGGAAACAAGAGAAAGAGAAGAAGGAAGCUUAAAAAAUCAAUUUGAUGAAUCUUGCACUUUGAUGCCUCAAAUCCACUCUUCCACCAUUUCACGGGCAGCAAAAGAAAGAACUUGAGGGAAUCUGAGUUUUCCAGUUGUCAAAAAUUGUCUGCCUUUGUAGGAACACUAUUUGCAGCUUCUUCGUAUUGUGUUGGUGUUAAUAACGCUAAAAUGGGCGUAAUAAUUAACACUCAAAAAACCACAAGAUUGGAACGUCGGAAACAUUGGAAUUGGAACACCUCUUACAAUCUUCCCUCAGUGCUUUCCUAAAAUUCAUGGUUGUACAAAGUGGGUCAAACUUCAAAGCAUAAAAAUUAGGAACAUUUAACACAAUCUAAAAUGAUACAAUGAAAUUGUUCAAGUAUUUAUCAACAUGGAAAUAAAAAACUCAAUCCAGUUGAGGUCAACAUCUACCAAUUCUGAGCACAAUAAUAGAAAGGAUUAUAAUGGUGAGAAUCUUAUAAUGAAGAAACGUUAACUUUGGUUGGUGUAGGCAUAUACUUGUUAGACAAUUCUAUCCCUAACUUGUACGUGAGAUGUCGUAGAGAAAGAAAAAUCAAGCAAAUACUAAAAGCGAAAAUGAGGCAAAAGUAAUUAUUUUAGGAAUUAGAUAAUGGUUGCAUUUUUAUUGAAGAAAAGAAAAAGGCCACGAAUGUCAUUCUACAAAGUUAUAGAUGUGAAAAAGACGCACCUUCUAUUUUCAAAUUUGGACGCAUCUUAGUGAUGACUUCUGCCGAAUAUAUGCGAAGGUUCUUCAGCAUCCCUGCUCCAAAUAAGUACAUGGGGCACAUCUUGGAUGAUCCAGUGGUCUUCUCCUCCAUCGGGAGCAAUGCGCUGCUCCAAUUCAGUUGGCAUGGAGUGGAUUAUGAGAUCUUUAAGUUUCUCCAAGUGUUGAAUUCCAGAGGGAACGGUUUUGAGUUGGGAGAGGUCUGCUAAAGAAAUUUUUUCCACAGAACACAGUGCUCCUCUGUCGAUAAGGAUGCACUUCAACUUAUCCAAAUAUGCAAGGAACAGUAGCUUUAGUUUCUGAAACCCUCCACAUUGAAAAUGCAAAGUUUCACCUUCAUAAGCAUUGUGAGCGAAACAGAGGUACAUUAACCUUGGCAUAUUUUUUAGUGAUUUCAAUGCAUCAUUAGUCAACCUGGAGCCGCCCAAAUACAGUUGCACAAGAUUUGGGAACUGUGAAAUCCAAUUUGGCAACCUUGUUAACGUCCCACAUAGGACAAGCUUCCUAAGUGUAGACAUAGGUGACAUAAGGUACAAGUCAAUUACUUCACUCUCAUCAGCGGUACCAAUACGUAGUUUCUCCAAGAGUGACAUCUCAUUUAUUAAGGAACACAAAGUCUUUUCGUGUUUUCCCCUAAAUUCUACCACCGUCAGUUCCUUUAACUGCUUUAGCUUUCCUACCUCUCUAAUGACCACUCCAUCAUCAUCUAUUUUCACUGGAGGUACCUCUUGUAGGGAUGUCAUGCCUCCAAUACCAUUCCAUUGAAUUGAACAGCUAGAAUUAGCCAGAAGAUGACGUAGCUUUUUAAGCUUCGUAAUCUCCUCUGUCAUCUCCGACACAUAUGUGGCUCUUAUAUCCAAGGUCUCCAAAUUCUGGAGCUUACCAAUGGAUUUUGGAAGACUUUCUAUCCAUGUAUACUGGAAGCUUAAAUACUUCAAGUGGCAUAAAUUCCCCAAAUUUUCAGGAACAUAACUUAAAACAGAACCUUCAAAAUCAAGUACCUUCAAUAACAUGUAAUUUGUAGGGAUUUUGUUUACUAAGCGUUCAGAUAAUUUUUCAUACUUUCCUGUGAUGAUAAGAAUUGACCGAAUGGGUGAGCUUCCCAUACUUCCACAUAAAUCAUGGGUUGCAAUUGUCAGGCGUCGAACAAUCCCACUUGACAGAGAUUGAUCAAGCCCUCCAAUAUACUGACAAAACCCUGUAUCCAUGGCUUUUUUAAGUAUCAUGUCAUGUAUUAAGUCAUGAACACGACACCUUUUAACUUUGCCAUCAAUUCUAAGUGAGGAUACUUGCACCAAACUUCUACGGACCAACCCUGAUAAAUAUUGUUGCCCAACUUCUUCCAAAGUCUUUCCGGUUUCAUGUUUGACAAACCCUUCAGCUAUCCACUGUCUAAUCAAUCUAUCAGAUUUAACUUCAUAGUCCUCCGGAUACAUUCCAAAAUACAAUAAACAUGAUCUGAGAUUGAUCGGCAAAUCAUCAUAACUUAAACCUAAAAUUUUUUUUAUGCUAUUUAACUCAGAAUUCCUCUCCAAGUCUAAACUUAGAUCUCGACUAAACUGUCCCCAUUCAGGUGCACUUUCAUCUUUUUGAGACAAAAGACCACCAAUGGCCACUAUUGCCAGAGGUAAACCUUUACACUUUCUAACAAUUUCAAGAGAUAUCUCUUUAAGUUCUUCUGGACAAUCUCCAUCGGAACUAUACUGAAAUGCCUUCUUAUAGAACAAUUUCAAAGAUUCUUCUUCAGUUAAAGGUUUUUCUAGCUUAAACACCUCAACAAAUGAUGAUUUCCUACAAUAUUCUGCAACCUUCUCAUCCCUGGUUGUGAUUAAUAUCCUACUUCCAUUUUUAUUAUCAAUUACAGCAGAUUCAAUGUGAUCCCAAAAUUUUCCAUUCCAUACGUCAUCAAACAAGACAACAUACCUCUUGUUGCGCAAGCGGUUUCUGACUUCUUCUGUCAACGACUCAAUGGUAGAAACAUCCUUGGGAGGGUCCUCCUUAUUUUCUUUGCAAAGCUCAUUCAACAUAUGCCUCAGCAAUCCUUCAGAAGAGAAGGAUUGAGAAACUGUGAUCAACGCAUUGCAGUCGAAUUUGUUACGCACCUGGUCAUAAACUUGCUUGGCAAGAGUGGUUUUUCCCACCCCUGCAAUUCCCACCACAGAGAUGACAGUGCGUAUUUUUCUUCCCUUAGUCAACCAAUUUUCCAAUAUACCUCUAGGGCCAUCAAGCCCCACAACCUCAUCUUCCUCAAUAAAGAGAGGAUCCCUUCUAAGUUUCUGCCAUGUGAUAUCUUGAUUUCCUCUAGAACUGGUUUGUCUUUGCUCUAAAGGAAAAUGGGUUUGGAAACCAUCUCUUUCAGCACGAACAAGGGAUUUAACAUCCUGAAUCUUAUACGCACUUUGAAGGAGAAGGAUUUGAGUUUUGAUGAAGGCAACAGCCUCACAUAGUAAAGCUGCACAUCGAGGAUCAUCAGGUUGCUUAUCCUCACAGGAGAUGUUAUAUUCAUCGAUGACAUCUUCCAUGCGAAAAGCUGCUUCUCUCAGCCGCAUCACCCUUUCUUUUAUUCUAUGACGCCUUCCAUCAUCUUCUUCGGCUUCAGCCACUUUAUCAGCAUCAUUGAUGAAAUCUUGAAAGCUUUCAAGUUCAUCUGUAAUGUCUCUAACUUCUUUUGGGAGAUCUCUCAAAAUUUUGAAAGCUUCCAAUAUUUUUGGAAGCGCAUGCUGACCAGCCAAGGACACUGCAGUUUCUGCCAUUUUAGUCUAGCUAGCUA